RNAcentral lists this long non-coding RNA (178264 nucleotides) under Coffea arabica (coffee). Its description in RNAcentral is "long non-coding RNA (CARA_LNC007922)". Lineage: Eukaryota; Viridiplantae; Streptophyta; Magnoliopsida; Gentianales; Rubiaceae. The record is from RNAcentral.
CAAUUCCCAUGUAAGAAAGGUCAAUGGCUGCGACUCUAUGAUGACGAGCAUUACAAGUGAUACCAAUCCAGUUGCAAACAGAGGUAGAAGUGGACCAGUUGGUUGGGAUGAUCCUUUGAGGAUCGAAAAUUGUGGAUUUGAAGGCUAGAAGUGCAUUCAGAUCGAUAGUGUUGUUUUGGUUGUUGGCAACACUUGCGCUAGCUGAGCUUGUUGUUAUAAAGUGCAACAGUAGCAAGGCUGCAACGAAAAGAAAAUAAGUUCUCUGCAUUGCUUAUAUAGAGGUAAAUAAAACUUGAGGAAUGCCAAACAAAUAUAGAACAUGAGUACAUUGUGACCUUGGGCAGCACUUAUAUAGGCACAUACUUGCGGUUGACUUAAUAUUUUUCCACAACAUGUCGUCGUCGUAUUUCAAUUGCAAAACUGGAUAACCAGGUUGAAUAAAAAAUAUAGCCUUGACUCUAUCUCUGAGACAUAUGUUUUCAAUUUUUCACAAUUUAAAACUAAGUUAAAUACCAACUAUUGACUCGUAAGUGUGAAAUUGUCAUUUGUACCCCACGGCUGACAAUUGUCAUGGUAGAUUUUCAAGUGUAUUCUCGAUCUCUUUCAUUUAGCAUUGAUGGAAUGUAACCCAAGCAACCAAUUCAAGUGUAUUCUCGAUCUCUUUGGGUCUUUCCCAGUAUUUUUGGACAAUUUAAGCAGCUUGUCUUGAUGAAGACCACCUUCACUAAGGACGCUGUCUUGAUGAAGACCUGCUGCUCUAUUCUCUGGAUACUGAUGUUUUGUUGUCCCUCACUUGCUAGGAAUUAAAUGCCCACUGGGGGAAGAUUAAUUCCUCUCUUUGGACAUCAUUGGGUUAGUUCCAAAUAGUAGUAAUAAUGGUUAUGGAGAAUUCUAAAUUGCUUGUCUUGUCACGUUAGUGCAUGCUCUCCUAGUCUAUUGGUGAUAAUCACAUAUCAUUACAAUCACUACCUUUAACAAGACUUGGUCAACCUUGAGGAUGCUAUCUUGACAGAGAACCAUGAGAGUCCAAGUCUCAAAUCUAUUGGGUGUGUUUAUUGAAAAAUAUAUUUGUUGAUGGUUUGUAGUUGAUCCACCUUGAGGAUGCGAUAAAUACAAAUUCGUUUCUAGGUUUCAAGUCAUUAAUAACAAUGAACUAACAAAAUAGAGGGAUAGGAAGUUGUGCAGUGUUAGACUAAAUACAGAAUUGCCAGGCAUGUAUUCUAGAUGAUUUACUUCAAUACUUUCAAAAUUAGUUAUAUUAUUUACAGACUAAGGUCUUGUUAAAUUUUAUCAUUUGAUUGUAGAUUAUUACAGAAUGCUUUUCCAAGUAUUAAAAACACACUUUAAUUACUUCCCAAGAUUACAAAUUCUCAUUUAUCAUCCUAUCCUAUUUUUAGUAACAUUCUCAAUUUUAGCCUUCUCAAUUUCCUCAGACUAGUUUUUAUGUAUUUUUCUUCAACUUUCGUUGUUAUGUUUUGUAGAGUAAUUGAUAUGACAAGCAAUUCCAGUGUUUCACCAUUCUCUGUGGCAUUUUGAGUAUAACAAUUUUCAAGGAAUGAUAAAAGGUAUAUACUACUCCAAGGCAAGCUAAAAUUAUUAUGUCUCUGAAAACUUCAAUAAGAGAAAGAAGAGCUAAAAGCUUGUUGUCCCUUCAUUAUUUUGUGGACGGACAAUUUUAUUCCUUUAUUCCAUUAGUUCAAACUGCAAAAAUUGAUAGAAAGUCCAAAAGUUUACACGUUAAAUUAUUUGGUGACUUAAAUGGUACAUAUUAUAGCUCAGGAGCUAAAAGUGUAUAAAAAUGACGUCUUAGGGAGUUAAGAAUUAUGUGACUUUAUCACAUCCACACAAUUGAAUAGAGUUUUUGUAUCAUAAAUUGUGGAUCCAGAUUCACUUGUGGAAAAAAAAUUACACUAAGAAUAUAUGAUAUAUUAAUUCAUAGUUAUGAUUAUAAAAAGUAAUAUACAUUCCAGAAUACAUGCAUAUAGAAACUAAAAAAUAAGCUACAAUGGGAGCUUUGGUCUACCAUAUUGGGAGAGAAAGGACUAGUCGAAUUUUUUGCUCGUAAGGCUGUUGCUGGUCGUGAAGGAUAUUGGUGGCUAUGUGAGGGCUAAUUCCUUAAAUUAAAACUAAAAAAAAUAUUGAUCAAAUGUUGCUCUGACAAGAAUAGUGUACCAAACUAUAUCCGCUGUGGUAAGGCAAUUUCUCUUCUUUUUUUUUCUAAAUGGCUGACACUACUGUGCUAACUUAGCACAGUAGCACCAGUCAAGUCAAAACAAAAAAGGGUCUGACAGAUUCUUUUCUGGCAGAAGCUGUCAUAGUUGUGCAGCCUUUGACUGGAUUUAAAAAAAAAAAAAUUGUCCCCCGCCGUGUUGACUUUGCAUAGCAAGGGGUUUUUUUUUAUUAUUAUGAGCAGGUCAGAUGUUGAAGAGGGUGAGAAACCGUUUUGGAGGUUAUUCCAGUAUGUAUUGAACUGUAGUUCUGAUGGCAGUAGGACUCAACUGGUUUUCAAGUGCUUGUCUUUUUUCUUUUUUUCCUUCUUCUUGUACUACAUUGAAUGAUUGCCAUUUUUAACAUCAUUCUCAUAUCAUGAGUUAUUAGAUGUGUAAAUUGUUUAUGAGUCUUCUGGUGUGCUUCUGUAGGCGGUUGCCCUGGUUGUUAGAGGGAAAAAGUGGUCAUCAACAAAGUGGAUGCGAGUCCAUGAGUACAAGAUGUAAUUUACUGGGCACAUAGUUAUUGGUAUAUGCAUUUGACUCUUUUCACACAGUCCACAUAGUUCACUGCAUUUAAUUUAAAUACAGAUUUCUGCAUUCUAGUAAAGCAAUUUCUGUUGAAGCUCUUAUAUAUUGCCCAUGCUCAUCCGUCUCCUAGUUGCAACUUGCAAAUGGAUAGACAUACCUGGCAGAUGGUUUAUCAUAGUUCCAAAAUUGUCUGCUUGUAUUCUUCUUUCAAGUUUCAUUUGGUAUACAAAGUCUUUGAUACUGUCAGUUCAUGGUCAUAGUUCAAAUCACUUGAAUGUUUAAGCAGUCAUUCUGUGCAUUCUUCUUAUUUAAUUCAUUUCACUUUGUUAUGUCUAUCGCCCUCCUCUUUACAUAGUUUCAGUCUGCAUUAACUCUAUUAUCCCCUAAUCUUUGCUUUGUAUUCUUUUUUUUCGGUUGCCCGCCCGGUAUCUGAAGCUUUGCUCCGACUAAUCUGGACCCGACCCACGUCGCGCACCUGGCUAUGGUGGAUGAGUCUCCCAACAGGGGUGUUUGCGUAUACUAGGACUCGAACACGAGACCUGCUUAAGCGAAUCCGAGCCGCUUACCACUCGGACCAACCCCUGUUGGUAGCUUUGUAUUCUUUGCUAUAGCAUAACUGGAUAAAUAGUCAUACUUCUUGGCGAAAAGUGUAUAAUGAGUUCUUCUGAAUUGAAAGAGCAUAAAUUGCAUGGGAGGGCGGGUCCUAGUCCAAAAGGUGCAGAAGGUUUUGUUCAUAGUACAAACUACAAAUGGAGAUGUUGAAUUGAAAUGUUAAUGGGCAAAUUCAAAAUUUAGGAAACCAAAGGAGCUAGUUUUUCUGAUGUUUAGCAUCAACUCUUUCUAAUGCCUUUUAGUUAGCACUACACAAUUCUUGGCUGCCGUGCUUAGUCAGCACGAAAGCUUUGGCCUUUAAAAAAAAAAAAAGGAGUGGAGUACCCUAUCGUACUUCGUUAGCAUGACAGGUAUAAUUUGGUACACCAUCUUUAUCAAAGUAACAUUUGGCCGACUUUUUUUUUAAAACUAUAAUCUAAGGAAUUAGCCGUGUGUGACCAAUUGGAGGAACGGUCACAAACCAGGGGAAAAUCAAUGCCACGUGUUGGACUUCGUCUCAGAUGUGCAGGUUAUUUUCAAAUGAUAAAUGAUAGUAAUAGUUAUGGAGAAUUCUAAAUCGCUUGUCUUAUCAUUUUAGUGCAUAGUUUCCUAGUCUAUUAGUGAUAAUCACGUAUCAUUGCACUCAAUGCCUUUAUCAAGACCCGUUCAACCUUGAAUGCUGCUAUCUUGACGAAGAAGCACGAGUGUCCAAGGGUCAAAUUUUCUAUUUCCCUGUUUUUUUUUUCCAAUCCAAAUCAAAGGAAGAGUAGGACAAGAGAGAAUAAUUACAGGUCUUGGCCAAGAUAGUGUGAUUGUAAUGUUUCGGUAAACGGAUUAGCUGCAGAUUAAUGCUUAGGCUUUGAAAAAUAUUUUUGCUUAUGUAGUUAUAACUAACGCACCUUGCUGGGAUAAAUAUAAACUCGUUGCCAGGUUACAAGUCAUUAAUUAAAAUGAACUCACAAAAUUGUACAUUGUACAUAGUGGGAUAAAAAAUUGUACAUUGUCACACAAAAUAUAUGAGUAAGCUAUAAUAUGCAUUGUUUAAGCUCUUAAACAAGGCAAUGCGUAAGUCUUUUGCUCUUUUGUCAAUUUGUGCUGUUUGAUCUAAUGGAAUGGAGGGGCAAAAUUGUCCUUUAAUAAAAAGACAAAUGUGGAGAAGAUGAAUGAAAAGGAUCAAACCACUCUAUCUAUCGUCAUUCAUAUAGAAUCUCAUAAAAAUUAGGACUAAAGGAUGGGAGAAUGCGCGAGAAAUAAGAGAAAGAAGAGUUAAAAAUCUGUCAUCCCUUCAUUUAUUUUGUGGAUGAACAUUUUUAUUCCUUUAUUCCAUUAGCUCAAAUAGCAAAAGUUGAUAGAGAGGUCAGAAGCUUGCACAUUACACAUUAAAUUGUUUAAGAACUUAAAUGAUACAUAUUAUAGAUUAGGGGCCAAAAGUGUAUAAUAAUAAUAGUUUGGGAGCCAGCUGAACAAUUUACUCAAUAUACAAUUGCGAUUCAUGUAUUCCGGAUGUUUAUUCCUUUAACCUCAGCCUUGUUUAUUCGCAGGCUUUUAUUAGACUUCAUUUGACUAUUGACGCACACCAUAAAGGACCCUAAUUUGUGUAUGGCAUUCAUUGGGUGGAAAGACGAGUUGCGGUCAAGAACCUUCCUGUCUCAGUCUACAGACUGGAGAGUGGAGAGUCAACUCUUGACUUAGUCCACAGACUGGAGAGUCAAGAAUUGGAGCUAUUCACACAAUUGUGUUUGUUUCCCUUCGAGAAAGACAUCAACCUGUUUGAAUUGCUAUUUUUAGAAUUUUUAUAAAAUAAUGUAGUGUACCGUUUUGAUAUAUGUGAGGUGAUAAAUGUGUUUAUGAAAAAAGCAAAAGUUUUUCUGAAAAAAAUCACAAUCCAAAUAAAAUCUAAAAACUCUAAGUGAUGGUAUUCAAGCGAAACUAGUGGACAGUCGUAGAAUGACGCAAAUGCCCAGUAUUCAAAGCACUUAUCUCUCUUGAUGUUUGUCCGAAUUACACACCGAUCUAGAUUUUUCCUAUAUGAUGUGAAGUUCUAUAUUUGUUUGUUUCCUUGAUAAAUAUUGUGCUGAUUUAGUUUACACAUAAGAAUGGAGAUGCCCUAAACACUUUGUGGUUAGAGGCUUACAUAGUGAAUGACAGUUUAAUGUGCUUAUAUUCACCAUAUUUCGUUUAGAUUCCUAUGAUCCCAUUCUAUCGUUCGAUUACAUGGAGAAUAAAAGUCAAAUUGCGCGUUUCUUGUCCAGUUUUCCCAUGUUUAGUCAUUAUCUGAAUGAUUAUUUUUAUGGUUGGUGCAUCAGAAAUGAGAAACACAAGAUUGACAGAAAGUGCAAGAAAUGAGUAUCAAGACUCGCCAUCAUCUUGAACGCUUUUGAACAGACCACACUUAGAAAACGAUAAUUAAGUUGAGAUAGACUGAUUUUUCAAAAGGUUGGUAACAAAAACUUUUCGUGCCCGAGGCUCCUUCCACCAAGUCUCCUUUGGAAUCUAUUGGAAUAUAGAUGAGGGUUUGAACGUGACAAUUAAACCCAAGAAUUUGGACUUAAUUAGCCCAAGCCUUUAUGGACGCAAACAAUUGACUUGGAAUUGAGAAUUUUGUAAAGGGUGUUCAAAAUUGAUAACAGAAAUGAAUAAGUAGAUAAAUAGGCGCCAUGACUCCACUAGUAAAAAAAAAAUAAAAAAAAAAUAGUUAACGUUACCAUGAAAUCCGCUUAGACCAAAUCUUCAUCGGGCAACUUGAUGAAUUCUUAUUAGAUAAUGAUUUUGUGUUUAUCAGAAACUUUUUUUUUUUUUUUUGGAGAAAUUCUCAUUGAACAAUGAAAAAAUGAGGGUGCCUUGCAUGUAUUUAUGUAUCCUAGCUGCUUACGUCAUUUAUUUAUGAAUUCUAUAUAUAUGUAUCGAUUCAUCCAGCUCUAGGUAUAUGUACUCCAUUUUAAAGUACUUGCGCUUAAAGAGUAUAGCGAAACUUUUUGUAUUUAAUCUUUAAUUGUUCAUUUAAACCUCUAAAUACAAUACAAAAUUUUUUAAAUCAUUGCCCCUUAUAACUAUAAUUUAAUGCACUAAUAUACAUGAUUUGGUGUAAUUUAAGAAAAAUUGUUUGAAUCUUUCUUAAAUAUAUAUUGUUAUAGGUAAAAAGUUUUAGUUUAUAUCAAUUCUUUGUACAUGUUGAAGCAAUGUCCUAUUCAAAUUUAAUGUCCUAUUCCCGAUUUAAUUAUUUGAGAAAAAUACAAAAUUUUUAAGGGUCUUAUUAAAUGUUAAGGAAGAGAAAUGACUCCAUUAAAUAAAAGUCUCUCUCUCUCUCUCUCUCUCUCUUAAACAUUGAUUUACUUUACAUGGAAUAUUUUAACGUACUAGGUCAAGAUAAUUUGCUUAAUAUAUUACCUUUUUACUUCAAAUUUUACAGAAAGCAUUUAUGUCUCGUGCAAUUUGGUGAUGUCCAUGUAAAACGAUUGAGUAUGUAUGAAAACUAAAAAAUGCAUAAAAAAAAAAGGAACUGAUGCUAGAUUUUGUGGUUUCUAUAUGAAGUGGGAAUUGAAGCAGCAAACCAACCAGCAUAACUCAAUGAAGUAGUAUCUACUCUUGAAAAUAUAUUGUUGAAAACAGUCUUCACAUAUUAAUUUUGUCAUGAAUUUACUUACCUGCCUGGGAAGAUUUAUGUCCCACGUUGGUGAUUGGACCUCCUCAUGCAUGAACUAUAUAUUUUUUAUUUAUUUUUCUUUCUUGGUUUCAUAAGAUUUUUUUAAUAGGCUAUUGUUUAAAGGGUAUUAUUCGAAGUCCAAAAAGAAUCCAAAAAAAGAGUAACUGAGAAAGCUGAAUUGAUUCAAAUCAAAAAAUAGGGUAAUCAACUCAUAGCUUUUAAAAUAAUUAGGUUACCAAACCUACUUAAAAAUGUAGAUUAGAGCAUGAUUUUCGAUUUUUAAAAACCGAAGUGACUACAUUUUGAUUAUCAUCACCCAAGCGUUGACACUUUUAGGACUUGCCAUUUCGAAAGACAAUAUUCAUGAGAUUGCAUAGGCUAUCAAGUUCUUAUGAUAAGUGAGUUGUCCAUUCAUGCCUUGUUUAUGCUGUCUUUACAUGCAUCUCGACUCUCUCUCUUCCUAAGAUGAGUUACAGACGAUCAAUUUCAUAGGACAGUUCCAGGAUAUGAUUUGCAAGCUCAAGAUACAGCGACAUAACCAUGUAGCAAAAUUAAGCACCAACAUAUUUCUUCGGAGGAAAAUGCAAAUUGUUGAUGACAUUACAAACAAACCACUGUUAAAAAGCUACCUGAAUCAGCAAUGCCGCAUCAGGAAAUACAGUAAUUAACAUCCCUUUUGAAACCCCCCACCCAAAAAGAAUUUGUUUCUUGCUCCUGUCCUGAACUUGAAGCAUUUGGUUGGUGUGCACGGAGUCAAAGGAAAGGAUUCACCACAAUUACACCAUACGCCUCUGCCAUAUAUUCAGAACAGAAGAUACUUAAAAGUAAUGCAUCAACAAAUACUUUUUUUUUUGAAUAAUUAUCUGAUAUGUCAUAAAUUUAAAAAAAAAAAAAAUUGCAAUUUUUAGUUAUCUUUAUAUAACAGUUAUAUACCUGCUUCAAAGGUUUGAGCCCCUCAGAGAAUUGAAGUUUAAUCUUCUGGAGUGCUUUAAGGACAUCUUUCAUGUUCAUUCUGUCCUCAGAAGCGUCUGCUGUACAACAUAAAGCAAGUUCCAGGAUAGAUGAUAUGCAUGCUAUCUUAUUCUUUACUGGUCCAUCCUCAAGAUGAACUAAGUUCAUGUCCAUAAGCUGAAUCACAGAAUCUGGUAAGCAUUCUUGUACCCAAUGCUGCAGGCUUAACUCUUCACUAAACAUCUCAUCCUUAGGCCUCCUUUAGUAAAUGUCUCCAUCAAUGUGAUCCCAAAGCUAUAUACAUCACAACUUGUUGCAACCAGUCCUUCUAGUCCAUACUCUAGCAUCAAUGUUGAAUUAAAUUCGUUUGCUAAAUUCAAUUAAUAACGUGAAUUCAGAACUUCGGUACUGAAUAAAAAAAUUUUAAUUAGUUAAAAGUGGAAACAUCAUUUGACUGACAUCAAAAAUUGGAAUUGCAAUCAAGAAGAGUUACCUGGGGCAAUAUAUCAGAAUGUAGCGAGAGCCUUUGUUUGUACCACACUUUCUCCAUCUCCCAACAACUUAGCAAUUCCAAAGUCACAAACAUGACCAACCAUAUCUCAAUCUAGUAGGAUAUUGCUGGGCUUCAAAUCACAGUGAAUCACAGGAGUUGAAUAACCAUAGUGGAGAUAUUCCAAACCACAAGCUACAUCUAUCAUAAUGUCUAGUCUUUGGAUGAUGUUCAAGAUUUGAGUGCCUGAAUAAAGCCAUUUCUCAAGGCUUCCAUUGGGCAUGAAUUCAAGUAUCAAUGCUUUAAAGUCGGGAUUGGAGCAAGCACUGAUGACGUUAGUCAAAUUAUGAUGACGAAGACACCGUAAGACUUCACAUUCCCUGUCGAAGCUUUUAAAUGCACCAUCGAGCUGCAAAUCGAAAACCUUUAUAGCCAAAGUCAUCCCAUUUUCUCGUAUUCCUUUGUAAACAGAACCAAAGGUUCCGGAGCCAAGUAAUGCACUCUCACUGAACCCGUUCGUUAUUUGUCUGAGUUCGUGGAAUGGUACCCUCUCAAAUGUUGUAUCUGGAUCUAAGUUAGAUGGAGACACAAUUUUUCUUCUCCACUUUCUUAACACCAAAAACGAAACUACCAUGGCUACAACUGCUGAUCCAAGUGCUAACAACACAACAAGACUGUCUUUUUCCUUGAACUUUGUUCAAAAGUUUGACAAGGUUGGAGCCAAGGAGCAUCACAUCACACAAUGCUUCGUUUGAGAGAAAAGAUAGCUUCGUAAAGUUGGCAAAAGGUCCUCCAUGUGGAAUUGGUCCUCUAAAUCUGUUGAAGGACACAUUGAAGUAUACAAGAUUCUGGAGUACUUGCAGUGAAUUGGGAAUUUCACCAGUCAAAUUGUUAAAUGACAAAUCCAGAUACUGUAAUUCGAACAUAUUCUUCAUAGAUUCCGGAAUAAAUCCUUGCAGCCUAUAUGCUUCAAGGAUAGGGCCUGUAAACUCUGUAGUGCUCCUAUGGCUGUGGGAAUAUCUCCAAAAAAGUUAUUGACAGAUAGGUCCACAAUUAUUAGUGCCUUCAAAUUUUCAAUUUCAGAGGAUAAUGAACCGCAGAAAGAAUUUGUGGACAAAUUAAGCUCCAAGAUAUCCCUGAGUCUCCACAAAUUUGAGGGCAAGUUAAAACUUAAAUUGUUGGAGUCCAGAUCUAGAUAUCUUAAGGAAGUAAUAUUCCCUAUGCAACUAGGAAGUCUACCAGAAAUCAGAUUGCUGCUCAAACUUAAUCGUCCUAAGUUCAAUAAAUAAAAUAAUUCACUAGGACAGGGUCCUUGAAAUUUGUUAUAUCCAAGCUCCAUUUCCUGAAGUUUCAAUAGCCCUCCAAAGGUUGGUGGAAUUGUCCCUUCCAAGGCAUUCUGAGACAAAUUCAGGUCUGCCAAGUUACUUAAAUUUCCUAUGGAAUUUGGUAUUUGUCCACAAUCAUUCAUAAAUAAAGAUUCCAGAUUACUAGAAAUUAAAGAUUUCCAACAGAAACUGGAAGGAACCCAUUGAAAGGAAUCUCAUCUAGCACACAACACCUUUAGAUAUUUGCAAUUUGACAGGGAAUUCGAAAAGCUUAAUUCCCCAGAAUGAGAUUCAUAGGAAAAACUGUUGUUCGCAAGACACAAAAUUUUUAGAAGGCUCAAGUCACGAAGAGAACGAGGAAUUACACCUGUGAACUGGUUAGAUGUAAAGUCUAAAUGAGCAAGUCUUGAAGCAUUGGAGAUAUAUGUUAGUACGACUCCACUUAGUCUGUUUCCCCCAAUAUAAAGUUCUUCAAGAUUGGGUAACAUGGCACCCAAACUUGAGGGAAGACUGCCCGAGAGAUCAUUUUCUGCCAUGGAUAUUACUCGUAGCGAAGACACAUUAAACAGUUUGGAUGGGAUGGGACCUGUAAACCUAUUCAUGUCUAGUAUUAUUUCCUCCAACUUGUUAAGGUAACCAACCGCUUCAGGUAUCUCGCCUGAAAAUUCCAAGAUUACAAUUCACUUGCUAGAUGAUAGAAGGAAAUAUACUGAGUUGCUUACAGUGUGAUAUUGGACAUUUUAGUCACUUCUCAACUAUUUAUUUUUUUUUAUAGGACUAAAUUACUUGUUUAACUUUUCAAAACCUUCACUAUUUUAUUUCUUCUUUUUUUGGGUAGGUUCGUGACAGGGUGUCGAACCUGUGCAAUAAUAAUUACCUACUCAAGAAAAAUACAGAUUUUGUAUAUAGCGGUGAGCAGGGUCGAAUCCACAGGGACUGGGGAUAAUUCGUCUCUUCUAGAGUUCAGUGCAUGGGGGAUUUUUUGGAAAAUAUAAAAUUACUAAUUAAUUAACUAAUGAAAUACUAAUAGAAAUAAACAAGAAUUAAUCAAUAACCAAUAUGACUCUAGCCAAAGGUGCAACUUUUUAGACACGAUCCAUGCAACUGAUCAUCGAUGCAAAGAUAAUUCCAUUACUCAUUACUAGAUUGGUUAUAGUUGUCAUACACGCGAUGAACAACCAGCCUUUUCUUAAUUUCUCGAUAGUUAAGGUACGACCGUUAACUAUUUCUCUAACCAAAAAAUAACCCUAGGUACGACCAUAGGAUUUAAUUACUCGAUUGCAUUAAUAAUUAGAAAAGCCCAAUCCUAACCAACAAACACGCUACGAGGGUUUGUUUAAGUUAGAUCAUACGUUUCCCUAACAUGAAACCAAUCACGCUAGUUGCCACUGGUAUUAAUCAAUUGAACAAUUACGGAUUCAAUCAAUUAAUUUGACAGUAGAUUAUUAGGUUAAUUCGAAUAUCGGGCCCUUGACAUUCAAGUAACAAAACAAUCAUAAGCAAUUAAAUCAGUAAACGUAUAAAUACCAAUAAAUAAAAAAAAUAAGUAAAAUAAUUAGAUCUCACAGAUAUUCGAAACCGAGUCCUCAAAUUGACCUUCGACUAGAAAAAUGAAUUAGUUCAUCUUCAUGGAGGAAAUCCCAUGUAAAAUUGCAGAAGUAAUUAUUCUAAAACAAAACUAUGUUUCCGUCCUCCCUAGAAGAAAACGGCAAAGCUAUAUAUAAAGUAGCUAGAAGCAAAAACAAAACGAAGCUCUCCUGUUCUAAAACAAAAACUACUUCUCUAGUGGUCCCCGCCGAAUUAGGAACAAAACCAUCAUCUGUACGUUUGUUUUCUUUUUAAAACCAAAGGAAAAUGACUCAUGCUAUCUAGUCCCGUGGUCCCCGCACGAAUUGAGAGUCCAAUUCCAUUUCACAAGCCUCUGUACAUUUCUUUCUCAUUUUAAAGUCCAAAAGGAAUGAUGACUCCAAAUGCUCUUAUCCCGUGGUUCCCGCCGAGAUUGAGAGUCAAACAAACUCAAAAGAAAAGCCUGCCGAAUUACUCCUUGUUUCCUAAUGUUCCUAGGACUCCUUGUACCAGCCUUCUCUUCAUCAGCUCAAAAGGGAAGCCGUUUGUUUGAUCUCUUGUGGGCCACGUUGAGGGAGCCCCCAUGUGUGCAGUAAUUUGCUCAGAAAAUCCCUCCUUUUUUGUAGUUUCUAUUUCAUUCCCUGAAAUUAAGUCCAGAUACCAAAUAUAGUAAAUAUUACUAAUUAAAACAAUAUUUGGCAAGGACAAAGGGGAAAUUAAUAAUAAAAUAACCAACAAUUAACACUCUAUCAGUUCGAGAUCAACACUUCUCUUUCUCCUAUUUCUAAAUUUAGGCACAUGAUAUACCCCUAUUUGACAGCGGUGACACAAUUAUAAAGAAUGUCAUGCCAUUCUUUGUGAAAAAAUUUUCUCGGUUGCACUAUGAUCACACUUUUCAAUCAUCUCUACAUCUCAUCUUUUCAGUUAUUUUUUUAUCUCGCAUAGAUUACAUUACAAAAAGUACAUUUUUAUCUCACAUGCAUGACAUCACAAAAAGUUAUUUUUUUAUCUCACAUAUAUUAUAUCACAAAAAGUACUACAAAUCAUUUUAAUUUUUUUUUAAAAAAAUCCUUUGUCUAAUUAAACACACUCAAACUUUAAGGGAUAGUGGAAUUGAAUACUUUAAUCAAGGAGGUAAAAGGUAAUAUGCUCAAAAUUUUUUAAAGGGUAAAAACAAAAAGUCUCUUGUGGUAAACCUAAUAUACAAAAAAAUCCCCCGUGGUCUAAAAACGUAUAAAACCACACCUCAUACUUUGAAUUAAAUUAUAAAGAUGACGGAAUCCGUAAACUUAACAGGGACAGACAAAAUGACAAAAAUACCCUGAUAUAACUAAGCAAAAGACAGUUCAACAAAAUCAUUUGUUUCAUUCUCUAGAGAGAGAGAAUUGGGAGUUAAGGGGUAGAACAAGUAUAUUUGUUAAAUAUUAGGUAUAAUUUUUUUUUAGGUUUCAAUAAAUCAUUUUUGUUAAUUUUAAUGGAUUCCGUUACUUUUACAAUUUAGUUCAAAACAUGAGAUGCCGUUUUAUACAUUUUGAAACCAUGGGGUUUUCCUAUAUAUUAUAUUUACCACAAGGGACUUUUUUAUUUUUUACCCUUUUUAAAAUAAUCUUCUAUUAAACACACUCAAAGUUUAAGGGAUAGUGAAGUUGAAUGCUUUAACUAGGGAAGUAAAAGGUCAUAUGCUCUAACAGACUUACAUCACAAGAAGUUGUCUUUUAUCUCAUAUACAUUACAUCAUAAAAAGUACUACUGAUCAUUGUAAAAUUUUUUAAAAUAAUCUUCUAUCUAAUUAAACACACUCAAAGUUUAAGGGAUAGUGAAGUCGAAUAUUUUAAUUAGGGAGGUAAAAGAUAAUAUGCUCAAAAUUUUUUUAAAAAUAAUCUUCUAUUAAACAGACUCAAAGUUUAAGGGAUACUAAAGCUGAAUGCUUUAACCAGGGAGGUAAAAGGUAAUAUGCUUUGACAGGCUGAUGUUAGACUUUCCCUCCUUUUUUUUUUUUUUGUGUAAGUUCGAGGGCAGGCAUCCGAGACCUCUUACUGGCACUCUCUUCUCCUUACAACCCAAUCCAUCCAUUCCCCUUAGAAUUUCUCCUUGCAAUAAUAAAAGGUAUAUGUGUGUAUAUAUUUCACACAAACCAUGAUUAUUACUAUUAUGAAACAUAAUUUUAACUCUUAAAACAUAAGGUGAAUGUAGAUAACACUCUUACCAUUCAUGUUAGCUCCUGCUAUCCAGAAUCUCCUCAUGCCUUGAAGAUUACCAAUAUCUUCUGGAAUUUGACCUGUACAAAAUAUAUAUCACGACUACCAUGAUUAUUUAGAAAACUGUAAUUAAAAAAAAGAUAAUUUGUCCACUUUUCUUAUUUGUCACUCUUAAGGUACUACAGAAGAACUACUGUGGCACUUCCAUUUAACUUUUUUGAAUUCUAAAGAUAAAUGCAAACUUUAGCUCGUAUUUGUGCAAUUUCCUUUUUGAUUUAGAAAAUGUACUUUAACAAAAAUAUUCUAUUAAGUUUUUUUUUUUGGAGUUAUUAAACCAAAAACUUCCUACUUACAAUCCCUCUCAUCUUAUUACCUAACCCAACCCUCCCCCUAGCAAAAACAUUCCAUUAAUAUCAUAGUUUGAACAUUAUAAUGGAUAGAGCCUCUUCUCAAUUAAUUCGCAUUUUGUAAACGUUGAUUCUUCAAAAUUCAAAAUUAGAAUUCAAAUUUUAGAAUUAUUAGAAAAAAGUAGGCAUCUUGUAGCUUCUAAUUUUAGUUUUUCUUUUACUUUUCAAAAGCCAAAAGGUGAAAGAAAAAGAAGUUGAGAACAUUACAUGAUAUAUAUUUUAAUAUCAAAAGGUCCUUCAGUUUUUCAAAAACUUGUUUUUCAAAUAUAAUAAAAAUUUUUAAAAAGUACUUUAAAAGGUACACUAAAAAGUAGUCUAAAUUUUUUUUAAUAUUUAAAAAAAUUUUCAAAAUAUAUUUUAAAAACUCUACUACUCUUAAAUAUUCCAAAAUAUUUUCUAAAAAUAUCCCAAAAUAUACUCUAAAAACUCUAUUAUAGUAAAAUUUUUCAAAAACACCCCAAAAAACAGCUAAUCCAAACGAAGGGUAAUCAUUUGAACUUUUCACGUUAUUUUGAAAUUAUACAUGUGACUACGGAAAAUUGAAUUAUAUUUAUAGUGGUGUCGUAAGACAAAAACCUGAACAUAGAAAAGUUUAGGCCAAAUUUGAGGUCUUGACAACAAAAAAUCUACGUUUAAUUUUUUCAAGGGCAGUCCUAUAAUGCGAGCUUUCAUGUCUAAUUUGUAAUUCUAUGAAAUCAACCUAGUGGCAAAGUGAAACUGAAACUGAAAAUGACAAAUUAAAUACAUGUAUAUACGAGUGAAAAUUUUUUCCUAAUUAAUGUCUAUCCUACCAAAACUUCAUAACUUUUUUUCUGAACCUAUGGCACUCUUUUGAAAGAGCUUCCUCUUAGAAAUGCUGUAAAGCUUGUGUAGGAGACUUUGUCCGCCAUAUAAUCGCAUUUGUAUUUAUACAUAUUUGUUCUCCUUUUUACCAGAAAACACACUUAGUCAACAACUUAAAAGGAAAAAAAAAAAAAAGUUGUCAUAGUAUGCAAUUUUCUACAUACUGAAUUUCUCAAGCUUGAUAUUCGUUAGCCUUUCACACGGUGCAAAUUUUCUACUUGCAAGAUCAGGUACUUUUUUCUUCUCAGCUUUGAUAUCUCAGUCUUCGUUCAUGGUGAAUUUUUAUUAAGUUCUCUGGUCACUCUCUUUUGGUUCUUCAUUAUUCCUGUUAUGUUCACACAGCCCCCUUCCCCCGUGGCUAGUACCAAAAAAAAAAAAAAGGUACAUAUAUUGUUGCAACUUCAUUGUGAAACAAUUUAAAUUUGAGAAUAUUCUUGAACCGGUUGACCUUUUUUAAAAAAAAAAUUUUUUUGCCGCAGCUUUCUUGGUGUUUGAGUUGAUUUUAAGUUUGAUAUAGUGUGAUAGCUGCGUACAUGUAGGUUUAAUAACUUAUGGACAUGGUUAUAGCCGUUUCACAUUUUUUAAAUUGUGCAUGCAGCUAUUCUUUUUAAAUUGUGUAUUUGAAUUUUUUCGACCAAUAUUUCCACUUCUACUGAAAAAGUUUAAAAUCCUUUUUUCUAAAAUUUGAAGUUUUAUUCUUCUGUUAAAUCAUAGGAGGAUUGUGGAAGAGAAUGAUGGAUGUUCCCACUUUCCACGGCUCCAAGUGAUGGCAACUUCGUUGUAGGUACAUGAAUUCCCCGGCUAGUUGCUUUUUAAUGGGUCUUUACACCCUCUUUUGAAGGCAAGAAGAGCAUUCAGAUGAACAGUGUUGUUUUGGUUGCUGGCAACAAUUAUGGAAGCUGAGCUGGUUGCGGCAAAGUGCAACAGUACCAUGGCUGCAACGAAAAGAAAAAAAGUUGUCUGCAUUGCUAAUAGAGGUAAAUAAAACUUGAGGAAUGCCAAACAAAAGGUAAAUAAAACAUGAGCAUACAUUGUGACAUUGGGUUGAGUUAAAAUUUUUCCACAACGUAUCGUAGUUGUGUUUCCAUUGUAAAACUGGAUUACCAGGUUGAAGAACUUUAGAUAUAAACGUUGAAAAUAGGUUGCCGAUUAUGUGUUUCUUCUAGCUCUAGCUGGAAAUGGAAUCUGAGGAAUGAAUUGCACGCAUAGUUUGCCAUCAAUAUAUAGGACGGGAGCGGAUGCAUUACAUUUGUGUGACUUCGAGUGUAUUAAACUUAUAUCUAUUAAUGUCUGUGCAAGUAACAAAUAUAUAUAUAUAUAUAUAUGGCAAAAUUAUUCAUUUCCUUAGUGGGAUUUAGUGACAAAAUAAUAGGAUAGUGUGAAAAUAUUAAAGGUUAUGGAAGGAAAUUGGAGAAAUCUGAAUAGUGGGGAGUUAUUUAAAAUAUGGUAGUUUGAGAAAUUUGAAUAUUGUCGAACUGCUAUUAAUUUACAGCUUCACUAAUAGCCUUCAUCGGUGAGGUUUAUUUAUUUAUUUAUUUUUUCCCUGAUCAAUAAGUUUGGAAUUUUUUUCUUUUUUCACUAAGGGUACAAAAGAAAAGUACAGUGCCUGUGUGUUAUUUCCACACCAUGGCAUUCAGGUUCUGCAAAUUGUAUAUAUAGCAAUCUGUACAUGCAAUAUAUAAAGCCACGGUAGUCCAUCCUCUUGUUAACACGCCUUUGUCUUUUUUUUUUUAUAUAAAAUAGGAAACCAGCCUCAAAUUAGAUAUGGUUAAUUAUCCUACAAUUAGAGUAAAUAUACAUUUCUCCAUGUUUACUAAUUAAUUAGAUGUGAAACAGUCCACGCCUUAGCAUCCUUAUCCCACAACAAAAAAAAAAAAAAAAAAAAGAGGUUUCAAACAGAGAAAAACAAAAAGUGCUGAGACCGAAGAGUUGUGAACAAAAAAGGAAAAAAAAAGUAAAUUGCUGUACGAGUUAAAACUAAUUUAUUCUUGCUACUCCCCUCUUUUCUUGUACCAGCCCAUUUCCACUCAAGAAAUGAGAAGGUAAAAGUGGCUCUGUUAUAGUCUAAACAAAAUGUAUCAAUUAUAAGUCUGAUCCACCUUUUGUUAAGGACACUUUCUUCCAUUAGUGGAAGACUUUUAUCAAGCAUAUUGACUUGGAACAUCUUAAGAGAAGGUACUUGAUAGAUAGUGAAGAAAUUAAGAGGAGACUUAUCAAGCAUUUCCAUAGAUAGUGAAGAAAUUAAGAGAAGGCACUUGAUAAAGCACCACCGACUUGUGCUUCAGUCUGAGGACGUCUUCCGAGCCAACAGUCCCCUUUUUUCUUGAGGUUCAAAUUGGGAUGCCAAAUUAGAAGUAUAUACGUCAAAGCUUCACAAGAUUCUGAAUUGAAUUAGAUAUAAGUUACUUUGUGUUUUGCAAAGGUAAUAUGUAGCAAUCUACAAGGAAAUGAAAUUACAAAUAUAACCUUCAAUUUUGCCCUGAAUAAGUGCUAUUAAUUUCUAUAAAUUAGUAGUAAUUGUUGCACGGAAAACUACUUUGCUAUCUUUGCUCUUCGCACCUUUAAAAUGUUAUUUUGUAAUUAACUAAAUGCAUGAAUCUAAAUGCCACAUUCGUGUUCUGUAUGUAUAAAUACAUAUUGUUAGGUUUGGUCCUAGGAAAUUAACCAAUGAGAACAAUAGGACACUUGCCAACUCAAUAAUGACAAUAACAAAACAAAUAAAUCAAAUAGAGAAACACAAGAAUUUACGUGGUUCGACCCAAUUGACCUACGUCCACGGGCGAAGGGGUAGCAGAUUUACUAUAACAGAAAAAGAAUACAAAAGAGAGAGUACAGAACCCUAGAAAAUAAUUCUCAAAUCCAAAAGGUACCUAAAACUGAAAACACAAAAGAGGCUAAAUAACACUAAAUGUUUAAUGACUCAAAGCCCAUAACUUGCUCUUUGAUUUGAUGCCAAACCAAAACCUUUCUUAGAUUGGGACGUGGGCCCCACUGUGCAUAUGGCAUUUGGACCGUGUCCUUAACACAAUUAAACUCAUUUAACUCCACUAUAUUUAUAACCACCAAAAGAAGAUACUUUUUUAUAAAAAUUUUGAUGUGGGACACAAAGACAUACUCAACAAAUCUCCACCUUGGCAUGUAUCCAACGUCUGUAAAUAGUAGACAAAUAGCAAACAAGCUCUACCUUUUCCAUAAAAGUCCCAACGGAUCUCAACGAACCAUAAAAGUCCCAGCAAACCACAACGAACCACUAACGAACCAAGAUACAAAAGGGUCAAUAGGUUCCAACGAGCUAAAUCUCACAAAAGGUUCAACAGAUCCCAACGGGCUAAAAACCAUGAACACAGUAAUCUUACUUCACCUUCUUCUCAAAACCCUUAACGAGUUUCAACGGGCCAAAUAACUCUUCUUUAAAAUCCAACUGAACUCCAACAAAAUUUUUUUUCUUCACUCUCAGUAGCACCCAAAACCUGUUAUUGUCAUCAAGAAUCCAAAAUCUAAUCAUAACCCAAAACCUGAAACUGAAUCUAAAAUCUUAAACUCUAAUAUCAAUUUGUUAGAUCUGUUUCGGAAAAUUGACCAACGAGAACAAUAGGGACUCUGUUUGGAUUUUUCAAUUUUUGAAAAACAAGUUUUUCAUAUAUAAUGCUACAGUAAUAUACAAACAAAAACAACUUCAAAAACAUCAUAUCCAUACAAUAUAUCAAAAAAUAACUCCAAAUAUAUAUAUAUAUAUAAAUACACCACUAUCCAUCACUCUCCACCACCACCGCCACCACCUUACCGCCACCACCGCCACACCCAUGACCCUCUCCUCUCUCUCUCUCUCUCUCUCUCUCUCUCUCCAUCAAUCUUUCCUCCCUCCCUCCUUCUACUUCUUGUUUUGUCCUCCGUCUCUCUCUCAUUCUCCUUCCUUCUUUCUUCUUUCCCUUUCCUCGCCCUCUAAUUUCCUUCCCCUCCAUUGACCGCUACCUUUCUAGUCAUGAUCAAAUCUAAUCGUGACUAGAAGCCGUGACCAAGACAGUCGUGGUUAGAACGGUGGCUAAAGUCGCAGUCACCACCAGUGAGCAAAAGAGGGGUAUGGGGCUGGGGGGAAGGAGCAGAGGGAGGAGUAGGGAGAAGAAAAAGGAAGGAGGAGGAAGGGGAGAAGGGGGAGGAAAUAGAGAGGAGAAGAGAGGAAGAGAAAAGAGAGUGAAGGAGUAAAAAAAAGGGAUGGUGGUGGGUCGUGUAAAAUUUUUAAAAAAAUAUCCCAAAAAAUUAUAAAUUAUAAAAAUACUCAAAAAUAUAUUUUAAAAAUUUCUCUAAAAUAAUCCAAAAAAAUCUAAAGUAAAAGUUUUUCAUAUACGCAAUUACUGUAAAGUUUUUUAAAAACACCCCCCAAAAACAUUUAAUCCAAACAUGGCCCUUGUUGGCAACUCAAUAAUGACAAUAAGAAAACAAAUAAAUCAAGCAGAGAAACACGAAAUUUACAUGGUUCGGUCCAAUUGACCUAUAUCCACGAGCGAAAAAAUAGCAGAUUUACUAUAACAAAAAGAGAGUACAAAAGAGAGAAUACAAAACUCUAGAAAAUAAUUCUCAAGUCCAAAAGACACCUAAAACUGAAAAUACAAAAUAGUCUAAAUAGCACUAAAUGCUUAAUGGCCCAAAGGCCCAUGACUUACUCUUUCGAUUUGAUGCCAAACCAAAAUCUCUCUUAGAUUGGGGUGUGGGACCCAUCAAAACUCUCAUGGACUGGUGCAUAUGGUACUUGGGUUGAUGCCCUUAGUACAAUUAAACUAACUUAACUCCACUAUAUUUAUAACCACCAAAAGGAGAUACAUCUUUAUAAAAGUUUCGAUGUGAGACAUAAAGACACACUCAACAAAUCUCCACCUUGACGUAUAUCCAACAUCGAUAAAUAGUAGAUAAAUAGCAAGCAAGUUCCACCUUCUCCAUAAAAGUCUCAACGAACCAUAAAAGUCCCAACGAACCACAACGAACCACUAACAAACCAAGAUACAAAGGGUCAAUGGGUCCCAACAAGCUAAAUCUCACAAAAGGUUCAACAAAUCCCAACGGGUUAAAAACCAUGAAUAUAGUAAUCUUGCUCCACUUUCUUCUCAAAACCCUUAACGAGUUCCAACGGGCCAAAUAACUCUUCUUUAAAACCCAACUGAACUCCAACGAAAUUUUUUUUUCUUCACUCUAUGUAGCACCCAAAACCUGUUAUUGUCAUCAAGAAUCCAAAAAUCUAACCAUGACCCAAAACCUGUUAUUGUCAUCAAGAAUCCAAAAAUCUAACCAUGACCCAAAACCUGAAGCUGAAUCUGAAAUCUUAAACUUUGAUAUCAAUUUGUUAGGUUUGUUCCGGAAAAUUGACCAAUGAGAACAAUAGGGUUGUUGGCAAUUCAAUAAUGACAAUAACAAAACAAAUAAAUCAAGCAGAGAAACACGAAAUUUACGUGGUUCGGUCUAAUUGACAUACAUCCACGAGCGAAGCAAUAGCAGAUUUACUAUAAUAGAAAGAGAAUACAAAAGAGAGAAUACAAAAUCCUAGAAAAUAAUUUCCAAGUCCAAAAGGAACCUAAAACUGAAAACACAAAAGAGUCUAAAUAGCACUAAAUGCUUAAUGACCCAAAAGCCCCAUGACUUGCUCUUUUGGUUUGAUGCCAAACCAAAACCUCUCUUAGACUGGGGCGUGGGACCUGCCAAAACUCUCAUGGACUGGUGCAUAUGGCACUUGGAUUGAUGCCCCUAGCACAAUUAAACUCACUUGAAUCCAUUAUAUUUGUAACUAUCAAGAAGAGAUACUUCUUUAUAAAAGUCCCGAUGUGGAAUAUAAAGACAUACUCAACACAUAUGUCUAUGUGUACCUCUAUAUGGUGACAUAUAUUGACGAUCAAUUUAUUUUUCAUUUAUAUGCAAAAAUUGAAAAGGCCCCCCACACCUAGACAAUGCUUGUCCUCAAGCAUUUCGGAGCUCAGUAGUACAACCAAGAGAGCAGAGGUUAUGGAGUAGUCUAUACUAACACAAGCAUCUAAGGUCCCUGACAAUGUCACCAAGAUUAGAACAUACUGGAUAGGUAGGAGUCCAAAAAGAAUAGGACCAGUAAUACUCGUUACCUCCAAGAAAGUGUAUGAAUACUAGAAAUGCUCAAAUCAACAUCAUGGAAUGGCAUUACCAUAAGAUUGCACAUUUAUCACAUCUCCACCACUCGAAAGUGAACUAAAUACACAAAUCAAAGGGACUUUAAUAGGGUUGUAAUGAGAUUUAGGUAAAAGGCGGGAUAAGAAGGUAAAAAUAGGGUGUAAUGUGUCAAGAGAAUGUCCAAUAUCCACUACAUAAUCACAAUGUUUUAUCGGGGCAAUUUCUCAAGUAGGGCAUUUCCAUUUGCUGUUUUCAUUGUACAAGUGUCGGAACUCGUUCCCUUUUUUUUUUUUUUUUUUUAAGAGGACGUCUAGCAAGGCGUGGACACGCCCUGGAAGACAGAGUCUUCUGGUCACCAGCUUUUUGCCGAUUUCUCCCCUUUUUUUUUUCCUUCUUUUCUUUCUUUUUUUUUUCUUGGCUUUUCUUUCGAUCUCAGAUGUACAGAAACAGCACCAUAAAACAUCUUUUUGACAACACUUGCCACCACAGAUUUAUUUACCUUGCACAAGUAAUGAAUUUCAGACAUCGCUUAAUGACACAAGGUUGGACAAAAGAGUCUAAAAAGGUCAUGGAUUAUCCAGCACGGCUAACAAACAAAGAGAGGGAUAAAAGCUCAAAUUGGUUCACUAUCGGGAGAUAAGAUGAGGGUUUGGUUUUUUAGAUAGCUAAAUAGGGUUAAAUCCUAAAUGGCCUUAUCAUUUCAAAUGCAUCCAAUUCAGCAAAAAUGUGGUCUCGACAUGUAUAAACUAACAAGUUCUAGAAUGCCAAUACCAUGUGUGAUACCCAUUGAAUCAAACAAAAAUAGAGCAAACAAGAAUAAUGUGCUCAUAUAAGGCUCAAAAGCUCCCAAAAGUUUCAAAAAUGGGUCAAGUCCAGCGUAUUCAACACUCAACAACACUGCCAAGGGAAAACGAAAUGCAUAGCUAGUAUAUUUACCCACAUACCCACGCAUCUUGAUUGUAUCAUUAAUCACAGCAACAUGCUCCAACAUUAACAAGCAUAGAAAUAAACAAAAAGCCGACUAACUACAAUGUUUUCUUUUUUUUUUCAUUUUUUCCAUUUUGUUUCAUUUUGUUUCAUUUUUUUUUCUUUUUUUCUUUUGAGUAACAAAGCAAAAAGAAAUAAUGGAAGCCACUCCCCCACGCCUAAAACCUACAUUGUCCUCAAUGUAGAAAAGACAAAUGAAGUAUUAGUAGAAAAGAAAAGAAACUUCCCUGACCACCGGGGAGGGAAAGUGAGACACUAAGGCGGAGGAGGGGAGACGGCUGCGUGCACAAUGUGGAGUGGCGGCGAUGGACGCAACACCAACAGGAAGGAGAAGACUGAAGUUUCUUUUUCGGAAGGGUUGGAAGGCGUGGGCACGCCUUAGAAGUUAUAGCCGUCUGACCGUCAAUUCCAAAACUCCAUUCCUUAGGUGUGAUGACCUAGCGUGGGCAUGCCUAGCUACCAACUUCCUGUCACAAAAUAACAAUCCACUAAAUGACACUAACACUUAACAAAAACUUCAAAAAUAUAAGAAAACUAAAACAAAAGAAGUCUUGGGUUGCCUCCCAAGCAGCGCCUUUCUUUAAUGUCUUUGGCUAGACAUCGUCAUGUUUAUUCACGGAGGAUAAAAUCGUGUAGUUCGUUUCAGUGCUUCAUCUCCUAUGUAAUCCUGAUAGCCCUCGUAGAUAGAGUAAUUCUUGACUCCACGAGCUACGGUAUUCCAUGGAUUAGUAGUUGGCGCCAAACAAAUAAGUGAUGACCUUAAAUCUUCACUCAUUCCUCCAUCAAGAGCACUUAUUGGUUCGAGAUAUUUUGCCAUCGUGACUCUUAACUCAUUCCUGUCAUGAAACUCAAAAUAUUCUGGUAUAAUAAAAUCAAUCUCACUAACAGGAAUUAAAGAAUAAAAGUCAGGAGAAUAUUGAUCAAGGAAUGGGGGAGGUGUCACCGCAUUUGGAGAUUGUUCACUGGAUUCAUCCACUUGAACAAUUUGAUAUUGGGGUUCCUUUUCUUGUACUUCAAUUCCCUUUUCAACUGCAUCUUUAGAUUCUUCUUCAUGAGACUCUUGCAGUUCCAUGUCAUUUGUCAGGAUAAUUAUACUCUCAUCUUCUUCAUGGUCGAUAAUAAUCGUUGAGGGCAAUUCUUCACAAAAUGGAGAAAUCAAUUUGCUCAUUGUAGAUGCCAAUUCACGCCUUCCAUCUUCCAUCUCUUUAAUCAACCUUUGUGUCUCCUGUUGAAAUUGACGUGUCUCCUGUUGAAUUUGAUGUGUCUCCUGUUGAAUUUGAUAUGUCUCCUGUUGAAUUUGAUAUGUGUUAGUAGCUAUUAAUUCAACUAUUUCUUCAAGAGACAUACCUGACAUGGAUGACGGACCUUGAGACUCUAGCUGUUGAAAAUCUAUUGGCUUUUGUUCAUAAUUAAAAGUGGAAUCAUCCCACCAUCCUUGCUCAUACCCGUUUGAAUAAGGGUCAUACCACGUUUGAUAUUGAGGUGAAAAAUCUCCAAAAGUAUCGAUUGGAGUACUUCGACCAUCUUGAAAUGCAGGGCAUAUGUUGGGUGAAUAAUUCGAAGCAAAAUAAGCUCCACAAUUUGCAACAGCCCAUUGAUCAUUAGAAAAAGCAUGAGUCUCAUAACCCCUUAUAAAAUUAAAAUCCAGUCUAUCACCAAAAUACGGAAUGUUAGCAGUCAUAAAAUAUAUACAAAAAAAAUAAGAGAAAAAUAAAAAAAAUGAACUAAAAAAGAAACAAAUUAAUCAAGCACCAGUCCCUGGCAACGGCGCCAAAAAUUGACAGGUGCCGAACCUGUGCAAUAAUAAAUACCUACUCAAGAAAAUUACAAAUUUUGUAUAUAGCGGUGAGUAGGGUCGAAUCCACAGGGACUGGAAAUAAUUCGUUUCUUCUAGAGUUCAGAGUAUGGGGGGGUUUUUGAUGGGAGGAAAAUAAAAAUAAAAAUAAAACAAAUAAAAUUCAAAACUAACUCACAAAGCACAAUUUACUAAAAAUAGCAAUUAAUAAAAGUUCUACCCAAAGGAUCAACUGCUCAGGCACGGUCCAAUUAAAUGAUCAUCGAUGCAAAGAUAUUUCACUCAUUCAUCACUAGGUUGGUUAUAGUUAUCAAUAAGUUCUGACAACCAGUUCUUCCUUACCUUUUCAACAGUCAAGGUACGACCAUUGACUGCUUCCCUAACUAGAUAACAACCCUAGGUACGACCGUAGAAAUUUAAUUAUCCAAUUGCAUUAAAGCUAGAAGAACCCAACCCUAACCAAUAAACACGCUAAGAGGGUUUAUUUAAGCUAGAUCUUGCGUUUCUCCAUCAUAAAACCAAUUAUGGUGGUUGCCACGAGGUGUUAACUAAAUGAACAAUUACGGAUUCUAUUUAAUUAACGUGGCAGUAGGCUAUUAAAUUAAAUCAAAUACCCGGCCGUUGAUAUUCAAUCAAUAAAAUACCCAUGAACAAUUAAUUCAGGAAACGCACGAAUAACAAUAAAUUGAGAGAAAUAAUGAAGAUUCGAUUAGAUCUCACAGAUAUUAUGGACCGCGCCUUCGCGUUAACCUUUGGGUAGAGGAGGAAAUUAGCCGCUCCUCAUCGUGUCAAUCCCGCGUGGUUUAAUUGAAAACACCCGCGCAAACAUCGCACAAUUUGAAACGCUGAAGUACCGAAGAAAGAAAAAGGAAAAAGUCUUCCUUGUCUCCGCUUUGAUGUUUGUACUGAAACCCAAAAGUAUACGCACAAGCCAACGGAAAUUGUACAAAGCCAAAGUAAAAACAAAAGAGUCAAAAGCGCCCAAACCAAGAGCGAAAACGAAAAGGGUCUCUGACGUCUGACGGCUAGGGAAAAAGAAAACUAAAGCUAUCUAAAAUCCUAAUACGUGAAUCUGGCUUUUUUUCCUUUCUAUUUGUAGCGCCGCAGGAGGUUUUCAACCAAAAAGACGUCUGGCCCAAUUAAUUGAAACAAAGGGAUUUUUGGAGUUUUAAUCCCGUGCUCCUCGCGAUUCACGUGGAUCGCAGUCCGGCUUUCGGUUUCGUCCACCUUCCAAGGCGUGGCCACGCUCUGAGACGAAGGGUCUUCUGUAAAUUUGCUUCCAGAGAUCAUUUUUAAUGCCGACCACCUAUAAUUCAUACAAAUGUGAAAUAUGAGUUAAAUUCCAAUUCUUAGCACCGUGAAUGGCCAAAAUUAUGACAAAAUAACACUGCAAAAUGUGCCAAAUAACGGCUCUAUCAGGGAAAGAUAUAUGAACAACUAAAUGUAAAUUACCACCUUAAUUGCCAUAUAUGUAUGACAAGCAUAAACACCAAGUCAACAUAUAAAUUGGGAUCACGAACUUAAGGUCUCUAUAUUUGUAAACAAAUUUAUUGGCAAUACAACAUAUCUCAUUCCCGUCUUGAACUUUUAACAUUUGGUGGGACACCAAGUCAAGACAAAGAGUUCCCACAUAUACAUUUGCACUCCAAGGCUCUGCCAUAUAUUCAGUAGAAAAACAUGAGUACUACUUGAAUGAAUGGUAAGCUUUGGAAUGAGAUUUUGACAUAAUGCUAAUGGAUUAUCUCAUAUAUAAUGGUUUUACCGUCUACUUCAAGGUGUGAUAUCUUUGAUAAACUGAAGUUUGAUCUUCUGCAAUGCUCCUAGAGCUUCUUUCAUGUUUAUUCUCUCCUCAGAAGCAUCUGUUGUACAACUUAAACCAAGUUGCAAGAUAGAUGAUAUGCAUUCAAUCUUCCUUUGUACCAAUAUAUCUUCAGGAUGACGCAAAUUUGUGUCUAUAACCUGAAUCACAGAAUCUGGUGAGCUUUCUUGUAUCCAACGCCUGAGGUUUAAUUCUUCUAUAAACAUCUCAUCCUUAGGCUUUCUUUUUGUAAAUGUCUCCAUCAAUAUAAUCCCAAAGCUGUAAACAUCACUACUUGUUGAAAUCAAUCCUUCCAGUCCAUACUCUAGCAUCAAAAAAUUUGAAACUAGUUGUUAAAGUGAAGUACCAGUUCACCAAUUUUACAAUUUUUUUUUCAAAUUUUUCAUAUUUCACAUACUGUACUAGUUGCUAAAAGUUGAAACAUUAAUUUGAAUGACAUAAAAAAUUCGAAAUUGUAAUCAAGAAAAGUCACCUGGGGCAAUAUAUCCAAAUGUACCAAGAGUCUUUGUUUGUACCACAGAUUCUUCAUCUCCCAACAACUUUGCAAUUCCAAAAUCACAAACAUGCCCAACCAUGUCUUGAUCCAGUAGAAUAUUGCUAGGCUUCAAAUCACAGUGAACUAUAGGAGUUGAAUAACCAUAAUGGAGAUAAUCCAAACCACAAGCCACAUCUAUCAUAACAUCCAAUCGUUGCUUGAUGUUUAAGAAAUGAGGGUUUGAAUGAAGCCAUUUCUCAAGGCAUCCAUUGGGCAUAUAUUCAAGCACCAAAGCCUUAAAGUCAGGGCUAGAGCAAGCACUGAUUACUUUAGUUAAAUUUCGAUGACGAAGGCAGCUUAAGACUUCACAUUCUCUAUCAAAGCUUUUAAAUGCAGAUUCUAGCUGCAAAUCGAAUACCUUUAUGGCCCAAACCAUCCCAUUUUCACGAAUUCCCUUGUAAACUGAACCAAAGCUCCCCGAACCAAGUAAGUUACUCUCGCUAAAUCCAUUUGUUAUUUGUCUAAGUUGAAGGAAGGAUGCCCUUUCAAAUGUCGCCAUGGGAAGCAAGUUCUGAGUUGGAGCUAGAGUUUUCUUUCUCAACUUUAACCGCAUCAAAAAAAUUGAAAUCACCAAGGCUAAUAUGGCAGAACCUGAUGCCAACAGAACAAUCAUGACUAUCCUUUUUGUCCUUGAUUCAUGUUGAAAUGUACUUGUACAAGUUUGGCGCCAAGGAGCGCCACACAAUGCUUCAUUUGAGAGAAAAGAUAGGUUCGUGAAAUUUGUGAAUGGCCCUCCGUGAGGAAUCGGUCCUCUCAAUCUGUUGUAAGACACAUUAAAGUAUUGGAGAUCUGAUAGUACAUGUAAUGAGUUGGGAAUUUCACCUUCUAGAUUGUUAAAAGAUAGAUCCAAAUGCCGUAACUGCAACAUAUUCUUCAUGGAAUCUGGCAUCAAUCCUUGUAGUUUGUUAUGUUCCAAGGAGAGUUCUUGCAAAUCUUGUAGUCCUCCAAUAGUGCUAGGUAUCCCACCAAAGUAUUGAUUAUUUGAAAGGUUCAAAUAGACUAAUGCCUUCAAGUUUCCAAUUUCAGCAGGCAAAGAACCUGUCAAAUAAUUUCCUGACAUGUCCAACUUCAAAAUAUCUCUAAGGCUCCAAAAGGUUGUUGGUAUCACAGAACUUAAAUUGUUAGACUUGAGAUAAACAUAUCUGAGUGCUGUAACAUUUCCUAAACAAGAAGGCACCACACCAGAAAGCUUAUUUUUUGCCAGAUAUAAUCCUUCUAAGUUCAACAAAAAACAAAGCUCAUUUGGAAUAACUCCUUGUAUCUGAUUGUCAGUUAGAUCCAUCAUCUGAAACUUCAACAACCAUUUGAUUGUAGUUGGAAUUACUCCUAUCAAACUAUUGAUGGCAAAGUCCAGCCCUAUCAAGUUGCUCAAAUUACCAAUCGAACUUGGAAUUUCACUUAUGAUUCCACAACUAGUGGCAUAAAUGGAUUCGAGUGAGCUAGAAAGAUUUCCAAUAGAUUUUGGGAGGAAGCCAUUCAGAGGAUUGUCAUCUAUCCACAACCUUCUUAAAUGUUUGCAGUUUGAUAGGGAUAUGAUGAAGCUCAACUCUUUGGAUAGCGAGUCCUCAGAAAAAUUAUUUUGCCAUAUAGCAAACUGUUCCAGUAAUCUCAAGUUUCCAAGAUAAUAAGGAAUUGCACCAGUAAAAUGGUUCAUAGCAAGGUCUAGCAUUCUGAGCCUAGAAGCAUUUGAGAUGGAUGUUAGUACAGUUCCAGUAAAUUCAUUUCCCCAAAGGUAGAGUUCCUCAAGAUUGGGUAAGAAAACACCUAUAGUUGAUGGAAGCUCGCCUGAUAAAUCAUUCUGCGCGAGAGAAAUAAUUCGUACAGUUGAACUAUUGAAAAGUUUCAGCGGGAUGGGACCUCUCAACCUAUUCAACUCCAAGUUUAGCAGUUCCAACUUGCUAAGAUUACCAAUCUCUUCAGGUAUUAUACCUGACAAAUCAAAUUGGUGAGAAAAAAAUGUGAAGAUUGUUUGUUGUCCUACUUUUAGAAUAUACAACGAGGAGUCAUAUUUUUGUAUUUACACCUAUUAAAAAAAUAUUCUUAACUGUAUCACUUUAUAGUCUAAUCAAUACGAAUAUUUGAUUUCAAUCAUGUAUACAUUAGUACAAAUACCAUUAGCACUACUAGUGAUAAAUGGCACACUCAAUUUAUGUGCAAUUUAAAAAAAUCGCUUUUUAUAUGGAAGAAAUUGGUAUAAAACUUUAAUAAAUGAAAAAACUUUGAUCUUUUAAAAGCUUUUUUAAUAUUAUUAUAAUGUUUGUGGUUGGUAAUGGGUGAAAGUUAGUUGUGGAAUUGGUUGAUGAUAAGUGUAUAUUUUGAGUGAUUUAAGUGUGUUUUAUUAUCUAUUUUUGGUAUGUUUUAUUCACUUUUAUAGCUAAUUAAUUAAGUUCCUAGUGAAGAUAUGCAUUUUAUGGUUAAAGUAUAAAAAUUGCAUUUCUAUGUAUUAAAAUGGUGAAAAUUUCAUGUUUUUGUAAGUUUAAUGAUUCAAUCAUUAAAUGGAGUAAGUUGCCAAGAUAAUUGGAUGAUUUUUAAUGAUUUGAAGUGGUUUUAAAGAUAAUAUAAAGUGCAAGCGAUGAAAUGCAAUUAAGUAUAAAAAGGAAAAAUUUCCAGCUUUGACACCUAUUGAUAUUUUAGCUAUAUCUUGAGUUACAAGUAUCGGAUUGAGGUGAUUCUUAUGCCAUUUUGAAGCUAACACAUAGUUCUGCAUUUCUUAUGCAGACAUCAAAAUCUAGUUCAUGAGUUUCAUUCUCAAAAUGUUGAAAUACAGUCAGUCAUUUCUAUUGUCAAAAGUUAAAAUAGAGUUUUGACCAUUUGAGGGUAUUUUGGUCAUUUCUCAAUUUACAGAGCUCCAAAUUGGAUGAUUCUAGAGGCAUUGGAAAGCUGACUCAAAUGAAUAAACUUUCAUGUUUUGUAUAAGAGUUAGUUCAGCCUCCAUCAUCAAGAAAAUAUCAGUGGAAGUUGGAAUAAAAAUAGAGCAAAGAUGAAGAUUGACCAGAAAUGAACAAACUUGCAAAAAAGGCAAAACGUGGGGUCGCGUUUUUAAGGUCACGUAUUAUUCAAUUGCGGCUGCAACUUACUCUGCAACUUGUGCUCUAUUUGCACAAGCUUUUUGACCAACUUUUUUGCAACAAAUCUGGUUGGAAAUGAUCAAGCAAGCAUAGAAUCUUGUAGAAGCAACUUUUGGAGAUUUCAAGAGCUAACUUUGCUAACUAGAAACAACUCAUUUGUGGCUUGAAUUUCUCUAUAAAUAGAGGCCUUGGAGAACAUUUUGAUAACUUUGGAAAGCUAAAUAUACUACAAAAAAUAUAGUUUUCACUAGUUUUUCUUAAUUCAUUAGUUUAGAUAGGUUAAUAUAGUUUUAUUCUAUCUUGUAUCAUGCUAAGCAAGGAUGAUGAUUGAGGUUUGAAGAUGGCGAAAAUGUUGCUCACAUAUGGCAAGAGUUUCAUCUCUUCAACUCUUUAACUUUUGUAUUUGAAUCUUAUGCUUAGUCAUAAUACAAGUAUGGUAUUUACUUUCCAUAUGUUUGGUUAAAGUUUAUGCCUAGAGUUAUGGAUGGCUUUCUAUAUCUUGUUAGUGAUAUUUAUUUGGUUAUUUGAUGAUAUUUUUUUCAGCAAGUUAUUUAUCACUUUUGUUUUAUCUAAUCAUAAUUAACCGGCGGUUAAUUGUGAUAAUCUUAAGGUGUUAAAUUUGCAAUGAGAAUUAGGAUUUGACACUAAUUCAAGGGAGUGAUAAACUUAGGGAAUUCACUCACGGAAGAAGAGGAGCACUUAUGUGGCUCUAGUGAUUUAAUUUACUGUAAUUUUAUAGAAAAAAUGAACUUGUAGUUAAGUUCAUAACCACAAGAGUAAGUAUGAUUUAGUUACAAGUAUAGUUGAUUUACUACGAAAGUAGGUUUUACAUACAUUAGGAAAUUAUGUCAUAACUAAUUAAGAUAAUAGUAUUCAAUUAACUGGUAGUUUCAUUUACAAGAGUAGUGAGGAAUUUCAUACCUCUAGAAGUUUUUUAUUGUUAUUUGUAUUGUUUUUACUCAUGUUUAUAGUGUAGAUUUACUUUCUUGCACUUAUGAUAAUCUGAAUAAUAAAGGAGUUCGAAAAACAUCGAUAAUUGACAUUCUUCCUUGUGGGUUUGACCCUUAAUACCCUAUACUCAAUUUCGAUCUGUAUACUUGCAGAAAAUCGCGUGUGGGAUUUUUAGAAAUUUAUAAAUGUAAAAUUUGAUUGUAAAUGAAUUAAUUAUUAUAUGUAUACCUUGCGCUCGUCAGUUGACAAUACAUAAGCAACAGGUUAAUCAGAUGAUAAAAGUAUAAUUAAGUGAUUAUGAUGAUAAUGCUGAAAAUUAGAAGUGACACAUGUGGUCCAAUUAAAUUUCACCUAUAUGCGCUCUGGUUAUUAUGUCAUCAAUUCAUUCGCAUUAAUUUGGUCUAAUACCAUUACAAAUGCAUUUUUAAAAAUUUCUUUAAGUUAUACCCGCAAAUAUAAUAAACAAUCAAGCAACAACGUAUCAUUGCUCCUACAAAUAUUCCAUCUCAACUAAUUAAUUAACCAUACGUUUACUCCUUUACAAUUAUUAAUUUAAUAAUUGAUAAUCAUUUCUCCUAUGAUUGGUUUAAUUAAUUUGCGAUCAUUUUCCUUCAACCCAUGAUUGGUUUAAUUGCCCUCGUCAACCGCUUCAACCACUAACAAGUUGCUUUUGUAACUCCCCCGAAUCUAUCCAUCAUAACAAAAGCUCCGCACUUUUAAUUCUCUCAAUCAUCUUUAUGUCCACUCAAUCUCGGCCCCACAACCCAGUCACAACCACACCUCGUUACUCUCAACCCGUACUAAGCCUCAUGUCUCCCGGUAAAAUUUACAGCUCAUGUGCCUGAUUGAAGCCACUUUGACGCCAACAAUUGUAUUUGUGUCUUCUAUGUACUAUUUUGUCGUAACCAUGUACUCCCAUGGUUCCAUUGGUUAGGCUCCUCUAAAUUAGGGUAAAAUAAAUUAUAUAAAUAUUAUUAUUGUAAUAAAAAAAUAUAUUCAUUAGUACGAACAGCUAUACAAUUUUGUAGAUUUUUUGCCUAGGUGAGCAGCAACCAAAGCAUGACAAUGGCAAAAUUUUUGUGUCCCACAUAUCUGAAGUCAAGUGCCUAAAUUUAACGAAAGAGGACGCAUCUCAACAAAUUCAAGGGUAUAAUUCAUUGACAACUUUGGAAAUGGCAAAACAUUUUGAGACAAUGUUUCAUUCACUCUUUUUAUCUCUUUGUACCCUCUCUCUAAGUGCUUCCUCAUCUUCCUAUUUCCCCAUUGUAUCAUCUGUUAGCCCCCUAUCAGUAUCUCUAUUUUUGAAGUACAAUCAAUUGGAAUUUGAAGUUGAGUUAUAGAUGUAGGCUGUAGCAUAUUGAGAUCAAGCUGAUCAAAAUCCUUUUAGCUUAUGCAGUGCGAUAGUAUGACUGACCAAUUGAGGUAUGAGAAGGAGUCCAAUUUGAUUUGUAUUUGAACUCGCUUAACUUCAAGCUCAAAUUUAAGUUUGAGAAAAGUUUUUUCAUGAUGUGAUAAUGAAAUAGAUAUCACGUCAAAAAGUUUUUUACCUGUCACAUUAGCACUCUCCAUGCCUAGUAUCUCCAAAUUAUAGAGAUUGUCAAUGGCUUUUGGAAUUUCACCUGCUCAGAAAUCACGACAUGAUGAUAAAUAUAAUUAACAGCAUGGCAUAAUUAUAUGUAUAUAAUAUAUAUACAUUUCAGAAUUCUAAGGGGCUUCAGUCAAGUUUCAAAUAGUAUCAUGUAAAUCUCUCGUAAAUAUUGGCAAAAUGACGAUUGCAUGCACUCCCAAAAAUUGGAGGUCAUUUUGGUGGCAAUCUCUAUGCAUAUGUCAAUUGAUUUUUAAAUGUACACAUAAAUUAGAAAUAAAAUUGAUAUAAAAUCUAAAUAUGCAUAUCAAAAUUAAUAGUUUUUACAUUUUCUUUCAUAGACGGUAAAGCCAUGAAGUUUCAAACGUCCAAAAAUUUUAAGGGAAAAUAACUCAAAACCCCCAUGUGGCUUGCAAAUAUACUUUAAACAUCCUUAUGCUUUGGAUUCAAAGGCAAGACAGAUGUAAUCCAUCAAAACCAAUGGUUUUGUACAAAAAGACAACUUCACCUCAUUAGUAUACAUAGUGUCAAUUCAUCCUUCUUUCACAAUUUUAUUUCUUACAUCAAACAAAAAUGUGUGUUUGGCAUAGUCAUUAAUCCCGGCCUAGACAUCAACCCGGCAAGGCCAUUGGUAUAACAGGUUAGCGUCUUAACCAUAAAUUUAUCGAUCUAGCCGGUGUUUCUAAAAUAUUGUACAAUAUAAUAUUUUAAAUACUAAAAAUAUUAUAAUUAUUAAAUUUCUGGUUGAACAGGUCAGUAUUUUAGAUUUUACGGAUUGAAUUGACGAAUUAUUGACUAGUUAAUGAUUUCCUUCAUCAUUCAGUCCAACCAGUAAUCCAAGAUCACUAAGUUGACCAAUUGAAUCAUCCGGUUAGGUGAGGUUAGGUUUAGUAAAUCUGUGUUCGCCAUGCUUUGAGUUUUUUAUUUCCUAACUUUUAUCUUUAUUUUGUUGAAAACAGAAACUUCUUUAUUCACACAAAGUUUGCACCAAUACUUAAGUAGUUAGCGAUUAUCAGCAAUCGUGUAUGUGAUGUAAAUUUUGCAUGCACUUCUGAAUUUCGUCUCAAAAUCCUUUAAAACCCAAUGAAAAUUUCUCAUUGGGUUAUGAGGGAUUUUAAACAAUUUUCAAUGGGUUACGAUGGAUUUUCAGUCUUAAUUUGUACUCUACACAGUAAACUUACAUCAAUUAGUCGUGGAUGACAAUUGCCGGCUAUAACUACUUACUUUAUAAUGUUGUUGCAAAUUUUGAUUGAUUAAGGAAGAAUAUUUUAAAGGGUUAUUAUCACUUUACCUCUUUAACGUUUAAUGUCACUAUCAAUUUUCUCCUUAACGUUAUUUUUUAGUCAUUUUAUCCCUAAGACUAACGGUCAUACUUAAUGGAAUUUAUUAAUCCAAGUGAUAAGGCAUGUUUAAUGUUUAAAAUUAUUAUCACUUUGUCCCCAUGAACUGUAAACUUAUUAUCAGUUUACCCCCUACAGACUAGAGUUAUUUUUUAGACAAUUUAUCCAACCAUUAAAUCAACUUAGCAAGUUAAAAAAUAAUAGAAAAUAGUACCCUCUUUUUUGUAUAAUAAAAACAAGGAUUAUUAUCACUUUACCCCAUUAAACUAUAUCACUACUAUCAAUUUAUCCCAUAAUAUUAUCUUUUAGUCACGUCACCCUAUAGGUAAUUUAACUCAUCAUAUUAAUAAAAUUUUAACAAAAAUACCCUUUUAUUUUAUAGCAUUGCUACAUUAUUAUUAUCACUUUAUCUCUUUAAAUUAUGGUGAUAUAAUUGUUUUACUCUCUAACAUUAUUUUCUAGAUAUUUUAUCCUAUCAUUAAUCUAAAAAGUAUGUUAAAAAAUGUUUAAAUAUAUUUACCUUUUAUAUAUAUAAUUAAAAUAAAAAAAAUUGGAAUGGUUAUUCUUCCUUUUUUUCACUUUAAGAGAUUCAAAAACAUAAAAAUAAAAGGAUUUUCUCAUAUUUAUUUUUUCACACUUAUUAAUACUAGUUAAAGAAAAGGAGAUAAGACAGAAGGAGACAAAAAAAUUAGAUUUUGCCAAAAAAGAAAAUAAGGAAGAAUCUAAUAUUAUCGUAUUACUUUAAUAUUCUCAGGAUUAGAAUUGGAAUUGGGUAGAAAAUAGAAAAAUAAAAGUAAUUUUAAAAUAAUAAAAAUAUUGAAUUCUUUCUUGUUUGUAUUAAAAAAAAAGAAUUGAGCUCUCUUUCUCUCCCUCCCUCCCUCCCCUAUUUUUCUAUUGUUUUCAAUAUUAAUAAGAUUGCCAAGAAAAAAGAGAUUAAUGUUUUGACUUUUUUUUUGUUGAUACUAAAAAUGAGAAGAGCCACUCUAAAUUUUUUAUUGUUUUUAUUAUACAAAAAAGAGAGUACUAUCUUCUAAGUUUUUUAACUUGUUAAGUUGCUUUAAUUGUGGGAUAAAUUGCAUAAAAAAUAACUCUAUGAGAUAAAUUGAUAAUAAGCUUAUAGUUUAUGGGGGUAAAAUGAUAAUAAUUUUAAAGACUAAACAUGUCUUAUCACUUAGAUUAAUAAACUCCGUUAAGUUUGACCGUUAGUUUUGGGAGUAAAAUACUCCCUCCAUCCCACUUUGAUAGUUCUAGUUUUUUUUUCACACAGUUUAAAAAAAAUAGUUAACUUUGUUGAAACAAUCAAUUUAUAAGGUAACUAUUUUCCUAAAAUACCCUCACAUUAAUUAGAGUACAACUUUAUGGGAACUUGAAUUGAUAGUAAAAAAAGAACCAACUCUCAUUAAAUGAGGUAGGUUUAUAAUAACAACAACUUACAUUGAAUAAGGGUAUUUUAGAAAAAUUAAAAUACAACUACAUUUUUCAAUUGGCAAGUGGACUACAAUUUGGGACAGACAAAAAAGGAAAACAGGACUAUCAAAAUGGGAUGGAGGAAGUAACUAAAAAAUAACGUUAAGGGGAAACUUGAUAGUAAUACCAAACGUUGAGGGAAUAAAGUGAUAAUAAGCCUAAUUUUUUUUUUUUUUUUUGACAAAAUAAAGAUGAAAAGUUGACAAAUAAAAACAUCAAAACAUUGCAAACUAACAAUUCAGUUUGAAAUAAAUAAAGAUAACGUACAGCAUGGGGCCAAAACUAGAAAUACUUUCAAGUAAGAAACAAAAUUAAGAAAAAAGGAUGAAUUUAAGUUAUGUAUGUUAAUAGUGUUGUCUUUUUGCACAGAACUGUUAGUUUGUAUGCAUUUCAUCAUCUUAGCUUUCAAUCUGAAGUACAAAGGGGUUAGCUGCGUAUUUCUAAACCGCAUGGCAGUUAGAGGUUAGAGUACCACACCCCAUGGGGUUCUUGGCUAAUGUCUCCAAUUUUUAACUAUUAUUACCUAUGUGAAAGUAUUUCAAACAUCCUCAUAUAAUCAUUGAUGAACAAAGAAUGCAAAAAGAAGGAAUCAUCGCUUAUAUCCAGUCUACUUAAACAUUAAGUUUAAGUGUUUCUCCACACAUAUGCAUCUAAACUCACAACCCUACAAGCAUUUAAAGCAAUGAUCUAUUGGUGCUCGAAAUAUACAAGAAUUUUUCAAAACAAAGUGAAGUUGGUAGCUUACCUGUCAGGUCGUUCCCACCCAAAGCUAUUUGUGUAAGCGUGGUUAGAUUCCAAACUCCUUUUGGUAUAUACCCUCUGAAUUUGUUAGAAGACAAGGAUAAAACUUGGAGUCUUGAGCAUUCUCCGAUGCCUGAUGGAAUUUCACCUUCAAAGUUAUUAAGUGAUAAGUGAAGCCCUUGAAGUUGUGGGAGAUAAUUGCAGAUGUGUGCUGGAAGGUAACCCGAUAAGCUAUUACUCGUAAAACCAAUAACUUGCAAUGAGGAGAGGUUAAACAGAGCCAGUGGCAGAGGGCCUGCAAGUUGGUUAUAUUGAAUUUCCAAAAGUUUCAAUUUCGGUAGAGCGCUGAAUUCUUCAGAAAGAUUUCCGGUAAAAAAGUUGUAACCCAACCUGAUGGUCUCUAACUUUGUGAAAUUAGAGAGCCUGCCUGAUAAUGAACCUGAAAAUCCAUUAUCUCGGAAGGAUAAGUAUCGGAGUGCAGUUAAACCUCCCAACCAUGACGGAAGUUCUCCCUCAAAAGCAUUACCGUCCAAGCUGAUGUACUUCAAUCGGCGCAGACGAGAGAGCUCGGUUGGAAGAUGUCCAUGAAAGCUGUUAUUCAUGACAUUCAACCUGACAAGAAAAGAAAGAUUUCCCAAUUGUGGAGGCAUCGUUCCCGCAAUUCCCAUGUAAGAAAGGUCAAUGGCUGCGACUCUAUGAUGACGAGCAUUACAAGUGAUACCAAUCCAGUUGCAAACAGAGGUAGAAGUGGACCAGUUGGUUGGGAUGAUCCUUUGGGGAUCGAAAAUGGCUGCUUUGAAGACAAGAAGAGCAUUCAGAUCACUAGCACUGUUGUUAUGGUUAUUGGCAAUACUUAAGCUAGCUGAGCUAGUUGUGACAAAAUGCAACACUAUGGCUCCGAGGACAAGAAAAUAAGUUCUCUGCAUUGCUUAUAGAGGUAAAUAAACUUGACGAAAGCCAAAUAAAUAUAGAACAUGAGCAUACAUUGUGACUUUGGGCAGGACUUAUAUAGGCAUAAUUGCGGUUGACUUACUUUUUUUUCCACAACGUAUUGUCGUUGUAUUUCUUUUGUAAAACUGGAUUAUCAAGUGAAGAUUUUUAGGUAAAAAUGUUGAAAAUUAGAGCUUUGGAAUUGGUAAAGUCUUACACGUGUGAAUUGGUAAAUUGCUGUUAUCAUCGUCUAUGACGAAGUGAUGAGACUUCGUCAAAUUGAAGUUCCUCAUCUGUUCACCAAGUUUCCAUUUUGAUAUGUUCCCUACUUUAUUGUUUUCUUCUUUCAGAUUGCUACAUAUUACCCUGGCAAAACAGACACUAACUGAUAGGAGAUCUAUUACUCAAUUUGGUGAAUUAAUGGCAAAACAGAAACUAACUGCAUAUUAUCGCCUUGACUCUAUCUUGAGACGUGCGGUUUUAUUUUGGCACAGUUUGAAAUUAGGCAAAAAUGCCAACUAUUGUACCCCAAAGCUGACAAGUGUGUAGCAGCUUUUUUAAGUAUAUUCUCUAUCUCUUCAUUUAGUAUUGAAGGAAUGUAACCCAACCCACCAAUUAAAUGAUAAACCUGGGAUAAAGAUGCUUUUAUAUAUAUAUCUAAAGAGCUUAUGACUACCAUAAAACACAAUGAAUUUAGAUUGAGCAAGGAUUUUCCUCAGUCAAUACUUGUCCUUAAACAGUAGUUUGUACUUGUAUAGGAAUUAGGAUUUUGUUUUCUAUCAAUUUUGUUUCUGUGCUUAUUGCACUAUAACUGUCAGGCAAUAGGAAAGACCUUAAAACCUCUUUUCUGAUCAUUGGUCCAACUCCGAUGGUUAUAUUUUUGUACUUGAAUAUGCUCUGAUGCUUUAUCAAUUAAUGUAUAUAUCAUUUCACUUCUUUUCAAAUCUUUUUCAACCUAAUCCUGAGAAUGGAAAUAAUCCUAAAAAAUCUUCUCCAAUCACUAGGCCAACCCCAUAGUUAUAUUUUUCUCCUUGAUCAUGGUUUGAUGCUUUAUCAAUUAAAUCUGAUUUUCACGUAAAAAAAUAAUAAUAAAGCUACGCUGACCCCGUUUAUUGAGAUUCUUUAAAAUAACAUCUUCACAUCUUAAUUGACAACCUGGUGCAUGCAUUUCUAUCCGUCAGUCGCCAGCAAUCACCUGUCUACGCGGGGGAGCUUUGUACGUCAACUUGGACCGGGAGUGGGUCGCAAGUGGGUUCUUUCCCAGUAGCUAUGGACAAUUUAAGGAGCUUGUCUUGAUGAAGACCACAUUCACUGAAGGUGCUUUCUUGAUGAAGACCUGCUGCCCAAUUCUCUAGGUUGAUACUGAUGUUUUGUUGUCCUUUACUUUAUUUGGUAGACUUUAUUUGGUAGGAAUAAAUGCCUACCGGGGGAAGAUUAUUAUCUCUCUUCGGACUUCGUCGGAUUAAUUCCAAAUAGUAGUAAUAAUGGUUAUGGAAAAUUCUAGAUUGCUUGUCUUGUCACUCUGACUUUGGCGUAUACUUCCUAGUCUAUUGGUGAUAAUCACGUAACAUUACAAUCACUACCCUUACCAAGACCUAUUCAACCUUGAGGAUGCUACCUAGACAAAGAACCAUGGGGUCCCAGUCUCAAAUCUACUAGGUGUGCGUAUUAGAAAAUAUACGUGCUUAUGGUUUAUAAAUGAUCCACCUUGAUGGGUUUAAUACAAUCUCGUUUGUAGGUUCUAAGUCACUAAUAACAAUGAACUAGCAAAAUAGAGGGAUAAAAAGUUGUGUAGUGUUGGCUAAAUUCACAAUUACCAAAAUACACAAGUAUUUCAGAUGGUUUACUUCUAUACUCUCAAAUUAAAUUAAUUUUUGUAUUUAUAGUAUAAGAUCUUGUUAGAUUUUACCAUUUGAUUGUAGAUUAUUACAGUCUCCUUCUCCCAAGUAUUAAAAACACGCCUAAUUACUUCCCAAAAAUUACAGAUCCUCAUUUAUCAUCCUGUCAUAUUUUUAGUUACAUUCUCAAAUUUAACCUUCUCGGUCCCUGAUUGGCCGUCGAGAUUUCCUUAGACUAGCUUUUUAUGUAUUUGCUUCAACUUUAGCUGUUGAGUGUUUUGUAGAGUAAUUGACGUAACAAGCAAUGUCAAGGUCAUAGUUAUAAAACAUGGCCCGAUCCAGCAGUCAAAUUGGUCAAUCAGGUGAGCCCGUCGUAGGAUCGGAUUGGAUCACUAAUUAGAUUGUUCUAACAAAAAAUACAUUGACUAAUUAAUGACCCGGCAAUUUAACAGGUGAAUUGGAAAAAAAUGACUGGUUGAACCGUCAGUUGAGCCACUAAUUUAAAUUUUUAUUAUUUUUAUAAUUUAAGAUACAUUAUUAUAUUAUAUAAUAUAAUUAAUAUGUAACUCACAGUUAACCAUCAAUCCGGUGGCUCGGUCAUUUCUCUGGGUCGAGUUUUGGGUUGGAUUUAUUAACUACGAUUCAAAUUUCCUUAGACUAGCUUUUUAUGUAUUUGGUUCAAAUUUCGCUGUUGAGUGUUUUGUAGAGUAAUUGAUGUUGCAAGCAAUUCCGCUGCUUUAGCAUUCUAUGUAGCAAAAUUGAAUUUUGAGUAUAACAAUGUUCCAAGAAUGAUGAAAAGGAUACUAGUCCAAGCCAAGCUAAAAUUAUUAAGUGUCUGAAAAUUUGAAGGAUAAAAGAAGAGAAGAUGUAGAGAAGUGUCCGGACCACGGGAGCGGUUUUGUGCAUUUUGCACACCGCGUAACUUUGUUUGCACACGGCGUAAUUUUGUUUGCACAACGUGUAACUUUAGAACAAGUUUUUGUGGGCUCUAUACGCGUUAUUAAAAACGAGGUACAAGAAUAAUCUAAAUCGUACAAUUUUUUUGGACCAAAUCUUAGCCGUAAAUAGCUCAGGAGCAGUCCAUCUGAUGACCGCUCCUGCCCCUCAUCCAGAAGUGUCCUAAUCCUCUAUGGGCCUGCACGAGUCUAAGGCAUUCAUUGUCUCGCUAAGACGCACCACAAUUUUGUCCGACCUUUAAGGCAUUCAGUGUGUCGAAAUACAAGUUUCGGUCAAGAACUACUCCGGUCUAAGUCCUUGGGCUCCAGAGUCAAGAAUUGGAUCUAUUCACUCAUUUCCGUGUGUUUGCUUCCAACCAAGAUGGAUGCCAGCCCAACGAAAGAAGAUAUUAGUGCAGUCUUUCUAUAUGAAAGGAAGGCAGUUGACUGGAAAUUCUUGUGUGAAUCUAGUCUGUGGUAUAAAUGGGUUAAUUAUGUUUAUCUUCUGGUUAAAUAACAAAAAAUGAACCUGUCGGUUGACCAACCUGCAUUUACCCCUCUAAGUACUGAUGGUGUUCAAACCAAACUCAUGAAAUGAAAUAAACGAAAGAAUACAGUGUUAAUCCUCAAUAUUUGGCUAGUGUGCCAAACUGUCCCUAAUGUUUCAAUUAAAACAAAUUUGGCCCCCAAAUAUGUCAUUAACAAACUUUUCUCAGUUUUAAAAUUUUCCUUAUACCCUGACUGCUAAGGUGAAGUGUCCUCGAUAUAUUUUUUUUGGGGGGGGGGGGAGGGGGGAGGUAGGGGAACCAAGCUCAAUUAGGUGUGGCUAAUUAUGCUACAAUUGGAAGUAAACAUGGAUACGGGGCACAAACGGUUGCAGGUGCAACCGUUUGUGUAGGUUGUCUUCAUUUUGCACUGCGCGUAACAUUGGUUAAACACGAUGUAACUUUUUUUUCACAGGAUGUAUUUUCACAACAGAUAGUGGUGGGCCCCACACUUGGUGCGGAAAUCGAGUUACAUGGUGUAAUCUCAGCCGCACAAAAUUUUGAGGGCAAAUCUUGGCCCUUAACCGUGCAGGGACGGUCAUACUGAUUACCGUCCCUGCCCCAAAUCCAAGUAAACAUAUAUAUCUCCAACAUUUAUAUCUCCAUGUUUAAUAACUUUAUCCGAAACAUUCAACAACUUACCAUCCUCAUCUAAAACAUUUAAAAAUAAAUAAAUAUAUAAGGAAGAGCCGAUGCUAUGAGAUUAUCAGGAUGGAAAGUUUUAAUGAUUAUGUUCUUAAAUAUUGAAUUACUGGCAUUACUCGAGUAAAUUUUACUUUAUCAAGAGAAAGAUCCUGAUAGUGAGACAAUUAUGCAUUUUAUUUGAUGGUAAUUGCUCCUAAUUUUGGCCACUUAUUAUGCAAAGUAAUGGAUUUAUACUCAUAAUUGGUAUUUGUGUCAUUUGCAGGCAAUUGGUGUCAAAAGUGGCAAAAAGGAGCAAAUUUCCAAAAGAUUAUUCAUUCCAAAACAUGCCCACGCCAGAGACCGCAGAGUGAAGUCCGAAAAGACGGAUCGCAAUACGUAUCCCUAGAAGCUUGCCACUAUUUUUGGGGAGAUGUGUUUGACGUUGUGUGGGAUUAGGAGACAUUUUCUGAGAAUAUUUUGGCAACAAAUCAAGGAGAAAAAUAAGGAAAGAUAUUCCAUAUAAAUACAAACACGUAUUUGGCUAAAGGGGGCGGCGGGGGAGAAACUUUAAAAGGAGAGCAACAAAUUAGUAGUUUUUGAUCUUUUAUCUUUUUUCUCUUCUUCUUAACGUGAGUUAGAGAUUAGCGGCUGUACUUUUUCAUCAACUAAAUUACAUUGAAGCCUCGGAUUGCAUCAUCAUCACGAGGCAAUGCUAGAUUCCUUUAUCUAGUUAAGAGAUAAUCAUGGCCCGGUUGCACGGACAAUUGUGAGAUCUUUUCAAUCUUUCUGCGCUAUUUUAAAUUCUGUGUUCGUGGGUAUUUAAUUAUUCCUUACUUUAAUAGGUUAUUAUUGUUUGGAUCUAUUGGAUUAAUGUGGCCAAUUAUUCAAUUGUCUGAAUAGUACACUGCCAAUUAAGAUGGUGGUGCGUAUCAUUUGAUCGUCUUAAAAUUAGUGGCAAACGGCACAAUUUCAUUGCCUCGCAUGUAGUUUAAUCUAUGUUGUAGGAAUAGUUAAUCUAGUUCAAAUAAACCCACAUGUGUUUUGUUAACUUGAAUUGGGUCUCUCUAAUUCUUAAUGUUGAGAAUAGAUUAAACCCUACAAGCGUCUCUAGGGUUAUCUAUUUUAGAGAAAAAUGCAAUUUUGGUACCUAAACUUUGACGCACGAGCGGUUUUAGUCCCCAAAUUUUGGACGAAAACAAAUUUGGUACCCGAACUUUCAAAUUUUGAGCACAUUAAGUACCCUUGACGAUUUUUUCCCAAAUUGUUACAGGAAAAAGCCAUGUGACUGUCACGUGUCCGGCCAAAAUGGAAUUAAAAAAGGUCAAAAAUGCAGUUUUGGUACCUAAACUUUGACGCACGAGCGGUUUUAGUCCCCAAAUUUUGGACGAAAACAAAUUUGGUACCCGAACUUUCAAAUUUUGAGCACAUUAAGUACCCUUGACGAUUUUUUCCCAAAUUAUUAUCGAAAAAAGCCAUAUGACAGUCACGUGUCCGGCCACAAUUGUAUAAAAAAAGGCCCAAAAAAUAUCAAAUGCCAUUCUAAUACUAAGUAUUAGAUUUAAGGACUAAUAGCGUAAUAAAGAAAAAAUCCAAGGACUAAAUAACAUCACAUGAGUCAACAAAACCCAAGAACCGAUACAAAUGAGCUCCAAUUCCAGUACAUUAAUCUAAGAAUCAAGUCACAAAAUUUGUCUGGAAUUGGAGCUCAUUUGUAUCGGUUCUUGGGUUUUGUUGACUCAUGUGAUGUUAUUUAGUCCUUGGAUUUUUUCUUUAUUACGCUAUUAGUCCUUAAAUUUAAUACUUAGUAUUAGAAUGGCAUUUGAUAUUUUUUGGGCCUUUUUUUAUACAAUUGUGGCCGGACACGUGACUGUCAUAUGGCUUUUUUCGAUAAUAAUUUGGGAAAAAAUCGUCAAGGGUACUUAAUGUGCUCAAAAUUUGAAAGUUCAGGUACCAAAUUUGUUUUCGUCCAAAAUUUGGGGACUAAAACCGCUCGUGCGUCAAAGUUUAGGUACCAAAACUGCAUUUUUGACCUUUUUUUAUUCCAUUUUGGUCGGACACGUGACAGUCACAUGGCUUUUUCCGGUAACAAUUUGGGAAAAAAUCGUCAAGGGUACUUAAUGUGCUCAAAAUUUGAAAGUUCGGGUACCAAAUUUGUUUUCGUCCAAAAUUUGGGGACUAAAACCGCUCGUGCGUCAAAGUUUAGGUACCAAAAUUGCAUUUUUCUCUCUAUUUUACAAGGGAGUAGUUUAAGAGCGUCUCUGGACUACCAUAUAAUUAAGGAGAGAUUGGUAGUUUGGCGGUUAUUGAAUUGCUUGAACAAAUUUACUUACGAACAUGUGAAUCAAUUCAGGUAUCUAUGAUCAAUUACGUGAGCCGGUGCUGACAUUAUUUCCUUAAUUAGGUUGUGUCAAUUAAUUGUUAAUUAUAUUCUUUAGCUACUGCACUUCUUGCGAUUGAAAAUUCAGUAACCUUACAUCUUUAAUUUGUCCUUGUAUCUCACUUCCUAAACCCCCUAAAUUAUCUGUGUGUAAUAAAUCUGUCAAUUCUCUGAGGAGACGACCCUACUCACCACUAUACUCAUUUAGUUUAGAGAGUAGGCAUUGAUAUUAAUUUUAUUGUUGGUAGUUUGACAGCCACCAAAUUAUGGCGCCGUUGUCGAGGACCUGGUUUUUGAAGUGAUUUAUUGCACAGGCUUUGUUUAGCCAAUGUUUUAUGCAUUGAUCUUCCCCUACAAGAAGACUCGAAUUUGACCCAGAAAUCGAGAAAACAGCAAGGAAGUUGACGAAGGAGACUAAGUUGCAAAAGCAACAAGCUUCAACAACACUACCCUCCGAAUUUGAACAAAAUUUUGACUUUAGUGAUUCAUCAGUUGAAGUGGAAACAGAUUUGACUGGAUCUAACGAAACAAUGGCAGCUCAAAGGAUUUUAAGGGAACUUGCAACCCCGAAUGUUAACCAACAGCCUUUGUGUAUUACGUAUCUUGACAUUGAGGAGGCUUUUGAAUUAAAAUCUGAGUUGAUUCAUUUAUUGCCUACUUUUUGUGAUGUUGCAGGCGAGGACCCGGACAAGCAUUUGAAGGAAUUUCAUGUAGUAUGUUCAACCAUGAAACCUCAGGAUGUUACAGAAGAACGAAUCAAGCUGCAUGCGUUUCCUUUUUCCUUAGCAAACAAGGCUAAGGACUGGUUGUUCUAUUGCCAUCGAACUCCAUAAUUACUUAGGAAGGACUGAAACAGCAGUUCCUUAAGAAGUUCUUCCUAGCCUCUAGGGCCGCCAACAUCAGAAAAUAAAUAUGUGGAGUUAGGCAGGCCAAUGGAGAAAUUCUCUACGAAUAUUGGGAACGAUUCAAACAACUGUGUGCUAGCUGCCCGCACCAUCAGAUCCCUGACCAAUUGUUGAUCCAAUAUUUUUAUUAGGGACUGCUACCCAUGAAUAGAAGCAUGGUCGAUGCAGCUAGUGGCGGUGCGUUGGUAAAUAAAACAACAGAUGAAACCAAACGAUUGAUCUCGAACAUGACAGAGAACUCUCAACAGUUUGAAGUCAGAUCUAAGGAAGUGACUAGAAGGGUCAAUGAGGUAAAUCAUUUUGACCUUGCAAAUAGAUUAACAGAGCUUACUAUCUUGGUUCGUCAAAUGGCUAUAGGGCAAGUACAGGCAGCUAAAGCAUGUGGGAUAUAUGCUGCUCCUGAACACAUGACCGAUAUGUGUCCAACUCUUUAAGAAGACCCCCACGAGCAAGUCAGCGCCAUGGGAGGUCUGCCUAGACCACCCCAAAGGAGAAAUGACCCGUAUGCAUCCACAUACAAUCUAGGGUGGCAGAACCACCCUAACUUUAGCUAUGCUCCAAAACUCUCGGGUUUUCAAUAACCAUUCCAGCAGAGACCUCCAGUAUAGCCACCAUCCACGUCUAAUUCAGGUAUGCCCCUUGAACAUAUGGUUAAAUCACUAGCUAAUAACACUUGUCAAAUGCAGCAGGAUUCACAGAGAUUCCAACAAGAGACUCGCGCCAGCAUUCCUAAUUUGGAAGCGCAAGUGUCACAGCUAGCGUCUUCAGUGAGCAACCUUGAGAAUAGUAAUAAAGGAAGCUACCAGCUCAAGUGAUUCCCAAUCCCAAGCAAAAUAUGAGUGCAAUUACUUUGAAAAGUGGCAAAGAAUUGCAAGAGUAUUAAAAAGCAGUAUCUAAGCAUGAUCUUGAAAAGCAAGUUGAGGAAGAAACAAUGAAAUCUCUAACUCAAUCCCUUCCAAGGAAAGAGCCCAGAGAUGAACCCCCAAUAGUAGUAACACCUCCUCCAUUUUUCAGUCAAUAUGCAAAAUCCAGGAAAGAGGAGCAAGAGCAAGAAGUUUUGACAUUUUUCGCAAAGUUGAGGUAAAUAUUCCCCUUGUUGAUGCCAUUAAACAAAUUCCUUGAUAUGCAAAAUUUCUUAAAGAAUUGUGCACCACUAAGAAAAAGUUGAAGGGUUUUGAAAAGAUUUAUAUGGAAGAAAAUGUUUCAAUGGUCCUACAACAGAAAUUGCCUCCUAAACAUAAGGAUCCAGGUACGUUUACUAUUCCUUGCAAAAUAAGGAAUGUUAAGGUCGAAAAAGCAUUGAUAGAUUUAGGAGCUGCAAUAAAUAUUAUGCCUCGUUCCAUUUAUAAUUCUCUGAAUCUUGGACCAUUAAAAGAAACGAGUAUCAUUAUACAACUUGUUGAUAUGUCUAAUGCAUAUCCUGAUGGGAUAUUGGAGGAUAUUCCAGUUCAACUUGAUAAAUUGGUUUUUCCUGCAGAUUUCUAUGUGUUAGAUAUAGAUGAUGAUUUUUUUGUUUCACCCCCAAUUUUGUUAGGCAGGCCAUUUUUAAUGACAUCUAAAAUAAAAAUUGAUGUUUAUUCAGGAACCUUGAUAAUGGAAUUUGAUGGUGAAAUAAUAAAAUUCAAUAUUUGUGAUGCCAUUAAAUGUUUUAGUGAGGCACAUUCUGUUUUUGUUAUAGAUAUAAUUGACCAUUUCAUGCAGCAAAAGUUUGAAUUAAAUGAUAGAAAUGCGUUGAAGGUUGUAAUCAAUUGGAAUUUUGAUUCGCACAAGAUGUCAAAAGUUAUAAAGAAAUUCGAGUUACAUCCAGAUUGAGCGCGUAGUAUUGUCUAGCCAAAAACUUUAAAGAAGGUGCUACUUGGGAGGCAACCCAAGAAUUUUAAUUUUUAGAUAUUUUGUGUUUUUAUUUCAUAUUUUUGUGUUCAAGAUCAGAUUGUUUUGGAUUCCUAUUGACAAAAAAUCUUUAUUGUAGGUCUUUGGUGUGUUCUGUGACAUUUUACUGGGAUUAGAUGUCAAAAUUUUUAGGCAGAAGACUUUCUGUUAUAAAACGUGCCCAUGCCUUAUGAUUAAAUGCAAUUGGUGCUUUUAAAAUUUGAUGAACAAAAUACUAUAGGUUCCAAGGCGUGCCCACACCUCACAGAAAAUCUCAUAGGUACCGUUACAAAGAACGUGCAGACGACUUACGCUUCUUAAGCGUGCCCACGCCUUCCAACCAUUACAAGAAAGAAAAAAAGAGAGGGAGAAAAAAAUAAAUAAGAAUAAAUAAUGAAUAGAAAAAUUCACUCCAAAACCCUACUUUUCUCUUCUUUUCUUUUUCUUUUCUUUUCCUUUUCUCCUUCUUUCUUCCCCGAUCAUCCUCCUCCCACUGCCGCCGCUGCUCGCUUCCUCCUUACGCACAUCGAUUGCCGCGGCUGCCGCCUCAACCCCGAAUUCCUCCCAUUGCUCCCACUACAGUGGCUGGUCAGGCAGGUCCGUCCUCCUCCAAUGCUCCAUUCUCUUGGGACGUCCAAUUUCAUGCCCUGCAGGACUCUAUUCAUGAGUUGGGCAACCGGAUUGAGCGUCUGGAUGACCGUAUCACAGUCUUGCAAGUCCAUUCUUCCAUUCUGACAUAAAAUCUGGCAGCCUUCUUGGCCCAUGUUGACUUUCAGCCGCCUUAUCCUCCUCCGCCAUAGUGCUUUCGUUGCAUUCUUUCGACGUUCAAGGAAGUUCUAGCUACUUUUUAUAUGAUUUCUAUUUUUUUUCUUUGCUACAUUGAGAACAAUGUAGGUUUCUGGUAUGGAGAAGUAGUUCUAGCUCUUUACAUUGAAAAAAAUAAAUAAAUAUAUAUAUGAUGAAUUCGUUUGGUUACAGUUGAAAAUUGAUAAAACUUCACGCUAUGAUAAUGCGUUCAAUUACUCUACAAGCAUGAGUAGUGAUAUUAUGUGGGUUAAAUAUCUUGUCUUCUUAAUAAUGGAAUUGAAUAAUAAAUUUUGCAAGACUUGACAAUUAGUAACCAUUUUGUGAGCUAUCGAGCUAAUGAGCAUUGCAUUAAUAACUGCUAUAUUUUCUUUCAUUGAGUGAUACCACACAUAAUUUGAUUGUUCUAGAACUUGUUUUGUUAUGCAUAUCAAGAUCACAUUCUUGAAUUUGAUGCAUUAGAAUGAUAAGGGCACUUAGGUUAAUCAUUUUUGUGCUUUCUAAAAACCGACCCUAAUCAGAUCUCCCCUAAUUGACCAUGGUUGAAUUUAGACCUUUUCUUUGUUUAAUAGUUCAUUUUGUUACCCCUAAAUUCAUUGUGUUCGAACCUUCUUUGUUUUUAUCCCGUGUCAAAUGAAUGUCUUGAUUCUAGUGCGUGAUGAUUUCGAAUUGUAAUAAAAGGGGGUGAUUGAAGCUUAGCAAGUGUGUCUAUAUUUUCAUGUAGUUGUGCGUAUUUGAAAAAAAAAACAAAGGAAAGAAGAAGGAGAAAGAAAAGAAAAGAAGCACACCCAGAAUGGAAAAAAAAAAGUGAAGAGAAAAAAAAAUAAAAGAGAGAAAACAAAGAAAAAAGGAAAAAAAAAAGAGUUACGAAGUGCUAUUGUCAAUAUGUGUUAUGUUGAGACAGUUGGAUGAAACCCUUGGUUGUGCUUGCACUUGCUAAUUUUUGGAAAAAUUUAUAGGUAUGCUUUGGAAAGAUUGUUGGAAUGAAGAAGGAAAUUGAAAGUCAUGCAACGGGUCAAUGGUAUUUCCUUUGACAUAACGAGCUUAAAUUACUUAUUUGAUCCAACCCAUGCUUGAGCCCCAUUACAACCUGCAUCAAGACCCUUUGAUUUUUGCAUUAAAUUUGGUUUUAGUGGUGGCGAUGUGAUAUAUUAACAAGCAUAUGGUAACGUUAUUUUAUCGUGUGGUGAGAGUGAUCCUUUGUGUCUCAUGUCGGAGUGAUGAGUAGUCAUAUACCAUUCUAUAAGAGAGCAUUAAAUCUUGAAAUGAAUUUGAUGACAUUGUUAGGAGGAUGGGACACUUGUGCUCGCAUGUUGGACUGUCACGUGUGUGUAGCUGUAAUUGUAUAGUUGAGUUUUGAGAUGCUUGAGGACAAGCAUUGUCUUCGUGUAGGGGGAUUUGAUAGUGAAACAAUUGUGCAUUUUAUUUGAUGAUAUUUGCUCUUAAUUUUGGCCACUUGUUAUGCAAAGUAAUGGGUUUCUACUCAUUAUUGAUAUUUGUGUCAUUUGCAGGCAAUUGGUGUCAAAAGUGACAAAAAGGAGCAAAUUUUCAGAAGAUUAUUCAUUCCAAAACGUACCCACGCCAGAGAUCGUAGAGUGAAGUCCGAAAAGACGGACAGCGGUACUUACACUUGGAAGCUUGCCACUAUUUUUGGGGAGAUGUGUUUGACGUUGCGUGGGAUUAAGAGACAUCUUCAGAGAAUAUUUUGACAACAAAUCAAGGAGAAAAAUAAGGGAAGAUAUCCCAUAUAAAUACAAACACGUAUUUGGUUAAAAGGGGCGGCGGCGGAGAAACUUUAAAAAUGAGAGCAACAGACUAGUAGGUUUUGAUCUUUUUUCUUUUUUCUCUUCUUCUUAACAUGAGUUAGAGAUUAGCGGCUGUACUUUUUUAUCAACUAAAUUACAAUGAAGCCUCGGAUUGCAUUAUCGUCAUGAGACAAGGUUAGAUUCCUUUGUCUAGCUAAGGGAUAAUCAAGGCCCGGUUGCACGGACAAUUGUGAGAUCUUUUCAAUCUUUCUGCGCUAUUUUAAAUUCUGCGUUCGUGGGUAUUUGAUUAUUCCUUGUUUUAAUAGGUUAUUAUUAUUUGGAUCUAUUGAAUUAAUGUGGCCAGUUAUUCAAUUGUCUGAAUAGUACACUGCCAAUUAAGACGGUGGUGCGUAUCACUUGAUCGUCUUAACAUUAGUGGCAAACGGCACAAUUUCAUUGUCUCACAAGUAGUUUAAUCUGUGUCGUAGGAAUAAUCAAUCUAGUUUAAAUGAACCCAUAUAUGUAUUUGUUAACUAGAAUUGGGUCUCUCUAUUUUCUAAAGUUUAUAAUAGAUUAAACCCUACGAACGUCUCUGGAUUUAUCUAUUUUACAAGGGAGUAGUUUAAGAGCGUCUCUAGAAUACCAUAUAAUUAAGGAGAGAUUGGUAGUUUAACGGUUGUUGAAUUGCUUGAACCAAUUUACUUACGAACGUGUGAAUCAAUUCAGGUAUUUAUGAUCAAUUGCGUGAGCCAUUGAUGACAUUAUUUCUUUAACUAGGCUGUAUCAAUUAAUUGUUAAUUAUAUUCUUUAGUUACUGCACUUCUUGUGAUUGAAAAUUCAGUAACCUUACAUCUUUAAUUUGUCCUUGUAUCUCACUUCCUAAAACCUCAAAUUAUCUGUGUGUAAUAAAUCUGUCAGUUCCCUGAGAAGACGACCCUGCUCACUACUAUACUCAUUUAGUUUAGAGAGUAUGCAUUGAUAUUAAUUUUAUUUUUGAUAGUUUGACAGUCACCAAAUUCUUAUAUUCUUUUGACUUGUAGUACCUUGAUUAGAUAGGAGAGAGCUCCACUUAAAGCCAAAUAUGCACCUAGUGCUAAACCUAGAUGGCUACUAUUGUCUAGUUUGUACGUUACUCGAGUAAGCAUCCUCUACGCAAAAUAGGAGAGAAUUAUUGACUUCGAAGUCUGAAGCGUUAUUCCUACGGCGGUGCCCCAUGGCCGUAUCUUUUUCCCCAUGGUCUGGAGCCCAAAUUGGACAGCACCUUCUCCUCAGUUAGUCUUAAAAGGAAGGGUAAAUUACAUUUUACCCCCCUGUGGUUUACCCUUUUUUUACAUAACCCCCUAUGGUUUCAAAAGCUAAACAUAACCCCCCCAUGGUUUGGAUUAAGUGUCAAAGUAACGGAAAUAGUCACUCGUAAUGGAAUUUCUAAAAAUGUCAAAAUUACCCUUAUAAAUGCAUGACACAUUAACCCCGUACGAUUUUUAUAUUUUACCAUAUAACCCCCUUAUGGUUUAAUAUUUUACCAUAUAACCCCCUUAUGAUUUUCAAAAUAUACACAUAACCCACCUUGGUUAAUACAUAAAUUUCAACUUUACAUAAGGGUAAUUUUGACAUUUUAGGUGACGCCGUUAUGAAUGAUCAUUCCCGUCACUUUGACACUUUAAUCCAAGUCAUAAGGGGGUUAUGUAUAGCUUUUGAAAUUAUAGGGGGGUUAUGUAAAAAAAUGCUAAACCACAGGGGGUAAAGUGAAAUUUGCCCUAAAAGGAAUUCAACCUAUGCAACCAACUUGGUUUAAUUCGUACAGGGUAUUCAUCAGCUUAGAUCACAAUUAAUUGAUAUGCAAUAAUCCUUGGAUUAAAUAAUUAAUCAUAGGCGAUUCAAGAUAUUUCGCUGUGAUGGUGCCAAAGUCUUUUAUUUUCGACAAAAGACUUCAACAGUAAUCCUAAGGACUUAAAAACGCGGAACAUGUAGGCCAUAACAGGACCUGAGCUAAGUUUAUGAUAAAUGCAUUCAGGUUAAUUAGACUACACCAGAGCCAUUUUCAUUAUGUUUAUUUCUAUUUUAGAUUUAGAAGAUGAGUGAAGGAUGAAGCAAUGAAAUGAAGGUGGAUAAAGAGAAUCAAAUUCUACCUAAGACUGGAAUGUACUGUCAAAGAAUUAAUAAGUGGAUAAUGAACCAAUUGUUAAAUUCAAAGCUAGGGAUUGACAUUAUUAGAAUAAUUGUUAUGACACCUUUUAUAAUUUGACGUAUGUGAAAUAAAAUGGUGGUUAGAAUGAUAGAAAGAUAAUUAAAAAAUGUAUUUGUGAUCCACAUAAAAUUUUUUUUCCAAAUAAUAAAGCAACCGCCAUAUUAAUUUGCGCAAAUACGAUCUAACAUGCAUGAUAGGAAUAUGUAGGGCUUGUUUGGCAAAUGAGUUUUUGGCUAAAUUUGUCUCUUAUCAAUUUUUUAACAACUUUAACUAGAAUAACCUAAAAAAAGUUCUCAAAAUUUUUAAGCUAUGCACUUUAUAAUACCAAAACACACCAAAAAAUUUUCCUUUCUCCUUUUUUCUUCUUCCUCCCCCACCUCAACCCACACCACCUUCGCCGCCGGCCUGCAACUUUUCCGGUGUCGACGGAAAUUUUUUUUCCUUUCUCUUCUCCCUGUCCCUUUCCCUCUCCUCCUCCCCUUACCACUCCCCUCCCCCACCUUCCCUUCUCCCUCCUCCUCCCCUUUCCCGGUCGCGCGACCAGAUGCUAUGCCUAUACGUAGUCCACUUAUCUUUUGCAUUGAUGGAUUGGGGCAUAACCAAUUUAGUUGCAGCAAAGUGGCCUAAAAUUGUAGUAAUGUGAUUAAUAUUAUAAAAGAAUUUGUUAUAUAAUUUUUUUAUUAGAUACUCAAUCAACACUCAUUAAUAUGUCUAAAUUCUUUAAUAGGUUAGAGAGACCGCUAAAAAAGAAAAAAAAUCAGUAAAUUCUUCAGAACGCAAAACAGGUGAUCAUGGUUUGCGUUUAGAGAGAAUUGUAAUUUUAGUCCCCAAUCUAUAGUACGUGCAUAUAAUCAGUCCCCAAUCUAUUUUGUAGAUCAAUUUUGGUCUCCAAUCUAUUCAAUUUUGCGUGAAAGUGGAUAAUUGAUGGAAUUUCUUCAAUUUCAGCCGGAACCAAGUCACGUGAGGACUCUUAAAACCCCUUUUUCAAUUUUUUUAAUCUUUGAAAUGCGGUUUUUAAUAUUUUCAGCUUUAUCUUGCCUUUUGUUUUUAUUAAACAAAGACAUAAAAGGUUAAAGUUCAAAUAAGAGGACAUCCUUAAGAUUCCCAAGUUACAGGUUCACCUAGCACAGUAACUGGUGCAUGUACAAAAUGGCUCUCUACUUUAUAAUAGUCCUCUUUAGCAGCUGAAAGAUAAGACCUGACACGCAAUCACUUUUAGGAAGUUUUUGUACAUUGAUGCAUUAUCAAAAGUUCGUAAUUUUAACUGUAAAGCAAUUAAUCCGUGUAAUUAUCCAGGAAUUGUAUGUCAAAUGUUCAUGCCAAGUUUAAUUUGGUUCACUUUUUGGUGAUGGAUCACAUUCGCUUCUAUAUUCUGCUUCAGCUAAAGAGACAUCUUCUGCUUCACCACGUUGCUUAGUGGCUCAUGGCCUAUGGUUAUGCUUUUCUUUUUUGUUUCUUUUUCUAAUAUUAGUUAAAAAUAAUGAAUUAAUUAUUCUAAGUAGUAUUUUUGUUGUUGCCUCUUUGGGGGAUUGGUAGCUUGGCAAAUAAGUAAAUGCAAUCUUGUAGUAUUUACAAGCUGAUCUGAUUGAAUCGACGAAGCAAUCUACUUAAAGAUUAAGUCGAAAAAAAUGAAAGGUUGAUUGAGAAUAUUUAUCCGUUUGACAAUUUAGAAACCGCGCAUAUUAAUAUACAGUCACAUAAGAGUGUGGGUUGAGCUUAACACAUUCGUCACUAAUGGCCACAUAAAUAUAAAGAAGGCACUAACUUGAGCUAACUCUUUCUUUGGGAAUUAAACCAUCUAAUACCUCUUAGCAUGAGUGACAUUCGGUUCUAUAUUCUGCUUCAGCUAAAGAGGCAUCAACUUAUAGCUAGUUUUCUGGCAAUCCAAUAAAUUUACUCUUUAUUUCAGCUAAAGAGGCAUCAACAAAAUGGCUCUCUACUUUAUAACAGCUCUCUUUAUCAGCUGAAAGAUAAGACCUGACAUGCAGUCACUUUUAGGGAGUUUUUGUACAUUGAUGCAUUAUCAAAAGUUCGUAAUUUUAACUGUAAAGCAAUUAAUCCGUGUAAUUAUCCAGGAAUUGUAUGUCAAAUGUUCAUGCCAGGUUUAAUUUGGUUCACUUUGUGGUGCUGGAUCACAUUUGGUUCUAUAUUCUGCUUCAGCUAAAGAAGCAUCAACUUAUAGCUAGUUUUCUGGGAAUCCAAAUUCAUUAACCUUGGUGAAUAACUGGUUGUUGCCUUCUACUCUUCAUUUUUUGUUAGAGAUUUCUUGUAAGUUAGAAGCAUUGGAUGCAUUAUUAGAAGUUUAGCCAAUUUGUAGUCAUGGCCUUCCCCUUGGGAUUGCCCCAACUUAGUACCUUAAGGUUCAUAUUUGGCACAUGUUUGACAGGGCGUCAAACCUGUGCAAUAAUAAUAAUAAUAAUAUAGAACCUAGCUACCACUAAAAACAGUCAAUAAUUAAUCCUAGGUACUGGAGCAGGGACUCUAGGUGUGCAAUAGGUUACUUGAUUCACCCUGUUCCCGAAGAGUUUGCUUAACCCGAUAUACCAGAAUUAAUUAGUUGACAAAAAUUACUAAAUAGUAGACAGUGGCAAGUAGGGUCGUCUCCUCAGGGACUGGAGAUAUCUGUCUCUUUUAAAGUCCAAUUGAUAAGGGGGGAUUUCACCGGAAUGAAACUAAAAAUAAUUAAACAAUUUAACUAAAAAUGAAUGAAUAACUAGCACAAAUAUAGCAGGAAUUUAAUCAGGAAUAAAUAAAUUCUAGCCAAGGAUGCAACUACUCAGGCACAGUCCAUUUAUCCGAUCAUUGAUGCAGGAGAGGUUCACUUAAUUUAUUAAUAGGCUAGUUAUAGCCAUCGAUGAACUCUAAUGACCAAUUUUUCCUUAAUUUAUAGAUGACCAAGGUACGACCAUUAAUCACCCCUAACCAGAAAAGUACUCCUAGGUACGACCGUAGGAAUUAAUUUUCCAAUUGCAUUAAUAACCAGAAAAACCUAGCCCUAAUCAAUAACACGCUACGAGGGUUAUUUAAAUUAGAUUGCACGUUCCCCUAAUGUGUAAACACACCAGUUGCCACUAAUAUUAAUCAAUCAAAUAAUUACGGAUUUAAUUGACUAAAUUGGCACGAGAUUAAUAAAUCACAUUGAACAUCGGGCCCUUGACAUCCAAUUAAUAAAAUAAUCCCAUGAAAAUUCAAGCAGACAACGUGCAAAUAUUAAUAAAUAACGGAACACGUGAAAACUAAUUAGAUCUCACAGAUUUUCGGGACUGCGCCGUCGAGUUGACCCUUGACUAGAUGGAAGACUUAGCCACGCCGCAUAAUUAAAUCACCACACGAAUUAAUAAGUUGCAAAGGCAUUGCGUUUUCUAUUAGGAAGUAAGGAAUAAAAGGUGUUUUUCCCGUUGGGGAAUAUUAUCGAACACCUGGCGUGUGUCAGAGGCCAAUCAGGAGAAAGAAAGAAAAACUAAAGACUAGGCUAAAAACUAAACUAAAAGGUGGUCUACGAGCUCCUGUACGUCUCUUUUCUUUUUAAAGCCAAAAGAAAGAUGCCUAGUCUUCUCUCCAGUGGUCCCCACCCAAUUGGUAGUCAAAGCUACCCAAAAGAAAACCUGCCGAUUUUACUUCCAUGUUUUUCAUCUCUGUACGUUCCUUUCUCCUUAAGAGCCAAAUGACCAAUGCUAUUCCGUGGGCCUCCACCGAAUUGAGAAGAUGAAUUACCAAAGAUAGGCUCUGUGGAAUUGACUCUUGUCUCCUAUUGCUAGUAGGACCAUUUGGUAAUUUUCUGCUUCACUCCUGAAAUUGAUUCCAAAUACCAAGUAUAAGUAAAUAUCUGCAAUUAACACAAUAUUUAUCAGGGAUAAAAGGGGAAAUAAAUAAUAAAAUUACUAACAAAUUAUACUCUAUCAAUUCCCCCCACACCUGAAUCAUGCUUGCCCUCAAGCAUAAUUAUCCCAGAAGUACAAUCAAGAUACGAAGUAAUUUACAGCAGUUCAUACCAGAAACGGCACUCCAAAUUCCCCAAUAACUUCAUCGAAAUCAAAAUAUACCAAAUCAACAAUGCUCACAGUUCAAAGUGCACUCAUUCACUCCGAAGUGUAUAGGAUAUAUAUAUAUAUAAGAUGGCUCUCAAAUCAACACAAUAGAAUGACACUACCAUAAACUUGCUCAUAUAUCAUAUCUCCACCACUUACUUAUGAAUUUAAAUGCAGCAAUCAAGGGACUUUGCAAGGUUGUAAUGGGGCUAGGGUGAGAAGGUAGGAUAAAAAGGAAUCAAAAGGGUGUAAAGGUAUAAAGAAAGUGCUCAGAAACUCACUACUCAGAUUCUUGCACAUUGGGAACUUCAAGGCAGCUCAACCAUCACACGAGUAGAGUAAAUUGGCACUUGCCACGACCUUCGACUUUUCCUUUCUCCUCUUUUUUUCUAUAUUUUUUUUUCUUUUCUUUUUUUUUCUUUUUUUUUUUCAACAACUCCCAACCAGCACCAUAAGAAUCAACUUUACUCGUUGCUUUCUUGCAUUUUGCCUUCUUUCCACCUCUUUUUUUUUUCUUUCUCUUUUUGUGGUUUUUUUUUUUUUUAGAUUGCAAUGCCUCUCAGAUACUAUUCCACAAUUCUGUAUAAUGAAAUCAAAGCACUUCUUCACACGAAGUUCAGAAAAAAAGUCUAAAAAGAGGUUUCACGGCUAAAAGCUGGGGUCUCAAGCAAAGAAUAGGGGUUAAGGCUCAACUUGGCUCCCUAAUGGUAAUAAACAAUCCAAGGGUCGAUUUUAAGAAAGUCCAAAAAUGGCUCAUUCCUAGGUGCCCUAUCAUUUCAACGCAUUAAACUCAUAUAAAUGCAGCAUUGACAUGCAUAACCGAGCAAGUUCUAGAAUGACAAACCAUGUGCAAUAAUCACUCAAACAAACGAAAAAUUAGGCCCAAAAAUCGCACAAGUGAUCAAAUUUAUGUCAAGUUCAGCAUAUUAAUCAAUCAAUUCAGUAUCAAGGAAAGUAUAACACCCCAUGGCAUGAACUUACUAUGUACGCUCAUAUCUCAAUUUGCAUUCAUCAUCGUUUAAAGAAAGGAACUACUAAGGCAAGGAAAAACUUAAUCAGACAACUAAAAACACAACCAAAGCAUAGUCAACCCUCCCCCACACCUAAACCUUACAUUGCCCUCAAUGUAAGCAAAGGAAGAUCACAACAGAGGUACUGGGGCAACGACACUUCCCUUAAACGGAGGAGGGCAGAAAUAAAUCACGGUUGUGGAGGGAAAGGCGGGCGGAAGCCCACGUGAUGGAGAUACCGCGCUAAAUUGUGGGCCAUCCCGCCCAUUUGACGCUCCAUCCGAUCCAUACGAGUGUCCAUGUGCUGCAUCUGGAACCGAAGAGCUGCAAGCUGGCUAUCGACGGAGGAAGAUGGUGGAGGUGCCGAAGAGGAUGGUCCGGGGGCAUCCGUAGAAGGACCACCAGCCUCCGGGUCAGUGGUUUUGGAAGCUCUGUGCUUUGGAGGAACGGAGAUUGGCCCCGGGGGAGCAAACUGAAAAACGCCGGCCACCUGUCUCACAAGACCCAUUUUUUCCAAACAAACCAAAUCGAGGGGUUCCAUAGUACAAGCACGAUGCAAGUUAUGAUUAUUUAAGUCCAAAACUCCAAGAUUUACAGCCAACUGAGUGAUAAAUGAGCCUAAGAUUAAUGGCUUAUUUUUCUUACUUAGCACAGUUCGGAGGUGGAGGGCAAACCAGCUACCCAAAUUGAGGGGGCAGUCGAGGGGGCAGGUCCCCCUAAGGGAACUGUAGGCUGAGGGGUGGAGGUGGAUGGCUUGUUCUUGCCUUUAGUUUUUGGUUUGGUCAUUUGGUCUAAUGGAUAGGACAGAGGCAAGGCAAAUGUGCACAAAAGAGGUCAACAGGCAGCUGAUUCAGUAAAAGGUCCCAAUCACAGCUUCCAAUCACAGACAAGUGCACACCAAACAAUAAAAUUACCCCAAAAGCUAAUUAGCACUGUGAGCAGCAAAAUUUUCCCAGAAUACUACCAAAUUGACCCAAAAAGUAAUUAAUCAAAUAAACAGAGCAAAAAUCCCCCCCAAAAACUAAAUAAACAGGCAACUAGAGCAAAAUUUUUCUCCCAAUAUCACUGGUUGAGCACAAAAUUUACCAAACAAUUAACAAUCCACCACAGAUAUAUCACAGCACCCAAACAAGCACAAAAUAUCUGUCCUCAACUAGCAAAUCAAAAAUCUGGCCUCAGCUACGAAACAUCAACUAAUAAAGAAGUAAUAAUCUGGCCUCAGCUAAUUAGUGACAUAAAAAUAAAGAAAGAAAUCACCGGAGUGUUUGGCUGGCCGUGGGUGAAAUGGAGAGCAGGGUAGGACCUAGUACGCGCGUGUGUCGCACGCACUCUGGCAAGCACGCGGAGGCUGAGUUGCUGCUCUGCCACUCUUGUUGCGCGAGGAGGCUCGGCUGAGGCUGGGCGCGGCAGGCGCAGCAGGUCGUGGCUGCGGAUCGUGCGGCGCGCGGCAUGCUGUGCGCCUGGCUGCUGGGCGCGCAGGAGGGGAGCUGCUGGCGCGGGGAUUGCGAGCUACGCUCGCGCGAGGCUGGGCACUGGGUUGCAGGCUCACGGCAGCCUGCGGAUGGCUGUUGCGGCUGGUGCGGCUGGUGCGAGUGCUGCUUGCGAGGGGGGUCGCGCGAGGAGGGGCGCGCGGAAUGGUGGAGAUCGAGCGGCGGGCGGCGAUCAGCGAGGAAUGGCGGCGUGCGGCGCGGUGUGGAGCAGCGGCGGACCAAGCAAAAGAAGGGAAAGAAGAAAAGGAAGAAAAGAAGGAAGAAGAAAGAAAGAAAAAGAAAAGAAAGAAGAAGAAGAAAAGAGUAGGGUUCCGUGUCUUUUUUUUUCAUUUUUUUAAAUAUAUUUUUAUAUAUAUAUAUUUUCUUUUUCUUUUUUUUUUAAUACAAAGAAACCCAGUCUUAGGCGCGGGCAUGCCUAACCGCUCCUUCUUCUUUUGACCAUCCGGCGCAAAUUCUCGAUUCGUUAGCGUGACCACCUAGCGUGGGCACGUCUAACUGCUAUGGAGUCCGCAGAUCCUGAACGAAAAUUUCUUUCCCUCAGUGUGACCACCUGGCGUGGGCACGUUUAACUGCUAUGGAGUCCGCAAAUCCUGAACGAAAAUUUCUUUCCCUCAAGCGUGACCACCUGGCGUGGGCACGUCUAACUACUAAUUUCCUGCCACCAAACAUCAAACUAUUAAUUGACACUAACACUUAACUAAAACUUCAAAAAUGCAUGAAAAUUGAAACAAAUAGUCUUGGGUUGCCUCCUAAAAGCGCCUUUCUUUAACGUUUUUGCCUAGACGUUGUCCAAAACUUUGCUUAAACUAAGCUAAUCGAGUCCUCCAAGUGCAUCAUCUCCACCCGUUCAGUUGGAACCCCUUCAUAAUACGGCUUGAGACGAUGACCAUUCACUACAAAUUUCUUCUCAGUCUUCAAACUUCGGAUCUCUACUGCACCAUAAUGAAAGACAUUAGUCACCACAAAAGGACCAAUCCAACGAGAACGUAAUUUACCUGGAUAUAACUUCAAUUUGAAGUGGUACAGUAGAACUUUUUGCCCACACUCGAAUGUCUUCCUUGAGAUCUUUUGGUCAUGAAAAAUCUUAUUUCUCUCCUUAUAAAUUUCCGCAUUCUCAUAGGCUUCAUUGCGAAUCUCCUCCAACUCCUGUAACUGUAACUUCCUUUGAAUUCCGCUCUCCUCAAUAUCCAUAUUGCAUUGUUUUACCGCUCAAAAUGCUCUAUGCUCGAACUCCACUGGAAGAUGGCAAGGCUUACCAAAUACCAACCUAUAGGGAGACAUCCCUAUAGGCGUCUUGUAAGCGGUCCUGUAUGCCCACAAAGCAUCUUCCAACCUUGAACUCCAGUCCUUCCUAUCAGGGCCGACCAUCUUUUUCAAAAUAGACUUUAUUUCCCUAUUCGAGACUUCAGCCUGGCCAUUGGUCUGUGGAUGGUAGGAAGUGGAAACCUUAUGAAGUAUACCAUAUCUCCUGAACAAAGCAGCAAUUGUCUUGUUGCAAAAAUGCGUCCCUCUAUCAUUCACAACUGCCCGUGGCAUUCCAAAUCACACAAAAAUGUUAGACUUUAUGAAAUAUGCAACCACCUUAGAAUCAUUAGUGCGGGUGACUUUUGCUUCCACCCACUUCGAGACAUAAUCCACUGCUAGUAAAAUGUAUAAAAAUUCACAAGAAUUUGGAAAGGGACCCAUGAAAUCUAUACCCCAAGUAUCAAAAAUUUCAAUGAAAAGUAUGGGCACCUGUGGCAAUUGAUCCCUUCGGGAUAAAUUGCCUACCAUCUGACAUUUAUCACAUGCCUUACAAAACAAGUAAGCAUCCUUAAAUAAGGUAGGUCAAUAAAAUCCACUUUCCAACACUUUUCUAGCAGUCCGUUUAGGUCCAAAAUGACCCCCACAUGCAAAAGAGUGACAGAAAGUCAAUAUAGAUUGGAAUUCACCUUCACUUACACAUCGCCUCAUUAUUUGGUCAGCACCUUGUUUCCACAGAUUGGGAUCAUCCCAGACAUAGUACUUUGCAUCGCUUUUUAGUUUGUCCCUUUUUGCCUUGGGGCAACCUGCGGGCAAUUUGUCAGUAACCAAAUAAUUCACAAUAUCUGCAAACCAAGGAGGGGAUGAAUUAAUAGAAAGUAAAUGCUCUUCAGGAAAAGACUCCCUUAAUGGUAAUUCUUCCUCCGUUACCAGUAUUCGACUUAGGUGGUCAGCUACUAGAUUCUCCGCUCCUUUUUUGUCUCUGAUUUUCAAGUCAAAUUCCUGCAGGAGCAAUAUCCAUCUUAUCAAGCGGGGUUUAGCGUCCUUCUUGGUCAGUAGGUACCUCAAAGCUGCAUGGUCAGAAUACACAAUUACUUUAACACCUAACAAAUAAGGUCUAAACUUUUCUAAAGCAAAAAUAACAGCUAAGAGUUCUUUCUCCAUAGUAGAGUAAUUGAGUUGGGCGCCAUUUAAAGCUCUAGAGGCAUAAUAUAUUGCGUGCGCCGCUUUCUCCACCUUUUGUCCCAAAACUGCUCCCACGGAGUAGUCGCUGGCAUCACACAUAAUUUCGAAUGGGCGAUUCCAAUCAGGAGGUUGGAUGAUAGGUGGAGAAGUGAGUAAUUUCUUCAACUUCUCGAACGCUUCUUUGCACUCCUCGUUGAAUUCAAAACUGACAUCCUUUUGCAAAAGCCUAAAAAAUGGUGCCCCGACCUUUGAGAAAUCCUUGAUAAAUCUGCGAUAGAAACCUGCAUGUCCUAGAAAAGAACGAACUUCCCGUACAGUUACGGGGUAAGGUAAAGCAGAUAUCACAUCUAUUUUAGCUUUAUCAACUUCAAUUCCUCUAGAUGACACUACAUGUCCUAGAACUAUCCCGUGCUCAACCAUGAAGUGACAUUUUUCCCAAUUGAGCACUAGGUUAGUCUCGAUGCAUCUCUUUAAAAUUAAUGUCAGGUUAUCUAAGCAAUCAUCAAAACUAUCACCAUAGACACUGAAGUCAUCCAUGAAUACCUCAAUUAUUCUCUCCACAUACUCAGAAAAAAUGCUAAUCAUGCACCUCUGGAAUGUUGCAGGGGCAUUGCACAAUUCAAAGGGCAUCCUUCGAUAGGCAAAAGUGCCAAAGGGGCAAGUGAAAGUUAUUUUCUCUUGAUCCUCUGGCGCAAAUGCUAUCUGAAAAUAACCAGAGAAACCAUCUAAAAAACAAUAAUAUGCACGACAAGCUAACCUUUCAACCAUUUGAUCGAUGAAUGGAAGGGGAAAAUGAUCCUUCUUGGUCACUGCGUUCAAUUUACGGUAAUCGAUGCACUGGCGCCAACCCGUAGGCUUUCGCAUUGGAACAAGGUCCCCUUCAUGAUUUUCUUUCGCAGUUACCCCUACUUUCUUUGGCACCACUUGGACCGGACUCACCCAUGGGCUAUCUGAGAUAGAGAAAAUAAUUCCUACGUCCAGAAGCUUGAUUACCUCUUUCUUGACCACUUCCAUCAUGAUGGGGUUCAAUCUCCUUUGUGGUUGUCUUAUCGGCCUAGCAUCCUCUUCCAGGCGAUUUCGAUGCAUGCACACGGACGGGCUUAUACCCUUGAUGUCCGCAAUUGUCCAACCUAUAGCUUCCUUAUGCUCCCUUAAAACCCGUAGCAGCUUAUCCUCCUCCGUGGGUGAUAAUUUGGAUGAGAUUAUCACUGGUAACGUCUCUUUUUCACCUAGAAAGGCAUACUUUAAAUGCUCGGGCAGGGGUUUCAACUCUACUUCAGGUGCCUGCACGAUAGAAGGUAAUAGCUUUAGGUGUGGUUCAGGCACAAAUAUAGGAGCAACAUCAUACCUUAGAGGACUUUGGCCUAGUGAACGCAAGGCUCCAACCAUUCUUUGCAAACUGAUGCCUAACUCCAUUUCACAGGUUGCUUCCAGAUCCAAAUGUUUGGUGAUUGCUACCUCCAAUUCAUCCCUGCCAUUAAUCUCAAAUACUUCUUGCACCAAAGGGUCAAUUAUACUCACAGCAAAAACAACAUUAGAAUGACACGGAUAUUUCAUAGCCUCAAAUUUAUUGAAAUGAACUAUUUCUCCAUCAAAUUCCAUCGUUAGGGUGCCCUCACUAACUUCAAUUUUUGUACGAGCCAUGCUCAAGAAGGGCCUCCCCAACAAAAUUGGUGAUGGAUUUGGAGAACGUUCAUCACCCAUAUCAAGAAUAUAAAAAUCAGCAGGGAACACUAAGUUGUUCACUUGUACUAACACAUCUUCUAUCACCCCAUCAGGAUAAGCAUUAGUCCUAUCAGCCAAUUGAAUUAUAAUGCCAGUUUCCUUUAAGGGACCCAAAUUUAGAGAAGCAUAAAUAGCCUUGGGCAUCACAUUUAUAGAGGCUCCUAAAUCUAACAUGGCAUUCCUAAUGCUAGUGUUCCCUAUUUUACAAGGAAUAGUGAACAUACCUGGGUCUCCGCACUUGGGUGGAAGUUUUCUUUGAAGCACUGCGGAUACGUUCUCUCCCACAAUUAUCCUUUCAUCUCCCCACAAUUUCUUCCUAUUGAUGCAUAGGUCCUUCAAAAAUUUGGCAUACCGGGGUACUUGUUUAAUUGCGUCAAGUAAGGGGAUAUUUAUCUCCACCUUUCUAAACAUCUCCAGAAUUUCCUUUUCCUUGUCUUGUUUUUUAGGCCUUUCCAACCUGCUAGAAAAAGGUGGUGGGUUGGGCUUAACUGGAACCACUGGGUUACGUAUUACCUCUUUAUUUGUGCCGGGAGUUCCUUCUUCCUCAAGCUCCUUCUCAAUGCGGUCCUCAUUCUUGUCCUUCGGAGCCACUGGUGCUGGUCCUUCAACCUCUUUUCCACUUCUGAGGGUCAUUGCACUUACAUUCUUGGGAUUCAUCUCAGGUUGGGAUGGAAGUUUUCCCUUCCCCUGGGAGUCUAGUCGGUUGACAAUUGAGGCUAAUUGACUCAUCUGAUUUUUCAAGUUUUGCAUACGUGCUUUCAUCUCUUGAUUGCUGGCCUCAGUGUCCUGUUGAAAUUUCAUAGUAUUAGAGACUAUGGUUUUAACCAUGUCUUCUAGGGACAUACCUGAGGCGGAGGAGGGUUGAUUCCUUGUUUGAUAUUGUUGCUGGAAGCCCUGCUGUCUAUUGGGGAUGAAAUUUUGUUGCUUAUUUCCCCCAUAGCUCAGAUUUGGAUGAUCCCUCCAACCCGGAUUGUAUGAGUUGGAAUAGGGGUCAUACUGUCUACGUGGCAUGGGCAUGUUACCAGCCAUGUGUGCUUGCUCAGUUCCCUCCUCUUGCAACUGUGGGCAUGAGUCAGCGGUAUGACCAAUAUUCGUACAAAUCCCACACACUUUGGCCUGCUGUGCAUUUCCUACAGCUAUCUGUCGAACAAAUGAGGUUAAUUCAGAUAACUGCUGUUGAAUGGAAGAUGAACUUACCUCGUUGACCUUUCUCGUAGGAACAUCUGCUCUCGUACCAAACUGCUGGCAAUUCUCUGCCAUUCGCUCGAUUAAGUCCCAUGCAUCCUGGGUAGUCUUAUUCACCAGUGCACCACCACUUGCUGCAUCAAUGAUAUUUCUAUCGUUCAUCAGUAGUCCCUCGUAGAAAUACUGAAUGAGCAGUUGAUCACUUAUUUGGUGAUGUGGGCAUCGGGUACGCAGCCUGGUGAACCUCUCCCAAUAUUCAUACAAGGAUUCCCCGUGAAAUUGCUUGAUGCCACAUAUUUCCUUUCGCAAACUAGCAGCUCUGGAUGCAGGGAAAUAUUUUUCAAAAAAAUUUUUCUGCAUCUCUGGCCACGUGGUGAUAAUGCCUGCAGGUAGACAGUAUAACCAGUCCUUUGCCGAGUCCUUUAGAGAGAAAGGGAAGGCCCUUAAUUUAAUUUGUUCAUCAGUUACUCCCGAAGGCUUCAUACUCGAACACACCACAUCAAAUUCCUGCAUGUGUUUGUGGGGUUCCUCUCCUGGCAGACCAUGAAAAACAGGCAACAAAUGUAUUAAACUAGGUUUUAAUUCAAAAGCUGCAUUCUCACUAAGGCGAGGAAAAGUUAUGCAAAGAGGUUGUUGGGUCAAGUUUGGAGCAGCCAACUCCUUUAAUGUUUGUGUGUUUGCCAUGACGACGUUCUCUUGGUACGAAUCACUUGAAGUGUCACAAACCAAUCUGAUGGUUCAACUUCGGGCUCAGAUCUCUGAGAUACAGCACUGGAGUGCUCCUCUCUGAGCUGUCUGGUUUCCUUUCUCGUUCUACGCGUGGUCUUCUCUACUUCAGGGUCAAAAAUCAAUUCACCUGUACGAGAAGACCUAGGCAUACACUAGAAAAAUACCAGAAAAUUAGAGCAAAAAUGAACUUAAUAAAGAAACAAAUAAUAACGCCAAUCCCUGGCAACGGCGCCAAAAAUUAACAGGGCGUCAAACCUGUGCAAUAAUAAUAAUAAUAUAGAACUUAGCUACCACUAAAAGCAGUCAAUAAUUAAUCCUAGGUACUGGAGCAGGGACUCUAGGUGUGCAAUGGGUUACUUGAUUCACCCUGUUCCCGAAGAGUUUGCUUAACCCGAUAUACCAGAAUUAAUUAGUUGACAAAAAUUACUAAAUAGUAGACAGUGGCAAGUAGGUUCGUCUCCUCAGGGACUGGAGAUAUCUGUCUCUUUUAAAGUCCAAUUGAUAAGGGGGGAUUUCACCGGAAUGAAACUAAAAACAAUUAAACAAUUUAACUAAAAAUGAAUGAAUAACUAGCACAAAUAUAACAGGAAUUUAAUCAGGAAUAAAUAAAUUCUAGUCAAGGAUGCAACUACUCAGGCACAGUCCAUUUAUCCGAUCAUUGAUGCAGGAGAGGUUCACUUAAUUUAUUAAUAGGCUAGUUAUAGCCAUCGAUGAAUUCUAAUGACCAAUUUUUCCUUAAUUUAUAGAUGACCAAGGUAUGACCAUUAAUCACCCCUAACCAGAAAAGUACUCCUAGGUACGACCGUAGGAAUUAAUUUUUCAAUUGCAUUAAUAACCAGAAAAACCUAGCCCUAAUCAAUAACACGCUACGAGGGUUAUUUAAAUUAGAUUGCACGUUCCCCUAAUGUGUAAACACACCAGUUGCCACUAAUAUUAAUCAAUCAAACAAUUACGGAUUUAAUUGACUAAAUUGGCAUUAGAUUAAUAAAUCACAUUGAACAUCGGGCCCUUGACAUCCAAUUAAUAAAAUAAUCCCAUGAAAAUUCAAGCGCAGACAACGUGCAAAUAUUAAUAAAUAAUGGAACACGUGAAAACUAAUUAGAUCUCACAGAUUUUCGGGACUGCACCGUCGAGUUGACCCUUGACUAGAUGGAAGACUUAGCCACGCCGCAUAAUUAAAUCACCACACGAAUUAAUAAGUUGCAAAGGCAUUGCGUUUUCUAUUAGGAAGUAAGGAAUAAAAGGUAUUUUCCCGUUGGGGAAUAUUAUCGAACACCUGGCGUGUGUCAGAGGCCAGUCAGGAGAAAGAAAGAAAAACUAAAGACUAGGCUAAAAACUAAACUAAAAGGUGGUCUACGAGCUCCUGUACGUCUCUUUUCUUUUUAAAGCCAAAAGAAAGAUGCCUAGUCUUCUCUCCAGUGGUCCCCACCCAAUUGGUAGUCAAAGCUACCCAAAAGAAAGCCUGCCGAUUUUACUUCCAUGUUUUUCAUCUCUGUAUGUUCCUUUCUCCUUAAGAGCCAAAUGACCAAUGCUAUUCCGUGGGCCUCCACCGAAUUGAGAAGAUGAAUUACCAAAGAUAGGCUCUGCGGAAUUGACUCUUGUCUCCUAUUGCUAGUAGGACCAUUUGGUAAUUUUCUGCUUCACUCCUGAAAUUGAUUCCAAAUACCAAAUAUAAGUAAAUAUCUGCAAUUAACACAAUAUUUGUCAGGGAUAAAAGGGGAAAUAAAUAAUAAAAUUACUAACAAAUUAUACUCUAUCAAUGUUGCCUCCCAAGGUUAUUUUUAUGAGUAUAGAACCACAUUGACGAGUUUUAACUGAUACUUGUGGUUGGAAUUUGGAAUCAAAUAUGUCCUCAGUUGUUAAAAUCCAUAUUUUCUCUACUAUAUUAUUUGUAUUUCAAUGUGCAAGUUAUCUAUCAGAUGUGCGCCUGUCAAGAAUAAAUUAAUUGAUUCUCAGUUUACAGUUCAAAAAGUUGAGUGGACUAGAACAAUUUAGGCAAGGCCCAAUUAUUGGGGCAAGAACACAACUAAUUUCUUGAAUAUGUGAAGUCAAAAAAAAAAGAAGAAGUGGGUAUUCAAGUCAUCAAAUCCUGAACAGAUUUGAGGUUGAAUUUCUUGUUUAUUAAUUUUUGUGUUGCCGAAUCAAUACUCUUGUCCUUAACCAACUCAAAAGUUUGACCCAAUUAAGAAAUCAGGCAAUAUUCCCACAUUCCCUCUACUUUUAGCUACAAUUGGUUACAAUAAUCAGAAAAAAAAAAGACAAUCUCAAAAUGGAUGCAGCGGGUAUGAAAAUGAAGUGUGCUGAAUGUUCUCUUUUCUCACAUAUCCACUAUACUUUCUUUAUGUGGAUUAUUCUUCCAGCGUUCAUACAAAUCUAGGACAAAUCAUAUUAAGGUUAAAAGCAUGUAUAUUCCUUAACAAAUCUAAGUAGUAAGUAUCAUGUGUAUUAUGAUCUCCAAAGUGGGGGACAUGGAUCAAUCAGUUUAAAAUGGUGAUCCAAACAUGACAAUUGACAAAUUAGGCUCAAAAAAGGAAAUAAAAUAAAAUAAAAGCGAUUUUUUUUUUUCAUUUGCAGGGUACAUUUGGUUCCAAGUGGAGCUUAAACUUGGUACCUCAUUGUCCAGGAGACGACUUCACCCUAUUGAGCUAAAGCUAAGUGAAAACUCAUAUAUCACUUUUGAUGUUAUUAGUGGUCAUUUUUACCUAAAGGUGACGAGUUCAAUCAACUUCUUCCUUUACAUGGAGGGAAAACUAAUACUUGAUUCUCUAAAUAAUAAGGUUAGGGUGGAGAGACUUCAAGAAUUAAAUUUAGGAUGCAUUUGAUAAAAUUAAAAUCUAAAAUCUAAAAUCUGAAACAUGAAUAAGUUAAGUGACUGAAUUGUUAAUUAUUUAAAUCUUAACAUUUGAGCAUAUUCCGCAUCAAAUGAUAAUUGAACAGUCUAUUACUUAUUUUUUGGAGUAAGUUUUGCUUAAACAAUUAAGAGCCACUUAAUUAAUUAGAACGUUCUGUUUUUUUUUAUCAAGCACUUUUGAACAUUCUAAGGUCUUGAUCCAUUAAAUUUAAGUGUUAAAUUGGAUUAUCAAAUAAGAACUUAAUUUGACAUGCGAUUUUAUUCAACUUAAAACGAAUUCACAUUCAUUUAGCAAAAACGAAGUCAAGAUUGCUCCAAAAUCCUGACUUAAUUGUGCGAAGGAAAGUCACCAUCUUUGCCCAUCAUCGAGUUCGUAAGACAAGGACAAAUCUAAAAUGUAAUCUAAAUUGGAUCUUAAGUUUAGCCCAGCAAUUGGCAGUGGAAUUGUGCAAGGUUAGGUCAAGCCUUUACGAAUGCAAGAAAUGAACCGUCUUCACAGAUGCGAGAAAUGGACCGUUAAUGGAGAUAGAGAGGGAUGAUCUCAAUUUCCAGAAUUUCAGAAAAGGACACAAUCAAACCAAUUUGACACCAGAAACACAAAUAGGGACAAAAUACUCUUCCAUCUUUUCUUUUGUGGUGAGGGAGGAGAGGUUUGGGAUGAGGGUUUAAACGGGUCAAAUUGAACUUGAUUAGGGCAGAAUAAUAAAAAACAAACCAUGAAAAACACCCAAACACAUCCAAUGAUUCCGUUUCCAAAAUCAAGGAGGUGGAGCAUGCUGAUUUUAUUUUAUUUUUUUAUCUCCAAUGUUAAAGGAACGUAUGGAAUGAGUUUUUCCCCAAAUCACCAACAAUCCAGUGCAGAGCUCCAUUGGAGUAGUUUCUCAAAAUUGAGCUAUUUAACAAAUGUUCACACCAUUUUCUAGCUUGAAGAAAUGGUGCAUCAUUAAUUUUAACAGUCUCCAACUAUCCUCAACAAUAAUUACAAAUAUAAGCUCCAAUUUUACCCUGAAAAAGUGCUACUAAUUUCUAUUAAGUAGUAAUUGUUGCAUAUAAAACUACUUUACCAUCUCUAUUUUUUGCACCUUUAAAAUGUGUAAUUUGUAAUAAAAUAAAAGCAUAAAUCUACAUGCCAAAUGCAAGUUCUAUAUGUACAAAUACAUAUGCUUAUGUCUACCUCUACAUUGUGAUAUAUACUGAUGAUCAAUUUGUUUCUCAUUUAUUUACAAAAAUUGAAAAGAGAAAAGAUGUAUCAAUAAUUACGUGUAAAUUACCAACUUAAUUGCCAUAUAUAUAUGUCAAACAUAAACACCAAGUAAAAUGCUUGGCGUUUCAUAACAUAUAAACUGGGAUCAUGAACUUGAGGUUAUUAUAUCUGUAAACCAUUUAUUGGUAAUACAUUAACAUAUCUCAUUCCUGCCUUGAACUUUAAGCAUUUUGGUGGUGGACCAAGUCAGGACAAAGAAUUCCCCAAAUACAUUUGCACCUCAGGGCUCUGCCAUGUAUUGAGUGGAAAAACAUAAGUACUACUUGAAUGAAUAAUAAUCCUUGGAAUAAGCUUUUGAUAUACCAUAUGAUUGAAGAAAAAAGUUGCUAUUGGAUUAUUGGUUUUAUACCUGCUUCAAGGUGUGAUGUCUUUGAUAAACUGGAGUUUGAUCUUCUGUAGCGCUCUUAGAACUUCUUUCACGUUUAUUCUCUCCUCAGGGGUAUCUGUUGUACAACUUAAACCAAGUUGCAAGACAGAUGAUAUGCAGUUAAUCUUCUUUUGUACCAGUUCAUUUUCAGGACGAAGUAAGUCUCUGUCUAUAACUUGAAUCAUAGAAUCUGGUAAGCAAUCUUGUACCCAACGCUUGAGGCUUAACUCUUCUGUGAACAUCUCAUCCUUAGGCUUUCUUUUUGUAAAUGUCUCCAUCAAUGUAAUUCCAAAGCUGUAGACAUCACAACUUGUUGAAACCAAUCCUUCCAGUCCAUACUCUAGCAUCAAAAUUUGAAACUCGUUGUUAAAGUCAAGCAUUGUUAUCGGUUCAACAAAUUUAUGUUUUUUCUUAAAGGUUUUAUAUUUGACAUACUGUACUAGUUGUUGAAAGUUGAAACACUAAUUUGAAUGAUAUAAAAAUUUCAAAAUUUGAGUCACCUGGGGCAAUAUAUCCAAAUGUAGCAAGAGUCUUUGUUUGUACCACAGAUUCUCCAUCUUCUAACAACUUUGCAAUUCCAAAAUCGCAAACAUGCCCAACCAUGUCUUGAUCUGGGAGAAUAUUGCUAGGUUUCAAAUCACAAUGAACUAUAGGAGUUGAAUAACCAUAAUGGAGAUAUUCCAAACCACAAGCCACAUCUAUCAUAACAUCCAAUCGUUGCUUGAUGUUUAAGAAAUGAGGGUUUGAAUGAAGCACAUUUCUCAAGGCUUCCAUUGGGCAUGUAAUCGAGCACCAAAGCCUUAAAGUCAAGGCUAGAGCAAGCAGUAAUUACUCUAGUUAAAUUUCGAUGAUGAAGGCAGCUUAAGACUUCACAUUCUCGAUCAAAGCUUUUAAAUGCACCUUCUAGCUGCAAAUCGAAUACCUUGAUGGCCCAAACCAUCCCAUUUUCGCGAUUUCCCUUGUAAACUGAACCAAAGCUCCCCGAGCCAAGUAAGUUACUCUCACUGAAUCCAUUUGUUAUUUGUCUAAGUUCAUAGAAGGAUGCCCUUUCAAAUGUCGCCAUGGGAAGCAAGUUCUGAGUCGGAGCUAGAGUUUUCUUUCUCAACUUUAACCGCACCAAAAAAAUUGAAAUCACCAAGGCUAAUAUGACUGAACCUGAUGCCAACAGAACAAUCAUGACUAUCCUUUUUGUCUUUGAUUCAUGCUCAAAUGUACUUGUGCAAGGUUGGAGCCAAGGAGCGCCGCACAAUGCUUCAUUUGAGAGAAAAGAUAGGUUCGUGAAAUUUGCGAAUGGUCCUCCAUGAGAAAUCGGUCCUUUCAAUCUGUUGUAAGACACAUUAAAGUAUCGGAGAUUUGAUAGUACCUGUAAUGAGUUGGGAAUUUCACCUUCCAAAUUGUUAAAAGAUAGAUCCAAAUGCCGUAACUGCAACAUAUUCUUCAUGGAAUCUGGUAUCAAUCCUUGUAGUUUGUUAUGUUCCAAGCAGAGUUCUUGCAAAUCCUGUAGUGCUCCAAUAGUGCUGGGUAUCCCACCCAAGUAUUGAUUAUUUGAAAGGUUCAAAUAGACUAAUACCUUGAAGUUUCCAAUUUCAGCAGGCAAAGAACCUGCCAAAUAAUUUCCUGACAUGUCCAGCGCCAAAAUAUCUCUAAGCCUCCAAAAGCUUGUUGGCAUGAUAGAUCUUAAAUUGUUGGAAUUGAGAUAAACAUAUCUGAGUGUUGUAACGUUUCCUAAACAAGAAGGCACCAUACCAGAGAGCAUAUUUUGUCCAAGUCUUAAUCCUCCUAAGUUCAACAAAUAACAAAGCUCACUUGGAAUAGCACCUUGUAUCUGAUUGUCGCUUAGAUCUAUCAUCUGAAGCUUUAACAACCAUUUGAUCGUAGUCGGAAUUACUCCCGUCAAACUAUUGGUUGCAAAGCUCAGCCGUACCAAGUUGCUCAAAUUACCAAUCGAACUUGGAAUUUCACUUAUGAUUCCACAAUUUCUGGCAGAAAUGGAUUCGAGUGAGCUAGAAAGAUUUCCAAUAGACUUUGGGAGGAAGCCAUUCAGAGGAUUCUCAACUAUCCACAACCUUGUUAAAUGUUUGCAGUUUGACAGGGAUAUGAUGAAGCUCAACUCUUUGGAUAGCGAGUCCUCAGAAAAAUAAUUUUGCCAUAUAGCACUACAACAGAAUUGGCCAUUUGCGGCACUUUCAAUGCGGCACAUAGCUAAUUUGCUGCAAUAAAGUGGUAUUAUUUUGAUUAUGCUGAAAUAUUGACCCCGUAUUUGGCUUUUCGUGGCAAAUUAACGGCACAAUUAAAUUCCACCACUAGCGCAACUAAACGAUGUCGUUGUUGUGAGCUGUCCAAGCAUUAAAUGAAUAAUUGCUGAAUCAUAUUCAUGGUAAGUAAUCUUUCCAUUUUCUCAGUCCUCCCACUUCUUCUCCCCUCUCAAUUUUUCUAAAUUUCUUCUAUAGUCCGAGAACCCUAUGCCUCAAAUUUCUCUUCCAAAACUUUCGAUUUUGCCUCUGCUCAUCCCUAAUUUCUCAUUCUAUCUCUCUAUUUUUCAUGAAACAGGUAAUUACUUAAUCCUUUAGCAGAUUGACACAGGAUGCUUUUACAAUUAAUAGCGAUGACGAGAAGUAGCAAUAGCACCUGAAGUAUUGUUUUAUCAAAGACGAUGCCGUGUUCUAUCAAAAUCGGUGCACUUUUUUCUCUUCUUCUGUUCUUAUCCAAGUCUCCAUUGAUGAAACCAAUCUAAUUUGAGCGAAACUUUUGAAGCUGUACUAGCGAGGUAAUUAAGCUCAAUUUCUUUGUGAUAUUUUCACUUUACUCAUUUCAACUUGUGGUAUUUGCUACCAAUAUUGCUGAUUAAUUGCUCUUUGACAUUCCUUUGUUUGUCUCCUCCUAAAUUUCUGGGGCUAUCUGGUCUCAUACUUAAUUUGCUUGCUUUUUUUAUCCUCUUCUCUUACCUGAUUUGGAUAUGCCACAUCGUAUGCAUAUGCCGUUUCGUUUCAGUGACUACUUUUUGCUUUUUGUUACAAGCUAAGAUGUUGUUCUCAUAAUAUCACAUCUUCAUUGUCCUUCGUUAUGCGUCAUUCUGGUUAUGAUUUGAUCUUUAGUGGCUGUUUGACCAAUAUGUUGCUUGUGAGUUAUAGUACUGCACAUGCUAGUGCUUGAUUAUCGUUUGGAAACUUUGAAAGCUUUCUUAUCUUGAUUCUAUGUGGAGUGUUCCUAAUAUUAAAUAAGAACUAUCAGUUCUCCCAAAAAAUGAAGAGGAAUUUAGUGAUUAGUAAUGGUCAACUUGAGUUAUUUAUGCUUUUUUUUGGGUUAAGAUGGAGAACGACUAUAUGAUUUUUGAAUGUGGAUUUUAAUGGUUUUUUUCAAUUAUUUGAGACUUAAUGUGAUUUAAGGUGGAAUUCUAGAGUUUCAGUUUGAAAAUUUGGACUUCUGUGUAGAUUGUUAUGUUGUUAUGCAUUUGUUACUUCUCCUUUUUUUUGCCACUUUUAUCCGGAUUAUGUCUUUUUCAAUACAGUAUACAAGUUCUUGUACAUAGUUGAACAGCAAUCUAACUAUCUGAAUUGCCCAUAACCAUCAUAUUUAUCUGCCUAGCAAUUGUAGCUUGCUAGCAAUUAAAUGUUCUACCAAGUUGCAAUUAGGAAUUUGUAAGACAAUCUAGCUCCCCUGAUUUAUCUAUGUUUCUUUUUCUUGCAAACAGAACACUGGUUUGCAUAUUGACAUAAAUUCACCACAUUCUUUUGGCAUUGAGAAGUUGGGUUAACUGUUAACAUCGCAUUCCACUAUGAGCAUAGCAAACUGGGAUGCACAUGCUGCACUUUAUUUUUUAUUUUUUUGCAUGUUAAUAAAUUUGCUAUUUUUCAAUUCUGUUUAUAAGGUCUCUUUUCUUGCCUUCUCAAUCUUGUUUCUUGUAGAAUGGAUGAUAGGUCUUGGAUCUUUAUUGAAGACCGAGUCAGUAAUCCAUACUUUGAAAAGUGUCUGAGUGACUUCCUUAAAUUUGCCUACAAAAAGGAGGUUGGGAGUAGAAUAUAUUGCCCAUGUAGGCGAUGUAAAAACUCAGAACGAAGAAAGGAAGAAACUAUGCGUGCACAUGUAACAAUAAAAGGGUUUUUGACCACUUAUACAAAUUAGAUUUAUCAUGGUGAAGAUCCAUGGGACUUCAAUCAAGAAAAUAUGAACAAUGGAGUGUUUAGGCACACUGAAAAUGAUGACAUGAAUGAACACUUGAAGAGAAUUCUAACAUAAAUUUAGAAGAACUUAGAGGAGCCUGUGAUGAAGAGACUAAUAAGUUUUUUAAGUUGCUGAAGCAUGCCGAAACAGAGUUAUACCCUGGAUGUAAAAAUUUUACUCUUCUAUCAUUUGUCAUCAAGUUGUUGCAUGUCAAGUCUCUUUGUCGAUGGAGCAACAACUCAAUGACAAUAUUACUGGAGCUUCUCAAGGAAGUUUUUCCUGAGAAUGAAUUAUUUCCAAGCUCUUAUCAUGAUGCUUGGAAGAUUGUUAAACACUUGGGUCUUAGCUACCAUAAAAUUCAUGCAUGCCCCAACGAUUGGUUGAUUAAUUGGAAGGAGACAGAACAUGAAACCUUUUACAGAAAGUGUGGAACUCCUAGGUAUAAGCAAAUUGUAAAACAAUCUGAUGAUUCAAGUGAACAAGCUAACAAAGUUCCAGCAAAGCUUGUUCGCUAUUUUCCUUUGAAACCACGUCUCCAAAGGCUGUUCAUGUCCUCAAAGACUGCUUCAUUAAUGAGAUGGCAUGAAGAGGAGCGCAUCAAGGAUGGAAAAUUGAGGCAUCCGGCAGACUCUUUAGCUUGGAAGCAUUUUAAUGACCGGCACCCAAGCUUUGCUAGUGAUCCUCACAAUGUUCGUGUUGGACUUGCAGCAGAUGGAUUUAACCCAUUCAAAGCAAUGAACAAUAAAUACAGCACCUGGCUAGUGAUUUUAGUGCCAUAUAAUUUACCCUCAUGGAUGUGCAUGAAGCAAACAUCAUUUAUGUUGUGUUUGCUAAUUGAUGGGCCUAAAGCUCCAGGUAAUGAUAUUCACAUAUAUCUUCAAUCAGUAAUUGAUGAAUUGAAUGAGUUUUGGGAUCCAGGGGUGCCUACUUAUGAUGCAGCUAGUAAGCAAAUGUUUUACUUACGUACUGCACUACUUUGGACUAUCAAUGAUUUUCCAGCUUAUGGAAAUCUAUCUGGUUGGAGUACCAAAGGGAAGUAUGCAUGCCCUUGUUGUAAUAAAGAUGUUCGAAGUCAAUGGUUGAUGCAUAGCAAAAAACAUUGCUAUUUGGGUCAUCAUCGAUUUCUAGCUAUUGAUCAUCAUUAUCGUUUAAAUCGAGCACAGUUUGAUGGGACAAUUGGGAAACAUUCUAGACCUGUUCGAUUAUAUGGGUUUGAGAUUUUAGAACAACUAAGAGAUUUUAGAAAUGAAUUUGGAAAGGAUCAACCAGUUUUCUCAGCUAAGAAAAGAAAAAGGAGGAAUAAAGAUAAUAAUGACUCUAAAGAAAGUCCCAUAUGUAGGUAUAAUUGGAAAAGAUUGAAUAUAUUCUUUCGGUUAUCGUAUUGGGUGGAUAAUUUGCUUUCACAUAAUCUGGAUAUAAUGCAUAUUGAGAAGAAUUUCUUGGAGAAUCUCUUGUGGAUAUUGUUGGGGAUGGGCAAGACAAAUGAUGACAUUAAUGCUCGAUAUGAUCAAAAAGAAAUAGGGAUAAGAAAGGCACUUCACCCACAAUCUAAGGGUGACAAAGUGUUUCUUCCACUUGCAUGCUUCACAAUGAGCAAAGAUGAAAAAGAAAUUUUUUGUAAUGUACUAAAAACUGUCAAGGUCCCUAAUGGUUAUGCAUCAAACAUUUCGAGGUGUGUGAAUAUUAAAGAACGACAAAUCUCUGGGUUAAAGAGUCAUGAUUGUCACAUAUUAAUGCAAUAAUUGUUGUCCAUUGCUGUGAGAAGAAUAUUGCCUAAACAUGUUUGCAGAAUUAUCAUUGAGUUAUGAGAUAUAUUUAGGCAAUUAUACUCAAAAGUGCUUACUGUAGUAGAUUGUGAAACUUUGGAGGACCGUACUCCACUGGCCCUUUGUGAACUUGAGAAGGUGUUUCCACCUCCAUUUUUCAAUAUCAUGGAGCAUUUGCUUGUUCACUUGCCUGAAGAGGCGAAACUUGGUGGACCAUUUCAAUUUCGGUCUAUGUAUCCUAUUGAGAGGUAAAAGAUUAUCAACUUAAUCUAUGUACAUUGAAAAAUCACCACCGAUAUUAAUAUAAAUUCUAUGCAUAGGUAUCUGUGUACUUUGAAAAAUUAUGUACGGAGUCGAAGUUACCCUGAAGGUUCAAUAGCAGAGGGCUACUUGGCGGAAGAAUGUAUGACAUUCUGUUCCAUGUACUUGGACAAUAUUGAAUCAAAGUUGAAUCGCCCACCUAGGAACUAUGAAGGUGAAUAUUUAAAUAGACAGAUUGGCUGUCCCUUAGGAAGAGAAGAGGUUGUCUAUUUAGAUGAUGUCUCUUGGGUUCAAGCUCAUCGUCAUGUUCUUGGAAAUCUUGAAACUGUUGAUCCUUUUCGCAGGUAAGUUCAUAGUUUAUCAAACUUAAUCAAAAACUCAUGAAUUAUUGCUUUCAUUAAAGUAUUUAAUGACUAAUGUAGGGAGCAUAAGCAUUUGCUAAAAUUGGAAAAACCACGCAUGUCAAACUAUGAAAGGGAGAAAAUUCAUAGUGAACCAUUUUACAAGUGGUUUAAGAAACAUGUAAGUUUUAAAUUCAAUAAUGAAUUUAAUUGAGCUUCAUUUUCAUAUAUUUAAUAUUCUCUAGAGUUAACAUACAAUAACAAUUUUUGUUCAAAACUUGUAGGUUGAAGAUUUGGAAAAAUCUAAUAGUUGCCAUGAUUAUUAUAAAGAAAUUGCUUAUUUAGCUGCUGGUCCUAAUAAAUGGGCAAAAAGCUAUUCUGGUUACAUUGUUAAUGGUUUUCGUUUCCAUACUAAGAAGCAUGAGAUGAGAAGGCAAACUCAAAAUAGUGGUAUAUUUGUGAAUGCUAGUGCCAAUAGUUUCGCUAGUACAAAGGACAAGAACCCUAUAUCUAGAAUUUUAGAAUAUUAUGGGGUCUUAGUGGAUAUUGUUGAGUUGAGAUACUCAAAUGACAUUAAAUUUGUGAUGUUCAAGUGCGAUUGAGUUGAUAAUGUCACUGGAAUGAAACAAGAUGAACACAACUUCACACUUGUUAACUUUGAUCAUAUAUUGUACAAGCAAAACACGAAGAAUGAUAAGCCUUUCAUCCUUGCCUCUCAAGCACAGCAAGCUUGGUAUGUUCGGGAUGCAUUGGAACCUGAAUGGAAUAUAGUUGUCAAGAUGACCCCUCGAGAUCUUUUCAUUAUUGAUCCAGAAAUUAACAUAUGUGAAGCUAUCCAGGAUGAGCAUUCUGCUUGGCAACACGUUAAUAACAAUAAUUCUGAGGAUAGUAAGGUUUCAUGGGUUAGGGAGGUGUUGAUGGAGUUAUACUUGAUGCACAAACUACAAAAUCCAAGGCACACGUUGCUGAAGUUGAUGAUGGAUUCUUUUCUGAUAAGGAUAAUCUUGGGAUUGGCAAUACGAUUGAUGAUACAAGUGAUGAUGAUAAUUUUUUUGAUAAAGCCCAACAAGGAGACAAGGCUGAUGAUUGACUCUAAUUUUGGAAUAUAAUGCUAACAUUUUGUUAUAUGAAGUUUAGAAUGCCAAUAUUAGAUGAAGUUACUGAUUAGUAUGAAAAAUAUUAAUUGUGGGAUCAUUUUCACUGCCUUGGAUGUCAAUUUAUAAUUCCUUAUGUUCAUAUUAGUCUACUUGAUAACCUGCAUUCUACUUCUUGUUUUAGCAGGCUGGUAAUGCUGGAUUUACCUUAUGUUCAAUUUAUGAUUCCUUAUGUUCAUAUUAGCAAGUUGGUAAUGCUGGUUUCAUUGGGUUAUAGUUCCUUAAUAUGUAUAUAUUCUUUGUGUUUGCAGAUUUUUAGAAAUUUAAACUUCAAAAGUAAGAUGAUACAACACUCUCUUGCUGAAUUAUGUGAUUAGUUUCUAAAAAAAGCCAGUAAAAUUAAUCAUCUUACUUAACUUUGCCUUAAAAAAUCAGAAGCUGCUUUUAUAGGUUUUCCAUGGCACCAAGUAUGAAGGGGCCCCGCAAAGUUGUUGGGCCAAUGUUCGGAGCGCAUAUUGAGUCCACCAAUAGUUUGAACCCUGUUUUACGGUCAACCUCUCAAUCUUAUUAGACUCACCCCAAUCAUUAUUCAAAGCCUCUAGCACAUAAAUUCAUUGGGGCAAUGCCUGGAAUACGCAUAGACCCUACAUCUAGCUCAAACUCUGUUUCUUGACCUAAUUGUCAAGCGAAAUCACAUGACUCCAAUUCAAAUUCAAACUCAGCUUCUAGCUUAAUUUCUACUUCUCAGUUCAACUCUAAAGUCAAUUCACAUCAGUUGAACUCCAAGGCUGAUUCUCAACUAAAUUCCCAUCCUAAUUCACAUAUCGAUCAAGGCUUUCAUUCUCAACCACUAGUAGACCAUCGUGGGCAACUAGAUUCCUUUGAUAACAAUGAUUCUGAAGCUGGAUCAGGUUCUUCAUAUGAUUCAGAAGACAUAGAGGAUGUCUUUGAUGGUACUUUUGAUGAUGAUGAUUCUAGUGAAGAAGGUCGGUUGGAAAAGAAAAGAUUAUCACAAACAGUUUUAAGUCUAGCAUUCCUUAUUAUAAGUUUUGUAUAAUAUUCAUAAAAAAAAAUUAUAUGAAUCACAAUUUCUUCUUUUGUAUGUGUGUGUGUUUUUUGUACACAGGAGACAAUAGUGGUAGAGGACUAGCCAGACGAAGUGCUGGUUGGGGUGGUAGAAAGAAAUUGGAGUUAGUUUGGAAUGCACGAGGCCAAGUAAUUGGUCCUAAUGCUACACAGUAUAUAAGUCAAGUAGGAAUCUUAGUAAAGGAUGGUAAUAAAUUACCACUCACGUACACAGAUUGGAGGGCCAUGCCUGAAGGAUCUAAGGAGAGAUUUUGGGAAGAUAUUAAGGUAUUUUGACUCACUAUCAAAGUUAGCAACAUUUUUUUCUUUUUAUUUCAUACAAUCUUGUGGCUUGUGAAUGUUUAAACUUUUGUUUUGUAAUUUUUUAUAGAGAAAUACAAAUAUUGAUAAUACAUGCAAGAAAGUACAAAUGAUGAGGGUCAGCAAAUUGUGGAGAAAUUGGAAAUCAAAAGUCAAGAGCAUGUAUUUCACUCCUUAUAGGAGGCACAGGUCAUGGCUAUUAGCACACUGUCCUGCAAGAGUUGAGGAGGAUCAAUGGCCUAUUUUGGUUGAUUAUUGGAGCUCAGAAGAUGUCAAGGCAUGUAUUUAUUGUCACAUCUCUUUUGCUUUUGAAUUAAAUUCUAGUGCUAUUAUGAUUUUGAUGUGUUGUUAACUACCUUUUUUGGUUUUGUACAUAAUUAAAAGCAAAGCAAGAUUAAUAGCAAGAAUCGAAAAAAACAAAAGAUGCCACAUCGAACAGGGCGAAAAGAUCAUGUGAACCUCAGGGAAGAGGUAUAUUAAAUUCUAAUGCUUAUGUUUCUAGCAAUUUUUUCUGAAAAAUAGUCUUAUUUAGAAAUAUUAACACUUCAGUUUGUACAUUGAAUAUGUGGCAGCUUCGGAUUAAAAUAGGAAAAGAGCCUUCGAAACUAGACGUUUUUAUUCAUUCAAGACAGGGAAAACAAAUGAAUGAGUUGACUUCACAAACAAUUGUAAGAAUAGCUUUUAGUCACUUUUUAUUGGUUUUACUUCAUAAAUAAUUCUUUCUUCUGUCUGUUUUUCAAUUUAGGCAACUAUGAAUGAGGAAAUACAAAAACUGCCAGAGACAUCCAAGGAUGAUAAUUUUGUGAAAGAUAUACUCUAUGAAAAUAUUCUUCGACCUGAAAAACCAGGUCGUCUUCGAACUUAUGGGGUAGUUGUGAAUCCAAAAGACGUGUAUAGGAUAUCGGAUAACAUGAAUGCUGGACAAAAGAAAGUAUUUGAGGAUGCAGUGAAUGAGAAAGUGGAAAUCAUAUGUGGUGAACUACGAGAAGAAAUGAAUUCGAAAUUGGCAGAUUUUAAGAAGGAGUUGAUUGCUCAAUUUGAAGCAAGAAUGGUUUGGGAUAACUAUUUGGUUAAAUAUUAUAGUUUUUCUAAUUUUUUUAUUGCUUUAGUUACUGUUUAUCUUUGUUCUUCCAGGGGGCAUCAACAUGUGACUUGGCAUCACUCCAAAGAAGAGAAAUGAAUGCAGCAAAGCAAUCUCAAAUUUCGGACUCAUUAGAGGUUGUAUAUUAAUUCAUACAAUUCGAUUUUGUGUUCAAACUCUCUGAAAUAUCAGCAGCUAUGGCCUGAUUUUCUUCUUCACACUUUGUUGAUAACGUAACAGAUUGGUGAUAGAAUGAACAGGGAAGUUGGAACAAAUGAUGCUGAAAUGUACAAGGAAGUUGGAACAAAUGAUGUUGAAAUAAACAAGUGUGAAAUGAAUAAAAAAGUUUCUUCAAUUGCUGAUAUUCUUGAGGUAUAAUAUGCGUACUUUGAGUUGGUCCUUCUAUAGAAGACCAAUUUUGCUGAGUUCCUUGUUGAUAUUGAAUUGUGCAUGAGUUCCUUGUUGAUGACUAUUUGUGCAUGAGCUCCUUGUUGAUAUUUAAUUGACUAGUGUUUUGUUAUACCAGAACCACCAUACAAAGAAGAAAAGGAGCAGGACUACUUGCAAACGGCUUGCUUGAGGUACUGGAAAAGUUUCUGGAAAUAACUCUAUUUUGUCAAGCUAUUUAUGGGACAUAAUGUAGUAGAAGUGGUCUUAAUUUUCAAUGUCUGUGAAAAGGUUGAAAUAGGGGUUUUUUCCCCUUUUUUCCUUUUUUUUGUGGUUUUCUUGAUGUUAGAAUUGAAUUACAAAUUCCGUUUCAGUAUCUAUUGUUAUAUUAACGUUUUCUUCAUGCUUAAUGGGCUGGGGUUAUAUGAGCAGGGGACUAAUAGAAUACACUUUGUAGCCUUGGACUUGAUGUUAAAUGUGGAGUUGGUUUCAUGGUUUGGUUCAAAUGGGGAUGGAUGGUACGUUGGAAGCACGCGGAUUGGGAGAUAUGAAGAUGUUUUUGAGAGAUGUAUGAUGAAGUGUUGUACUUUUGAAGACAAGCACAUUUUGGAAUAUAUGAAACAUCUUGUAAUUGGAGCGAAUAAUAUUAAAUGAUAAAGUUUGUAGAAUUUGACUAAAACAAUGUAUGAUACUUUAUUCUAGUGUAUUAUGGAACUAUAUUUUGUAAUAAUAUUCGAUUUUAGGAUAUUUGAGCAUGAUAACUAUUGUACCAUGAAAAAAUUGAUUUCUAGCCUUUAUAUUGGUGACUUUUUUGCGACACAAGUUUUUGUCGCAUGACAUUGUGGACAUUUUGUAGCGCAUUUUUUGUGCCACAAGUAGAGUGGUGACACUCAAAUUGGCUUCGCAAAGAGCAAUGCAAAUGCAUGCGACAUAUUGAAAAAUUGUGUCGUUUUCUUUUGUAACGGCUACUUUUGUGGCACAAUUGAAUUCCGUCGCAUUUGUGUCGCAAAAAGGUUUUCGCGGUAGUUUUUUGACUUUUUGCAGCACAAUUUUGGCAUCGCGAAAAGUCAGUUUUCUUGUAGUGUAGAAAACUGUUCCAGUAAUCCGUGUUUCCAAGAGAAUGAGGAAUUGCACCCGUAAAAUGGUUCACACCAAGACCUAGCAUUCUGAGGCUAGAGGCAUUUGAGAUAGAUGUUAGUAUAGUUCCACUGAAUUCAUUUCCCCCAAGGUAGAGUUCCUCAAGAUUGGGUAAGAAAGCACCUAUAGUUGAUGGAAGCUCGCCUGAUAAAUCAUUCUGCGCGAGAGAAAUAAGUCGUACAUUUGAACUAUUGAAAAGCUUCAGCGGGAUAGGACCUCUCAACCUAUUCGACUCCAACAUAAGUACUUCCAACUUGCUAAGAUUACCAACCUCUUGAGGUAUUAUGCCUGACAAAUCAAAUUGGUAAGAAAGUCAAAUGAGUCAUUUGACUUGAAACAAUUUGGUGAGAGAGGGAAGUAAUGAGAAGAUAGACACAUAGUGGAUGCAAGUAUUGAGCAUUAUGAUUUACAAGCCAGCAAGUUUUUGAUACAUAAUGAUAAAGACGAGCUCAAGUAAAUCCAUGUUUUUUUUUUUGGUAAAGUAAAUUCAUGUUACUAGUAUUGAUGAACUUAGCAUAAAGCCAUAAAAUAGAGUAGCUAAAAGCAUCUGUUCUCUUUUCAUUUGAGUGCAUGGAUCACUGGUCAUGUGAAAACCGACUGAAUGUAUCUAGCUAUAGUAAGAUUUGACAGUGAUCAGGCAAUUGAUGUUACGUUGGGUCUUGUAAAUGGAAGUUUAUCAUACUAGGUGAGUAGUAACCAAUGCAUGACAACUUGGCAAAACUUUUGUAUCUCACAUAUCUAAAGUCAAGUAACUAAAUUUAACGAAAAAGGAAGCAUCUCAACCAAUUCAGGAGUAAAGAUACGAAAGGAAGUGGUAUAAUUCAUUGACAAUUUUGGAAAUGACAAAACAUUUUCAGACAAUGUUUGAAACAAAAUAACAUGACAUUGUCAAAAGGGGCAUAGAAUUGUACACUUUCCUCUCUUCAAGCAUUCACUCUCUUUUAUCUCUUUGUACCCUCUCUCUAAGUGCUUCCUUAUCUUCCUAUUUCCCAUUGUAUCAUCUGUUAACCCCUUAUCAGUAUCUCUAUUUUUGAAGUGAUCAAUUGGAAUUUGAAGUUGAGUUAGAGAUGUAGGCUGUAGCAUAUUGAGAUCAAGCUGAUCGAAAUCCUUUUAGUUUAUGCAGUGCACUAGUAUGACUGACCAAUUGACGUAUGAGAAAGAGCCUUAUUUGAUUUGUAUUUGAAGUCGCUCGACUUAAAGCUCAAAUUCAAGUUUGAGAAAAGUAUUCUAAUGAUGGAAUAAUGAAAUGGGUUAAAAGCAAAAAAGCCUCAUGUAGUAUACCUAAUAUACAGAAAAGCUUCGCGUGGUUUCAAAACAUACAAAACGACACCUCAUAUUUUGAACUAAAUUGUAAACUAACAAAAUUUGUUAAACUUAAUGAAAAAUUUAACGGAAUCCGGUAAACUUAAUGGAAUCCGGUAAGUUUAACAGCUGAGACCAUUAUUUUCAUUAAGUUUAACGAAUUCUGUUAGUUUACAAUUUAGUUCAAAAGACAAAUUCCACUUUACCCCCCUGUGGUUUAACGUUUUUUAAUAUAACCCUCCUAUGGUUUCAAAAGUUAUACAUAACCCUUUUAUGGUUUGGAUUAAAGUGUCAAAGUGACGGGGAUGACCAUUCGUAACGGAGUCACCUAAAAUCUCAAAAAUACCCUUAUGUAAAAUUGAAAAUUAUUUAUUAACCAAGGGGGAUUAUGUGUAUAUUUUGAAAAUCAUAAGGGGGUUAUAUGGUAUAGUAUUAAAUCAUAAGGGGUUUAUAUAGUAAAAUAUAAAAAUCAUACGGGGUUAAUGUGUCAUGUAUUUAUAAGGGUAAUUUCGACAUUUUUAGAAGUUCCGUUACGAGUGACUAUUUCCGUCACUUUGACACUUUAAUCCAAACAAUGAGAGGUUUAUGUAUAGCUUUUGAAACGAUAUGGAGGUUAUGUAAAAAAACGUUAAACCACAGGGGGGUAAAAUGUAAUUUGCCCUAGUUCAAAACAUGAGAUGUCGUUUUGUAUGUUUUGAAACUAUAGGGGACUUUUCUGUAUAUUAGGUAUAUCACAGAGGAUUUUUUUUGUUUUUAACCCUAAUGAAAUAGAUCUCAUGCCAAAAUGUAUCAAGAUUUUUACCUGUCACAUUAGCAUUCUCCAUGCCUAAUAUCUCCAAAUUAUAGAGAUUGUCAAUGGCUUUUGGAAUUUCACCUGCCUAGAAAUCACGGCAUGAUGAUAAAUAUAAUUAACGGCAUGGCAUAAUUAUAUGUAUAUAAUAUAUAUGCAUUUAGGAAUUCUAAGGAUCUUUAGUUAAGUUUCAAACAGUAUCAUGUAAAUCUCUCAUAAAUAUUGGCAAAAUGACGAUUACAUACACUCCUAAAAAUUGGAGGUUAUUUUGGUGGCAAUCUCUAUGCGUAUAUCAAUGGAUUUUUAAAUGUAUGCACAAAUUAGAAAUAAAAUUGAUAUAAAAUCUAAAUAUGCAUAUCGAAAUUAAUGCUUUUUACAUUUUCUUUCAUAGAAGGUAAAGCCAUGAAGUUUCAAAUGUCCAAAAAUUUUAAGGGGAAAUUACUCAAAGGCAAGAGAAAUUUUAACGUGGCUUGAAAAUAUACUUUUAGCAUCCUUAUGCUUCGGAUUCAAAGGCAAGAGAGAUGUAAUCCAUCAAAACCAAUGGUUUUGUACAAAAAGACCACUCUACCCCAUUAGUAUACAUAUUGUUAAUUCAUCCUUCUUUCACAAUUUUAUUUCUUACAUCAAACAAAAUUGUGUGUUUGGCAUAGUCAUCAAUCCCGACCUAGACAUCAACCUGGCAAAGCCAUUGGUGUAACAAGUUAGCGGCUUAACCAUAGAUUUACUGAUCCAAGAUCACUCUGUGUUCGCCAUGCUUUGAGUUUUUUAUUUCCUAACUUUUAUCUUUAUUUUGUUGAAAACAAAAACUUCUUUAUUCACACGAUGUUUGCACCAAUACUUAAGCAGUUAGCAAUCAUCAGAAAUAGUGUAUGUGAUAUAAAUUUUUCAUGCAAUUAUGAUUCUAGUCUCAAAAUCCUUUAAACCCAAUGAAAAUUUCUCAAUGGGUUAAAAAGGAUUUUGAACAAUUUUCAUUGGGUAAUGAUGGAUUUUCAGUCUUAAUUUGUACUCUACACAAUAAACUUACAUAAAUUAGUCUUGGAUGACAAUUGCCGGCUAUAACUAAUAAUUACUUUAUAAUGUUGUUGCAAAUUUUGAUUGAUUAAGGAAGAAUAUUUUUAAUUUUUUUUUGACAAAAUAAAGAUGAAAAAAUUGGCAAAUAAAAACACCAAAACAUUGCAAACUAACAAUUCAGUUUGAAAUAAAUAAAGAUAAGGGCAAAUUACAUUUUACCCCCUGUGAUUUAGCAUUUUUUUACAUAACCUCUCUAUGGUUUCAAAAGUUAUACAUAACCCCAUCAUGGUUUGGAUUAAAGUGUCAAAGUGACGGAAAUAGUCAUUUAUAACGGAAUUUUUAAAAAUAUCGAAAUUACCCUUAUAAAUACAUAACACACUAAUCUCGUAUGAUUUUUAUAUUUUACCAUAUAUAUAAUUCCCUUAUGGUUUAAUAAUUUAUCAUAUAACCCCCUUAUAGUUUUUAAAAUAUACACAUUACCCCCUUGGUUAAUAAAAAAUUUUCAACUUUAUAUAAGGGUGUUUUUGAUAUUUUAGGUGACUCUGUUACGAAUGAUCAUUCCUGUCACUUUGACACUUUAAUCCAAACCAUGAGGGGGUUAUAUAUAGCUUUUGAAAUCAUGGAGAAAUUAUGUAAAAAAAUGCUAAACCACAGGGGGUAAAGUGAAAUUUGCCCUAAAGAUAACAUACAGAAUGGGGCCGAAAAGAAGGAAUCAUUGCUUAUAGGGUGAUAGGGUGCAUUUUAGUGGGGUAUUUUGGGCAUUAUUGCACAAUUAUUUGACUAAAUAUUUUCGUUAAUUGGGUAGAUUCUACUGAUAUUUUGUUUUGGUGCUAACUGCAGGAAUUAGUACUAAAAAGUGCUUGAAAUCGAAAUUUAGAAGAUUCGUCGCACAGGAGCCACUUUAAGUACUGGGGUCCGCUCGAGAAGCUGAAGAAACUUAAUUGUAAUAGAUAUUAUUUUAUUCUAUUUUGAGGGAGUCUGGUUUUAAUUUUGGAAAAAUAACAAUUUUCCAGAGGGAAAAAUCCCUUCCUGGAGCUUCGGUCGACAACAGAGGCAAGAGUUAGUUUUCUCGCCUGGCUUAGGUUUUCUCCGGAGCUAUGCUUUUUAGGAGGAGGCCGCAACUUUAAAAAGAGAACAAUCAGAGAAGAAAAGGCAAUCGUUGUUGACUUUGUGAUUCUCGUGAGCUUUUCAUUAGCCUUGACCGAAUUGAGGAAUGAAAAAAUUGAGAAAUCUUUUCUCUCAUAUGUCUUUUACUUAGCAAUCAGAGGAGACAAGAGCCUCCAUUAUUGACUGUAUAUUGUUCUUCCAUUUUUGGUUGACUUCGGCAAUUCCAAUUCUAAGUUUGGUUGACCGCAAUUGAUAGAACAAAAGAAGCAAAAGCUGUUCUCGUAUCAUUGUGGGCAAUUAGGAGGCAGCCACCAUUGUGGACUUUGUGGAUUUGUUUCUUUACUCAAUUUUGACCGGAAUUGGAAGGCAACAUCAGACCAUCGUAUCUGUACGCUUUGGAGGAAAAUUGGAAGCAAUAAAGCUUCCUUGCGCUUUCUCCUGGUGUUGACCGAAGCAAAGAAAAAUUGAUCUGCAAACCUUCCCAAACUCCACAUGCGCAGCUCGUCCUCCAUUAAUGGAGAGCUAAAUCCCCAAAUCUAGUCAAGGGGACAAUCCACGAUUUGGUUCGGCAAUUGUUGUGAGAUCGAAUUUAUUUUAACUAUUUCCUCCAUUUAUUAAUAUUUAUAUGUUUCCCGUUUUUAAUUGUUAUAACUCUUGUGGAUGAUUGAUUAGUGCGCAAUAAUUAAUUGUUCAUAUAGGGAUAAUUGAAUCCGUAAUUGUUCAUUAUCUCUAUCUCAGUAGCAACUGGCGUAAUUGGAUUUGUGUCAGGGGAACAUACAAUCUAACUUAAACAAACCCUCGUAGCGUGUUUGUUAGUUAGGAUUGGCCCUUUCUAAUUAUUAAUGCAAUUUAGAAAUUGAAUCCUACGGUCGUACCUAGGAUUGUUUUUGGGUUAGAGAAAUAGCUAACGGUCGUACCUUAACUAUCGAUAAAUUAAGGAAAGAUUGGUUGUUUAUCGCGUGCUUGACAACUAUAACCAAUCUAUUAAUAAAUGUUGGAAUUACCUUUGAAUCAAUGAUCAGUUGCAUGAACCAUCUCUGAAAUAUACCCUUGGCUAGAGUUUCUCUUAGUUAUUUCUUCUAAUUAAUUAUUUUCUGCAUUUAAUUUGUUUAGUUGGCAUUUAAUCCCAAAACCCCCCAUUAAUCUUGAUUUGAAAAGAAACAAAAUAUGUUGCUAAUCCCUGAGGAGACGACCCUGCUUGCCACUGUCAACUAGUUAAUGAAUUCAGUUAAAUAAUUAAUUCAGAUAUAUCGGAUUAAGCAAACUCUUCGGGAAUAGGGUGAAUCAAGUAACCCAUUACAUACCUAGAGUCCCUGCUCCAGUACUCGAAUUGAUUAUUGACUGCUUUAAGUGAUAGUUAGGUUUUAUUUAUUAUUAUUGCACAGGUUCGGCACCUGUCAUAGGGUUAAUCACAUUUUAUCUCCUUAAAAAAUAUCCCAUUUCUCAGUUUACCCUCUAACCUUUAAUUUUCCUCACUUAACCCCCUUUAGGACAAAAUUGUUCUUGCAUUAUUUUGAUUUUUCAUUUACCUUGUCUUCCUUUCUUUUAUUUCUUUUCCUCUUUCUUCUUUAUUUAAUUUUUUCUCUUUCCCACAAAAAUCUUUACCUUAAUGAUUGAAAUUUAAAAAAAGGAAUUGCAGAGAUCUAUUUUCUCCUUAAAUGAUUAAAAAAAAUAUUACCACUUUUCUAAAAUACAAUUUUUGUAGCCUUUCAAUUCUUUUAAUUUUAGGUUUUCCUCUUUCCUUUCUAGUUUCUCAUUUUAUUCCCAAGAAAAUAUCUUAAAAUGAAAUUGUGACCUGAUUAAUAGUCAUCAAUUGAAAUUUGUGACACGUGGCAUCAUACAAAAAAUCAACAUUAGUUUUUGAUGCCUUUUAAACCUUUACCCAGAAAUAUACAAUUACAAAUUCAAAACAAAAAUUUUAGUUGAAAUGAAAUUUCUAUUGAGAAUAAUGAAAGAGAGAAGAAAGAGAAAAAAAAUAAAAGAAAGGAAAAUAAUUUCAUCUUAUGAUAUUUUCUUGAGAAUAAAAUGAGAAACUAGAAAAGAAAGAGGAAAACCCAAAAUUGAAAGAAUUGAAAGGCUAAAAAAAUUGUAUUUUAGGAAAGUGAUUUGAAUAUUUUUUUUAAUCAUUUAAGGAAAAGAUAGAUCUCUGCAAUUCAUCUUUUUUAAUUUCAAUCAUUAAGGUAAAGAUUUUUGUGAGAAAGAGGAAGAAUUAAAUAAAAAAUAAAAAUAAAAAUAAAUAAAAGAAAGGAAAACAAGGUGACUGAAAAGUCAAAAUAAUGCAAGGGCAAUUUUGUCCUAAAGAGGGUUAAGUGAGCAAAAUUAAAGGUUAUGGGGUAAAUUGAGAAAUGGGGUAUUCUUUAAGGGGAUAAAAUGUGAUUAACCCUUGCUUAUAUCCGGUCUACAUAAACAUUAAGUUUAAGUGUUUCUCCACAAAUAAGCAUCUAAACUCAACCCUACAAGCAUAUAAAUCUGUGAUCUAUUGGUGCUCGAAUUUUUCAAAACAAAGUCAAGUUGGCAGCUUACCUGUCAGGUCGUUGCCUCCCAAAUAUAAACCUAUAAGCGUGGUUAGAUUCCAAAUUUCUCUUGGUAUAUAUCCUCCAAAUUUGUUGUAAGACAAGGAUAAAACUUGGAGUCUUGAGCAUUCUCCGAUGCCUGAUGGAAUUUCACCCUCAAUGUUAUUAAGUGAUAAGUAAAGCCCUUGAAGUUGUGGGAGAUAAUCGCAGAUACGUGCUGGAAGGUAACCCGAUAAGCUAUUAUUCGUAAAAGCAAUUCUUUGCAAUGAAGAGAGGUUAAACAGAGCUUGUGGCAGAGGGCCUACAAGUUGGUUAUGUUGAAUAUCCAAAACUCUCAAUUUUGGUAGAGCUCUAAAUUCUUCUGAAAGGCUUCCUGUAAAGAAGUUACCAUCCAACCCAAUGACCUCUAGCUUUGUCAAAUUAGAGAGCCUGCCUGACAAUGAACCCGAAAAUCUGUUGUAUUCGAAGUUGAUGUACCAGAGUGCACUCAAACAUCCCAACCAUGAUGGAAAUUUCCCUUCAAAGUCAUUGCUUGCAAGGUUGAUGUACUUCAAUCGAUGGAGACGAGAUAGCUCGGUUGGAAGAUGUCCAUGAAAGCUGUUAUUUCUAACAUUUAGCCAGACUAGGAAAGAAAGAUUUCCCAGUUCUGGAGGUAUAGUUCCUGCAAUUCCCAUGUAAGAAAGGUUGAUGGCUGCGACUCUUUGAUGGCGAGUGUUACAAGUGAUUCCAAUCCAGUUGCAAAAAGAGGUAGAAUUGGACCAGUUGGUUGGGAUGAUCCUUUGAGGGUCGAAAAUGGUGGUUUUGAGGGCUAGAAGUGCAUUCAGUUCAACAGUGUUGUUAUGGUUGCCGGUAGCAAUUAUGCUAGCUGAUAGGUUGCAAUUUUAUCAUUUAUUUUAUUAUUAAUUUCCCCUAUUACCUGACUUGAUGUGGAUUAAUUGUUGGAUUCUAGUCAUUUUUCGUAAUUUGCAUUUAUUUCAGGGAGUAAAUAAAAAAUACCACAAUCAACGCCACUUUGACAAUCAUCGGGAAAAACAUUGAAUAGAAGGCUUGAAAGGGCAUUUUUGGAAAAAAGGGACACAAGCCCUUUCCGGUCAUUUUGGGCCGAAAUGUUAUUUCCCCUGGAGGCCGCUGCACAGGAAGGAAUUAGAGUAGGUUUUUAGAUAGGAAAUAAAGUAGAAAACGGAGAGAACUACUUAGCUUAGUUUUCUUUGACUUUUUCUUUUUCGUCAUCUAAUGGGGACUUGUCCCUUUUUAGCUUUGAGUAGUAGUUUUCUUUUCGGCCGUACGUAGGAGAAGCAAACAAACAAUAAAGUACCUCCUGUAGCUUAUUUUCUCUAUUAAAGAUAACGAAGUGCAUUCGCUCAUUUGGGAACUGAUGGCCGCAACUCUUGCUUUCAUUUCUCAUGGGUUUUGUUCAUCAAUUAUGAACUAAAUUUCCUCGCUCUAGUCAAGAGACAACGGAUGCUUUGGGUCAUCUAAAAUUGUGAGAUCGAUUUAAUUUUAUCUUUUUCUUUUAUUUAUUGGUAUUCGCAUAUUCUUGAUUUCAGUACUUAUGGUUAUUUAAUUAAUUGAUUGUCUUGAAUCCGAAUAAUUAGUUAAUUUAGUAAUCUAUUGUCAAUUAGGGCAUUAAAUCUGUAAUUGUUUAAUUGUCUUGAUAUAGUGACAACUAGCAUGAUUGGAUUUGUGCCAGAAAAAUACGCGAGCUAAUCUGAAAUAACCCUAGUAGUGCGUUAUUUGGUUAGAAUAGGGCUCCUCUAAUACGUAAGGCAAUUGGGGAAUUAAUCUUAUGAGCGUACCUAGGAUUAUUUCUCAAUUAGAACAGUGAUUAACGGGUGUACCUUAAUCACCGACACAGUAAGGAGGGUUGACUGUCAUCGCUUGUUUGGUAGUUAUAACCUAUUUAUUGAUAAAUAAUUAGAAUUGCCUUUGUUUCGAUGAUCAAUUAGGUGCACCAUUACUGAAGUUAUUUCUUGGCUAGAUCCUUAAUUAUCACCAUUUGAUUUUAGUAAAUUGUUAUUUAAUUUCUAGUUAGCUAUUUUAUUUUUAUUAUUUUACUUUUAGUUGAAUUGCUUAAAUUGUCACCUCUGAUAUAAAAACACCCCUCCUUGUCACUGUGAAUUUGAAAAGAAACAAUUACUCCCAAUCCCUGUGGAUUUGACCCUGUUCACCGCUAUCUACAGAAAUUAUUUUUAGUUUGAGCAGGUUUUUAUUAUUGCACAGGUUGACAACCUGUCAAUUUUUGGCGCCGUUGCCAUUGACAACCUGUCAACCAGUCCCUGCCAAUUGUUUCUGCUAGUCGCUGUAAUUGUUAGAGCUUCUUUCUCUGGUUACUUGAGUUGACAGUUUGAGGCCAUGGUUAGAUCGAAAUCGUCUUCGAGGUCCAGAACCUCUCGCUCUCAGCCUCCACCUCAACCCUCCGUUUCGGUCAAUAUCCCCAUCAACCAACCUAUCGCCGUUGGUGUCCGAACCCGGUUAGGCAGGGGUAGGGGUGCCCAUGUGGCCUCCGCCACUCAUCUUGGAGCGCAUUUGGAGUUCACUAGGCCCGCCGAUCAGCGGCGCUAUGUUCAAGCCUGUGAGCGGCGUAUCAUUCGUCCAAGUGCGCGGACAACAGGACUAUGGCUUUUAUGGGCAUCCAAGAGGAGGUCGAGCGCAUGUACACCACCAUUGGAUGGCGCUCCUAUCUCGCUAUCUUCCAGCCCGCCUUUGUCGAGUUGACUAGGGAGUUUUACUCCACUUUUGAGUUCGAUUUACCUGCUAGGUAUACGGUUGAGACUCCCAACGUCAUCCAUUUCCGUCUCAUGGGUCAAGAAUUCGAUAUUUCUAUUACCCAGUUUAAUCUGGCUUUUGGUUUCAUCACUCGGGAGUACUCUGAAACUAGGGAAUACGCCGAGAGUGCCUGCGAUUAUGUGGAGCCUUUUCUUUCCGCCUACCGUGAGGUGUGGGAGGACAUGUCUGUCGACGGACAGCGUUAUGACCCCUCUCAGUCGCGGAGCUCCUUUCUUGAGGACCCGAGCGCUCGAUAUAUUCAGCGGCUCUUAGCAUACAGCUACUCAGGUAGAAAAGACAGUUCCGGUAUUGUCUCUCGGCCGGAGCUCUUCUUCCUUUGGUGCAUGAAGAUUGAUUACAAGGUCAAUUUGGAGUGUUGGUUGGCGGCACAGUUCAAGUCCGUUAUGGCAAAGAAGAACAAACCCUUGAUCCUUGGGUCGUAUAUCACGCACUUGGCGGUCCAGCUAGGCGUUCUGAAUCUACAGGAUCAUAACCUCCACUUGACCUGCGACAUGGAAUCUCUAAACGCCGAACGCUUGGAGAGGAUGGGGAUUCUGGAGCUCGUCGAUGGCCGCUACCGUUUGGUUCCCCCGGGACCACCCCGCACCCCACCUCGCCCCUCUUCUGCCCAGUCAGCCCCAGUUGGUAGCGAUCCCGACCCAUCUGUCGCGCCCCAUUUUUCGAAUGGAAACUGUGUGAUCAUGUGUUGUGUGUGGUGUGAGUGUGUGUGAUAUACAUGUGAACGUGUGCGGAAUGAAAAGUAAAAGGCCAUGGGACUUAGAAUGCGAUGAUUUGGCCAAGUGAAGUUCAAAAGGGUUUUUUGUAUAAAAAAUGGAGUCGCCACUUGGUAUAGAGUUAGGGUGUACCAAGUCACCCAAAAAUGAUUUUUGUUUUUGAAUAAAAAAAGUAAAUAAACCCUUUUUGAGAACUUUUGGGUCUGCGCAACCAAAAGAGGGAUCGGGGGUCACAUUUGACGAAGGGGAAGGCAAGGAUAAAAAUCCAAGGCACCCCUUCGACCUAGCCAAGGCUAGUUGCGUGACUUAUACCAAUUUUCCUAAUUUUUCUACCCAAUGUAUGUUCGCACGUUGGAUAUGACUAUAUGAAUGCAAAACGGAAAGGAAAAUGCGAUCCUAAAUUCUACGAUGUCUCUCGUGAGGCUUUUGGUCCCAAACCACAUGAAUUGUGGCGGCCAACAAAGGAAAACCUCAUAGAGGUCGAUUAAUGCAAAUGAGACUCAAGUGUGCAAGUGUGAAAGUGCAUGAAAGAAAUUAAAAAUCCAAGUGUUUGUGUGCAAGUGUAUGAAAAGGUGCACGUGUGCAAUUGUAUGAAAAUUCCAAGUGUUUGUGUGCAAGUGUAUGAAAUAUAGUGAUAAGUACAUAUAGGUGUAAUUAAGUGCAAUUUUGUGAAGUAGAAAUCAAAGUGAACAAUAAGGAAAGGAAAAUGUGAAUUGAAAAGAAUGAGUAAGUGAUAAAUGAGAAUGAGUGAACCUAAGGGAAUGCACCAGGUCGGGUAUGGGAAUGACUCCUAACUUUUCCGACUUCGAUUUUCCCUUUGAUUAGAAGGCGAAACUAGCGUGCUAAGGCUAUCGAAUAGCCACACUCGCUCGUUUCCCUUAUCAGAAGGGGACUCUCAAGCAAAAUGAACCCUAUAACUAGUAUGGGAUGCAAAACCUAAGAAUGAGGGGAAAGGGGUUCGAGGAUCAUGCCAAAUGAUAAAACUAAGAAAAAUGCGUGAUAUGUGGUGAACAAGCAAAUGAUAUGCUAAUGAGGGGAAAUCCCUAAGGGUCUAGCGUUGGACUAGCCCAUUCUAUGAAUUCCGACUAGCGUUGGACUAGCGGAAACGUACAUUCAUCCAUUCCAUUCAUUCAUAGCCAUGAAAGCAAGUAGACAUGCCAAAACACUCGUAAACACGUAACACGUAACACUUAGCAUGCUCGACUAGAUGCAAGGGCCUAAUAAAGCAAUUAAACAUGUUGCAACAAAAACAAGCAACCAAGGGGAAGGGGAAAUGGACCAGAUGCUCUCCGAGCCCUAUCUAUUACAAGCCAAGAGGUGUACACAUACCCCAUAAAAAGCAUAAAGGGGAAGGGGAAAUGGACCAGAUGCUCUCCGAGCCCUAUCUAUUACAAGCCAAGAGGUGUACACAUACCCCAUAAAACUUAAAUGAAAUAAAAAGCAAGUAAAUGCACGCAAGGAGGUAAGGAAAGCGGAGUAGACAUGCAUAUUCACAUAACACGUAGGAGCACGUAGGGUCAAAUGAAGUGCAAAUGAAGGAUAGAGUGUACCUCCCUUGAAGCGACGCCCUAACGUAGUGAAAUUACUAACUUACCCUCCAAAAUAAUAAAAAGGUCAAGGUACCACUUAAAUUAUCAAAUAAUCACAUGAAACAAAAAUUAAAUAUGAAAAAUGAAAGUUAAACACUAAAUUGAGUCAAUUAAAGUAUUUACAUAGACAAACCAACUAUGUACAAAGCAAUUAAUGCAAGAGGGACUUAAUUAGAAGGACAUGAAAAUUUCUAAAAGAGAGUAAAAUAAAAUACCAAAAUUGAUGACUUAAGAUGAGACCCAUAAAAAUCAAAUGCAAAAAUGUGUUUAGAACACAAAUCCAAGCUAAAAAAUUCUAUUAAAACUUAUUGAACCUCAAAAUGCAUCCUAAAACUCACUAAACGUCUUACCCAAAAUCAUGUCAAAGCAAACCAAAAACAAUUAAGAUUCUAGAAUGACAAAAGUGAUUAAAUUAUUCAACUAAUUGGACCAUAACAAGGCAAGGGGGAACUUAGGGGGUUAAAGUGCAAGUGUUUUAGGACCUAAUUGCCAAUAAUUAAACAUAAUUGGGCCACAGCUAGAUAAGGGGAAACUCGAAGGAUCAAUGUGCAAAAUUCAAAAGUAUUUUCAUGCAAAACCCAUGCAAUCACGUAGAAAAACUUCCUGCAAUGAGACCAAUAAGACUGCUGCAUUCUUUGUUUCCAUUUCCAACACCGUGAUUCAGAUUUAGCCAAAACUUUUCUUGAUUUAACAUCCAAAACUUCAAACCAAACAACAAGACAUAAAUUUGCCAUUCAAACAAGCAAAAACCUGGGAAGAAAUCAUGCAAAUGUUAAAUCUGAAUCAUGCAAGACCAUGUAGAAGAACAAAUUCUUAUUUCUGCAACAUGAACUACGCAGCUGCCCACUUUCCAUUUUGCAUUCGGGAAUUCCUUUAAAUUUCUAGACCAAACCAAACGCAGUUCACACUCAACAACCCAUCACCACCUGAUGCUCUCACUUUACAAUGCAACAAAAGAAAUCAAUCAAACAAAAGGAGCCUACGAAGCAAAUUUUCUGCUGCAACAUUCAUUCCAGAAUUUUCUGCGACUAAGUUCUAGAUGCAAUCUCCUUUUCAUUCAAAUGCAACUCAUGUCUCUUCUAACGACAAAUAGAUCAAAGUAACAAGAUAACCAAGCUUUCUUUUAACUUUUCAACAUAAAAGUUUAUGUUUAAGCUCCAGAAAUUCAUACGAAACAGAAAUCUAGCAAGCAUCAAAUGACCAUAUUUUCAAAAUUUCUGCAUUUUUCAGUUAAUGUUGCUUCUGCAACUUUUAGCAACUUAUCAAGACAUGAAAACCAACUUUGAAGUUAAUCCAAGCAAACAUGGCUGCGCAUCCAAACGAACAAGGAACAUAAAAAGCAACAUGCAAAAAUUCUGGACACGAUGUUCAUGUGACAGUGGCUAGCAACCUGGAAUUCACUUUUCAUUAAGCAUCCGCAUAUGAUUCAAGCAUUUCAGCUUCCCCAAACAUGCAAACCCAACAUCACAACUUUAAACGGGGCAACCAAACUACACAAAACUUGAAAUGGAGUAUGAAGAUCAACAAGGAUUUCUUUUCACUCUUCAACACAAUAAUUAACAUAUACGGAUUCAAAUUGGUCGAGCAAAUCUGGAAAUGAAAUGCGACUUCCAGCUAUAGCAUUCAGGACAGCGUACGCAGCCAAUAAAAUCUAACAAAACAACAACAACAAACCUCAUGAACUCUCACGAAUCCCAUCAACCAAACCCAUAGGAAAAAGGUCUCAAACUACCCUUCCCAAAACCCAAACCAAAACUUCAGAACAAACUCAUUCGGCUUCAUGGAGCAAAGAGUGUAUGAAGAUUGACAGCUUUUGGAGGUCAUGCUGGAAUACAACAACAAGUGCCAAUCUACCAGUAAUCAUCAAAUUAUGGCCCAAAAGAGGAUUACAAAUUUCAUUCUUAAUCCAAAACUUCAGCAACCAAAUAUAAAGCUCUAAUCUUGUGCGGGGAAAAAAAAUGAAGCAGAAAACAUGCGAUGAGCUGUCCCAGAGGGAAAGACUUUGAUUAAUGUACUCUACCUGCUCCUACUCCCUCUUUGCAACAAAGAAAAACCGUUGCUUAAUACAAAAAAAACAUGAAUCCGAGCCUCUCCUUUUUUACCCAAAUGCGCAAAAUAGCCAAUAUAAGGAAAGAAGAAAAUGAAAGAACGUGGCAACGUCUGUAGCAUUGGAGGUUUUGCAGCUUAUGAUGUAAAUCUUAUAACCCAUGAACAUAAGAGAAGGAAAGAUUACCUUUAGCAGUUUUGGAGCUAAACCAAAUCCAGAUCCUUGCACAAUGAAUCUCUGCGAAACCUUUGCUUCCUUCACCAACCAGCUUUUCCUUCUCGACCCAAAAGCUUGCCCUUUUUACUCCUCCGAAGCCCUUUUUAUCGUUGGUUUCUUUCCUCACUCAGCCGUAAACUUGCCCCAGAUUUCUUCUAGUUUUUAUUCCCGUUUCCCCAAGCUUUUUCCGCAGCCAAUCCCUCUUUCUCUCGGUCUCUAUUUCUUCAAGACUCCACCUUUCCCUCUCAAUCUCUCAGCUCUCCGUUUUUCUUUUAGCCGUUCCUUCUUGUUCUAGAUUUUUCCCCCUUUCAACCCCUAGCCGCUACGUAGCCUUCUAGUUUUCCUUUUUUCCGUUCCCGAAUCUUCUCCCCUCAGCUGCUAACUCUCUCCCCCGUCACUCUUAGCUCUUCCUGCGGCUGUUCUUUUUCCUUGGCUUUUAUAUGGGACUCAAGGCUACUAACCCUCACCCCAAUGGUGAGGAUGAAGGGCCUGUCCUUCCUUCACAUCCAGCCAUCCAAAGGACCCUCUGAGAUUGCGCUUUGCACGCUGCAAAAAUUUGCAGCGUGCAUGCCGCGACUCUUUUUUUUUUUUUUUUUUUUUUUCCAACUUAAUAAAUACAUAAUAUAAAUAAUAAUAAUAACAAAAUGACAAAAACCAUGUAAUAAUAAUAAGAAUGAAAACAAAUAAAUAAAAACAACAAAAAUGUCCAUUUUUCAAUUUUUCUUCAUUUUUCCUUUUUUUUUUUUUCACAAUAACUUAAUAAAAAUAACUAAGGUGCAAAAAGGUUGAAUGUAAAGAAAUAAACAUAUUUUUGUGAACCAAUUUUUUUCCUUUCUUUUCCAUUGUUUUUUCCAAGAAACCUAAAAACCUAUUGUUUUGAAUUUUUCUUUUCAAGAAAGCAUUGAAUAAAAACAAAAUGACUACAACAUAUUUUUGAUGUUUUCCUUUUCUUCUUUUUUUUCUAAAAACUCUACGCUAAUUUUAAACUUAAAAGCUAAAACUAAAAAUUAAAACUAAAAGUAAACAACGAAUGCAAGCAAUCUAAAAUGAAAAUCAUGAAAUAGAUGCCACAUAAAAUUAUUCAAAAUUUGGUGUCUACACCAUCGACAUCCGCUCACCCCCUUCCGCCGCCAGAGGCUGAGGACUGGCGCCAGCUACGGACGCAGGUUGCGAACUUGGAGGCCUGGAUGAUUAACAUCGACAACAAUGUGGCUGCUUUGGCACAGAAUUAGACAGCAUUCAUGCAGCACUCGGAUUUUCCACCCACAACACUACCUCACCCUCCACUUUGACCCGAUUCCAGGGGAGUGUCGUUGCCCUCUCUUCUACUUUUUGAUGUUACCUUGCUACAUUGAGGGCAUGUAUUGUUUAGGUGUGGGGGGGAUUGGAUAUUGUGAUUCUCAUUUUUAGUAAUUUUUAGUUUUUAGGAGUUUCCUUUAUUUUUAGUUUGUUUUUUGUUUAUUUACAUUCAGUCAUUUUCUUGCUUUCUAGUGAUGAGUUGUCAUGUGAAUGCCAAAUUUGCUGAUUAUUGCCUCUAAUGCUACUUUUGCCAAGUUUUUUUUAAAAUAGAAGUGUAUCGAGUUAAUGUGGUUGAGUCUAAGGCAUCUCCUUGGUGAAUAUCGGACUGCUUGACUUUUUUUGAUUUCUUUGUUAACUUUUCUAGGCAUAGGGAAUCACUGUUGGCGUUUUAAUGUGAAUUGGUCCAAUAUUGACUCUAACUCUCCAUGUUUGGCAAUAAUGAGGCGAGCUGCUCCUAUUGUUGGUUUUUAGUAUUGUUUUGCGUUUUUCAAUUGUUUGGCUGUGAAUAAACUUGACUGUACACCACUAUUAGUUACUACUGAGUAACCGGGCUCCUUCAUUUAAAAAUGUUGGAGUUCGCGUCAAAAGGCUCUAAUGGCUAGAGACUAAGUCUUUUUGUGUUAUUAAAAAAGAGGGAGGGUAAUGAAAAAAAGGAAAAAGGAAAACAAAAAAAGUGCUGGUUGUGUUAGUAUGUUAGAGGUCAGCUUGCCGAUUUAUGGACUGAAUAUGGAGAUUUUGGUUAGUAUUUGGAUUGUUUGUUGAUAAAUGUUAUGCGCCAUUCCUUUUUCUUAGAUUAGCUAAUUUGGAAAUUGGAGGAGUUUGUAAUUUAGAGGCUAACUGGGGGGAUACUUCUCGGAUUUUAAUCACUAGUGCUCGAUAUAUGUUUUUUUUCUUGAUAUCUUGGCAAUUCGGUAGAUAGGGCAAUAACCAUUGUCAAAUUUUGGUGUUUGUGUAAUUUUCUUAUGCUUAAGGGCAAUCAUGGUUUAGCUGUGGGGGGAAUUGAUAGGUUGCAAUUUUACCAUUUAUUUUAUUAUUAAUUUCCCCUAUUACCUGACUUGAUGUGGAUUAAUUGCUGGAUUCUACUCAUUUUUCGUAAUUUGCAUUUAUUUCAAGGAGUAGAUAAGAAAUACCACAAUCAACGCCACUUUGACAGUCAUCAGGAAAGAAAUUGAAUAGAAGGCUUGAAAGGGCAUUUUUUAAAAAAAGGGACACAAGCCCUUUCCGGUCAUUUUGGGCCGAAAUGUUAUUUUUCGUGGAGGCCGCCGCACAGAAAGGAAUUAGAGUAGGUUUUUAGAUAGGAAAUAAAGUAGAAAAUGGGGAGAACUACUUAGCUUAGUUUUCUUUGACUUUUUCUUUUUCGUCAUCUAGUGGGGACUUGUCCCUUUUUAGCUUUGAGUAGUAGUUUUCUUUUCGGCCGUACGUAGGAGAAGCAAACAAACAAUAAAGUACCUCCUGUAGCUUACUUUCUCUAUUAAAGAUAACGAAGUGAAUUCGCUCAUUUGGGAACUGAUGGCCGCAACUCUUGCUUUCAUUUCUCGUGGGUUUUGUUCAUCAAUUAUGAACUAAAUUUCCUCACUCUAGUCAAGAGACAACGGAUGCUUUGGGUCAUCUAAAAUUGUGAAAUCGAUUUAAUUUUAUCUUUUUCUUUUAUUUAUUGGUAUUCGCAUAUUCUUGAUUUCAGUACUUAUGGUUAUUUAAUUAAUUGAUUGUCUUGGAUCCGGAUAAUUAGUUAAUUUGGUAAUCUAUUGUCAAUUAGGGUAUUAAAUCCGUAAUUGUUUAAUUGCCUUGAUAUAGUGACAACUGGCAUGAUUAGAUUUGUGUCAGGAGAAUAUGCGGGCUAAUCUGAAAUAACCCUGGUAGUGCGUUAUUUGAUUAGAAUAGGGCUCCUCUAAUACGUAAGGCAAUUGGGGAAUUAAAUCUUAUGGGCGUACCUAAGAUUAUUUCUCAAUUAGAGCAGUGAUUAACGGGCGUACCUUAAUCACCGACACAGUAAGGAGGGUUGACUGACAUCGCUUGUUUGGUAAUUAUAACCUAUUUAUUGAUAAAUAAUUGGAAUUGCCUUUGUUUCGAUGAUCAAUUAGGUGCACCAUUGCUGAAGUUAUUUCUUGGCUAGAUCCUUAAUUAUCACCAUUUGAUUUUAGUAAAUUGUUAUUUAAUUACUAAUUGGCUAUUUUAUUUUUAUUAUUUUACUUUUAGUUGAAUUGCUUAAAUUGUCACCCCUGAUAUAAAAACACCCCUCCUUGUCACUGUGAAUUUGAAAAGAAACAAUUACUCCCAACCCCUGUGGAUUCGAUCCUGUUCACCGCUAUCUACAGAAAUUAUUUUAGUUUGAGCAAGUUUUAUUAUUGCACAGGCUGACAACCUGUCACUAGCUGAGCUAGUUGUGACAAAAUGCAACACGACCAAGGCUCCAGCGAAAAGAAAAUAAGUUCUCUGCAUUGCUUAUAGAGGUAAAUAAAAGUUGAGGAAUGGCAAACAAAUAUAGAACAUAGGCGUACGUAGUGACUUUGGGCAGGACCUAUAUAGACAUAUGCUUGGGGUUGAUUUAAUAUAAGACUGACUCUAUCUUUGAGACAUAGGUUUUUAAAUUGUCACAAUUUGAAACUAAGCAAAAAUAUCAGCUAUUAACUCAUAAGUCUGGAAGUGUCAUUUGUACCCUGCGGCCGACAAGUGUCAUAAAAGCUUUUCCUGAGUCAAUAGUUUCCCUUAAACAACAGUUUUUUUUUUUUGUUCGUUUUCUUUAAUUUCAUUUUAUAAAAGGUGUCCUAUAAAUGCUAACAAUUAGUUUCCUUAUAAAAGUAUACCAUUAAUAUAUAAUUUAGUAUACAAUCGAUAUUACUUUUAGAUAACAAUUAAGGAAACAUUGCUUUUUCUUUUUAAGUAUCCUAUAACAAACUAAUACUUAGUUUCCUAGAUUACUAUAUUACUGCAACUUCCAAGUAGCAACUAAGGUAAUACCAAUGUUUUAAAAACCGGACCGUUAAUUGAACCGGUGAAGUGAAAGGGUCGAGAUUCAACCGGUCGGACCGGUUCAACCCCGGUUCAAUGAAUUUUUUAAAAAAUAAUUUAUAUAAAUAUAUAUAUGCACAAAAUAAGACAUGUAAUGGAUAAUUUAAUACUUUAUAUGAUGAAAAGUUUACUAUUUUUGAAUAACCUGGAUUUUUAAAAAUAAAUUUUUUAAAUUAUAAGUUAAAACAAAUAAAUUUCAUCUCAAUUUCAAUUAUAUCUAUCAAAAAAAUCUUAAAUCCAAUCCAAAAAUAUCACAAUAUUUGAAAUUAUACAAAAUUCACGUCUAUAAGAAUUUAGACAUUGUGAACUUAAAUUUUAAUUUACAUUUUGGAAUUUAAAUUUACAAUUUAAAAAAGGAAGUUUGGAGUUCGAAGAAAAUCAAGAGAAUUGAAAAUAGAAAUGCAAAUUUGAUAAGAAACAAAAAAUGAGAUAAAAGUGAGUGGUUGUGGUAUUAAAUAAAUUGGAUUAAAGAAAAAUAAUUCUUUUUUAACUUUUUUAAAUUUAAUGGACAAAAACAAAAUUAAAAUAUGGAAGAAAACAUCAAUAAAUUAAAAAUAAAGAGGUUUGAUUAAAAAAUGAGUGGCAAAAGAAAAGAUGAUAGAGAGAGAUAGAAAGAGUUAAAGAUUAAAAAGAAAGAGCCAUAAAAGGAUGAUAUUUUGUAAGAAAAAUGGAACAAAAGAAAUAUGAGUAUUUGUUUUAUAUAAAUAAGUUAUCAAAAAAAACUAAUAAGAUGUGAUGGUGCAAUAGUUACUACAUUGGUCCUCUAUUACAAAGGUCUUGAGUUCGAAUCUUAAUAACUACAUUUUGCAAAACUAAAAAAAACUAAAAAAAAAAGAGUGGAAAACUCAAAAACCGGAAAUAACCGGUUCAAAUCCGGUUCGGCGGUUUCGCGGUCCAACCGGUUUUUGACCGGUUUCUUGACAAAGUCAAACCUAGCAUUGAACCGGACCGGAGCCAUGGCCGGUUCGCGGUUCGACCGGUCGAACCGGCCGGUCCGGUCCGGUUUUCAAAACACUGGGUAAUACUAUACUAAAUGCAUAGGAAAUCAAAGACAAACGAAAGAUAAUUCAACUAUCAAACAAUUUGAAAAAGUUUCGAACACAGUUUUGAAUGCCUCGGAUUGUUAGUAAAUACAGUGGCAUAGAAUAUAAUUUUCAUAUUUUAUUUUAUACUUUGUCUUUAUUAUUAAAAACAUCUUAUUUCUAGUGAUCGUCGGUUGUAAUGUCAUUUUACAUUUUUAUUCAAUAUAAUAUUUUUUUGCUAUUAUACCUUCAAGGGUUUGCCUUCCAAAUUAAAAACCUAGGUCCAUCACUGGUAAUAAUUAUGAAGAAUACUAAAUCUUUUGUCUUGUCAUUUUAGUGUAUUUUCUCCUAGUCUAUUGGUGGUAAUCCUCAUUUAUCAUCCCAUCCUAAUUUUAGUAACAUUCUCAGUUUUAACCUUACUUUCUUUAAAAAAAAAUUGAUUCUAGGGGUCCUCGACUAGCUUUUUUUUUUUAUGUAUUCUUCAACUUUUGAGCAAUUGAUAUGACAAGCAAUUCCGGUGCUUUAGCAUUCUAUGUGGCAAAAUUGAAUUUUGAGUAUAACAAUUUUCCAGGAAUGAUGAAAGGGAUACUGCUCCAAGUCAAGCUAAAAUUAGUGUGUUUGGAUUGAGAUGAUUUAAGAUAAAAUAAUUUGCUUCACAAAUUCCAAUUACCUUUUUAUCUUCUCAAUUACCUUUUUAUUUCAUAUACAUCACAUCACAAAAAGUGCUACAGUAAUUAUCUCAAAUAAAUCAUCCAAAUAAACUCCUAUCCAAACAAAUCAUUUAAUAUUGAAAAUCUCUAUACAAAAAUAUAUUGAAGGAUAAAAAAAGAUAAGAUGCAGAAAAGUGUUCUAGUCCUCCAUGGGCCUGCACCAGUCUAAGGCAUCCAUUCUCACACAAAGACACACCACUAUUUUGUCUGAGGCAUUCAUUGUGUCGAAAUACAAGCCAUAGUCAAGAAUUGGAGCUAUUCACUCAUUUGUGCUUGUUUCCGCCGAAGAGGGAUGGCAACCUAACAAGAGAAGCUAUUAAUGCAGUCUUUUUAGUUUUUACACGAAAGGAAGGCAGUUGACUGGAAACUCUUGUAUGAAUCUAGUCUACGGUAUAAGUGGGUUAAUCACGUUUGUACACGGAUAUAUCAAAUUCCCUCUAUUAAAAAAUCCUUUAAAGAAACCAUCAUUUUCACUUAAUAUAUGAGGAAAUUCUUUAAACAAAUUCUGCUGGAAUUGUUUUAUAUCUUUUGUAGUCAAUGUGAGACAGAGUAUCUAUUUUUUUUUCCACAAAUAUGAUAGGCUUUUGAAAAAAAAAAUUUUUUGCUGGCUAUCAAUCGGUAACUUAUCUCUAAUAUAAGGGUAGCUAGCAAAGUUUUUUUUUAACUAACCAAUAAUUUAGGUUAAAAAAUUAUAGUCCAGAUACUAAAAUGGAAUAAAAAUAUGUGCGAGCCUAUGCAACAAAAAAAAAAGAAAAAUCAAGAGUAUUAUUGUUAUUUGACUAAAAAAUACUUCACUUCAUUAGGGACGAUUAGCAUUCAUUGUAGGUUUCGAAAGUGGCGCCAAAAUAAAUUAGGAUCUAUACCACAAUACACACUGAACUUCAAAAGGACAUACGGCAUUUAACCUUAAGAAUUUACUGGACAAGAACAGAAAUUUUCCAAAAAAAAACUUUUGCAUUGCUCCUAGAGGGUUGAAUUUGGAAUGAAAACUUAAAUUCAAAGAGUGUCAAGACCGUCGUCUACAUGAGGUGCAAAAAGUUGAAACAAAAUCAAAGUUUUUUAUACAGCAAUCAACAUUUAAAAUUUAUUUAGAUGAUCUUUCCUAGAUUAUGUAAAGUUUUAUAUUUUUUUCCAUUGAAAAUUAUAUUAUUCGAUUAGUUUACACUUAAGAAAAAAUGAUGCUCUGAAAAAUUUAUGAUUGCAUUUCAAGGCUUAAAUGGAGAAUAAGAGUAGAUAUUGGAGAUAAGGUCCAAUUCAUAUGACAUCAAAUUGACGAUUUUGUAAUGAGUCUUCACUUCAGAGCUCAAAAUGAAUAACUAGAUAUAUAGAUAGACUGUCUAUAAUAAUACUUGAUUAAGAUAAGAUCGUUAAUCAAAUAAUUGCAGCAUCUCUGGUAAUUCACUCACCAUUGGAAGUUAUGAAGUCUCUUUUAAACUGGAGAAAGAAUGAUUAAAUAAAUCCAAUAAGCAGAUAGGACGUCUAGCAGCUUAACAUCUUCUCUUUUACUUUUCUUCCAUUGUUUGGAAGGGAAACAAAGAAAGAGAAAUGGAUUUAACGCUUGAACCCUAAAGAAUGGUGUAUACCCAUUCACUGUUCAAAGAAUUUACAAUUGGUCUUCUUCACGAUAUCAUCCUUCAGUGCAGAACCAGUAGUCUUGCUUAAGACUCAAGAUGGUUAUUGUAAUGUCAAAUGACUUUCACUCAAAUGACUUGGGACAAAUUGCUGUUUAGAAUACUGCAUAACUUUAUUGUUACUUGGAAAAAGACCCCGUUGGUGACCAAGUCCAAAUGCAAGGCAUAAAUUUUCCCCUGCAAGUAGGAAAGGACCGAAAUACAAGUAAUUCAAGACCAGCUAUUAAUUAUCAUAUACGAAGACUCUUUUCUAAUUUACUUUUUUUUGUGUUAAAUUAACUCUUCUAUACCUUUUUUUUAAUCUUUUGCAGCUGAUUGUUUUGUAAGGUAAUCGGUAUCACAAGCAAACCUAUAUUUGGCCAUAAUCGAUGUUUGAACAUCUGAAUCUUCCACCAAUGAUAGAAUGGAAUAUGGACGUUACUCCAUGCGAAGAUAAAUAUCUUUAUAAUUUGAGCAAAUUCCAUAUGAAAUUAAAGCAGGUGUUUGGUAAAUGGGUAUGAGAGUGUGUGUGUGUAUAUAUAUAUAUAUAUUGUUUGGUAGUCCACUAUGGAAAUGAAAGUGUUAGAUUUUCUUCUUCAUCAUUUCUUACUUAUAGCCUGAAUUUCAAAUAAAUUAGCUCUUAAAUAGAAUGAAUUUCAUUCCACUCCUUAACCAGACAAGUAAGGGAAAAUAACCAAGAUGUAUACUCAUAAUGAGUUUUGCAAUUCCAUUCUCAAUUUUGAUUCCAGAAUUUGAAUCAAACACGUCCUAAAUGGUAAAAGAAGAGAAGACUGAAGACUUGUUCAAGUGUUUUAAUUAUCCUCUUAACUGUCUCACCUCGUGAGGGGCCUUUAUUCGUGUAAGCGUCUAUUAUGUGGAAAGAAAAAAGUUGCACAAAAAAACUUCUCACCCGGUCCCAAGUCAAGAAUUGACGCGUUAUUCAUUUAUUUCUGCUAUUUCCUUUCAACAAAGACCACAAACUGAGAAGGGAAGCUAUUAAAGUUUGCGUUUUCCAAUUGACUAAAAGGCAUUGGACCAUAACACUCUUGAAUGAAUCCAGUCCGCGCUUAACCUAUUAAUGUGGUGGAGCAUAGAAUGAUAGAAGAUGAUAGAUUCAUCGUGGAUGGCCUGCUUCCGUUCAUUGGUUAAUGGUCGGAAUCGUAAAUGGCUCCACGUUACUAGAAUUUCCCCAACUGGACUUUAAUUAUCUUCUACCCCACAAAUGCAUGGAAAAUCUAACAUUCACUUUUGUGGAUUCAUCUAAAACAAAAUUUGUGAGAACGUCUUCUUAGAAGUGAGUAGUCCUACAGCAUUGGUGUAACGGUAGAUUCAAGACUUCAAAUUGUACGCAAUUAAGUAUUGCACGUAAACAUGUUUUAAAAAAAUCCGGGGAUCGUUUGCAAUUUAUACUGUUACAUGUAAUGUCUCCAAAAACUUUAAGAACUCAUAAAUUUUGCUUUUUUCACUAUGUAUAAUGUUACGUCAAUAUUGAAUUUUGUUUUUGUUAAAAACUAACCUGAAGUUUUGGAUUUUAUUUUGUGGGGUGAACCACUUAGGGAGCUCCUACACUAUUCCAAUGAUCAACUAUUGGUCCUUUAUCUAUUUCAAAUAUUGAAUUGGUCCCUCAACAAUAAAAAAGUGUCAAAAUGAUCUCUUAAUUCAUUUCUACCGUUAUAUAUAUCCAUGUAUUUUCAUCAGGAUGAUGCCAAAGUCUUUAUUUUCGAAAAAAAGACUUCAACAAUAAUGCCGAGGACUUAAAUACGGGGAAUUUAAAGUCUGCAACAUGGCCUGAGUCAUGUGUGUGAUGUAAUUAGACGGGAUAAUUUCAAAAACCUCCCCUGAGAUUUCUAAUAAUUUCACUUGGCUCCCCUAAGAUUUCAAAAAUUACACCUACAUCUCUUGUCCAUUUAAAAUGACAGCACUAUCCUUAAUAUUUUUAAUAAGACUCUUUCGUUGCCAUGUUUAUGCAAAGGAUGGAUUUUAUUAAUUUUUUUACCUUUUUCCUUCCUAUUCAUUUCUCUUAUAUUUCAUUCGAAGUAUAGAAGAACUAUCAAUGUUGUCCCGAAUAUUUAUCCAAAUUAAACUUUAAACUAAUAAUAUUUUUUUGAUAACUUUUAAUAUCCUCCAAUUUUUUUUUGUAGCUCUUUUCUUUGGUAUCAAAAUCAAGGAUAAGUCAACAAUGAUUAAAACAAAAUGGUCCAAAAUCACUACCAAAUUAUGAUAGUUCCACCACUAAACUAGUUCAUAAAUUUUUAUUAAAAAAAUAGUCGAUAAACUUUAAAAGAAACAAAAUAGCACUUUCUUCUCUAUCAUAAAAAGAAUUUAUUUUCCUAGUAAAGUAUUAUGAAAAAUACCAUAUUACAGCAAAAGAUUUAUUGUUAUAAUUAAUUAUCAAAUAACAAAUAUUGACAUGAAAAACUUGACACUCUUUUUGUUUAGAAAAAUAAAUUGAACUUUGUAAGAUAAGAACAUUUUAAGGUAUUUAUUAAAAUUUUUACUCUAUUUUUUGCUCAGAGUCUAUAUGCAUUUCAAUCAUUCACUUGAUAUUUCCUGCCUACCAAGGAAGAUUUAUUCCUCAUGUUGGACUUCGUGGUAAGCAGAUUCUUCUUUCCAGAUAGUGAUACAUAGUUAUGGAGACUUUUAAUCACCCUUUCUUGUCAUUUGAGUCUAUUUUCCCCUAAUCUUGACGAAGACCACAAGGGUCGAAAUCCAUGUCUCUUCUUUCCAUCCGACUUUUCUAAAGUGAAGUGUAGAGAAAGAUAAGUAAUUAUCUGAGUUUUCUGGCUCCCAGUCUGUAGGAGAUAAAGACCUUACACUACCAUCACUAACUUGACUUAGGCCUGUAGCAAUUAUUUUCUUUUUUCUUAUAUCCUUCCUAUUAAUUGGAUGGAAAGGAGCGAGAAAUAGAUUCGAGAUUUUGACCCAAAACCUAGACCUGCUAAAGGUCUUAACCUUUCCCCCUCCCCCCCAAAAAAAAGAAUUCUUCCCGCUGUAGUUGUUAUCUUUUUUCUUACAUGCCUCUACAAUUUCAAGUUCGAAUUGCACCAUGAACUCUAUCAUCACUUGUGUGUGUGUGUGUGUUUGUGUGUUUUUUUCUUUCCAAUUAAUUGCACCAUGCAGCAUCCUUAUUUCUUUCUCUUUGUAACCAUAGUGGAUAUGUGGAUGAAAAGCAUACUUGGUUUUGAUACAUGUCCACCUUAAUUGUGUGUAGUGAAUAGAGCUGGCAAUUUGUCCCAAGUCCCAAUGGGCUACCCAUGCCCAAAGGAACUUUGGGCGGGAUGGGUAUUAUAAUUUGGUAUUGGGUUUAAGUUGGGACACAUCCCAACUAUACCCAUUAAUGAAUGGGAAAGGAUGGGAAAUACUUGGGUACCCAUUGGGCUCAAAUGGCAAGGGCUCCGUUUGGAUUAGCUGUUUUUGGUAGGUGUUUUUGAAAUAUUUUAUUGUAGCAGUGUAUAUGAAAAAUUUGUACUAUAAAAUUUUUUUGAAAUAUUUGAAAUAUUAAUAUGGAUGGGAUGUUUCUUGAGUUAUUGUAUAUUAAUGUAACAUUGUAUUUGAAAAACUUAUUUUUUGAAAAAAAAAGUCAAUCCAAACGGAAUCUUAGAUUCAAAAAUUAUCUUUAACAAUUUUUAUAGUCAUACCAGCGAAUAUAAUCUAGUAGUCUUCCUAGUCAUUAUCCACAAGAAUUUCCAGCAUUUCAGUUAGUUUAGACCUGUCAUCCUUGGACAAUGAUAAGGAUAAAUAUUCAACAUCCUAAGGACCUUGGCCAUCUUGAUAUAUGUUGGAAUAUGGCUGUAUAUCUAUCUUUUCCUUUAUUUGUUAAUCCAAUUUUUGGUGGGAAUCUUGAGUAUAAAGCACUUGCAUGUUUAUUUAAUAAAACUAAAAGAAAUUUAAUAAAUCAAAAAUAUUAAAAUUAUAUUAAAAAAAAUGAAUUAAAGGAAAAAAAAUAUGUAGAAAAUGGAUUUGGGUAUUGGGCGGGAUCAAUCUAAACCCAUCCCAAAAUGAUCCCGCCCAAGUUAGUCCCAAAACACAUAUGGGUAAGGUUGGGCCCAAACCCAUAUGACUCGGUUUCAUCUCAAACCCAAGCAAAUCCCGCCCAUUUUGCCACCUCUAGUAGUGAAUAACUAUCAUUUUCAUUGCAUACCUUAAUUGUGUUAUUUUAGAUAAUUUGUAGCCAAAACUUUUUUUCACAUUUUUCAGUUUUGGCCAAUAAGUUUACACAGUUGACAGGAAUUUAUUGUAAAACUAUCAAUACCUUUGCCAAAAUUAGCAAAAUAGAAGAAUUACUAAACAACACCAAAAUCCAUUGAGAGAAUGCUUUACAAAAUACUAAAGCACUGAAUGGGCUCACUUGAAUCCUAUAGCCCAAACGUUUCUAACAAACAAACAGGAAAACAACCAUACAUGGAUCCAUGGCCCAUCCAUCCAUCAGGCAUCAAAUAUCCAGUGUGUCAUGGACUCUAUACGUUUAAGUCAUGAGUAUCAAAACUGAAAAUUAAACCUUACAGAAAUGCUAAGAAUAAAAACUAAUCCUAUAUUCCUCUGCGUAAAAUUUUUUUUUCUUUUUCUUUGAUGGUCUGAAGAAUAUUUUACGGACUUGUCAUGGAGAAAUAAACAGUAUUUCAGAAUCCAAAUUUGAUUCUAUGAGCAAUUAAUCAGCCAAUUUGGUGAUUGGAAGUAUAUACAAAUGUCUCUAGAACUAUAAUUAUUUUAACUCAUUUUUUAAAUUUGGAGAUUUAUAAUGUAGUUUUUAUUAUUUUUCAUAUUUGUUCUUUGAUAUCCGUGUAUGUUUGAUAAUGUUUUUUUUUUUUGUCAUUAGUGCAGAUUUUAAAGAAAUUAUGAUAUUUUAUUAAAAAAAAAACCCGGAGGGGAUGGAAACGGCUGAAUUCUUUUAAUCUCCAACGUCAAAGAAAAUGCAUGAAUGAAAUGUUCCCAAAUCACCUACAAUCUAGUGAAGAGCUCCAACGAAAGUAAUUUUUCAAAAUAGAGCUAUUUAACAAAUGUUCCCACACAAGAAAAAAUAUAUAUUCCCACAGCUCAAGGAGAUGGCACAUCGUUAUUAUUCACAAUCUCCUACCAUCGUCAAGACCAAUUACAAAUUUGGGCUUCAGGUAACCCUAAAAAAGUGUUAUUAAUUUCUAUUAGGUAGUAAUUGUUGGACAUGAAACUACUUUGCUCUCUCUGUUCUGUGCACCUUUAAAAUGUAAUUGAAAUAAAAUAAGUUUUUACCUUUCAAAAAAUAAAAUAAAAUACAAUAAGUUUUUUUAAAUCGACACUCGUUAACACAUCUACAUUCCACCCAAUCUAUCAUGUAUAUAUACAUACUAACAAUUACUACCAUCCCUUACAUUUAUACAUUUUUUCUAAUUAAUCCUUUUGCAUUUUUGUGCUUUUUUUAAUUAAUUUUAUAUUUCUAAAAAUCUAACACCUGAAAUACAUCUUAACGAGUGAACCAAUUGAGCACCCAUUAGACAGACAGAUAAAAUAAAGACAUGAAUCUAUAUGCCAUACGCAUGCUCUGUGUUUACAAAUACAUAUGCCUAUGUGUAUCUCUACAUGGUGAUAUCUAUCGACGAUCAAUUCGUUUCUCAUUUAUUUGAAAAAAUUGAAAAAGGGAAAGAUGGAUCAAUAACUGAAAGUAAAUAAUCAACUUAAUUGCUAUAUAUGUAUGUCAAACAAAAACACCAAGUAAAAUGCUUGGGCUUUCAUAACAUAUAAAAUGGGAUUAUGAACUUGAGGUCUCCAUAUCUGUAAACAAACUUAUUGGUAAAUAUAACAUAUCUCAUUCCUGUUUUGAACCAUAAGCAUUUCGGUGGUGCACAAAGUCAAGACAAAGAAUUCCCCAAAUACAUUUGCACCUCAGAACCCUGCAACGUAUUCAGGAGAAAAACGUAAAUGAAUGGUAAUCCUUGGAUUAAGCUUUUGUUAUACCGUAAGAUUGAAGAAAAAGUUGCUAUUGGGAUAUCACAUAAAUAAUGGGUUAUACCUGCUUCAAGGUGCGAUAUCUUUGAUAAACUGAAGUUUGAUCUUCUGGAGCGCUCUUAGAAUCUCUUUCAUGUUUAUUCUCUCCUCAGGAACAUAUGUUGUACAACUUAAACCAACUUGCAAGAUAGAUGAUAUGCAUUCAAUCUUCCUUUGUACCAGUCCACCUUCAUGAUGAAGUAAAUCUACAUCUAUAACCUGAAUGAUGGAAUCCGGUAAGCAAUCUUGUACCCAACGCCUGAGGCUUAACUCCUCCAUAAACAUCUUAUCCUUCGGCUUUCUUUUCGUAAAUGUUUCCAUCAAUGUAAUCCCAAAGCUGUAAGCAUCACUACUUGUUGAAACCAAUCCUUCCAAUCCAUAUUCUAGCAUCAGUGUUUGAAAAUCAUUGUCAAAGUCUUUUUUUAAAAGUUCUUAUAUUGCACAUACUGUACUAGUUGUUAAAGUUGAAACAUUAAUUUGAAUGACAUAAAAAAUUCGAAAUUGUAAUCAAGAAAAGUCACCUGGGGCAAUAUAUCCAAAUGUAGCAAGAGUCUUUGUUUGUACCACAGAUUCUCCAUCUCCCAACAACUUUGCAAUUCCAAAAUCACAAACAUGCCCAACCAUGUCUUGAUCCAGUAGAAUAUUGCUAGGCUUCAAAUCACGGUGAACUAUAGGAGUUGAAUAACCAUAAUGGAGAUAUUCCAAACCACAAGCCACAUCUAUCAUAACAUCCAAUCGUUGCUUCAUGUUUAAGAAAUGAUGGUUUGAAUGAAGCCAUUUCUCAAGGCAUCCAUUUCUCAAGGCUGAAAGAUAAGACCUGACACGCAGUCACUUUUAGGGAGUUUUUGUACAUUUGAUGCAUUAUCAAAAGUUCGUAAUUUUAACUGUAAAGCAAUUAAUCCGUGUAAUUAUCCAGGAAUUGUAUGUCAAAUGUUCAUGCCAUGUUUAAUUUGGUUCACUUUUUGGUGAUGGAUCACAUUCGGUUCUAUAUUCUGCUUCAGCUAAAGAGGCAUCAACUUACAGCUAAUUUUCUGGCAAUCCAAAUUCAUUAACCUUGGUAAACAAGAGGUUGUUGCCUUUUACUCUUCAUUUUUGUUAGAGAUUUCUUGUAAGUUAGAAGCAUUGGAUGCAUUAUUAGAAGUUUAGCCAAUUUGUAGUCAUGGCCUUCCCCUUGGGAUUGCCCCAACUUAGUUCCUUAAGGUUCAUAUUUGGCACAUGUUGCCUCUCAAGGUUAUUUUUGUGAGUAUAGAACCACAUUGACGAGUUUUAACUGAUACUUGUGGUUGGAAUUUGGAAUCAAGUAUGUCCUCAGUUGUUAAAAUACAUAUUUUCUCUACUAUAUUAUUUGUAUUUCAAUGUGCAAGUUAUCUAUCAGAUGUGCGCCUGUCAAGAAUAAAUUAAUUGAUUCUCAGUUUACAGUUCAAAAAGUUGAGUGACUAGAACAAUUUAGGCAAGGCCCAAUUAUUGGGGCAAGAGCACAACUACUUUCUUGAAUAUGUGAAGCCCACAAAAAAAAAAAGUGGGUAUUCAAGUCAUCAAAUCCUGAACAGAUUUGAGGUUGAAUUUUCUUGUUUAUUAAUUUUUGUGUUGCCGAAUUAAUACUCUUGUCCUUAACCAACUCAAAAGUUUGACCCAAUUAAGAAAUCAGGCAUGCAUAUUUAAAUAACGGCUCUGACAAGAAUCAAGGCAAUAUUCCCACAUUCCCUCUACUUUUAGCUGCAAUUGGUUACAAUAAUCAGAAAAAAAAAAAAAAAGACAAUCUCAAAAUGGAUGCAGCGGGUAUGAAAAUGAAGACCUUGAGACCGGUGGGAAGUCUACUUGAAGUGUGCUGAAUGUUCUCUUUUCUCACAUAUCCACUAUAUUUUCUUUAUGUGGAUUAUUCUUCCAGUGUUCAUACAAAUCUAGGACAAAUCAAAUUAAGGCUAACAAAUCUAAGUAGUAAGUAUCAUGUGUAUUAUAAUCUCCAAAGUGGGGGACAUGGAUCAAUCAGUUCAAAAUGGUGAUCCAAACAUGACAAUUGACAAAUUAGGCCCAAAAAAGAAAAAAUAAAAUAAAAUAAAAGCGAUUUUUUGGAGGGUACAUUUAAGUGGAGCUUGAACUUGAUACUUCAUUGACCUGUAGACGACUUCAUACUGAUUGGUAAGUGAAAACUCAUAUACCGCUUUUGAUGUUAUUAGUGGUCAUUUUUACCUAGAGGUGACGAUUUCAAUCAAUUUCUUCCUUUACAUGGAGGGAAAACGAGUAUUGGAUUCUCUAAAUAAUAAGGGUAGGGUGGAGAGACUGCAAGAAUUAAACUUAGAAUGUAUUUGAUAAAAUUGAAAUUUAAAAUCUAAAAUCUGAAUCUGAAAUAUGAAUCAGUUAAGUGGUUGAAUUGUUAAUUAUUGGAAUCUUAACAUUUGAGCAUAUUUUGUAUUAAAUAAUAAGUAAACAGUUUAUUACUUAUUUUUGAAGUAAGUUUUGCUUAAACAAUUAAGAACCACUUGAUUAAUUAAAAUGUUCUAUUUUUGUUAUCGAGCAUUUCUAAAUAUUCUAAGGUUUUGACCCAUUAAAUUUAAGCGGUGAAUUGGAUUAUCAAAUAAGACUUUAAUUUGACAUGCAAUUUUAUUCAACUUUAUACUAAUUCACCUUCAUUUAGCAAAACAAAGUCAAGAUUGCUGCAAAAUCCAGACUUAAUUGAGCGAAGGAAGUCACCAUUUUUGCCCAUUAUCGAGUUUGUAAGACAAGGACAAAUCUGAAAAAUCAGUCGAUUAAGUUAACUUUGAGAUACAUUAGCUUCCCCUUCUUGGGCUUUUCAAGUGGAGAUGGAAUGGCCCAGAUAAACGGUUUUGUGAUUUUAUAUUUGAAGCCCAUGGAAUAAUUCCCGAUUGGCAAGUUUGACUUGAUGAUUUUGCUCUGUUCAACUGUCCAUACAAAUUAAAGAUAAAAGCCCAUUUGUGCAAUCUAUUAACCCCACAAAAAGCGCCAGUAAAUAGGCUGCUUCGUUUUUUGUAUUGAAAAAAAAAAAUACACUUGAUUUCGGAGCUGUUUUACUUGCUCUAUGUUUUGCAAAGUGUUGAUUAAUCAAAAUCAGCUAAAUUUACUUUUGUGUUGAUCUUUUUCUUUGUUAUUGAAAAAAUUUAAAUCCUAAAUACAAAAGUCAACAAGAACAUCUAAAAAAUUACUUUUCAAAAUCAAAAUCUAAAAUUAGCUCAAAUAAUCAAAUGAAAAGAACCCCCCCUUUUUUUUAUUGUACUUUUGUAUCAUUUGAUCAGCGGUUGGAGUUCAAAGCUUAAAACACCAUCUUCCAUUCAUCUAGCUACUCAUUUGAUCUACUCUUCAUUCAUUUGACAACUUAUUAUUGUAGAUUUUUUUAAUAAGAGAUUUAUGCAUUAGCUCAAAUUAAUUAAAGGACUAUUUAUCCAAAAUAUCUCUCUAUCCAAAAUGUGCUACUUUGAUUUAAACAUGUGAUGUGUCACAACCCAAAAACCUCGAUAACUCUCAUUUGUCAACUUCUAAAACUCCUCUAUUUGGACGUUUUCCUUCUCUUCAAAUUAUCAAUCAACCUUGUCAACUGCCCCCUAAUUACAAAAAUUUUAUUGCAGGAAAAAGCCCACAAACAAUUUUUCGAGCAGAGAAAAAUUCCGAUUAUAUAUAUUUUUUUCAUUUCUGUUAUUCUAAUUCAACAUGGCACUAGAAUGGAUAGUGUUAGGCUAUGUCACAGCAGCAGAGGCUGUCACGCCUCAAAUCUGAUAUGUGUUUAAAAAUAUUUAACUUUUAAUUUAAAGCGUGACACUAAUUUACCCUCUUGAGAGGAUACAAAGUUGCCUAGCAAAAGUCUUCGAAUACAAAUCAAUAAUUAUAUAAAUAUAUAAAUCUUCGAAUACGCUUACAAAAGUUUGAAAUGUAAAAAAUCACUCGUACAUUUUACUCUAAGUUCACAAUUUAUAUACAUAACCAGAGUACAAAAGGCGUACAUGCUACAAUUUAACAAAACUUAACUCUAAGAAUAUAGCAUGAUCAAAACUAGUUUUCAAGCCUUCUUAGAUUUGAUUCUUAUCUGCAGGGGAGGAAAUUAAGUGGAGUGAGCAUCCACUUGCUCAGUAAGUAGCCCAACAGUAUCGCUAUUGAAUCAAGCAUAUUAAUAAGAUAUAUAACAUUUAAUAAAAUUAUUUCACAAAAUUAAAUCACAAUUAGCAUAAUACAUGUGUAUUACAUAUAUAAUGCAUAACUAUGCAUGAAUUCAUAUUUAAUUAUUCUUUAAUUAUAAUUUGUGAAUCUUGUCCUCUUUUCACUUUGUCUUUCAAUUAAAGAAUAUGUUAUGAUCACUUUAAACACGUGAUAGGGCCGUACCCACAAUUCAAUCACUCGAAACGCCUAAAAGUACAAGUGCUUACUUAAGAAAUUCAACAACGGCAGUAUUCAAUUGAAUGGACAUAGCUAAAGCUAUAUAUGCCAAAAAAUUGUAAAAUUUGUGCUGCUACAAAGUAGACUUGAAGUGCUAACAAUCAUUAGAAGACACAUCUCAAAGGUUUGGAUCAUACACUAGUUUAAAUUCAAUAAAAAAAUUAGUACACUUUCCAGCUCCCAUGCAGUGUAGGUUAGGAAUUUCAGCAAAUGCAGUCCUACACAUAACUCAGGUUAUAUAUAUAUAUAUCGAAUCACUACAAAAUUGGUAGCAUUAGAAACUAAACUCAGACUACUAAAUAUCUUCAGAGGAAUCAUUUAGCGAUUCCAUCAAUAGGGGGCCUUAAGUUGGACCAUAAUUUAGUGCAAUUUUUAGUCCUUAACUAUGCAGCUUCUGAUUUUCAACCAAUAUUGCAAAUUUUCUGGUAUUAACAGGCAACAAACCGAAGAUGAAAUUUUAUACCAUUAGAAAGGUUUUUGAAUUUAGUUUUAAAUGCAAUUGAUGGAACUCAAUUUUGACUUUUCUACACCAAGUGAUGCCUAAUUUUCCAAAGCUGCGUGGAAGUGACUGUUAGUCACAAAACUGAUUUAGAACUCCCAGUGUUCUUGGUUAUUAACACAAAAUUCUUCCAAUUUCUUGUAUAUAUCCAUAUCAAUUUGCACUUUGGCACUCAAAUUUAUAUCAGACUUAUAAAAUAACCCCUUACUUAUACAUAAUAUUCAAUUGGCUAGAAAACUUUUGGGGGCAUUUCAGAGGCGGUGAUGGUGUUACAUGGCCGUCUAACAUCCAUAAGAAGGAGCCUCCUAAAGUCAUUUCUGACGAUGGUCUCGUUUUGUUUGUUCUUGCUGUUGGAUAUCUCCUGAAAGUAUGAAACUCGUCCGAGUUGUAAAUCGCUCGAGUCGUGCACCUCGGCCGAACUCAUGUGGCACCAGAAAUCCAUCAUAAAGAGGCAGCGCAAUGCAUUGCUGAUUGCCUCAGCGCUCAUGUUCUACUGGCUACUUUUUGCUGUAACAUGCUGAUUUUUUUAUUUAUUUUUUGUUAUUUCCAAUGUUAAAGGAAUGUAUGGAAUGAGGUGUUCCCAAAUCACCAACAAUCCAGUGCAGAGCUUCGUCAGAGGAAUUUCUCAAAAUUGAGAUAUUUAACAAAUGUUCCCACCAUUUUCUAGCUUGAGGAAAUAGUACAACCUCCAACCAUCCUCAACAAUAAUUACAAAUAUAAGCUUCAAUUUUACCCUGAAAAGGUGCUAUUAAUUUCUAUUAAGUAGUAAUUGUUGCACAUAAAACUCCUUUACCAUCGCUGUUCUUUGCACCUUUAAAAUGUGUAAUUUGUAAUAAAAUAAAUGCAUGAAUCUGCAUGCCAUACGCAUGUUCUAUAUGUACAAAUACAUAUGCUUAUGCGUACCUCUACAUGGUGAUAUAUAUAUAUAUAUAUAUGUCAAACAUAAACACCAAGUAAAAUGCUUGGCGCUUCAUAACAUAUAAGCAUUUCGGUGGUGCACCAAGUCAGGACAAAAAAUUCCUCAAAUACAUUUGCACCUCAGGGCUCUGCCAUGUAUUGAGUGGAAAAACAUAAGUACUACUUGAAUGAAUAAUAAUCCUUGGAAUAAGCUUUUGAUACCAUAUGAUUGAAGAAAAAAGUUGCCAUUUGAUUAUUGGUUUUAUACCUGCUUCAAGGCUUGACAUCUUUGAUAAAUUGAAGUUUGAUCUUCUGUAGCGCUCUUAGAACUUCUUUCAUGUUUAUUCUUUCCUCAGGAGCAUCUGUCGUGCAACUUAAACUAAGUUGCAAGAUAGACGAUAUGCAUUCAAUCUUCCUUUGUAUCGUUUUAUCUUCAGGAUGAAGCAAGUCUGCGUCUAUAACCUGAAGAAUCACAGAAUCUGGUGAGCAUUCUUGUAUCCAACACCUGAGGCUUAAUUCUUCUAUAAACAUCUCAUCCUUAGGCUUUCUUUUUGUAAAUGUCUCCAUCAAUGUAAUUCCAAAGCUAUAGACAUCACAACUUGUAGAAACCAAUCCUUCCAGUCCAUACUCUAACAUCAAAAUUUGAAACUCGUUGUUAAAGUCAAGUAUUGGUAUCGGUUCAGCAAAUUUAUGUUUUUUCUUAAAAGGUUCAGCAAAUUUAUGUUGAAAGUUGAAACAUUAAUUUGAAUGAUACAAAAUUUUCGAAAUUUGAGUCAAGAAAAGUCACCUGGGGCAAUAUAUCCAAAUGUAGCAAGAGUCUUUGUUUGUACCACAGAUUCUCCAUCUCCUAACAACUUUGCAAUUCCAAAAUCGCAAACAUGACCAACCAUGUCUUGAUCUAAGAGAAUAUUGCUAGGUUUCAAAUCACAAUGAACUAUAGGAGUUGAAUAACCAUAGUGGAGAUAUUCCAAACCGGAAGCCACAUCUAUCGUGAUAUCCAACCUUUGCAUGAUACUUAGGACAUGAUCGUUUACAUGAAGCCAUUUCUCAAGGCUUCCAUUGGGCAUGUACUCGAGCACCAAAGCCGUAAAGUCAAGGCUAGAGCAAGCAGUAAUUACUCUAGUUAAAUUUCGAUGACGAAGGCAGCUUAAGACUUCACAUUCUCUAUCAAAGCUUUUAAAUGCACCUUCUAGCUGUAAAUCGAAUACCUUUAUGGCCCAAACCAUCCCAUUUUCACGAAUUCCCUUGUAAACUGAACCAAAGCUCCCCGAGCCAAGUAAGUUACUCACGCUGAAUCCAUUUGUUAUUUGUCUAAGUUCGUGAAGGGACACCCUUUCAAAUGUCGCCAUGGGAAGCAAGUUCUGAGUCGCAGCUAGAGUUUUCUUUCUCAACUUUAACCGCAUCAAAAAAAUUGAAAUCACCAAGGCUAAUAUGACAGAACCUGAUGCCAACAGAACAAUCAUGACUAUUCUUUUUGUCCUUGAUUCAUGCUCAAAUGUACUUGUACAAGGUUGGAGCCAUGGAGCGCCGCACAAUGCUUCAUUUGAGAGAAAAGAUAGGUUCGUGAAAUUUGCGAAUGGCCCUCCAUGAGGAAUCGGUCCUCUCAAUCUGUUGUAAGACACAUUAAAGUAUUGGAGAUCUGAUAGUACCUGUAAUGAGUUGGGAAUUUCACCUUCCAGAUGGUUAAAAGAUAGAUCCAAAUGCCGUAACUGCAACAUAUUCUUGAUGGAAUCUGGUAUCAAUCCUUGUAGAUUGUUACGUUCCAAGGAGAGUUCUUGCAAAUCCUGUAGUGCUCCAAUGGUGCUAGGUAUGCCACCCGAGUAUUGAUUAUUUGAAAGGUUCAAAUAGACUAAUGCCUUGAAGUUUCCAAUUUGAGCAGGCAAAGAGCCUGUCAAAUAAUUUCCUGACAUGUCUAUCUCCAAAAUAUCUCUGAGGCUCCAAAAGCUUGUUGGUAUCAUAGAACCUAAAUUGUUAGAAUUGAGAUAAACAUAUCUGAAUGUUGUAACGUUUCCUAAACAAGAAGGCACCAUACCAGAGAGCAUAUUUUGUCCAAGUCUUAAUUCUCCUAAGUUCAGCAAAUUGCAAAACUCACUUGGAAUAGCACCUAGUAUUUGAUUGUCGCUUAGAUCUAUCCUCUGAAGCUUCAAGAACCAGUUGAUUGUAGUUGGAAUUAACCCUGUUAAACUAUUGUUUUGAAAGAAUAGUUCUAUUAAGUUGCUCAAAUUACCAAUCGAACUUGGAAUUUCACUUUUGAUUCCACAACUACCUGCAUGAAAGGAUUCGAGUGAGCUGGAAAGAUUUCCGAUAGACUUUGGGAGGAAGCCAUUCAGAGGAUUCUCACCUAUCCACAAACUCCUUAAAUGUUUGCAGUUUGACAGGGAUAUGAUGAAGCUCAACUCUUUGGAUAGCGAGGCCUCAGAAAAAUCAUUUCCCGAUAUACCUAAAUGUUCCAGUAAUAUCAAGUUUCCCAGAGAAUGAGGAAUUGCACCUGUAAAAUGGUUACUACCAAGGUCUAGCAUUCUGAGCCUAGAAGCAUUUGAGAUAGUACGUUUGGUUCUCCAUAGAAUUGGAGUAUAGAAUUGGAAUUGAAACCUCAAUUUCAAUUCUUGUGUUUGGGUAUUAUUUUUCCUAUAGAAUUAGAAUUGAAUUGCAAUUCUAAAUCCAUCGAAUUCCGUAGUUUCAAUUCUUUGGCUGGACCAAAGAAUUCCAAUUCCAAUUCCACGCUUGAACUCUUAAAUCGGGUCAAUACGCGGGUCUUUUACGGGUAAAAUCUCAAAAAUGGGUCAACUAUAAAAUUGAUGGAAAAAACUCAAACGUCUCUCUUCUCUUCCCAUUAUCGAUCGCCAUAUCUAACGCUCUGUUGGAGCAUUCCUGCCGCCGCCUCCUCCACUUGUGCUGGCCACUGCAUAACACAGGUUGAAAUUAUGGGGUUUUAAUUAGUUUCUGUCUGUCUUCCCCUUCCCUUCCAGUGAAUGAAUUGAGAAUUGAUUCGAUGAGUGAAGAAUGAAAUUUCAUUACCAAUUUGGCAAAAUUCAUUGAUCAUUACUUUAGUAUUCCAUUGUUGCUCUGAUUGUCCACUGUCACUUGAUUGAUUAUUUUCCCUUGAACUUUGAUGAAAAUUGGAGAGCUCAUACUGUAAAAGUUGAAAGGAUUAAUCAUGAUAUGAAAAGGGAACCUUUUUGUUAGUGUUUUCUUGUUGAAUUUUUGGUGUUGUUUUGUCUUUAGACAAGUAAAUUGUUGAAUGAAAUUCUGGUUGAUCUGUAUUUGAAUGGAAUUUUGUGAUCCCUUUUGUUUCUUAUGGUGGAUGGUGUGUAAUAUGAAGAACAUACCUAGAUAUUGAUGAAUAAAAGGUUGAUCCUGGCAAAAUUUUAAGUGAACAGCCUCUGCAACGACUAAUUUUCUCAUCAGAGAAUUCAUCGUCUUUGAGUUUGCUCAAUAUCAAGGGAUGCUCAUGACUGAAAUGUUGGAUCUCCUCCAUUAAUUCUCUCUUGUGUGUGUGUUGUGUGAGAUUGAGGAGAGAAAAUGAGGGAGUGCUGAAUUUAGUUCUCUGAGCCUUAGAGCUUAAUUAUCAACUUUCCUGGCCAAUGGCUGCUGAAAUGUAUAUUAAGAAAAAAAGGUGAAAAAUGCUUUACUUAAAGAUCAACAUAGCUUAAACCUUUUAGACUGCAUAUUCUUUGCUCUUAGUAGUAGCUAACAAAUUGGAACUCACUUUCUUACCGAGGAAGUAGUCUUCAUAUUCACAAAAGUUUUAACACAUCCUAAUAAAGCAUAAACAGUUUGCGUGAAAAAAAAUGAAGGUUCGUUUCAGUAACACUAUCUUCCUGCAGUCAUAAGAAAAUGAAAAAUCAAUUUUGCUUUUAUCGUAUAUGAUAGAAUUCAUCUCUUUAAAACUUGUAUUAUAUUAACAAAAUCUAUUUCACCAAUACGCAUAAAUUUGUUGGCUGUUGGCUGUUAUGAUCAAGUAUAUAACGUCUCCAGUUCACACUCCAAGGCUGUUGGCUGUUAUGACCAAGUGUCAGAUUAAAAAAUCUUCUUAAAACCAGUUCUACUCUUCUUAACUUAGUAUCUAGAAUCAUAGAAGGAAUCACAAAUUUACUUUGACAGAGCGAAUUUUUAGUUCUAUACUGCAGUGGCUGUUGAAAAACUUGCUGUCAGGGCCUGAAAAAUAUUUUAUGUAUCAGCUCAAGGCUGCUAAAUUCUCGUCAAUGGACAUGGAAUGUGAUGAAUGUUUGUUUUGGACUAUUUAAUGCUGUCAUAAAUUCUCUCACACACUCUCUCUUAGCGUAUAUUUAAAUGUGUUUGAUUGUUCCUAAUAUGUUACAGGAAGGCUUGUUUAACCUUGCCCUGCAUUUAAGUGAAGUCGGUGCAUUCUUCUUGAUAUCAAAGUUGUGGGCUGAUAUGAAGUUGGGCAUGCUUAAAGGCUGAAGAUCGUCACUUCAGUCUUCCUUGUAUCUGUGGUUUUAUAAAGGUAUUUAUUUUCAAGCACUUAGAAUGCUGUGAAUAGGUUUUUGAUGUGAAAAUUAUAGCUCUAUCUCUGGCUUUCAUGUUUCAACUAUUGAGCCUGGUAAUAACGGUUCAAUUUUGACACUAAUUAGAACAGUUGUCCUACAGUUGUCCUACAGUUCCUACUACCCUGAUGGUAGUAGAUGCGGUAUUCUUGUUGCAGAAAUCUAGUUCCAUUUCAUAAAUCAAUUGCGACAAUAAAAGGUAAAAGUAAACAAGAGGAGGCAGCCAUGAGUUUUACCAGGAUAAAAGCCUUGAUGUUCUCUCUUGUCAAUCUUAUGUCUGAGCUUUCAUCUUCAGAUAUGUCGAGCAAUAUAUCAAGUAGAUCCUUCAUUUGUUGACUUGCAUCAUUGUUUUGCCGACGCUUCGUCCUUGUCUCUUGAUGUUCCUCUAUGAUCUUCUCAAUCAUUACAUCAAACCUCUCAGCAAUAUACCUAUGUUGUAUCUGCUGCUUCAUUGAAGUACUUUCUCUUGACCUCUGAUCUGCAGAGUUAUGCUUGAACAUAUACAAUUCGUGGCUAUCAACUCUCCUUACGGCUCAAUGCGCAGCUACCUAAGUGAAGAAUUGAUAUGAACAAACAAAGGGGUAUUUGGAGAUAUGUGUUUUGGCUGGAAUUUUUUUUGUUUUUAAGUUUCUAUUUAUUUACUGAAGAACAUAAAACAGAGACAGAAACAAGACGAGGCGGUUGGAGUAGGGGUGGAAACGGGAGAAGCAGAAAUUGGUUUAUACAGUUGGCCUCUUGAGUUAGGAUUUAUUUGUAACUGAUAGUUUUUAGCUUUUUGGUUUAUGCAGUCGAAGCAUUUGAUCAAGUGUUUUUGUUGCAUAUGUAGGAUUUAUUUGUAACUGAUUGUUUUCUUACCUUUUUUUCAUGAAAUAUUGCUUCUUGAUUUGUAGUUAUUGUCACAUGAGUGAAAAAUUGCUUCAACUUUUCCUCUCUCAUAUUUUUAUCAUGCCAUUGGUACUUAAUAGAGGAGUUUGAGUUUUAGUUGUGCAUAGCUAUUAUGAUUGAUGAAAUCUUUUUUGAAUUUUGCAUAAGUAUUAGAAAUAAGAAAGAAUUUUGCUUUAUUAUAAUAUAUCAAAACACAGUUGAAAAUACCAGGCUGAGAUGGGGAAAUAUUUCUUCACAAAAAGGGAUAAUGGAUCAAAACAUGCUAAAGGAAAUGCUCACCAAAGAAAUUUAUAUGAGAGUGAGAAAAAAUAAAUUAUUAAAGGCACAAAUUGGUUUUUUCUUUUAAAUCUUUAGUAAAAAUUAGCUAAAUGUAAGAAAAAAAAAAGAAAUUAUUAUAUAGAAAAAAGAAAAAAAGAAAAAUUUUAUGUAUGCAUUUUCUUGAAAACAAUUCUAAUUCCUAAUGAAUUCUUCUCUCAUACAAACAAAGAAUUUGGAAUUCCAAAUAAAUUCCGUAUCAAUUCUAUGUAUUUCCCAAACGAAAGAAUUGAAAUGACUUGGAAUUCCAAUUCAUAGAAUUCCAAUUCUAUAGAAUUUCGAUUCUAAUUCAAUUCUAAUUCUAUAGAAGCAAACGCACCUAGUAUAGUUCCAGUGAAUUCAUUUCCCCAAAGGUGGAGUUCCUCAAGAUUGGGUAAGAAAACACCUAUAGUUGAUGGAAGCUCGCCUGAUAAAUCAUUAUCCGCGAGAGAAAUAACUCGUACAGUUGAACUAUUGAAAAGUUUCAGCGGGAUGGGAUCUCUCAAUCUAUUCUCGGCCAAGCCUAGUUGUUCCAACUUGCUAAGAUUACCAACCUCUUGAGGUAUUAUACCUGACAAAUCAAAUUGGUAAGAAAAAAAUGUGAAGAUUGUUUGUUGUCCUACUUUUAGAAUAGACAAUGAGAAGUUAUAUAUUUUAUUUACACCUAUUAAAAAAUAUUCUUAAUUGUAUCUCUAUAUAGUUUAAUCAAUAUGAAUAUUUGAUUUCAAGCAUGUGUACAUUAGUACGAAUACCAAUAGCAUUACUAGAUAAAGGGCACAUUCAAUUUACGUGCAAUUUUAAAAAAAAAUCACUUUUUAUAUGGAAGAAAUUUGUAUAAAAUUUUAAUAAACAAAAAAACUUUGAUCUUUUAAAAGCUUUUUUAAUAUUAUUUUAAUGAAUUUGGUAAUUAUAUUGUUUGUGGUUGGUUAUCGGUGAAAGUUUGUUGUGCUAUUGGUUGACAAUACAUAGACAACACGUUAAUCAGAUGAUAAAAAGUAUAAUUAAGUGAUUGUGAUGAUAAUGUUGAAAAUUUAAUUGUCCUCUGUUUUUACCACUAACAAGUUACUUUUUCAAUUCCCCAACUCUGCCCACCAUAACAAAAGCUCCGCACUUUCGGUUCUCUCAAUCAUCUCUGUGUUCACUCAAUCUAGGUCACAACAGCACCACUUUUGUAACCAAAGCAUGGCAACACUUUUGUAUCUCACAUGUGGUAUAAUUCAUUGACAAUUUUGGAAAUGACAAAAAGACAACUCUGCCCCAUUAACAUACAUAGCGUUAAUCCAAGAUCACUCUGUGUUCGCCAUGCUUUGAGUAUGUGAUGUAAAUUUUUCAUGCAAUUAUGAUUCUAGUCUCAAAAUCCUUUAAACCCAAUGAAAAUUUCUCAAUGGGUAAAAAGGAUUUUGAACAAUUUUCAUUGGGUUAUGAUGGAUUUUCAGUCUUAAUUUGUACUCUACACAAUAAACUUACAUAAAUUAGUCUUGGAUGACAAUUGCCGGCUAUAACUAAUUAUUACUUUAUAAUGCUGUUGCAAAUUUUGAUUGAUUAAGGAAGAAUAUUUUAAAUUUUACUUUUUUUUGACAAAAUAAAGAUGAAAAAGUUGACAUAUAAAAACAUCAAAACAUUGCAAACUAACAAUUCAGUUUGAAAUAAAUAAAGAGAACGUACAGAAUGGGGCCGAAAAGAAGGAAUCAUUGCUUAUAUCCAGUCUACUUAAACAUUAAGUUGAAGUGUUUCUCCACACAUAAGCAUGUAAACUCACAACCCUACAAGCAAUAAAUCUAUUGGUGCUUGAAGUUGGCAGCUUACCUGUCAGGUCGUUCCCACCCAAAUAUAUUUCUGUAAGCGUGGUUAGAUUCCAAACUCCAUUUGGUAUAUAUCCUCGGAAUUUGUUGUAAGACAAGGAUAAAACUUGGAGUCCUGAGCAUUCUCCGAUGCCUGAUGGAAUUUCACCUUCAAAGUUAUUAAGUGAUAAGUAAAGCCCUUGAAGUUGUGGGAGAUAAUCGCAGAUAUGUGCUGGAAGGUAACCCGAUAAGCUAUUAUUCGUAAAACCAAUUAUUUGCAAUGAGGAGAGGUUAAACAGAGCCUGUGGCAGAGGGCCUGCAAGUUGGUUAUGUUGAAUGUCCAAAACUGUCAAUUUCGGUAGAGCGCUGAAUUCUUCGGAAAGAUUUCCAGUAAAAAAGUUGAAACCCAACCUGAUGGUCUCUAACUUUGUGAAAUUAGAACCCGAAAAUCCGUUAUCUCGGAAGGAUAAGUAUUGGAGUGCACUCAAACCUCCCAACCAUGACGGAAGUUCGCCCUCAAAGGCAUUACCUUCCAAGUUGAUGUACUUCAAUCGGCGCAGACGAGAUAGCUCGGUUGGAAGAUGUUCAUGAAAGCUGUUAUUCCUAACAUUUAGCCAGACUAGAAAAGAAAGAUUUCCCAGUUCUGGAGGUAUGGUUGCUACAAUUCCCAUGUAAGAAAGGUUGAUGGCUGCGACUCUGUGAUGACGAGCAUUACAAGUGAUUCCAAUCCAGUUGCAAACAGAGGUAGAAGUGGACCAGUUGGUUGGAAUGAUCCUUUGGGGAUCGAAAAUGGCGGCUUUGAAGGCAAGAAGAGCAUUCAGAUCAACAGUGUUGUUUUGGUUGUUGGCUACAAUUAUGCUAGCUGAGCUAGUUGCGAUAAAGUGCAACAGUACCAAGGCUGCAACAAAAAGAAAAUAAGGUGUCUGCAUUGCUUAUGGAGAGGUAAAUAAAACUUGAGGAAUGCCAAACAAUUAAUAAAACAUGAGCAUUAUACUUGGGGUUGAGUUAAAAUUUUUCCACGAGGAAGUGACAAGGUUUUGGAAAAUCUGUUUCUCAAUUUGGUGAAUUAAUAUAGCUUGAUUCUAUCUCUGAGACCUAUGUUUUUAAUUUUGUCACAAUUUGAAACUAGCUUUUUUUUUUAUGUAUUCUUCUACUUUUGAGCAAUUGAUAUGACAAGCAAUUCCGGUGAUUUAGCAUUCUAUGUGGCAAAAUUGAUUUUGAGUAUAACAAAUUUCCAGGAAUGAUGAAAGGGAUACUACUCCAAGCCAAGCUAAAGUUAUUAUGUGUUUGAAGAUCUCUAUACAAAAAUAAAUUGAAGGAUAAAAGAAGAGAAGAUGCUGAGCAAGUGUACCUAAGCCUCCAUGGGCCAUUGUGUCGAAACACCAAGUUUUUAGUCUAAGUCCCUAGUAUGGAUUUAGUCUACGGUAUAAGUGGGUUAAUCACGUUUAUCUUUUGGUUAAACGACCAAAUGGGCCCUUCGGUUGACCAAAUUACAUUUACCCCUACAUGUGAUUGUGCUCAAGCCCAACUCACGGAAUCAAAUAAAGCAAAAAAUGCACUAUUAAUCAUCAAUGUUUGGUUAGCGUACCAAAAUGGUCCUAAUAUUUCAACUAAAACAAAUUUGAUUCUCAAUGUUUCUGAUUUUACCAAUAGUAAUAAUCAAAUUGCCAUUAGUCAUCCGUUUUGACUUUUGAAUUUUGGUCUAUAAUAAUUCGAAUUUUAAAAUUGUACCUCAAGUUAUAAAUACUAAAACUAAGAGUUUUAAAAUGAAAUGAUUUGCAAAUUAGAUUGAAAUUGUGUUGGAUGUGUAGUAGGAAUUCUGUAAUAGAAAACAUGCAAAAACUGAUUAAACUUAUUUUUCUUAUUUUUCUCUCACUUUUUAUUUCAUUUAUACAUCCCAUCUCAAAUUUCGCAUAAUAUUCAAAUUUAUUGUUUUGCACCAUGAAUAAUUAAUGGCUAAAAGUUCUAUUUAUUUAUUUUUACUUGUAUUAAUAAUUAAACACUUUAAACUAAAAGAAAUAUGUACCAUAAAUGACAAGUGAUUCCGGUCCAGUUGCAAACAGAGGCAGAAAUGCGGGACCAGUUGAUUCGGAAGAUGAUUUUUGUGACAUCAUUAUAUAGGAUAGAAGAAGAUGCAUUUUUUUUUUGUAACUAAACAUGCAAUAUAUAAAUCCAAUGUAGCACUCCAUGCUUUAGGAUGUAAAAAAAAAAAAAAAUUUAAUCAAGCCGAAUAAUCUAAUGUUUAAACUUAGUGAUUUUAAUAAGUCAAAAUUAUGUUCAACUUUAACUUACUUAUACAUUGAGUCGAAUUGAAACAAGCUUUUAUCAUAUCAAACUUGAGUCAAGAUUGAGUAGAUUGAAUUUUUUGCAUAUAUUUCAAGAUUCAUACUAAUCAAAUCAAAUUCAAGCUGAGUUUUAAACUUUAUUGAAUGCAAAAUGCAAUUCAUAUUUGUCUGGAUUAAUUGACGAACCAAACUCAAAUGAUUUCUUAUUGAGUUAAACUCGAUUCGAAUAUUAAGUAAUUUUGUUUAUCUUUCAACAAUACGUACUAUUGAUAAACUUUUCUCAGUUUUUAAAAUUUCCUUAUACAAACUUUUCUCAAUUUUUAAAAUUUCCUUAUACCCUGACUACUAAGGAUAAAAUGCAACAUAUUUAGGGGGGAAAAACCAAUCUCAAUUAGAUAUGGUUAAUUAUCCUACAAUGGGGGGUAAAUGUAUAUUUCUCCAUGUUUACUAACUUUAUGUGAAACAUUUGACAACUUACUAUCCUCGUAUAAAAAAUUUGAAAAUAAAUAAACAAAUAAAAAAGAGCCCGGAUGAAAAGUUAUAAUGAUACUGUACUAAAAAAAAUAUGGAAAAAAACAUUGAACUACUUUCAAUACUAGAGUAAAUUUUACUUUAUCAAGAUAAAAGGAUCCAUUAGACUUCGAAGUCUAAAGCGUUAUUCCUGCGGUUGUGCCGCACAGCCAACAUGUCUUUUUCCCCUCGAAUUGGAGCCCAAAUUGGACUUGGCACCUUCUGCUCAUUUUGUCUGAAAAGGAAUUUAACCCAAGCAACCAGCUAAUAAGAAAACUUGGUAUAACUCGUACAGGGUAUUCGUCAGCUUAGAUCACUAUCACUUGAAAUGCAACAAUCCUUGGAUUAAAUAAUUAAUUUGUUAUUCCACCGAGAUGAUGCCAAAGUCUUUAUUUUCGACGAAAGACUUCAACAAUAAUACUAAGGACUUAAAACGUGGAAUUUGUAGUGCAUUGCAUGACUUGAGUCAAUUGUAUGAUCAAUGCGUUUAGGUUAAUUAGACUACACUAGAGCCAGUUUCAUUAUAUUUAUUUUCUAUUUUAGAUUUAGAAGGUUAUCAGUGGAGGGGAUAAAGACAAUGAAAUUCUACCUAAAACUAGAAAAAUAAACUGUCAGAGAAUCAAAUAAGUGCAUAACGAACCAAUUGCGUUUAUCUCUAGAGUUAGAUAAUGACAUUUUUAGAAUAAUUAUUAUGACACUUUCUUAUUAUAUGAUGUAUAUGAGACAAAAUAAUGGUUGAGAUAACAAAAAAAAUUAUUAAAAAAUUUAUUUGUGAUUCAAGUAAAAAAAUUUUCAAACAAUAAUGAAUCGAAACAUGCUUGUAUGUGUAUGCAGCGACUAGCAAGAAAUAACCUACAGCCAGUGCUAUCUAUUGAUAUAUCUUAAAGAAAGAAAUUGACCAAAAUAAAUUUCUAUGCACCUAUUAAUUUGCUCAGAUACUACAUGCAUUUCAACCCUUUACUUGCUAGAUAUUACCUGCCUACCUGGGAAGAUUUAUACCUCACCUUGGAGUUCGUGGUAAGCAGGUUCUUCUUACUAGAUAGUGAUGUAUAGUUAUGGAGAAUUUUAAACACCUUUUCUUAUCAUUUGAGUCUAUUUUUUCUAAUAUGAGGGUGAUACUAAAGUCACCUAAUAUUGCCAUCUUGAGGAAGACAAUAAGGGUUGAAAUCUAUAUUUCAAUUCCAAUUUUGAUUCCAGUCUAUUAUGUGGAAAAAAAAAAGUUCCACCAAAAAACUUCUCACCCAGUCCCAAGUCAAGAAUUGACGGGUUAUUCAUUUUAUUUCUGCUAUUUCCUUUCAAGAAAGACCACAAACUGAGAAGGGAAGCUUUUAAAGUUUGCAUUUUCCAAUUGACUAAAAGGCGUUGGACCAUAAUACUCUCGUCUGAAUCCAGUCCACGCUUAACCAUUUCCGUGGUCCAGCAUAGAAGAUGACAGAUUCACCGUGGACGGCCUGUAUACUUCUGUUCAUUGGUCAGAAUCGUAAAUGGCUCCAUGCUACUAGAAUUUCCCCAACAAAUGCAUAGAAAAUCUAACAUUCACUUUUGUGGAUUCAUCUAAAACAAAAUUUGUGAGAACGUCUUCUUGGUGUAACGGUAGAUUCAAGACUAACUAUUGUACGUAAACAUGCUCUUAAAAAAAAAAAAAAAUCAUGGGAUCGUUUGCAAUUUAUACUGUUACGUGUAAUGUCUUCAAAAACUUUAAGAACUCAUAGAUUUUUUUUUCGCACUAUGUAUAAUUGAACUUCAAUAUUAAAUUUUGUUUUUGUUAAAAACUAACUUGAAGUUUUGGAUUUUUAUUUUCUGGGGUGAACCACUUAGGGAGCCCCUUAACCAUUCCAGUGAUCAGACUAUUGGUCCUUUAUCUAUUUCAAAUAUUGAAUUGGUCCCUCAAUAAUAAAAAAGUGUCAAAAUUUGAGAUUUUAAUUUAUUUCUACUCUUAUAUCCAUCAUAUUUCUACUUGGAUGAUGCCAAAAUCUUUAUUUUCGAAAAAAUGACUUCAACAAUAAUGCCGAGGACUUAAAUGCAAGGAAUUUAAAGUCAGUAACAUGGCAUGAGUCAAGUGUGUGAUAGAUGCGUUUAUGUUAAUUAGACGGGAUAAUUUCAGAAACCUCCCCUGAGGUUUCUAAUAAUUUCACUUGGCUUUCCUAAGGUUUCAAAAAUUACGCCUACCUCUCUUGUCCAUUUAAAAUGACAACACUAUCCUUAAUAUUUUUAAUAAGACUCUUUUGUUGCCAUGUUUAUGUAAAGGAUGGAUUUUAUUAUUUAGUUACCUUUUUCCUUCCUAUUCAUUUCUCUCAUAUUUCAUUGGAAGUAUAGAAGAACUAUCAAUGUUGUCCCUAAUAUCUAUCCAAAUUAAACUUUAAACUAGUAAUAUUUUUUUUUAUAACUUUUAAUAUCCUCCAAUUUUUUUUUGUAGCUUAAAACAAAAUGGCCCAAAAUCACUACCGAAUUAUGAUAGUUCCACCAUUAAACUAGUCCAUAAAUUUUUAUUAAAAAAAUAGUCCAUAAACUUUAAAAGAAACAAAAUAGCACUUUCUUCUCUAUCAUAAAAAGAAUUUAUAUUCCUAGUAAAGCAUUACGAAAAAUACCAUAUUACAACAAAAGAUUUAUUGUUAUAAUUAAUUAUCAAAUAACAAAUAUUGACAUGAAAAACUUGACACUCUUUUUGUUUAGAAAAAUAAAUUGAACUUUGUAAGAUAAGAGCAUUUUAAGGUAUUUAUUAAAAUUUUUACUCUAUUUUUUGCUUAGAGUUUACAUGCAUUUCAAUCAUUUACUUGCUAGAUAUUUCCAGCCUACCAAGGAAGAUUUAUACCUCGCGUUGGACUUCGUGGUAAGCGGAUUCUUCUUUCCAGAUAGUGAUACAUAGUUAUGGAGAAUUUUAAGCACCUUUUCUUGUCAUUUGACUCUGUUUUCCUCUAAUCCGGGGUUGAUACUAAAGUCACCUAAUAUUGCCAUCUUGACGAAGACCACAAGGGUCGAAAUCCAUGUCUCUUCUUUCCAUCCGACUUUUCUAAACUGAAGUGUGGAGAAAGAUAAGUAAUUAUCUGAGUUUUCUUAACUUAGACCUGCAGCAAUUAUUUUCCUUUUUCUUAUAUCUUUCCUGUUAAUUGGAUGGAAAGGAGCGAGAAAUAGAUUCGAGACUUUGACCCAAGACCUAGACCUGCUAAAGGUCUUCACCUUCCCCCUUCCCAAAAAAAAAAAAAACUUCCCGCUGUAGUUAUUAUUUUUUUUCUUACAUGCCUCUACAAUUUCAAGUUCGAAUUGCACCAUGAACUCUAUCAUCACUUGUGUGUGUGUGUGUUUUUUUUUUCUUUCCAAUUAAUUGCACCAUGCAGCACCCUUAUUUCUUUCUCUUUGUAACCAUAGUGGAUGAAAAGCAUACUUGGUUUUGAAACAUGUCGAAUUACCAAAUGCACACCUUAAUUUUGUGUAGUGAAUAACUAUCAUUUUCAUUGCACACCUUUAUUAUGUUAUUUCAUAUAAUUUGUAGCCUAAAACUUUUUUUUUCCAUAUGUUUCAGUUUUGGCCAAUAAGUUUAAACAGUUGACAAGAAUUUAUUGUAAAACCAUCAAUACCUUUGCCAAAAUUAACAAAAUAGAAGUAUUACUAAACAACACCAAAAUCCAUUAAGAGAAUCCUUUACAAAAUACUAAAUCACUGAAUGGGCUCACUUGAAUUCUAUAACCAAAUGUUUCUAAGUAACAAACAGGAAAUCAACCAUACAUCGAUCCAUGGCCCAUCCAUCCAUCAGGCAUCGAAUUUCAAGUGUGUCAUGGCCUGUAUACAUUUAAGUCAUGAGUCCUUUGCUUUUCCUUCCUGGCCCUACAUACUUCUUUAUCUCCAAUCUUCAUGCUCUGGUGAAGUUUCCUUCGUUUUUUCUUCCCAAAAGACGAGGGUUAAAGAUUGGGAUGUGAAGUUUCCUUGAAACUAGUUAAGGUUCAAGUUCAAAUAAAAGGACAUCAUUAAGAUUCCCAAGUUACAGGUUCACUUAACACAGUUACUAGUGCGUGUACAAAAUGGCUCUGUACUUUAUAAAAGUUCUCUUUAGCAGCUGAAAGAUAAGACUUGACAGUCACUUUUAGGUAGUUUUUGUAUAUUUGAUGCGUUAUCAAACGUUUAUUUUAUCUAUAAAGCAAUCAAUCCAUGUAAUUAUACAAGAAUUGUAUGCCAAAUGUUCAUGCAAUCACUUUUUGUUGAUGGAUCACAUUCAGUUCCAUAUUCUGCUUUAGCUAAAGAGGCAUCAACUUAUAGCUAGUUUUCUGACAAUCCAAAUUCAUGAACCUUGGCGAACAACAGGUUGUUGCCUUUUCUUGUUUAUUUCUGUUUGGGAUUUCUUGUAAGUUAGAAGAAUUGGAUGAUCUUAUUAGAACUUUAGCCUAUUGAAGAAGAUUAUCUUAUCUUGUGUAUAUGUCUGUCUUUGUAACUUUAGUUAUUAUCUGUGGUUGUUAUCCUUCCCACAGAAUUUUCGCAUGGUAUCAGAGCCAUGGAUGACGAAGGCAAACACAAGAAUGUUGGGAAUAAAUUUGUCUCACCAUACAUUUUGACUUCGAAUGACAAUCCUAGGACUAUUAUUUUCCAAGUACAAUUGAAAGGUGACAACUAUGAUGAAUGGGCUCGAGCGAUGAGCACUACAUUGAGAGCUAAGAAGAAAAUGGGAUUUAUCGAUGGAACAGUGAAGCAGCCAGAUGAUAAUUCCACCGAUCUGGAGGAUUGGUGGACUGUGAAUUCGAUGGUAGUUUCGUGGAUUCUCAAAACGAUAGAGCCAGCCUUGCGAUCCACCAUAACUCAUGUGGAAAUCGCAAAGGACCUAUGGGAAGACAUCCAAGAGAGGUUCUUUAUUGCUAACGGGCCUCGGGUACAACAGAUCAAAGGAGAGAUUGCAGAAUGGAAACAACGGAGACUUCCAAUUGUGACCUGCCAUGGAAAAUUGAAGCAAUUAUGGGAAGAGCUUGCAAACUAUGAACAAAUUCCGACAUGUUAAUGUGGAAGAUACACGUGCAAUCUUUCAGUCCAACUUUACAAGAAACAUGAGAAAGAAAAACUUCAUCAGUUCUUGUUGGAUUUGGAUGACAUGGUAUAUAGAACAGUUCGUACCAACAUUCUUGGGACAGAACCACUACCCAGUGUGGGUAAGGCAUGCUCGUUGAUAUGCCAAGAGGAGACCGUCUGCAGCAUGUCUAGAGGAAAGGAGGGACGUGGAGAGCUCGUGAGUUUUGUUGUUCAGGCCAACACAGGAGGUAGGAAACCUAGAACUGAAAUAAAGGAUAAGUCUGCACUGUGUUCAUAUUACAAUCACAGUGGACAUGAUGCUGGAAAUUGUUUUCAGCUUAUCGGAUAUCCUGAUUGGUGGGGUGAUCGGCCUAAAGGAAAUGGAAGCGGCUUAGGACGUGGACGCGGAAACCAGAAUUCAGGACGUGGAUGUGGGGGUAUGCCUAGGGCUAACUCCAUUCAGAUGAUUGGUCAGUCCUCCUCGUCAACAGUAGCCGCAGAAAGGGAGCAUACGGUACAAGGAUUGUUGAAUGGUGAACAGUAGGCAGUUUUCCUGAGUCUGCUGAAUUCUUGCAAACCUAGUGCCAAUGAAAAGCUAUCUGGUAAGAAUUAUUUGAACUGGAUAAUGGACUCGGGUGCGUCUCACCAUAUGACUGGAAGUUUAGGAUGUAUGUCUGAAUUGAAGGAUUUGACGGGGUGUGUAGUAGGAUUGCCUGAUGGCAGCCAAACAAUGGAGUUGAAAGAAGGGUCAGUUCGUUUGGAGAAAUAGAUGAAGUCAAAGAAUGUGCUAUAUGUCCCCGAUUUGAACUGCAAUUUAAUUUCAAUAUCACAGUUGCUUGAUGAAUUGAAUUGCAAUGUUUUAUUUACUAAAAAAUUAUGUGUUAUACAGGACCGCACUUCGAGGAUGGUGAUUGGAGCGGGUAAACGACGCGAAGGGCUUUACUACCUCAAGACCAUGGGAGAAAUCAAGACAUGCAAUACAAAAUGUAGGGAUAUCAAUGGGCUAUGACAUAGAAGAAUUGGACACCCAUCUACCAAAAUAGUAGGAUUACUCCCUGAUGUGAGUUCUAGCAGUAAUAAGUAUGAUAAGGGAAAACCUUGUGAAAUUUGUUUAAGAGCCAAACAGACUAGAGAAGUAUUUUUUCCUAGUGAUAAUAAAGUAAAUGCAAUUUUUGAGAUGAUACAUUGUGAUAUAUGCGGACCUUAUCGAACUACUGCUUCUUGUGGUGCCUCAUAUUUUUUAACUAUUGUGGAUGAUUUUUCAAGAGCUGUGUAGAUAUAUAUAUGUUGGUUGUUAAAUCCGAAGUAAAAUGUGUACUUCGUAAUUUCUUUGCAAUGGUCAAAUGACAAUAUAACAGGGAGGUGAAAAUUGUUAGAAGUGACAAUUCCACAUUCACUUGCUUAGAUAGUUAAUUUGCUGAAAAUGGAAUGAUCAUCAUACAUCAUGCGUUGGAACACCCCAACAGAAUGGGUGCGUUGAAAGGAAACAUCGGCAUAUUCUGAAUAUGACUAGAGUAUUAUGUUUUCAAGCAAAUCUUCCUAUUGAAUUUUGGGGAUAAUGUGUGCUGACUGCCGGAUAUUUGAUUAAUCGGACUCCAUCCAAACUUUUAGGGAAUAAGACGCCGUAUGAAUGUUUGUUUGGAGAGACACCCAGUUAUAAACAUAUUCAUACAUUUGGAUGUUUGUGCUAUGCUAGAGAUGUGAAUCGAGAGAGAGAUAAAUUUACCAAUAGGAGUCGGCGUUGUUUAUCUGUGGGAUAUCCCUUUGGUAAGAAGGGAUGGCAGCUGUAUGACCUUGAAAAUAGUAACUAUUUUGUAUCACGAGAUAUGAUGUUUUCAGAAGAUGAGUUUCCGUAUGCAGAGGCAAGUGCAACUAAUACAACCAACGAUGUCCUGGGGACAAGUCCACUUGAGCUAAUUGAUGGUGCUGAAGACGAAGUGGUUGAUGCAAGGGAAGAUGAUCUACUUGCAGAAGUCACGAGUAUAAUACCGGAGAUCACAAAUCGGGAUCACAAUGAUGAGAAUAACGAAGAAAGAGGGGCACCACAGGCGAAGAAGUUGGAUCGAUUGAUGAGCAACUUGGGUGUGGUCAACGAAAAAAGCACUCAUCUAGUCGCCUAAAAGAUUAUGUGACAUACAUAGCUCAAUGCAUAAACCCCUUCAGUAUGUUCACCCAAACUAAUCUCAUCCUCAGGUACUCCUUAUCCUAUAGCAUAUUAUGUAACGUGUGAUAAUUUUUCCGUGCAUCAUCGAUUUUUCUUAGUAAUUGUGACAACCGGUAGGGAGCCAAAAUUCUAUAGUGAGACAGUGAAGGACUCUCGGUGGUGACCGGCCAUGAAAAAUGAAAUCGAUACACUUGAGAAUAAUGGAACAUGGACGGUGGCAUACCUGCCACUAGAGAAGAAAGCCAUAGGUAGCAAAUGGGUAUACAAAAUCAAGUAUAACUCAGAUGGAACUAUCGAGCGGUAUAAGGCACGUCUGGUGAUUCUUCGCAAUAAUCAAGUUGAGGGAAUUGACUACCAUGAAACAUUCUCUCCUGUUGCAAAAAUGGUGACUGUUCGCACUUUCUUGUCUGUGACGGCAGCAAAGGAAUGGGAACUCCACCAGAUAGAUGUUUACAAUGCAUUUUUGCAUGGUGAUUUGGCAGAGGAAGUGUAUAUGAAGAUGCCUCCGGGUUUUACAAGUCCACAAUAUAGAAAGGUGUGUAGACUACAAAAAUCUCUUUAUUAGUUGCGACAAACUCCACGUUGUUGGUUUGCUAAACUCACAAAUACCUUGCAGUAGUACGGUUUUUCUCAAUCUCAUUCCUAUUAUUCAUUGUUUACUCUGAGUCAGAAUAACAUACAAAUGAAUAGACUCGUAUAUGUUGAUGACCUUGUGAUUGGGGGCAAUAACAGGGCUGCAAUUCAGCAAUUUAAGGAAUAUUUGUGUCAAUGUUUCCAUAUGAAAGACUUAGGAGUGUUAAUGUUGAUCUUAAUCCCUAUCUUUUGAUGUUUACAAAACAAAUGGAUGAUACUAGUAUUUCUUCAAGAUAUAUUUUCAGUUAUGAAGUUAUUUGAUUUCAUGAACAAGUGCAAUUAAAAGAAGACAAAGUAUGCUGAAGCUGUCGGACGCUCAAAAAGACUGCAUCAGACGUCCGACAACCAUUGAGUAUCUUCGGACGCAGAAAACCAGCCUAUCGGACGUCCUAAGGAAUUGAAGAAAAAUUUCCAGUUUUACAUCAUACCUUCGGACGCAGAAAACCAGCCUAUCGGACGUCCGAAAGAAUUGAAGAAAAAGUCUUAAACUCUCUGCCUGCUGUCGAACACAUAAAACAGGGCUACCGGACGUCCGAUACUGCCAACGGAUAGUUGACUGUUCAGCUACUUUCUAUCCGUUGGAAGCAUUAAUGAGGCACUGUCUUGGCUUUAUAUAAAUAGUGGUUGGUCAGAUAUUUCAAACAAUUUUGGCACACUAAAGAUACAAAAGAUCUAGAGAGAUUUUAGUGAGAAAAUACUCCAAAGAGAAGAUUUGUAGUCUUAGUGGUGUGAGAUUCAUUGUAAUCUUUUCAUUUGUGAGUGAAUACUUCAUAAGUGUAGCUCUGUGAGGGUUGUCCUGAGGGAUAGUAAAACGUCCUGACUUGAUCGAGUGGAGUUCGGGGCAAGGAGGAGGUGAACCUUCCUUUGUACACAAGAGUGAUUGUAAUUCAUCAACUUGAAGUAGCUUGUCUCAAUUAAUCUACAAGCUCAAGAGGAGUUGGGUAGUUAAUUGGUUUGUAAUCCUUUCCUUUUUAUUUACUUAUUGUUACAUUUGAAAUCUUUAUUUUGUUUAUCUUUUCUACUCACAAGCACUUUUGCUUUCUCAUCAACCGCUCCAUUGUGUGGUCGCCUAGAAAAGAGGGUCAUUUUCGGGCCUUACAAUUGGUAUCAGAGUUUGGUCUCCUAGAGAUUAAGCUCAAUCGGCUUUGGAGUAAAGAUGACAACCAACAAUGCUAUGUUUUUCGAAGGACAUUCUGUCAUUAGACCACCAAUGUUUAAUGGGUCAAAUUAUGUGAGUUGGAAAGAAAGAAUGAUUAUUUUUUUGUAAUCUAUUGAUAUUGAAUUGUGGUUUAUUAUUAGUGAAAGUCCAUAUGAUGCAUCUCUUAUAGAUGAAAAUACUCAGAGAUCUAGACAAAAAAUAAGAAGUGAACUGACUGCUGCGGAUAGAGCUCAUCUCACAUUAAAUGCAAAAGUCAUGAAUGUGUUAUAUUGUGCUUUAAACUUAAAUGAAACUAUUAGAGUCAAAGGCUGCAAGUCAGCCAAGGAAAUUUGGGAUAAACUGAGAGAAAUUCAUGAAGGUAGUGAGAAUGUUAGAGAAUAAAAGAAGUCCAUUCUAGUUACAAAGUAUGAAUCUUUCAAGAUGCAAUCUCAUGAAAACAUUGAUGAGAUGUAUUGUAGAUUCAAUGACCUCAUUAAGGAUUUAGAGGUGCUGGAAAAAGAAUAUUCUCUUGGUGAGAAAAAUAGAAAAAUCCUGAAUGCCUUGUCCAAUGAUUGGAAAAAUAAAGUGACUGCUAUUGAGGAGACUAAAGAUUUGAAUACCAUGCCUAUUGAAUCUCUUAUUAAUUCUCUAACAUCUUAUGAACUGAAACUUAAGUCCAAAAUGUAAGAGAAUGAGGAUGCGAAAGUAAGAAGGAGCAUUGCUCUAAAAGUCUCACAAGAUGAAGAUGAUUCUACCUCCCUGGAUGAAGAAGAUGUGGAAGGUGAUGACAAUGAUAUCGCACUCAUCACAAGAAGUUUCAAACGAAUACUCAACAAGAAGAGAUUCAGAAAAGGUGGACCUAGCAAUUCAUUCCCAAAUCAGUUCAAUAACUCGAGAAAUAAAGGGAAGCUAGAGUUCAACAAAAAGCAAACUGAUAAGUGUUUUGAAUGCGGCCAACCUGGACACUACGCAAGUGAGUGUCCAAUGAAGAAGAAGAAUGAAGGAAGAAUACCAAGAUUCAACAAAUUUCAAUUCACAUGGAAUGAGUGUAACUCCGAUGGUGAAAUUGAAGAGGAAGAAGAAUCUGCUCAAUUGACUUUUAUGGCCAUUGGAGAUGAUGAGGUAACGUCUUCUAACUCUCAAUUUGAAAGUGACGAUGAAACUGAUAAUGAUAUUGAAUCUUUCAUUAUAAAAUUGCAUGAUAGUUUGAAAGAAUCCUAUAUUAGAAACAAGGAGUUAAAACAGAAAAUUAGUUUUUUGUUUCGAGAAAAUGCAAAUCUUUUUCAACAAAAUAAAAAGUUGAAAGCUGAAAAUGAUUACUUCAAAAAGAGUGAGACUGCUUUACACUUUGAACUUGAUAGAAAAACAAAACUUUGUGAAUUGUUCAAAAAGGAACAAGGUGAUUUAAAAAGAAGAAUAGAUGGUUUAAAUGAGUUACUUAAAUACAAGAAACAAGUCUGUUUUCAAAAGAAUAUGUUGAAUUUUAAUUUCAACGAAUUUACUAUCCAUAGGAAAAGGCAAGUCAGAUUUAUUAAACCCGUUCAUGUGAAUGACUUUUUGGUUAUGUGUAAUUUCUAUUGUCAAAAAGGUCACAUGAAAAGUGAUUGUUAUGUGAAAAAGAAUAUAAAAAAGGCAUGAAAUACAUGUGGAUAGUUAGACAUAAUACUAACUUUAACAAGUAGGAAAUUUUGUUAAUCAUUGCAAUUAUUUUUGUUCAUAAUUUUUUGAUAUUUCUGAUACUUUGAUCUGAGUUUUCGCUGAUAUUUUUGAAUACUACUGAAUCUGUAUGAUGUCAAAAAAGGAGAAAAAAGAACUAUUCUGAUUUAACGAUGAUUUGCUUUGUUAAUCUUUCUGUGAUAUAUUGGUAAUUGCUGUGAUUGCUGUCAUUUCUCUGUUUUUAUUUGGAUUAUUGGAUUCUCUAUUACUGUUGCUGGUUUUUGGUAGCUGAUUUUUACUCUCAUCUUAUGAUGACAAAAAAGGGGAGAAAUGGAUGCUAUGUGUUAGGGGGAGUUAUUCUGAAAUUAUAAGUUUGGUUGCCAUGAGUGAGGGGGAGUUUAUGCUCAUAUGCUCAAUCUUUUUCCUUCCUUCCAUCCAUUGUUUUGUCAUCAUCAGAAAAGGGGAGAAUGUUGAUCUUGAUCCCUAUCUUUUGAUGUUUACAAAAAAAAUGGAUGAUACUAAUAUUUCUUCAAGAUAUAUUUUCAGUUAUGAAGUUAUUUGAUUCCAUGAACAAGUGCAAUUGAAAGAAGACAAAGUAUGUUGAAGCUGUCGGACGCUCAAAAAGACUGCAUCGGACGUCCGACAACCAUUGAGUAUUUUCGGACGCAGAAAACCAGCCUAUCGGACGUCCUAAGGAAUUGAAGAAAAAUUUCCAAUUUUACAUCAUACUUUCGGACGUAGAAAACCAGCCUAUCGGACGUCCGAAAGAAUUGAAGAAAAAGUCUUAAAUUCUCUGCUUGCUGUCGGACGCAUAAAACAGGGCUACCGGACGUCCGACACUGCCAACGGAUAGUUGACUGUUCAACUAUUUUCUAUCCAUUGGAAGCAUUAAUGAAGCACUUUCUUGGCUCUAUAUAAAUAGCGGUUGGUCAGAUAUUUCAAACAAUUUUGGCACACUAAAGAUACAAAAGAUCUAGAGAGAUUUUAGUGAGAAAAUACUCCAAAGAGAAAAUUUGUAGUCUUAGUGGUGUGAGAUUCAUUGUAAGCUUUUCAUUUGUGAGUGAAUACUUCAUGAGUGUAGCUUUGUGAGGGUUGUCCUGAGGGAUAGUAAAACGUCCUGGCUUGACCGAGUGGAGUUCGGGGCAAGGAGGAGGUAAACCUUCCUUUGUACACAAGAGUGAUUGUAAUUCAUUAACUUGAAGUAGCUUGUCUCAAUUAAUCUACAAGCUCAAGAGGAGUUGGAUAGUUAAUUGGUUUGCAAUCCUUUCCUUUUUAUUUACUUAUUGUUACAUUUGAAAUCUUUAUUUUGUUUAUCUUUUCUACUCACAAGCACUUGUGCUUUCUCAUCAACCGCUCCAUUGUGUGGUCGCCUAGAAAAGAGGGUUGUUUUCGGGCCUUACAGUUAAAAUACUUCUUAGGAUUGGAAGUUGCUAGAAAUAAGGAUGGACUUUUUCUCUGUCAACGAAAGUAUGUGCUGGAUAUCAUUACUAAUGCCGGGUUAUUGGGUGCUCGGCUAACAGGAAUUCCGAUGGAGCAACAUCAUCAGUUGGCAAUGGCAGAAAGCAUGCCUUUGAUAGAGCCAGAAAAGUAUAGUCGGUUAGUAGGCCGGUUAAUUUAUUUGACACUAAUGCGACCUAAGUUGUCUUAUGGUGUCCAUGUUCUCACUCAGUUUAUGCAGAAACCCAAAGAGGAACAUUGGGAAGCAGCCUUGCGGAUGGUUCGCUAUUUGAAAGGCAGCCCUCGUCAAGAUAUAUUCCCUCGAUCAGCCUGCAAUUUGCAAUUGCAAGCAUAUUAUGAUUCGGACUGGGCAAGCUAUCCUUUGACACGCCGGUCUCUCACCGGAUACUUUGUUUUAUUGGGAAACUCUCCUAUAUCUUGGAAAACUAAGAAGCAACAUACCGUGUCAAGAUCAUUUGCUGAAGCAGAGUAUCGAUCUAUGGCCGCAACCAUCUGUGAGCUGCGAUGGUUGAAGGGCCUGCUAGCUUCCCUUAGGGUGGUACAUUCUGGACCUAUGCAACUUUAUUGUGAUAGUCAAGCAACCAUGCAUAUAGCGGCUAAUCCUGUGUUUCAUGAGCGGAUAAAACAUAUUGAGGUGGAUUGUCAAUUUGUACGUGAUGAAGUUCAAAGUGGAAAUGUUAACACUACUUAUAUGCGUAGUUCAGAGCAGUUAGCCGAUAUUUUUACUAAAUCGCUUGGAAGACAAUAAUUCGAGUAUCUUCUUCGCAAGUUGGGCAUUUAAGAUCUCCACGCACCAACUUGAGGGGGGGGUAUUGAAGAAGAUUAUCUUAUCUUGUGUAUAUGUUUGUCUUUGUAACUUUAGUUAUUAUUUGUGGUUGUUAUCCUUGGAAAUAUUUUUAGGAGUAGUUGAGGUAUGAUAGAACUCUAUCACUGAGGCUCGAUAGAAUUCUCUUUUCAGUUGGUAUGUGAUACAAGUCUGUCCUCGUUGUUUGUAUAUAUUGAAGGCAUGGAAGCAAUAAGAAAAUAGACUUCCCACAGAAUUUUCACAUAACCAAUUUGAAAUUAUGGUCUUCGGCCUUCCCUUUGGGAUUGCUCCAACUUAGUACCUGAAGAUCCAUCUUUGUCUGCCCUUCAAGGUCACUUUUGUGAGUAUAGAAUCACAUUGACGAGUUUUAGGCUUUUAGCUGAUCCUUGAGGUUGGAAAUUGGAACCGAGUAUGCCCUUAGUAGUUAAAGUAAAGGUACUAACUGGGAUGAGGCUUAAGCAUUGAAAGCCAAAAGAAAAAAAAACACACACACACACACACUCACACACUUUUUUUCCUAUAUUAUAUGUAUCUCACUUUGCAAGUUAUUAAUCACAGGUACCAGCUUUUCAUUAAGACUAAAAAAGACGGAAAAAGAAUAAAUUAAUUGAUUCUUAAUUGGUAAAGUUGACUAGACCAAAUUAGACAAGGCCCAGUCUUUGGGGCAAAAACAUAAUUAGCUUCUUGAAUGUGUGAAGCCAAAAAUUGGGUACUCAAGUCAUCAAAUCCUAAAUCGACACGAGUAGGGUGUAUACGAGUUAAGUCGAGAUCGAGUAUAGCAUUCGAAUAACAUUGGCACCCUACUUGACUCGAAAUCGAGCUCGAUUGAAUUCGGGAAUAGAGGAUCGAACUCAACUCACUGAAACAGUAAAAAAAACCUGAACUCGACUUGAUAUGACUCAAAUCAAGAUCGAGCCAUAUCGAGCUUGAUUACUCGAUGCUACUUUCAAGCAUAGAUGCUCAAUCAGAUCUCAUUUUUGAGCCUCUAAACUCGAAACCUGGCAAAUGAAAUUGAAUUUUGUCUACUUCAAAUUCUAUUACCUUUUUGCCAUUAAAAAAAAUUUAAAUUAAGUAUGCAAAUCAGCUUGUCAAUUAUCUAAAAACAUAAACCUUUAGUGGAAAUUUUGUAUUUAAAAACAUAUAUUAUUUAAAUUUAUAAGUGCUCAAUGAGUAGGUCGUUGAACUUGAGUAGCAUAUAUCUGGGCUUGAAACUCAAAUUGCUUUCCGGUUGAGUAAUUCGAACUCGGGCUUGGACUCGAUCAACCUGGGCUCGAGUCGAGUGAUUGACCGAGUUCUUCAACUCGGCACUCGGCUCACAAUCAAACCUAGACGUGAGGCUGAAUUUUCUUGUUUAUUAAUUUUUGUUUUGCUGAAUCAGUAUUCUUUUCCUUAACCAACUAAAAAAUUUGACCCAAUUAAGGAAUCAGGCAUGCAUAUAUAUAGUCCAGACAUUAUCUGAGAAACUCUUCCCCUGUGGAUACUGCAAAAUAUAAAUACUAAUGGCUCUGGCAAGAAUCAAGGCAAUAUUCCCACAUUCCCUCUACUUUUAGCUGCAAUUGGUAACAAUAAUCAGAAAAAGACAAUCUCAAAAUGGAUGCAGGGGUAUAAAAAUGAAGACCAUAAGACAAGUGGGUAGCAUACUUGAAGUGUGUAGAAUCUUCUCUUUAUCACAUAUCCACUAUACUUUCUUUAUGUGAAUUAUUCUUCCAGUUCUCAAGUCUGUGGCUAAGGUGAGCUCAUACAAUCUAUCUUUUUAUAGCACAUCCUACCACUUGCUUUAAACUUAUCCUAAUCAUGCUAGGACAAAUCAUAUUAAGGCUAAAAGCAUGUAUAUUCCUUCACAAAUCUAAGUAGUAAGUACCAUGUGUAUCAUGAUCUCCAAAGUGGGGGACAUGAAUCAAUCAGUCAAAAUGGCGAUCCAAACAUGACAAAUUAGGCCCAAAAAAGGAAAAAAAAUCGACUUUUUUGGAGCAUACAUUUAAGUGGAGGUUGAACUUGAUACCUCAUUGACUUGGAGACGACUUCAUCCUAUUGAGCUAAAGCUGAUUGGUAAGUGAAAACUCAUAUAUCGCUUUUGAUUAGUGGUCAUUUUUACCUAGAGGUGACGAUUUCAAUCAAUGUCUUCCUUUACAUGGAGGGAAAACUAGUUUUGGAUUCUCUAAAUAACAAGUGUAGGGUGGAGAGACUUCAAGAAUUAAACUUAGGAUGUAUUUGAUAAAAUUGAAAUUUAAAACCUAAAAUCUAAAAUUUGAAUCUGAAAUAUGAAUCUGUUAAGUGGUUAAAUUGUUAAUUAUUGGAAUCUUAACCUUUGAGCAUAUUUUGUAUUAAAUAAGAAGUGAACAAUUUAUUACUUAUUUGUUGGAGUAAGUUUUGCUUAAACAAUUAAGAGCCACUUGAUUAAUUAAAAUGUUCUAUUUUUGUUAGCAAGUAUUUCUAAAUAUUCUAAGGUUUUGACCCAUUAAAUUUAAGCGGUGAAUUGGAUUAUCAAAUAAGGCCUUAAUUUGACAUGCAAUUUUAUUCAACUUUAAACUAAUUCACCUUCAUUUAGCAAAAGCAAAGUCAAGAUUACUGCAAAAUCCCGACUUAAUUGCACGACGGAAAGUCACCAUCUCUGCCCAUCAUCGAGUUCGUAAGACAAGGACAAAUCUGAAAAUCAGUCGAUUAAGUUAACUUUGGGAAACAUUAGCUUCCCCUUUUUGGGCUUUUCAAGUGGGGAUGGAUGACCCAGACAAACGGUUUUGUCAUUUUCCAUUUUAAGCCCAUGGAAUAAUAGGCGAUUGAUAAGUUUAACUACAUGAUUUUGUUCAGUUCAACUGUCCAUACAAAUUAACGACAAAAGCCCAUUUGUGGAAUAUAUUAACCCCACAACAAUCGCUUAUUUCGGAGCUAUUUUAUUUGAUAUGUGUUUUUCAAAAUGUUGAUUAAUCAAAAUCAGCUAAUUCUACUUUUGUGUUGAUCUUUUUCUUUGUUAUUGAAAAAAUUUAAAUCCUAAAUACAAAAGUCAACAAGAACAUCUAAAAAUUUAUUUUUCAAAAUCAAAAUCUAAAAUUAACUCAAAUAAUCAAAUGAAAAGAACCCCUUUUUUUUAUUUUACUUUUGUAUCAUUUGAUCAGCGGUUGGAGUUCAAAGCUUACAACACCAGCUUCCAUUCAUCUAGCUACUCAUUUGAUCUAAUCUUCAUUCAUUUGAUAAUUUAUUAUUGUAAAUUUUUUUUUAUAAGAGAUUUAUGUAUUAGCUUAAAUUAAUUAAAGGACUAUUUAUCCAAAAUAUCUCUCUAUCCAAAAUGUACCACUUGGAAUUUUUUUAAAAAAUUUUUACUGUAAGCAGGAGGAUUCGAACUCGAGACAUCUUGCUUACACUCCUUCCCCGUACCACUUGGAUUUAAAUAUGUGCUGUGUCACAACCCAAAAACCUCGAUAACUCCCACUUGUCAAUUUCUAAAAGUCCUCUAUUUGGACUUUUUCCUUCUCUCAAAUUAUCAAUUAACCUUGUCAACUGUCCCCUAAUUGCAGAAAUUUUAUUGCACGAAAAAGCCCACAAACAAUUUUUUGAGCAGAAAAAAAUUCCAAUUAUUCUAAUUCAACAUGGCACUAGAAUGGCACUUGGAAUCCUCCGUGACACAUUUUGAGUGCCAAAUCAGUGCCACCUCUAAUAUUAUGCCAAGUGUCCUGUUAUUAUUUACAUUUUAAUUUUUUAAAAAUUCAAAUUAAUUUAAUUUAACACAAAUUAACUCUAUCAUCUAACACUUUGAACCAAACCAACCAACCGGUCUGAUUCCAUUACCAAUACUUUCAUCAUUGAUUGGCUUCACUUCCUUCAAACCCUUCAAACCCUUCACUGCCGAUUCCUUCUUCCUCCGAUGAAGUCCUUUUGAUUGGCUCAUCUUCACUGCCGAUUGGCUCACCGUCAAAGGCAUCUUCACUGCCGAUUGCCUCACCGGUUGGUUCCCUUCUCUUUCGAGCUCCGGCAAGAGGCAAUUUCAUGUACUUCAUGGCUGAGUUGUAGAAGGAGGAAGAAGAUUGGGCUACGGUUGAUUGUUCUAAGCAAUCAACGAUGAACGAAAGUAUCUUUUAGGCUACGGUUGCUUGGAGGCAAUUGUUUAGGGGUAUCUUUUUCUUUUUCCCAUGCCAAUCAGAUCUUGAGUGGUUGCUGAACGAAAGUAUUGGUAAUGGAAUCAGACCGGUUGGUUGGUUUGGUUCAAAGUGUUAGAGGAUAGAGUUAAUUUGUGUUAAAUUAAAUUAAUUUGAAUUUUUAAAAAAUUAAAAUGCAAAUAAUAACAGGACACUUGGUAUAAUAUUAGAGGUGGCACUGAUUUGGCACUCAAAAUGUGUCACCGAGGAUCCCAAGUGUGUCACGCCUCAAAUCUGAUAAUCUUAUUUAAAAAUAUUUAACUUUUAGUUUAGAGCACGGCACUAGCAUACCCUCUUAAGAGGAUACAAAGCCGCUUGAUAAACUUAUAAAUACAAAUCAAUAAUUAUAUGAAUCUUCGAAUGUGUUUACAAAAGUCCAAAAUGUAAAAAAUCACUCAUACGUCUCACUCUAAGUUCACAAUUUAUAUACAUUACUAGAGUAAAAAAAGUUGUGCAGGCAACAAUUUAGCAAAACUUAACUCUAAGAAUAUAGCCUGAUCAAAACUAGUUUUGAAGCCUUCUUAGAUUUGAUUCUAUACGUAGGAGAGGAAAUUAAGUGGAGUGAGCAUCCACUUGCUCAGCAAGUAGCCCAACAGUAUCUCUAUUGGAUCGAGCAUAUUAAUAAGAUAUAUAAUAUUUAAUAAAAUUAUUUCACAAAUUAAAUCACCAUUAACACAUUACAUAUACAAUGCAUAAUUAUGCAUGAAUUCAUAUUUGAUUAUUCUUAAAUUAUAAUCCAUAUGUCUAUUCCUCUUUUCACUUUGCCUUGAAAUAAAGAAUAUGUUACGGUCACUUUAUAUUCAUGACAGAGCCAUUGCCUACAAUUCUUAUCCAUGACGGGAUCAUAUGUAGGUUAAAAACAUAGUUCUGGAUGCUAUACAACAUGUCACUUUGUACCCAUGAUAGAACCAUUACCCACUAUUUUUACCAGUGGUAGGGCUGUAUCGGCAUUUAACACAACAAUUCUAGAACCUUUUCCUAACCUUUACUUGUUUUAGCACAUAACACAAGCAUUCAUGGGCACAAAAUAAUAAACUAAUUACGUAUGCUCCAUCCCAAUUAAUAUAAUAAAAUAAUUUCCAUGACAAUUUGCAAAUAACAUUCUCAAAAUCAUAGAAAUAUGAUAAAGCCAGUUACCUGUUAACUAGUAUAAACCGAAAUUCAUCCACAGAGUCACCCAAAUCCUUUUUUAAUCUUCCCCUAAAACUCUAAAAAUUAGAGUAUUAACUAUUUGCUUGAAACGCCUAAAAAUAUGACUGCUUACUUAAGAAAUUCAACAAUGGUAAUAUUCAAUUGAAUGGACAUGAUAACUAAAGCUAUAUACGUCAAAAAAUUGUAAAACUUGUGCUCUUACAAACUAAAGUUGAAGUGCUAACAAUCAUUAGAAGAGAAAUGUCAACGAUUUGGAUCAUACACUAGUUUAAAUUCAAUAAAAAAAGUCAGUACAUUUUCCAGCUCCCGUGUUGUGUAGGUUGGGAAUUUCAGCAAAUGCAAUCCUUGGUUAAACACACAUAACUCAAGUUAUAUAUAUCGAAUCACUACAAAAUUAGUAGCAUUAGAAACUAUAUUUCGAGUGCUAAAUAUCUUCAGAGGAAUCAUUUAGCGAAUCAAUCAAAAGAGGGCCUUAAUUUGGACCAUAAUUUAGCGCAAUUUUCAAUCCUUAACCAUGUAGGUUCUCAUUUUCAACCAAUUUUGUAAAUUUUCUGGUAUUCAUAGGCAACAAAACCAGAGUUGUAAUUUUAUACCAUUUGAAAGAUCCUUGAAUUUAAUUUUGAAUGCAACUAAUGGAACUCAAUUUUGAUUUUUCUAUGCCAAGUGAUGCCUAAUUUUCCUAAGCUUCAUAGAGGUGACUGUUAGUCGCAAAACUGAUUGGAAUUCCAGGUGUUCUUGGUUAUUAAUACAAAAAUUCUUCCAAUUUCUUGUGUAUAUCCAUAUCAAUUUGCAGUAUGGACUCAAAUUUAUAUCAUACUUAAAUAACUUCUUACUCGUACAUAAUAUUCAAUUGGCUAGAAAACUUUUGGAUUAUUGGGGUUUGGGCAUUACAAAAGCGGUGAUGGUUGCUGCUGACUAUUCUGAGCGUGGAUCACCUACGUGUCUAUCUAACAUCCAUAACAAGCAGCCUCCUGAAGUCAUUUCUGACGAUGGUCUCAUUUUCUUUGUUCUUGCUGUUGAAUCAGAGGAUAGAGAACCUUAGGAACCAUGAGUGAGUUGGUUACUCGGCCUAGCCAUUGAUAUGCUGGUGUAUUACAUUUAAUUUUUUAUAUGGACUUAAUGGUGUUUAAAUGGCUUGUUCAAAUUCUUCAAACCAAUUUUUUUUUUUUUAAAAAAGAAUUUUAUGCAGUAAAUACCUCGUUUUGCUUGUUUAUUUUAGGGGGAGAGAAAGGGAUGGGGGGGUGUGGGGAAUACUUUUGCACCGUGCUUAGUUGCUUGCUUGUAGAAUACAAAUUUAAGUUGAUGCAAGAAAUGGACUGUCUUUACAUAUGCAAGAAAUGGACCGUUAAUGGAGAUAGAGGGAUGAUCUCAAUUUCCAGAAUUUUAGAAAAGGACACAAUCAAACCAAUUUGACACCAGAAACACAAAUAGAGACAAAAUACUCUUCUAUCUUUUCUUUUUGUGGUGAGGGAGGAGAGGUUUGGGAUGAGGAUUUAAACGGGUCGAAUUGAACUUCAUUGGGGCAGAAUAACAAAAAAUAAACCAUGAAAAACACCUAAACACAUCCAAUGUUUCCGUUUUCCAAAACUAAGUAGGUGGAACAUGCUGAAUUUUUUUUUUUUAUUUCCAAUGUUAAAGGAAUGUAUGGAAUGAGUUGUUCCCAAAUCACCAACAAUCCAGUGUAGAGCUUCGUCAGAGUAAUUUCUCAAAAUUGUGAUAUUUAACAAAUGUUCCCACCAUUUUCUAGCUUGAGGAAAUGGUACAUCAUUAAUUUUAACAACCUCCAACUAUCCUCAACAAUAAUUAGAAAUACAAGCUUCAAUUUUACCCCGAAAAGGUGCUAUUAAUUUCUAUUAAGUGGUAAUUUUUUUUUCUAUUAAGUGGUAAUUGUUGCACAUAAAACUACUUUACCAUCUCUGUUUUUUGCACCUUUAAAAUGUGUAAUUUGUAAUAAAAUAAAUGCUUGAAUCUGCAUGCCAUAUGCAUGUUCUAUAUGUACAAAUACAUAUGCUUAUGCGUACCUCUACAUGGUGAUAUAUACUGAUGAUCAAAAGAGGAAGUUGAAAAGAGGAAAGUUGUAUCAGUAAUUAAAAGUAGAUUACCAACUUAAUUGCCAUAUAUAUAUAUGUCAAACAUAAACACCAAGUAAAAUGCUUGGCGUUUCAUGACAUAUAAGCUGGGAUCAUGAACUUGUGGUCCUUAUAUCUGUAAACAAUUUAUUGGUAAUACAUUAACAUAUCUCAUUCCUUCCUUGAACUUUAAGCAUUUCGGUGGUGCACCAAGUCAGGACAAAGAAUUCCCCAAAUACAUUUGCACCUCAGGGCUCUGCCAUGUAUUGAGUGGAAAAACAUAAGUACUACUUGAAUGAAUAAUAAUCCUUGGAAUAAGCUUUUGAUAUACCAUAUGAUUGAAGAAAAAAGUUGCUAUUGGAUUAUUGGUUUUAUACCUGCUUCAAGGUGUGAUGUCUUUGAUAAACUGGAGUUUGAUCUUCUGCAGCGCUCUUAGUACUUCUUUCAUGUUUAUUCUCUCCUCAGGAGCAUCUGUUGUACAACUUAAACCAAGUUGCAAGACAGAUGAUAUGCAGUUAAUCUUCUUUUGUACCAGUUCAUUUUCAGGAUGAAGUAAGUCUCUGUCUAUAACUUGAAUCACAGAAUCUGGUAAGCAAUCUUGUACCCAACGCCUGAGGCUUAACUCUUCUGUGAACAUCUCAUCCUUAGGCUUUCUUUUUGUAAAUGUCUCCAUCAAUGUAAUUCCAAAGCUGUAGACAUCACAACUUGUUGAAACCAAUCCUUCCAGUCCAUACUCUAGCACCAAAAUGUGAAACUCGCGGUUAAAGUCAAAUUUAUGUUUUUUCUUAAAGGUUUUAUAUUUGACAUACCGUACUAGUUGUUGAAAGUUGAAACAUUAAUUUGAAUGAUAUAAAAAUUUCGAAAUUUGAGUCACCUGGGGAAUAUAUCCAAAUGUAGCAAGAGUCUUUGUUUGUACCACCGAUUCUCCAUCUCCUAACAACUUUGCAAUUCCAAAAUCGCAAACAUGUCCAACCAUGUCUUGAUCUAGGAGAAUAUUGCCAGGUUUCAAGUCACAAUGAACUAUAGGAGUUGAAUAACCAUAGUGGAGAUAUUCCAAACCAGAAGCCACAUCUAUCGUGAUAUCCAACCUUUGCAUGAUACUUAGGACAUGAUGGUUUACAUGAAGCCAUUUCUCAAGGCUUCCAUUGGGCAUGUAUUCGAGCACCAAAGCCUUAAAGUCAAGGUUAGAGCAAGCAGUAAUCACUCUAGUUAAAUUUCGAUGACGAAGGCAGCUUAAGAUUUCACAUUCUCUGUCAAAGCUUUUAAAUGCACCUUCUGGCUGCAAAUCGAAUACCUUUAUGGCCCAAACCAUCCCAUUUUCGCGAAUUCCCUUGUAAACUGAACCAAAGCUCCCCGAGCCAAGUAAGUUACUCUCGCUGAAUCCAUUUGUUAUUUGUCUAAGUUCAUGGAAGGAUGCCCUUUCAAAUGUCGCCAUGGGAAGCAAGUUCUGAGUUGGAGCUAGAAUUUUCUUUCUCAGCUUUAACCGCAUCAAAAAAAUUGAAAUUACCAAGGCUAAUAUGAUAGAUCCUGAUGCCAACAGAACAAUCAUGACUAUCCUUUUUUUCCUUGAUUCAUGCUCAAACGUACUUGUACAAGGUUGGAGCCAAGGAGCGCCACACAAUGCUUCAUUUGAGAGAAAAGAUAGGUUCGUGAAAUUUGCGAAUGGCCCUCCAUGAGGAAUCGGUCCUCUCAAUCUGUUGUAAGACACAUUAAAGUAUUUGAGAUUUGACAGUACCUGUAAUGAGUUGGGAAUUUCACCUUCCAGAUUGUUAAAAGAUAGAUCCAAAUGCCAUAACUGCAACAUAUUCUUCAUGGAAUCUGGUAUCAAUCCUUGCAGCUUGUUACGUUCAAAGGAGAGUUCUUGCAAAUCCUGUAGUGCUCCAAUAGUGCUAGGUAUCCCACCCAAGUAUUGAUUAUUUGAAAGGUUCAAAUAGACUAAUGCCUUGAAGUAUCCAAUAUCUGCGGGCAAAGAACCUGUCAAAUAAUUUCCUGACAUGUCUAGCUCCAAAAUAUCUCUAAGGCUCCAAAAGCUUGUUGGUAUCACAGAUCUUAAAUUGUUAGAAUAGAGAUAAACAUAUCUCAGUGUUGUAACGUUUCCCAAACAAGAAGGCACCAUACCAGAGAGCUUAUUUUUUGCCAGCAAAUAACAAAGCUCACUUGGAAUAGCUCCUUGUAUCUGAUUGUCAGUUAGCUCUAUGACCUGAAGCUUCAACAACCAUUUGAUUGUAGUUGGAAUUACUCCAGUCAAACUAUUGAUUGAAAAGUCCAGCUCAAUCAAGUUGCUCAAAUUACCAAUCGAACUUGGAAUUUCACUUAUGAUUCCACAACGAGCGGCAGAAAUGGAUUUUUCGGGUGAGCUAGAAAGAUUUCCAAUAGACUUUGGGAGGAAGCCAUUCAGAGGAUUCUCAUCUAACCACAACCUUCUUAAAUGUUUGCAAUUUGAUAGGGAUAUGAUGAAGCUCAACUCUUUGGAUAGCGAGGCCUCAGAAAAACCAUUUUGCGAUAUAACAAACUGUUCCAGUAAUCUCAAGUUUCCAAGAGAACGUGGAAUUGCACCAGUAAAAUGGUUAUCGCCAAGGUCUAGGAUUCUGAGCCUAGAAGCAUUUAGGAUAGAUGUUAGUAUAGUUCCAGUGAAUUCAUUUACCCCAAGGUAGAGUUCCUCAAGAUUGGGUAAGAAAGCACCUAUAGUUGAUGGAAGCUCGCCUGAUAAAUCGUUGUCCGUGACAGAAAUAAUUCGUGCAAUUGAACUAUUAAAAAGUUUCAGCGGAAUGGGACCUCUCAACCUAUUCGAGGCGAAGUCUAAUAGUUCCAACUUGCUAAGAUUACCAACCUCUUGAGGUAUUAUACCUGACAAAUCAAAUUGGUAAGAAAAAAAUGAGUCAUUUGACUUGAAACAAUUUGUUGAGAUAGGGAAGUAUUUCCCAUUGUAUCAUCAGUAUCUCUAUUUUUGAAGUGAUCAAUUGGAAUUUGAAGUUGAGUUAGAGAUGUAGGCUGUAGCAUAUUGAGAUCAAGCUGAUCGAAAUCCUUUUAGCUUAUGCAGUGCACUAGUAUGACUGACCAAUUGACGUAUGAGAAAGAGCCAUAUUUGAUUUGUAUUUGAACUCGCUCGACUUCAAGCUCAAAUUCAAGUUUGAGAAAAGUAUUCUAAUGAUGGAAUAAUGAAAUAGAUCUAAUGCCAAAAUGUGUCAAGAUUUUUACCUGUCACAUUAGCACGCUGCAUGCUGAGUUUCUCCAAAUUAUAGAGAUUGUCAAUGACUUUUGGAAUUUCACCUGCUCAAAAAUCACGGCUUGAUGAUAAAUAUAAUUCACGGCAUGGCAUAAUUAUAUGUAUACAAUAUAUAUGCAUUUCAGAAUUCUAAGGAUCUUCAGUUUAGUUUCAAACAAUAUCAUGUAAAUCUCUCAUAAAUAUUGGCAAAAUAACGAUUACAUACACUCCCAAAAUAUUAUUUCAUCCUUCUUUCACAAUUUUAUUUCUUACAUCAAACAAAAUUGUGUGUUUGGCAUAGUCAUUAAUCCCGGCCUAGAUAUCAACCUGGCAAGGCCAUUGGUGCAACAACUUAGCGGCUUAACCAUAGAUUUACUGAUCCAACUAUUUCCUUCCUCAUUCAGUCCAACUACUGAUCCAAGAUCACUAAGUUGACCAAUUGAACCAUUGGGUUAGGUGAGGUUAGGUUUAGUAACUCUGCGUUCGCCAUGCUUUGAGUUUUUUUUUCCUGACUUUUAUCUUUAUUUUGUUGAAAACAAAAACUUCUUUAUUCACACGAAGUUUGCACCAAUACUUAAGCAGUUAGCAAUCAUCAGAAAUAGUGUAUGUGAUGUAAAUUUUUCAUGCAAUUAUGAUUCUAGUCUCAAAAUCCUUUAAACCCAAUGAAAAUUUCUCAAUGGGUUAAAAAGGAUUUUGAACAAUUUUCAUUGGGUUAUGAUGGAUUUUCAGUCUUAAUUUGUACUCUACACAAUAAACUUACAUAAAUUAGUCUUGGAUGACAAUUGCCGGCUAUAACUAAUAAUUACUUUAUAAUGUUGUUGCAAAUUUUGAUUGAUUAAGGAAGAAUAUUUUAAAUUUUACUUUUUUUGACAAAAUAAAGAUGAAAAAGUUGACAAAUAAAAACAUCAAAACAUUGCAAACUAACAAUUCAGUUUGAAAUAAAUAAAGAUAACGUACAGAAUGGGGCCGAAAAGAAGGAAUCGUUGCUUAUAGAAAUCUGUGACUUUAAGAUAAAUGUUAAGUGUUUCUCCACACAUUAAAUCUGUGAUCUAUUGGUGCUUGAAAUAUACAAGAAUUUUUCAAAACAAAGUGAAGUUGGCAGCUUACCUGUCAGGUCGUUCCCACCCAAAUAUAAAACUGUAAGCGUGGUUAGAUUCCAAACUCCUUUUGAUAUAUAUCCUCGGAAUUUGUUGUCAAACAAGGAUAAAACUUGGAGUCCUGAGCAUUCUCCAAUGCCUGAUGGAAUUUCACCUUCAAAGUAAUUCCCUGAUAAGUAAAGCCCUUUAAGUUGUGGGAGAUAAUCGCAGAUAUGUGCUGGAAGGUAACCCGAUAAGCUAUUAUUCGUAAAACCAAUAAAUUGCAACGAGGAGAGGUUAAAUAGAGCCUGUGGCAGAGGGCCUGCGAGUUGGUUAUGUUGAAUUUCCAAAAGUUUCAGUUUCGGUAGAGCACUGAAUUCUUCUGAAAGAUUCCCCGUAAAGAAGUUGUGACCCAACCAGAUGGUCUCUAACUUUGUGAAAUUAGAGAGUCUGCCUGAUAAUGAACCUGAAAAUCCGUUAUCUCGGAAGGAUAAGUAUCGGAGUGCAGUUAAAGCUCCCAACCACGACGGAAGUUCUCCCUCAAAGGCAUUACCUUCCAAGCUGAUGUACUUCAAUCGGCGCAGACGAGAGAGCUCGGUUGGAAGAUGUCCAUGAAAGCUGUUAUUCAUGACAUUGAACCUGACGAGAAAAGAAAUAUUUCCCAGUUGUGGAGGUAUAGUUCCCGCAAUUCCCAUGUAAGAAAGGUCAAUGGCUGCGACUCUGUGAUGACGAGUAUUACAAGUGAUUCCAAUCCAGUUGCAAACAGAGGUAGAUGUGGACCAGUUGGUUGGGAUGAUCCUUUGAGGAUCGAAAAUGGCGGCUUUGAAGGCAAGAAGAGCAUUCAGAUCAACAGUGUUGUUUUGGUUGUUGGCUACAAUUAUGGUAGCUGAGCCAGUUGCGAUAAAGUGCAACAGUACCAAGGCUCCAACGAAGAGAAAAUAAGUUGUCUGCAUUGCUUAUGGAGAGGUAAAUAAAACUUGAGGAAUGCCAAACAAUUAAUAAAACUUGGGCAUACAUUGUGACUUUGGGCAGGACUUAUAUAGGCAUAUACUUGGGGUUGAGUUAAAAUGUUUCCACGAGGAAGUGACCAAAUGAGCUUAACUCGUACAGGGUUUUCCUCAGCUUAGAUCACUCUCAAUUGAAACGCAACAAUUCUUGGAUUAAAUAAUUAGUUAUAGGCCAUCUAAGGUAUUCCACCGAGAUGAUGCCAAAGUCUUUAUUUUGGACGAAAAACUUCAACAAUAAUACUAAGGACUUGAAAACGUGGAAUUUAUAGUACAUUGCAUGACCUCAGUCUAUUGUAUGAUCAAUUCGUUUAGGUUAAUUAGACUACACUAGAGCCAGUUUCAUUAUAUUUAUUUUCUAUUUCAGAUUUAGAAGGUUAUCAGUGGAGGAUGAAUCAAAGAAAAGAGAGGGGAUAAAGACAAUGAAAUUCUACCUAAAACCAUACAAGUAAGUGAAAAUAACCAAGAUGUAUACUCAUAAUGAGCUCUGCAAUUCCAUUCUCAAUUUUGAUUCCAGAAUUUGAAUCAAACACGUCCUAAAUGGAAAAAGAAGAGAAGACUGAAGACUCGUUCAAGUGUCUUAAUCCUCAAACUAUCUUGCCUCAUGAGGGGCCCUAAUUUGUCUAAGUGUCUAUUAUGUGGAAAGAAAACAGUCGCACCAAAAAACUUCUCACCCGGUCCCAAGUCAAGAAUUGACGCGUUAUUCAUUUUAUUUCUGCUAUUUCCUUUCAAGAAAGACCACAAACUGAGAAGGGAAGCUAUUAAAGUUUGCAUUUUCCAAUUGACCAAAAGGCAUUGGACCAUAAUACUCUCGUAUGAAUCCAGUCCACGCUUAACCCAGCAUAGAAGAUUGCCUAUAUACUUCUGUUCAUUGGUUAAUGGUCAGAGUCGUAAAUGGCUCCAUGUUACUAGAACUUCCCCAACUGGACUUUAAUUAUCUUCUACCCCACAAAUGCAUGGAAAAGCUAACAUUCACUUUUGUGGAUUCAUCUAAAACAAAAUUUGUGAGAACGUCUUCUUAGAAGUGAGUAGUCCUACAGCAUUGGUGUAACGGUAGAUUCAAGACUUCAAAUUGUACCCAACUAACUGUUGUACGUAAACAUGUUCUUAAAAAAAAAAAAAAAAAAAUCAUGGGAUCGUUUGCAAUUUAUACUAAAAUGUUACGUGUAAUGUCUUCAAAAAGUUUAAGAACUCAUAGAUUUUUUUUCGCACUAUGUAUAAUUGUACUUCAAUAUUGAAUUUUGUUUUUGUUAAAAACUAACUUGAAGUUUUGGAUUUUAUUUUCUUGGGUGAACCACUUAGGGAGCCCCUUAACUAUUCCAGUUAUCAAACUAUUGGUCUUUUAUCUAUUUCAAAUAUUGAAUUGGUCCCUCAACAAUAAAAAAGUGUCAAAAUUUGAGAUUUUAAUUUAUUUCUACCGUUAUAUCCAUCAUAUUUCCACUUGGAUGAUGCCAAAAUCUUUAUUUUCGAAAAAAAACUUCAACAAUAAUGCCGAGGACUUAAAUAUGGGGAAUUUAAAGUCUGUAACAUGGCCUGAGUCAAGUGUGUGAUAAAUGCAUUUAUGUUAAUUAGAUGGUAUAAUUUCAGAAACCUCCCCUAAGGUUUUUGAUAAUUUCACUUGGCUCCCCUAAGGUUUCAAAAAAUUACACAUACCUCUCUUGUCCAUUUAAAAUGGGAAUAAUUUCAGAAACCUCCCCUGAGAUUUCUGACAGUCUCACUCACUUCCCCUGAACUUUGCAAAAUAUCAGAUACCUCCCCUGAACUUAUAGUUGGUGUAACAAGAUCAGCCCAUGUCAGAAAAAUGAGCAUUAAAAAAAUAUUUUGAGGAGUGAGAUGAUAUUUGUGUUACACAUAUGCCCUUUUUGCUUAUCCACAACUUGAGCUAAAGCAAAAGCAAAAAAAGGAAGUAAUAAGUUGAACCAGAUAGAGACAAAUGCAGAUGGUUUCUUCAAGCAAUAUUACAAUACUAUUUAUAUUUUUUUGUUUUAGCUAUUAGACAUUUAUUUAGCUAAUAUGAUCAUUCAAUUAAUUGAAACAUACUUCUGGUGAUAUAAAAAAUGUAUAGUUUUACAAUUUGAGUGAUUAAAAGUAUAAAUUUUUAUUAGUUAAGUCAUAAAAAAAUAUUAUUUGAGUGAUUAAAAGUAUAAAUUUUUACUAGUUAAGUCACAAAAAAUUUUUCACUAUUUGAUUAAUUGAGUGAAUGGCAAUUGCAGUUAAAUAAAUAGUGUAACGAUCAAAUAACCAAAUUCUCAAUAGUUUAAUAACUCUUUUUGCGAUUUUCUCUGUGGAAAAUGAAAUGAAGUAGCAAGAUGCUUCAUUUCAUUUAGUGCUAGAUACUUUAGUUGAGAUUUUUUAAAAAAAAAAAAUAAUUCACACUGUAGUUAGUCGAAUUUAUUCAACAAGCUUCGUUUGAAUAGCAGAACUUAGGUAGAUCCGAUUUUCUAAAAAUUCAAUAAUCCAAAUUGUGUCACAUCACUUUAUGAGAUGAUGUAAUAUACAAUUUACGUCAUUGAAUUUUUGAAAACCAAAUUUACCCAAAUAUAAGUAAUGUGUUACAUUAGAUAAUUGUCUUACAAAAAAAAAACAUGAAAUACAUGACUUAAGAGAAAGGUAACACUAGUGCUAAACUCUUCAUUGGUGAUUAUACUACGAAUAAAAAGUGUAAAGUGGAAUAGAAGGUAUAUCAAAAGUUAUAUCUCUAUUACUCAUUUAACUAAUUUUGUCAAAAUAGCUUCAAAAUAUAUUAUAAGUUAUGAGGGUAUAUCUGUCAAUUCAUCAUCAAUGAUAUCACAAAUAGGGCCCAAUAAUCUGACAAGGGAGGUAUCUGAUAUUUUGCAAAGUUCAGGGGAGGUGAGCGAGACUGUCAGUAACCUUAGGGGAGGUUUCUGAAAUUAUCCCUUUAAAAUGACAACACUAUCCUUAAUAAUUUUAAUAAGACUCUUUUGUUGCCAUGUUUAUGCAAAGGAUGGAUUUAAUUAUUUUGUUUGCCUUUUUCCUUCCAAUUCAUUUCUCUUAUAUUUCAUUAGAAGUAUAGAAGAACUAUCAAUGUUGUCCCUAAUAUCUAUUCAAAUUAAACUUUAAACUAGUAAUAUUUUUUUGAUAACUUUUAAUAUCCUCCAAUAUUUUUUGUAGCUUAAAACAAAAUGGCCUAAAAUCACUACCAAAUUAUGAUAGUUCCACCACUAAACUAGUCCAUAAAUUUUUAUUAAAAAAAUAGUCCAUAAACUUUAAAAGAAACAAAAUAGCACUUUCUUCUCUAUCAUAAAAAGAAUUUAUAUUCCUAGUAAAGCAUUAUGAAAAAUACCAUAUUACAGCAAAAGAUUUAUUGUUAUAAUUAAUUAUCAAAUAACAAAUAUUGACAUGAAAAACUUGACACUUUUUUUGUUUAGAAAAUUAAAUUGAACUUUGUAGGAUAGGAGCAUUUUAAGGUAUUUAUUAAAAAUUUUACUCUAUUUUUUGCUCAGAAUCUACGUGCAUUUCAAUCAGUCACUUGCAAGAUAUUUCCUGCCUACCAAGGAAGAUUUAUUCCUCAUGUUGGACUUCGUGGUAAGCGGAUUCUUCUUUCUAGAUAGUGAUACAUAGUUAUGGAGACUUUUAAACAACUUUUCUUGUCAUUUGAGUCUAUUUAACCCUAAUCCGGGGUUGAUACUAAAGUCACCUAAUUUUACCAUCUUGACGAAGACCACAAGAGUCGAAAUCUAUGUCUCUUCUUUCCAUCUAACUUUUCUAAAGUGAAAUGUAGAGAAAGAUAAGUAAUUAUCUGAGUUUUCUGGCUCCAGUCUGUGGGAGAUAAAGACCUUACACUACCAUCACUGACUUGACUUAGGCCUGCAGCAGCUAUUUUCUUUUUUCUUAUAUCCUUCCUGUUAAUUGGAUGGAAAGAAGCGAGAAAUAGAUUGGAGAUUUUGACCCAAGACCUAGACCUGCUAAAGGUCUUCACCUUCCCCCUCCCCCCAAAAAAAAAAAAAUUUCUUCCUGCUGUAGUUAUUAUCUUUUUUCUUACACACCUCUACAAUUUCAAGUUCCACUUGCACCGUGAACUCUAUCAUCACUUGUGUGUGUGUGUGUGUCUGUGUGUGUUUUUUUAUUUCUUUGCUUUCCAAUUAAUUGCACCAUGCAGCACCCUUAUUUCUAUCUCUUUGUAACCAUAGUGGAUAUGUGGAUGAAAAGCAUACUUGGUUUUGAUACCAAUGCACACCUUAAUUGUGUGUAGUGAAUAACUAUCAUUUUCAUUGCAUACCUUAAUUGUGUUAUUUCAGAUUAUUUGUAGCCUAAAAUUUUUUCACAUGUUUCAGUUUUGGCCAAUAAGUUUACGCAGUUGACAAGAAUUUAUUGUAAAACUAUCAAUUCCUUUGCCAAAAUUAACAAAAUAGAAGAAUUACUAAACAACAGCAAAAUCCACUGAGAGAAUGCUUUACAAAAUACUAAAGCACUGAAUGGGCUCACUUGAAUUCUAUAGCCCAAACGGUUCUAAGCAACAAACAGGAAAACAACCAUACAUGGAUCCAUGGCCCAUCCAUCCAUCACGCAUCAAAUAUCAAGUGUGUCAUGGACACUAUACAUUUAAGUCAUGAGUCCCAAAACUGAAAAUUAAACCUUUCAGAAAUGCUAAGAAUAAAAACUAAUCCUAUAUUCCUCUGCAUAAAUUUUUUUUUUCUUUUUCUUUGAUGGUCUGAAGAAUAUUUUACUGACUUGGCAUGGAGAAAUAAAGAGCAUUUCAGAAUCCAAAUUUGAUUCUAUGAGCAAUUAAUCAGCCAAUUUGGCGAUUGGAAGCAUAUACAAAUGUCUGUGGAAUAAGUCAUUUUUUAAAUUUGGAAAUUUAUAAUGUAAUUUUUAUUAUUUUUCAGAUAUGUUCUUUGAUAUCCAUGUAUAUUUGAUGACGUAUUUUUUGUCAUUAGUGCAGAUUUUAAAGAAAUUAUGAUAUUUUUUCAAAAAAAAAAAACCCGGAGGGGAUGGAAACGGCUGAAUUCUUUUAAUCUCCAAUGUCAAAGGAAUGUAUGAAUUAGAUGGGGAAUCUCCAACGUCAAAGAAAAUGCAUGAAUGAAAUGUUCCCAAAUCACCUACAGUCUAGUGACGAGCUCCAACGAAAGUAAUUUUUCAAAAUAGAGCUACUUAACAAAUGUUCCCACACAAGAAAAAAUAUAUAUUCCCACAGCUCAAGGAAAUGGUACAUCGUUAUUAUUCACAAUCUCCCACCAUCGUCAACACCAAUUACAAAUUUGAGCUUCAGGCAACGCUUAAAAAGUGUUAUUAAUUUCUGCUAGGUAGUAAUUGUUGGACAUGAAACUACUUUGCACUCUCUGUUAUGUGCACCUUUAAAAUGUAAUUUGAAAAAAAAUAAGUUUUUUUUAACGCAUGUCCAAUCGAUACUCGGUAACACAUCCACAUUCCACCCAAUCUAUCAUGUAUAUAUAUAUAUACUAACAAUUACUACCAUCCCUUACAUUUAUACAUUUUUUCUAAUUAAUCCUUCUGCAUUUUUGCACUUUUUUUAAUUAAUUUUAUAUUUCUAAAAACCUAACAUCUGAAAUACAUCUUAACGAGAGCACCCAUUAGAUAGACCGAUAAAAUAAAUAUAUGAAUCUAUAUGCCAUAUGCAUGCUCUGUAUUUACAAAUACAUAUGCCUACGUGUAUCUCUACAUGGUGAUAUAUAUCGACGAUCAAUUUGUUUCUCAUUUAUUUGCAAAAAUUGAAAAAGGGAAAGAUGGAUCAAUAACUGAAAGUAAAUAAUCAACUUAAUUGCAAUCUAUGUAUGUCAAACAAAAACACAAAGUAAAAUGCUUGGGCUUUCAUAACAUAUAAAAUGGGAUUAUGAACUUGAGGUCUCCAUAUCUGUAAACAAACUUAUUGGUAAAUACAACAUAUCUCAUUCCUGUUUUGAACCAUAAGCAUUUCGGUGGUGCACAAAGUCAAGACUAAGAAUUCCCCAAAUACAUUUGCGCCUCAGAACUCUGCAACGUAUUCAGGAGAAAAACGUAAGUACUACUUGAAUGAAUAGUAAUCCUUGGAUUAAGCUUUUGUUAUACCGUAAGAUUGAAGAAAAAAUUGCUAUUGGAAUAUCACAUAAAUAAUGGUUUAUACCUGCUUCAAGGUACGAUAUCUUUGAUAAACUGAAGUUUGAUCUUCUGGAGCACUCUUAGAAUCUCUUUCAUGUUUAUUCUCUCCUCAGGAACAUAUGUUGUACAACUUAAACCAACUUGCAAGAUAGAUGAUAUGCAUUCAAUCUUCCUUUGUACCAGUCCACCUUCAUGAUGAAGUAAAUCUCCAUCUAUAACCUGAAUGAUGGAAUCCGGUAAGCAAUCUUGUACCCAACGCCUGAGGCUUAACUCCUCCGUAAACAUCUUAUCCUUCGGCUUUCUUUUUGUAAAUGUUUCCAUCAAUGUAAUCCCAAAGCUGUAAGCAUCACUACUUGUUGAAACCAAUCCUUCCAAUCCAUAUUCUAGCAUCAGUGUUUGAAAAUCAUUGUCAAAGUCUUUUUUUCAAAGUUCUUAUAUUGCACAUACCGUACUCGUUGUUAAAGUUGAAACAUUAAUUUGAAUGACAUAAAAAAUUCGAAAUUGUAAUCAAGAAAAGUCACCUGGGGCAAUAUAUCCAAAUGUAGCAAGAGUCUUUGUUUGUACCAUAGAUUCUCCAUCUCCCAACAACUUUGCAAUUCCAAAAUCACAAACAUGCCCAACCAUGUCUUGAUCCAGUAGAAUAUUGCUAGGCUUCAAAUUACGGUGAACUAUAGGAGUUGAAUAACCAUAAUGGAGAUAUUCCAAACCACAAGCCACAUCUAUCAUAACAUCCAAUCGUUGCUUCAUGUUUAAGAAAUGAUGGUUUGAAUGAAGCCAUUUCUCAAGGCAUCCAUUGGGCAUAUAUUCAAGCACCAAAGCCUUAAAGUCGGGGCUAGAGCAAGCACCAAUUACUUUAGUUAAAUUUCGAUGACGAAGGCAGCUUAAGACUUCACAUUCUCUGUCAAAGCUUUUAAAUGCACCUUCUAGCUGCAAAUCAAAUACCUUUAUGGCCCAAACCAUCCCAUUUUCACGAAUUCCCUUGUAAACUGAACCAAAGCUCCCCGAGCCAAGUAAGUUGCUCUCGCUGAAUCCAUUUGUUAUUUUUCUAAGUUCAUGGAAGGAUGCCCUUUCAAAUAUCGCCAUGAGAAGCAAGUUCUGAGUCGGAGCUAGAGUUUUCUUUCUCAACUUUGACCGCAUCAAAAAAAUUGAAAUCACCAAGGCUAAUAUGACAGAUCCUGAUGCCAACAGAACAAUCAUGACUAUCCUUUUUGUCCCUGAUUCAUGUUGAAAUGUACUUGUACAAGGUUGGCGCCAAGGAGCACCACACAAUGCUUCAUUUGAGAGAAAAGAUAGGUUCGUGAAAUUUGUGAAUGGUCCUCCAUGAGGAAUCGGUCCUCUCAAUCUGUUGUAAGACACAUUAAAGUAUUGGAGAUCUGAUAGUACCUGUAAUGAGUUGGGAAUUUCACCUUCCAGAUUGUUAAAAGAUAGAUCCAAAUGCCGUAACUGCAGCAUAUUCUUCAAGGAAUCUGGUAUCAAUCCUUGUAGCUUGUUAUGUUCCAAGGCGAGUUCUUGCAAAUCCUGUAGUGUUCCAACAGUGCUAGGUAUCCCACCCAAGUAUUGAUUAUUUGAAAGGUUCAAAUAGACUAAUGCCUUCAAGUUUCCAAUUUCCGCAGGCAAAGAACCUGUCAAACAAUUUUCAGACAUGUCCAGCCCCAAAAUAUCUCUAAGGCUCCAAAAGCUUGUCGGUAUCACAGAACUUAACUUGUUAGAAUUGAGAUAAGCAUAUCUGAGUGUUGUAACAUUUCCUAAACCAGAAGGCACCACACCAGAAAGCUUAUUUUUUGCCAGAUAUAAUCCUUCUAAGUUCAACAAAUAACAAAGCUCACUUGGAAUAGCUCCUUGUAUCUGGUUGUAAGUUAGAUCUAUCAUCUGAAGCUUCAACAACCAUUUGAUUGUAGUUGGAAUUACGCCUGUCAAGCUAUUGGUUGCAAAGUUCAGCCCUAUCAAGUUGCUCAAAUUACCAAUCGAACUUGGAAUUUCACUUCUGAUUCCACAACGAGUGGCAUCAAUGAAUUCGAGUGAGCUAGAAAGAUUUCCAAUAGACUUUGGGAGGAAGCCAUUAAGAGGAUUCUCAUUUAUCCACAACCUUCUUAAAUGUUUGCAGUUUGAUAGGGACAUGAUGAAGCUCAACUCUUUGGAUAGCGAGUCCUCAGAAAAAUCAUUUUGCGAUAUAACAAACUGUUCCAGUAAUCUCAAGUUUCCAAGAGAACGAGGAAUUGCACCAGUAAAAUGGUUCACACCAAGGUCUAGCAUUCUGAGCUUAGAAGCAUUUGAGAUAGAUGUUAGUAUAGUUCCAGUGAAUUCAUUUCCCCCAAGGUAGAGUCCCUCAAGAUUGGGUAAGAAAGCACCUAUAGUUGAUGGAAGCUUGCCUGACAAAUCAUUCUCCGCGAGAGAAAUAAGUCGUGUAGUUGAACUAUUGAAAAGUUUCAAUGGGAUGGGACUUCUUAACCUAUUCGACUCCAAGAUUAGUAGUUCCAACUUGCUAAGAUUACCAAUCUCUUGAGGUAUUAUACCUGACAAAUCAAAUUGGUAAAAAAAAAAUUUGAAGAUUGCUUGUUGUCCUACUUUUAGAAUAGACAAUGAGAAGUUAUAUUUUUGUAUUUACACCUAUUAAAAAAUAUUCUUUAGUGUAUCUCUGUAUAGUCUAAUCAAUAUGAAUAUUUGAUUUCAAGCAUGUAUACAUUAGUACAAAUACCAUUAGCAUUACUAGUGAUAAAGGGCACACUCAGCUUACGUGCAAUUUAAAAAAAAAUCACUUUUUAUACAAAAGAAAUUGGUAUAAAAUUUUAAUAAGUGAAAAACUUUGAUCUUUUAAAAGCUUUUUUAAUAUUAUUAUAAUGUUUGUGGUUGGUUAUUGGUGAAAGUUAGUUGUGUUAUUGGUUGAUAAUACAUAGGCAACAUGUUAAUCAGCUAAUAAAAGUAUAAUUAAGUGAUGUGAUGAUAAUGUCGAAAAUUUAGAAGUGACAAAUAUGGUCUAAUUAAAUUUCACCUAUAUGCACUCCGGUUAUUAUGUCAUCAAUUCAUUCACAUUAAUUUGGUCUAAUACCAUUACAAAUGCAUUUUUUAAAAUUUCUUUAUGUUAUAUCCGCAAAUAUGAUAAACAAUCAUGCAAAAACAUAUCAUUUCUCCCACGAAUAUUCCAUCUCAACUAAUUAAUUAACCAUUCAUUUACUCCUUUAUAAUUAUUAAUUUAAUAAUUAAUAAUCAUUUCUCCUAGGAUUGGUUUAAUUAAUUGUACAUAUUAAUUUAUGAUCAUUUUCCUCCUACCCGUGAUUGGUUUAAUUGUUCUCCUCAACUACUUCAACCACUAACAAGUUGCUUAUUUAAUCCCUAUAUUUUCAGACUUGAAUCAGGUAUCGACUCGGUCAAACUUAAGAGUCAAUGAGUUCGAUCAAAUUCGAUUAGGGGUUGAACCAGAUGAUGUCAUAAAUAAAAAUUAUUUAAAAAUUAAAAUAUUGUACGUAAAAUAUCUAAGAGCAUGUUAAUAUUAAUAAAAGUAUAUUCAUAUAUAUUUGAUGUUUCAAAUGUAUUUAACAAGAAAAUACAAGAAAAUUAGAACAAUCAAAUAGCAAUUUAUAUUAUUCAAUGAACAUUAACAAAUUUAGAAUUAAAAUUAUAGACUUGAUUGAAAAAUAACACCAAACUUUAGGAUAAUAUUUAUAAAGUAUAAAAUAUUUGAGGUAUAUUAAUAGUUUUUAACAAUCUGGAGGUCAAAACAUAAUAUUAAAAAUUCUUUGACCCCACAUUACACUUUCCCAUUUCAUCCUCUACUCUCGAUGCAUUGCAUAGAGCACAGCUACCAGAGUUUCAUCAUCCUCUUUCUUUGCAAUUCUGCAACUCCUUUCUUCUUCUACUUCUUCUUUUAAUUUUAUUUUCAUUCUUAUUUUAUUAAUUUUUUAUUCUCAAUCUUAUGAAAUAUCAAGCUUAUAUCUUUUCCUCAAACCUUUCUCUUCUUCACUCCCUUUUUUGCAUUUUUGGAUCUUUUUUUCUUUUGAAUACAAAUCUUAAAUCUUGUUUUAAAAAAAUGUUAAAACAUUGAUUUUUGAUGCUUGAAUUGAAGUGAAAAAGGAGAGAGCUCACAAGGAUUUGGAGUUAAAGGUACGGAAGGAAAAAAAUUCAACAAAAAGGAAAAUUAAAAAAAACCCAAUUUUUACCGGUUCUUCUAGUUUUGACCAAGUCUCUAACAACCCGAGCUUUUAAGAUAAUUCAGAUCGGAUACUUGGCUGAUUUUCGAUUCAAUCAAUUGGACCGAUCGAUCCGAUCUAAGUUUAAAAACAUGCCUUAAUUCCCCAACUCUGCCCACCAUAACAAAAGUUCCACAUUUUCAGCUCUCAAUCAUUUUUAUGUCCACUCAAUCUGUGCCCCACAACCUUGUCACAACAAUACCUCGUUAUUCUCAACUUGUACUGAGCCUGGCGUCUUUCAGUAAAAUUUACAGCUCAUGUGCCUAAUCCAAACCGCUUUGAUGCCAAUUAUUGUAUUCGUGUCUUUCAUAUACUUGAUCCGUACUCAUGGGUACUAACUGCUAUCCCAUUUUGUAGAAUUUUUGCCUAGGAAAGUAGUAACCAAAGCAUGACAACAUGGCAAAACUUUUGUAUCUCACAUAUCUGAAGUCAAAUAGCUGAAUUUAAUGAAAGAGGAAGCAUCUCAACAAAUUCAGGGGCAAAGACAGGAAAGCAAGUGGUAUAAUUCAUUGACAAUGCUGGAAAUGACAAAACAUUUUGAGACUGUUUCAAACGAAAUAACAUGACAUUGUCAACAGAGGCAUAGAAUUAUACGGAUACACUUUCCUCUCUCCAAGCAUUCACUCUUUCUAUCUCUUUGUACCCUCUCUCUAAGUGCUUCCUCGUCUUCCUAUUUCCCAUUGUAUCAUUUGUUAGGCCCCUAUCAGUAUCUCAAAAAUGUGGCAAGCCACUUUUAAGUGGCUUCCAGACGAGUGCGCUCGUCUGGAUCGGUAGGUGAUUCAGUUCUCUUCGAUUUUUGCUUAAUCUUUUCAGGUCCCCCUUCUUUGUAGUAUACAAUAGAUAUAGAUCUAUUGUAGCGAAAAAAAAUCAGUAUCUCUUUUUUUGAUGUGCAAUCAAUUGGAAUUUGAAAUUGAGUUGUAGAUGUAGGCUGUAGCAUAUUGAGAUCAAGCUGAUCAAAAUCAUUUUAGCUCAUGCAGUGCACUGGUAUGACUGACCAAUUGACGUAUGAGAAAGAGUCCAAUUUGAUUUGUAUUUGAACUCGCUUGACUUCAAGUUCAAAUUCAAGUUUGAGAAAAGUAUUCUAAUGAUGGAAUAAUGAAAUAGAUCUCAUGUCAAAAUGUAUCUAGUUUUUUACCUGUAAUAUUAGCACGCUCCAUGCUUAGUAUCUCCAAAUUAUAGAGAUUGCCAAUGAUUUUUGGAAUUUCACCUGCCAGAAAUCACGGCAUGAUGAUAAAUAUAAUUAACAGUAUGGCAUAAUUAUAUGUAUAAUAUAUAUAUAUGUAUGUAUAUAUAUUUAGGAAUUCUAAGGAUCUUCAGUCAAGUUUCAAACAGUAUCACGUAAAUCUCCCGUAUAUAUUGGCAAAAUGACGAUUACAUACACCCCCAAAAAUUGAAGGUCAUUUUGGUGGCAAUCUUUAUGCAUAUGUCAAUGGAUUUUUAAAUGUGUGCACAAAUUAGAAAUAAAAUUGAUAUAAAAUCUAAAUAUGCAUAUUGAAAUUAAUAUUUUUUACAUUUUCUUUCGUAGACGGUAAAGCCAUGAAGUUUCAAAUGUUUGAAAAUGGUAAGGGGAAAUUACACAAAACCCCCGCGUGGCUUGAAAAUAUACUUUUAACAUCCUUAUGCUUUGGAUUCAAAGGCAAGAGAGAUGGAAUCCAUCAAAACCAAUGGUUUUGUACAAAAAGACAACUCUACCCAUUAAUAUACAUAGUGUUAAUUCGUUCUUCGUUCACAAAUUUAUUUGUUACAUCAAACAAAAUUGUGUGUAUGGCAUAGUCAUUAAUCCCGGCCAAGACAUCAACCUGACAAGGCCAUUGGUAUAACAGGUUAGCGACUUAACUAUAGAUUUACUGACCCAGUCGGUGUUUCUAAAAUAUUGUAAAAUAAAAUAUUUUAAUUACUAAAAACAUUAUAAUUAUUAAAUUACUAGUUGAACAGGUCAGUAUUUUAGAUUUUACCGAUUGAAUUGAUGAAUUAUUGACUAGUUAACGAUUUCCUUCCUCAGUCAGUCCAACUACUCAUCCAAGAUCACUAAGUUGACCAAUUGAACUAUCGAGUUAGGUGAGGUUAGGUUUAGUAACUCUGUGUUCUUUUAUUUUCUAACUUUUAUCUUUAUUUUGUUGAAAACAAAAACUUCUUUAUUCACUUGAAGUUUGCACCAAUACUCGAGUAGUUAGCGAUUAUCAGCAAUAGUGUAUGUGAUGUAAAUUUUUCAUGCUCUUAUGAGUUUAGUCUCAAAAUCCUCUAAAACCCAAUGAGAAAAUUCUCAUUGGGUUACGAAGGAUUUUGAACAAUUUUCAAUGGGUUAUGAUGGAUUUUCAGUCUUAAUCUGCACUCUACACAACAAAAUUAAAUCAGUUAGUCGUGGACGACAAUUGCCGGCUAUAAUUAGUUACUUUAGUAAUGUUGUUGCAAAUUUUGAUUGAUUAAGGAAGAAUAUUUUUCAUUUUACAUAUUGUUCUGGAGGUAUCGUUCCAGCAAUUCCCAUGUAAGAAAGAUCAAUGGCUGCGACUCUAUGAUGACGAGCAUUACAAGUGAUUCCAAUCCAGUUGCAAACAGAGGUAGAAGCGGACCAGUUGGUUGGGAUGAUCCUUUGGGGAUCGAAAAUGGCGGCUUUGAAGGCAAGAAGAGCAUUCAGAUCAACAGUGUUGUUUUGGUUGUUGGCAACCGUUAUGGUAGCUGAGCUAGUUGCGAUAAAGUGCAACAGUACCAAGGCUCCAACGAAAAGAAAAUAAAUUGUCUGCAUUGCUUAUGGAGAGGUAAAUAAAACUUGAGGAAUGCCAAACAAUUAAUAAAACAUGAGCAUAAAUUGUGACAUUGGGCAGGACUUAUAUAGGCAUAUACUUGGGGUUGAGUUAAAAUUUUUCCACAACGUAUCGUAGUUGUGUUUCCAUUGUAAAACUGGAUUGUGUUUACACACGUGAAUUAGUAAAUUUCUGUUACCCAUUGUCCAUGAGGAAGUGAUAUAUUACCACAUUGUGGUAAAUCACAUUGAAGAAAUAAGUGUGUGGCAAAAAAAAUGAAAAAAAAGAAAAUACUCAUCCACAAAUGGGGUAUACCACAUGGUUGAUGAUUCCGUUAGACGUUGAUAAAUUGAAGUUCCUCAUCUGUUCACCAAGUUUCCAUUCCGAUAUAUGUUUGCUACUUUAUUGUUUUCUUCUAUCAGAUUGCUACACAUUACCAAUAGCGUUAUGGAUACUGACGUUUUGUUGUCCUUUAUUUGCUAGGAAUUAAAUGCCUACUGGGGGAAUUCUAAUUUGCUUGUCUUGUUGCUUUAGUCUAUUAGUGACAAUCACAUAACAUUGCAAUCACAUCCUUUAACAAAGAACCCCAGUCUCAAAAUUGCAAUUGAUGGACUACUUCUAUGCUUUCAAAAUUAGUUAUUUACAGACUAAGGCCUUGUUAGAUUUUAUCAUUUGAUUGUAGAUUACUACAGAACCCUUCUCCAAGUAUCAAAAAGACAGCUUAAUUACUUUCAAAAUUACAAACCUUAUUUAUCAUCCUGUCCUAUUUUUAGUUAUAUUUUCAAUUCUAAAUUUCUCGGGGUCCUCGAUUGGCUGUCAAGAUUUCCUCAGACUAGCUUUUUAUGUAAUUUCUUCAGCUUCCGCUGUUGAGUUUUUGUAGAGUAAUUGAUAUCACAAGCAAUUCCGGUGCUUUAGCAUUCUAUGUGGCAUUUCCAGGAAUGAUAGAAGGUAUAUUACUCCAAGCCCAGCUAAAAUUAUUUAUGUCUUUGAAAACUUCUAUACAAAAAUAAAUUUGAAGAAUAAAAGAAGAGAGGAUGCAGAGAAGUGUCCUAAUCCUCCAUGGCCCUAUUUUGUCUAAGGCAUUCAUUGUGUGGAAAGACAAGUUAUUUAUUGGUCAAAAACUACUCCUGUCUAAGUCCCUACACUCCAGAUUCUGUGUUUGUUGUCCUCCAAGAAACAUGGCAAACUAAGAAGUGAAGCCAUUAAUACAGUCCUUUUAACACGAAAGAAAGGCAGUUGACUGGACAGAUUAAGUGGGAGCGUUUAGAGUUUAGACCCAACUACCAAAACUCGGACAAUGACAUAAAUACCCUAUAUUCAGAGCACAUGAUCUCUUUACUCUUACCUAGAGUCCGGGGGUGGAGGGAGAGGCCCAAUAGGAUCUAGAAAAAUCGACGAGGACUGAACAGUCUGAACCAACAUCGGACCAGACAGGUGCGCUAUGCACCCAUAUGAAUUUAGAAGAAACCACAUAUAGUGACAUAUCGAUGGGAGGUAAGAUUUGAACGUUUGACUUUUCACUCCCAUCAAGACCUAAAAUCUUUGAUAAUGGCCAACUGACCAAAGGUAGUUAGUUAGAGCACAUGAUCUCUCUCGAUAUUUGUCCAACUUACACAAGAAAUCUUGAAGUUUAACAAAAAUGUAACUUAAACAUCUGAGCUCUUUUUUAUUUUCAUUUUUUGUGCUUAUCUCUAUCGCUAUCUUAUCUCCAAAUCCACUUUAUCCGCAUAACAAUUAUCUAUUAUGCUUGAAUUAAGAAAAUCUAGCUAAAAUAUGUAGCAUGGAAAGUUGGUAUUUCGAUUCACAAAUUUUUUUUGUCAAUAAUUUUAAGUUGAAUUUUUCUGUUACUAUUAUAUCAAAAUAUUAGGUAAUAACUCAAUGGCAAAGGGAGAAAUAAAUAAGGUAGAGAAAGUGAUUAUUGAGGCAUUAGUCAAGAAUCUCUGAUAUCAGUUAUUGUAGUCCCAGGGUAGAGUGAUAUCUGUUUCUAAACUUGCCCUCAAAAAUUUAAAAUUCAAAUUUGAAUAUAACUUGACAUACAACUAAAAAUAGGGACAAUAUUGAAAAAAGUGAUAAAAAACAACCUUAAUUUUAUUAAGAUGACAAAUAUUUUGAAAUAUCCUAAAAUGAAAAACACAACAUUAAAAAAAAAAGAAUUCCCUCAUUUAUUCGCCAAGUUUCUAUGAGGAAGUCUCUUUGCUACCAAGUUCAGGAUUUGAUUCCUAAAUUUGGCAGUUUGGGAUUUGGAAGGAAAUAAGGAGGGGUGGGAAGGUUAAACCAAAAUCUUUGUUCUUGCCAUUUUAGUGUAUUUUCUCCUAGUCUAUUGGUGAUAAUUAAUUUAUCAUCAUGUCCUAUGUUUAGUAACAUUCUCAAUUUUAACUUUACUUUCUUAAAAAAAUUGGUUCUUGGUCCUCGAUGGACGACUAGAUUUUGUCGGACUAGCUUUUUUAUGUAUUGUCCCGCUUUCGAGUAAUUGAUAUCACAAGCAAUUCCGGUGCUUUAGCAUUCUAUGUGGCAAAAUUGAAUUUUGGGUAUAACAUAAUGUUCCAAGAAUGAUGAAAGGAUACUACUCCAAGCUAAAAUUAUUAAGUGUCUGAAAAUUUUAAGGGUAAAGGAAGUGAAGAUGCAAAUAAGUGUCCUAAUCCUCUAUGGGCCUGUAUUAGUCUAAGGCAUUCAUUGUGUGGAAACACAAGUUUCGGUCAAGAACCACCCCACUCUAAGUCCUUAGUCGAGAAUUGAAGCUAUUCACUCAUUUCCAUGUAUUUGCCUCCAACCAACCAAGAUGAAUGCAAGUCCAACAAAAGAAGCUAUUAGUGCAGUCUUUCUACAUGAAAGGAGGCAGUUGACUGGAAACUUUUGUAUGAAUCUAGUCUAUGGCAGUGAUGGUGUUCAAACCAAACUCAUGAAAUGAAAUAAAGUGAAAAAUACAGUUUUAAUCCUCAAUAUUUGGCAUGUGUGCCAAACUGACCCAAACGUUUCAAUUAAAACAAAUUUGGUCCCCAAAUAUGCUAUUAACAAACUUUUCUCAGUUUUUAAAUUUUCCUUAUACCCUGACUACUAAGGUGAAAUGUCCUCAAUAUUUUUUUUGGGGGGGGGGGGGGGGGGGGGGGGGGGGUGGGGGAGGGGGGAACCAAUCUCAAUUAGAUGUGGCUAAUUAUCCUACAAUUGGGAGUAAACAUAUAUAGCUCCAUGCUUACUAACUUUAUGCCAAACAUUCGACAACUUUCCAUCCUCAUCUAAAAUAUUUAAAAAUAAAUAAAUAUAUAAGAAAGAGCCAAUGCUCUGAGAUUAUCAGGAUGAUUAGUUUUUAUGAUACUAUACUAAAAAAAUGGGAACACUAUGUUCUUAAAUAAUGAAUUACUUUCAAUACUCGAGUAAAUUUUACUUUAUCAAGAUAAAGGAUCCUUAUGGUCUUUUGACUUAUACUUGGUUAGAUGGGAGAGAGUUCCACUUAAAGCCAAAUAUGCGCAUAGUGCUAAACCUAGAGAGAACUAUUGACUUCGAAGUCUGAAGCAUUAUUCCUACGGUAGUGCCCUAUGGCCAUAUCUUUUUCCCCACGGUCUGGAGUCAAAAUUGGACUUAGCACCUUUCUCAGUACCUCCUCCUCAGUUAGUCUUAAAAAGGAAUUCAACCCAAGCAACCAACUAACUUGGUUUAAUUCGUACAGGGUAUUCAUCAGCUUAGAUCACAAUUAAUUGAAAUGCAAUAAUUCUUGAAUUAAAUAAUUAAUCAUAGGCUAUUCAAGAUAUUCCACUGUGAUGGCGCCCAAGUUUUUUUUUUAUUUUCGACAAAAGACUUCAACAGUAAUACUAAGGACUUGAAAACGCGGAAUAUGAAAUCCAUAACAUGACCUGAGCGAAGUUUACGAUAAAGGCAUUUAGGUUAAAUAGACUACACCAGAGCCAUUUUCAUUAUGUUUAUUUUCUAUUUUAGAUUUAGAAGGUGAGUGAAGGAUGAAGCAGAGAAAAGAAGGUGGAUAAAGAGAAUCAAAUUCUACCUAAGACUGGAAAAAUAUACUGUCAAAGAAUUAAUAAGUGGAUAACGAACCAAUUGUUAAAUUCAAAGCUAGGGAUUGACAUUAUUAGAAUAAUUGUUGUGACACUUUUUAUAGUUUGAUGUAUGUGAAAUAAAAUGGUGGUUGGAAUGAUAAAAAGAUAAUUAAAAAAAUGUAUUUGUGAUUCAAGUAAAAAUAUUUUUUCCAAAUAAUAAAGCAUCAGCCAUAUUAAUUUGCGAAUAUACACAUGCAUGUUAGUUCCUUUAACAUGCAUGACAGUGAUAUAUAGUUCGGAGAAUUUUAGGCACCUUUUCUUGUCAUUUGGGUCUAUAUGCCCCAAAUCCAGGGUGAUACUAGAGUCAAGUAAUAUUGCAAUCACUAUCUCUAGUUCAAAUCUCAGUCUUUUCAUUUUCCCUUCCCUUUGUAAGGUUUAAGCGCUCUAACUUACUCAAAAUGGUAAGAUAAAUAAAAGGAGUGCUGGGAAGUUAGACAGCUUCAUCAUUUUCUCUUCGGCUAUUCUUCCCUUUGUUUAGAUGGAAAGCACAGACAAGUAGAUUUAAGAUAGGGAUAAUUUCAGCAACCUCCUUUGAAGUUUCUGACUACUUCACUUACUUUCUCUGAGAUUUGUAAAAUUACACUAACCUCGCCUGAGGUUAAGUGUUUUGUAACAAAAUCAGUUUAAAUCAGAAAAGUACACUUAAAAAAGUAUUUUGAGGAUAAAAAUGAAAAAUAGUUCUCAUAAAUGCCCCUUUUGUAGCUAUACAAAUUGUAUUAGUAAAAUAAUGAAAACUAAUAAAAGCUAGAAAGAAUUAAUAAAAGGAGAAGAGGUUUCUUUUGUGAUGCCUUGUAGUUUAUCAGCGAACUAAGUUAAUUGUUCUCACAUGCAGGGUAUAAUUAUGAUGAUCAACUCUGAAAAUUUCAUGAUUUGCAACUAACAUGUAUUAGACAGAGAUAACAAGGAAUUGAUUACCUAUAUUGUUAUGAUUGUCAAUUUGAGAUUUUGCCUUUCCCUUAUUUCUCCUUCGAAACCACUAAAUCACUUUGCUACUAUCACAGCCUCACAAGUUUUAAUAGAAAUUCCCCUCAUGUUCAGCUUUUAUUUUCUCCAUCUUUGUCCUUAGUUUUCUUUCUUCAACAAGAUACCUUCUUCUCAUAGUGUAUAGGACUGAUUUGUUGUUCUUGUUACUGAUAUCAAUCACAAAAUAGUGCUAUUUUUGUAAUUGUAGUUAUAGUUUCUGAUUAUGGACUUCACCACAGUUAUGUUUGUUAAUCAAUUGGAAUUAAUUAAUUUAUGCCCUAAUUACUCAUUUGUCAAAUAUUAGUCUUCAAAUAAGACAUAAUGUAAUGUCUUUGGGUAUAGUAGUAAUUUCACACCACGUGAUGUAAGUAAUUGGACCCAAAUUGCUACCAGGGAAGGUCAGUGUAACUUUGCAAACCUUAGAGGAAACCGGUGUAAUAAUAAAAAAAUCUCAUAGGGAUACGAACGCAUAAUGCCGUAUAUGCAUUUCGAUGUGUGCAGGACUCAAAUUUGUUUUGGCCUAAUGCUGCGUUCGGUACUCGGAGGGUGGGUAUCACUCCGGAAGUGGAAAGCUGUUCCACCACCUUUCUUAGUGGUUCAUGGUCUAUGGUUAUGCUUUUCUUUUUCGUUUCUUUUUCUAAUAUUAGUUAAAAAUAAUGAAUUAAUUUUUCUAAGUAGUAUUUUGGUUGUUGCCUUUUUGGGGGAUUAGUAGCUUGGCAAAUAAGUAAAUGCAAUCUCGUAGUAUUUACAUGCUGAUCUGAUUGAAUCAACGAAGCACUAAAGAUUAGGCAGAAAAGAAAAUGAAAGAUUGAUUGAGAAUAUUUAUCCGUUUGACAAUUUAGAAAUCACGCAUAUUAAUAUACAGUCGCAUAAGAGUGUGGGUUGAGUUUAACACAUUUGUCACUAAUGGCCACAUAAAUAUAAAGAAGGCACUAACUUGAGCUAACUCUUUCUGCGGGAAUUAAACCGUCCAAUAUCCCCUAGCAUGAGUGAUGAACUCCAUAAUGACUUGGCCUAAGCAACUUCUUGGCUAAGCUCCCAGAUGUAAAAGUUUACAUUUCAAGUUUCACUAGUAGAAGAUCGGCAGUCUUCUUGGCUCCUGCAUACUUCUUCAUCUCCAAUCUUCAUGCUCUGGUGAAGUUUCCUGCAUUUUUCUUCCCAAAAGGCAAGGGUUAAAGAUUGAGAUUGUAAGUUUCCUUGAAACUAGUUAAGGUUAAAGUUGAAAUAAGAGGACGUCAUUAAGAUUCCCAAGUUAGAAGUUCACUUAGCACAGUUACUAGUGCAUGUACAAAAUGGCUCUCUACUUUAUAAUAGUUCUCUUUAGCAGCUGAAAAAUAAGACCUGACACGCAGUGACUUUUAGGGAGUUUUUGUACAUUUGAUGCAUUAUCAAAAGUUCGUAAUUUUAACUGUAAAGCAAUUAAUCCGUGUAAUUAUCCAGGAAUUGUACGUCAAAUGUUCAUGCCAUGUUUAAUUUGAUUCACUUUUUGGUGAUGGAUCACAUUCGGUUCUAUAUUCUGCUUCAGCUAAAGAGGCAUCGACUUAUAGCUAGUUUUCUCGCAAUCCAAAUUCAUUAACCUUGGUAAAUUUACUCUUCAUUUUUGUUAGAGAUUUCUUGUAAGUUAGAAGCAUUGGAUGCAUUAUUAGAAGUUUAGCCAAUUUGUAGUCAUGGCCUUCCCCUUGGGAUUGCCCCAACUUAGUACCUUAAGGUUCAUAUUUGGCACAUGUUGCCUCUCAAGGUUAUUUUUGUGAGUAUAGAACCACAUUGACGAGUUUUAACUGAUACUUGUGGUGGGAAAUUGGAAUCAAGUAUGUCCUCAGUUGUUAAAAUACAUUUUUCUGUACUAUAUUAUUUGUAUUUCAAUGUGCAAGUUAUCUAUCAGAUGUGCGCCUGUCAAGAAUAAAUUAAUUGAUUCUCAGUUUACAGUUCAAAAAGUUGAGUGACUGGAACAAUUUAGGCAAGGCCCAAUUAUUGGGGCAAGAACACAACUACUUUCUUGAAAUUGUGAAGCCAAAAAAAAAAAGAAAGUGGGUAUUCAAGUCAUCAAAUCCUGAACAGAUUUGAGGAUGAAUUUUCUUGUUUAUUAAUUUUUGUGUUGCUGAAUCAAUACUCUUGUCCUUAACCAACUCAAAAGUUUGACCCAAUUAAGAAAUCAGGCAUGCAUAUUUAAAUAAUGGCUCUGACAAGAAUCAAGGCAAUAUUCCCACAUUCCCUCCACUUUUAGCUGCAAUUGGUUACAACAAUCAGAAAAAAAAAAAGACAAUCUCAAAAUGGAUGCAGCGGGUAUGAAAAUGAAGACCUUGAGACCGGUGGGAAGUCUACUUGAAGUGUGCUGAAUGUUCUCUUUUCUCACAUAUCCACUAUAUUUUCUUUAUGUGGAUUAUUCUUCCAGUGUUCAUACAAAUCUAGGACAAAUCAUAUUAAGGCUAACAAAUCGAAGUAGUAAGUAUCAUGUGUAUUAUGAUCUCCAAAGUGGGGGACAUGGAUCAAUCAGUUCAAAAUGGUGAUCCAAACAUGUCAAUUGACAAAUUAGGCUCAAAAAAGAAAAAAUAAAAUAAAAUAAAAGCGAUUUUUUGGAAGGUACAUUUAAGUGGAGCUUGAACUUGAUACUUCAUUGACCUGGAGACGACUUCAUCCUAUUGAGCUAAAGCUGAUUGGUAAGUGAAAACUCAUAUACCGCUUUUGAUGUUAUUAGUGGUCAUUUUUACCUAGAGGUGACGAUUUCAAUCAAUUUCUUCCUUUACAUGGAGGGAAAACUAGUAUUGGAUUCUCUAAAUAAUAAGGGUAGGGUGGAGAGACUUCAAAAAUUAAACUUAGGAUGUAUUUGAUAAAAUUAAAAUCUAAAAUCUAAAAUCUGAAUCUGAAAUAUGAAUCAGUUAAGUGGUUGAAUUGUUAAUUAUUGGAAUCUUAACAUUUGAGCAUAUUUUGUAUUAAAUAAUAAGUAAACAGUUUAUUACUUAUUUUUUGAAGUAAGUUUUGCUUAAACAAUUAAGAACCACUUGAUUAAUUAAAAUGUUCUAUUUUUGUUAUCGAGCAUUUCUAAAUAUUCUAAGGUUUUGAUCCAUUAAAUUUAAGCGGUGAAUUAGAUUAUCAAAUAAGGCCUUAAUUUGACAUGCAAUUUUAUUCAACUUUAAACUAAUUCACCUUCAUUUAGCAAAAACAAAGUCAAGAUUGCUGCAAAAUCCAGACUUAAUUGCACGAAGGAAAAUCACCAUCAUUGCCCAUCAUCGAGUUCGUAAGACAAGGACAAAUCUGAAAAAUCAGUCGAUUAAGUUAACUUUGAGAAGCAUUAGCUUCCCCUUUUUGGGCUUUUCAAGUGGGAAUAGGACGGCCCAGAUAAACGGUUUUGUGAUUUUCCACUUUAAACCCAUGGAAUAAUAGCCGAUUGAUAAGUUUAACUACAUGAUUUUGUUCAGUUAAACUGUCCAUACAAAUUAACGACAAAAGCCCAUUUGUGGAAUAUAUUAACCCCACAAAAAUCGCCACCAAAUAGCCUGCUUCGUUAUUGUGUUUUAAAAAAAAACACUUGAUUUCGGAGCUAUUUUAUUUGCUAUGUGUUUUUCAAAAUGUUGAUUAAUCAAAAUCAGCUAAUUCUACUUUUGUGUUGAUCUUUUUCUUUGUCAUUGAAAAAAUUUAAAUCCUAAAUACAAAAGUCAACAAGAACAUCUAAAAAUUUAUUUUUCAAAAUCAAAAUCUAAAAUUAACUCAAAUAAUCAAAUGAAAAGAACCCCUUUUUUUUAUUGCACUUUUGUAUCAUUUGAUCAGCGGUUGGAGUUCAAAGCUUAAAACACCAGCUUCCAUUCAUCUAGCUACUCAUUUGAUCUAAUCUUCAUUCAUUUGAUAAUUUAUUAUUGUAAAUUUUUUAAUAAGAGAUUUAUGCAUUAGCUUAAAUUAAUUAAAGGACUAUUUAUCCAAAAUAUCUCUCUAUCCAAAAUGUACCACUUGGAUUUUUUUUUUUUAAUUUUUACUGUAAGUAGGAGGACUCGAACCCGAGACAUCUUGUUUACACUCCCUUCCCGUACUACUUGGAUUUAAAUAUGUGCUGUGUCACAACCCAAAAACCUGGAUAACUCCCACAUGUCAAUUUCUAAAAGUCCUCUAUUUGGACUUUUUCCUUCUCUCAAAUUAUCAAUCAACCUUGUCAACUGUCCCCUAAUUGCAGAAAUUUUAUUGCACGAAAAAGCCCACAAACAAUUUUUUGAGCCGAAAAAAAUUCCAAUUAUUCUAAUUCAACAUGGCACUAGAAUGGAUAGUGGUAGACUAUGCUGCAGUAGCAGAGGUUGUCACGCCUCAAAUCUGAUAAUCGUAUUUAAAAUAUUUAACUUUUAGUUUAGAGCACGGCACUAGCAUACCCUCUUAAGAGGAUACAAAGCCGCUUGAUAAACUUAUAAAUACAAAUCAAUAAUUAUAUGAAUCGUCGAAUGUGUUUACAAAAGUCCAAAAUGUAAAAAAUCACUCAUACGUCUCACUCUAAGUUCACAAUUUAUAUACAUUACUAGAGUAAAAACGUUGUGCAGGCUACAAUUUAGCAAAACUUAACUCUAAGAAUAUAGCCUGAUCAAAACUAGUUUUGAAGCCUUCCUAGAUUUGAUUCUUAUCUGCAGGAGAGGAAAUUAAGUGGAGUCAGCAUCCACUUGCUCAGUAAGUAGCCCAACAGUAUCGCUAUUGAAUGAAGCAUAUGAAUAAGAUAUAUAACAUUUAAUAAAAUUAUUUCACAAAAUUAAAUCACAAUUAACACAUUACCACUCAAUUUUGACUUUUCUAUACCAAGUGAUGCCUAAUUUUCCAAAGCUGCGCACAGGUGACUGUUAGUCGCAAAACUGAUUUAGGACUCCCAGUGUUGUUGGUUAUUAACACAAAAUUCUUCCAAUUUCUUGUAUAUAUCGCUAUCAAUUUGCACUCUGGCACUCAAAUUUAUAUCAUACUUAUAAAAUAACCCCUUACUUAUACAUAAUAUUCAAUUGGCUAGAAAACUUUUGGAUAAUUGGGGUUUGGGCAUUACAGAGGCGAUGAUGCUGUUUCUGCUGACUAUUCUGAGCGCGGAUCAACUUACAUGGCCGUCUAACAUCCAUAAGAAGGAGCCACCUAAAGUCAUUUCUGACGAUGGUCUCGUUUUGUUUGUUCUUGCUGUUGGAUAUCUACUGAAAGUAUGAAACUCGUCCGAGUUGUAAAUCGCUCGAGUCGUGCACCUCGGCCGAACUCAUGUGGCACCAGAAAUCCAUUAUAAAGAGGCAGCGCAAUGCAUUGCUGAUUGCCUCAGCGCUCAUGUUCUACUGGCUACUUUUUGCUGUAACAUGCUGAUUUUUUUUUUUAAAGGAAUGUAUGGAAUGAGUUGUUCCCAAAUCACCAAGAAUCCAGUGCAGAGCUUCGUCAGAGGAAUUUCUCAAAAUUGAGAUAUUUAACAAAUGUUCCCACCAUUUUCUAGCUUGAGGAAAUGAUACAAAUGUAUCAGUAAUUAAAAGUAGAUUACCAACUUAAUUGCCAUAUAUAUAUAUAUAUAUAUAUGUGUGUGUGUGUGUGUGUGUGUGUCAAACAUAAACACCAUGUCAUGAACUUGAGGUCUUUAUAUCUGUAAACAAUUUAUUGGUAAUACAAUAACAUAUCUCAUUCCUUCCUUGAACUUUAAGCAUUUCGGUGGUGCACCUCAAAUACAUUUGCACCUCAGGGCUCUGCCAUGUAUUGAGUGGAAAAACAUAAGUACUACUUGAAUGAAUAAUAAUCCUUGGAAUAAGCUUUAGAUAUACCAUAUGAUUGAAGAAAAAAAAGUUGCUAUUGGAUUAUUGGUUUUAUACCUGCUUCAAGGUGUGAUGCCUUUGAUAAACUGGAGUUUGAUCUUCUGCAGCGCUCUUAGAACUUCUUUCAUGUUUAUUCUCUCCUCAGGAGCAUCUGUUGUACAACUUAAACCAAGUUGCAAGACAGAUGAUAUGCAGUUAAUCUUCUUUUGUACCAGUUCAUUUUCAGGAUGAAGUAAGUCUCUGUCUAUAACUUGAAUCACAGAAUCUGGUAAGCAAUCUUGUACCCAACGCCUGAGGCUUAACGCUUCUGUGAACAUCUCAUCCUUAGGCUUUCUUUUUGUAAAUGUCUCCAUCAAUGUAAUUCCAAAGCUGUAGACAUCACAACUUGUUGAAACCAAUCCUUCCAGUCCAUACUCUAGCAUCAAAAUUUGAAACUCGUUGUUAAAGUCAAGUAUUGGCAUCGGUUCAGCAAAUUUAUGUUUUUUCUUAAAGGUUUUAUAUUUGACAUACCGUACUAGUUGUUGAAAGUUGAAACAUUAAUUUGAAUGAUAUAAAAAUUUCGAAAUUUGAGCCAAGAAAAGUCACCUGGGGCAAUAUAUCCAAAUGUAGCAAGAGUCUUUGUUUGUACCACAGAUUCUCCAUCUCCUAAUAACUUUGCAAUUCCAAAAUCGCAAACAUGCCCAACCAUGUCUUCAUCUAGGAGAAUAUUGCUAGGUUUCAAAUCACAAUGAACUAUAGGAGUUGAAUAACCAUAGUGGAGAUAUUCCAAACCAGAAGCCACAUCUAUCGUGAUAUCCAACCUUUGCAUGAUACUUAGGACAUGAUGGUUUACAUGAAGCCAUUUCUCAAGGCUUCCAUUGGGCAUGUAUUCGAGCACCAAAGCCUUAAAGUCAAGGCUAGAGCAAGCACUAAUUACUCUAGUUAAAUUUCGAUGACGAAGGCAGCUUAAGACUUCACAUUCUCUAUCAAAGCUUUUAAAUGCACCUUCUAGCUGCAAAUCGAAUACCUUUAUGGCCCAAACCAUCCCAUUUUCACGAAUUCCCUUGUAAACUGAACCAAAGCUCCCCGAGCCAAGUAAGUUACUCUCGCUGAAUCCACUUGUUAUUUGUCUAAGUUCAUGGAAGGACGCCCUUUCAAAUGUCGCCAUGGGAAGCAAGUUCUGAGUCGGAGCUAGAAUUUUCUUUCUCAACUUUAACCUCAUCAAAAAAAUUGAAAUCACCAAGGCUAAUAUGACAGAUCCUGAUGCCAACAGAACAAUCAUGACUAUCCUUUUUGUCCUUGAUUCAUGCUCAAAUGUACUUGUACAAGGUUGGAGCCAAGGAGCGCCGCACAAUGCUUCAUUUGAGAGAAAAGAUAGGUUCGUGAAAUUUGCGAAUGGCCCUCCAUGAGGAAUCGGUCCUUUCAAUCUGUUGUAAGACACAUUAAAGUAUUGGAGAUCUGAUAGUACCUGUAAUGAGUUGGGAAUUUCACCUUCCAGAUUGUUAAAAGAUAUAUCCAAAUGCCGUAACUGCAACAUAUUCUUGAUGGAAUCCGGUAUCAAUCCUUGUAGCUUGUUACGUUCCAAGGACAGGUUUUGUAAACUCUGUAGUGCUCCAAUGGUGCUAGGCAUUUCACCCGAAUAUUGAUUAUUUGAAAGGUUCAAAUAGACUAAUACCUUCAAGUUUCCAAUUUCAGCAGGCAAAGAACCUGUCAAAUAAUUUCCUGACAUGUCUAGCUCCAAAAUAUCUCUGAGGCUCCAAAAGCUUGUUGGUAUCAUAGAACCUAAAUUGUUAGAAUUGAGAUAAACAUAUCUGAGUGUUGUAACGUUUCCUAAACAAGAAGGCACCAUACCAGAGAGCAUAUUUUGUCCAAGUCUUAAUUCUCCUAAGUUCAGCAAAUUACAAAACUCACUUGGAAUAGCUCCUUGCAUCUGAUUGUCGCUUAGAUGUAUCCUCUGAAGCUUCAAGAACCAUUUGAUUGUAGUUGGAAUUAACCCUGUCAAACUAUUGUUGUCAAAGUACAGUUCUAUUAAGUUGCUCAAAUUACCAAUCGAACUUGGAAUUUCACUUAUGAUUCCACAACCAGUGGCAAUUAUGGAUUCGAGUGAGCUAGAAAGAUUUCCAAUAGACUUUGGGAGGAAGCCAUUCAGAGGAUUCUCAUCUAUCCACAACCAUGUUAAAUGUUUGCAGUUUGACAGGGAUAUGAUGAAGCUCAACUCUUUGGAUAGCGAGUCCUCAGAAAAAUUAUUUUGCCAUAUACCCAAGUAUUCCAAUAAUCUCAUGUUUCCAAGAGAAUGAGGAAUUGCACCAGUAAAAUGAUUCAUACCAAUGCUUAGGAUUCUGAGCCUAGAAGCAUUUGAGAUAGAUGCUAGUACAGUUCCACUGAAUUCAUUUCCAUCAAGGUAGAGUUCCUCAAGAUUGGGUAAGAAAGCACCUAUAGUUGAUGGAAGCUCGCCUGAUAAAUCAUUGCCCGUGAGAGAAAUAAUUUGUACAGUUGAACUAUUGAAAAGUUUCAGCGGGAUAGGGCCUCUUAACCUAUUCGAGUCCAACACGAGUUCUUCCAACUUGCUAAGAUUACCAACCUCUUGAGGUAUUAUACCUGACAAAUGAAAUUGGUAAGAAAAAAAUGAGUCAUUUGACUUGAAACAAUUUGGUGAGAAAGGGAAGUAAUGAGAAGACAGACACAUAGUGGAUGCAAGUAUUGAUCAUUAUGAUUUACAAGCCAGCAAGUUUUUGAUACAGAAUGAUAAAGACGAGUUCAAGUAAAUCCAUGCUUUUUUUUUUUGGUAAAGUUAAUCCAUGUUACUAGUAUUCAUGAACUUAGCAUAUGAUAAUAAAUAUUUUCAUGUAAUUUGAAUUAUGUGUUGGCUUGUUGUAUUUAUGUACUUUCUUUUUUCCUGUUUUUUGAACUUCAAGGAUUGUAAUAUUCGAUGCUAAUGAAAUAAUUGGUGGGCUGUACAAAUAUUUCCACUGGCACAAGUACUUUGAAUAUGAUGAUGUCUUCCAUCUAAGGACGUAAGGUAAGAUGAAAUAAUAAAAUAAAUCUUAGAGAAAACUCUUCUGAUAAUGUAAUAAUAAAAUGGAUCUUAUUUCAAAAACUUCCAAUUUUUUUGGAGGUCUUGAACCAAAGACUUCCAAUUUACAAUCCCUCCUACUUUACAAUCCAUUCCAACCCUCCCCCUAGCAAAAACAUUUCAUUAAUGUCAUAGUUUGAACAUUAUAACGGAUAGAGCGUUUUCUCAAUUAAUUGGGAUUUUGAAAAAGUUGAUUCUUGAAAAGUUAAAAUUAGAAUUCAAAUUUUAGAACUAUUGGAAAAAGUAGGCGUCUUGUAGCUUCUAAUUUUAGUUUUUCUUUUACUUUUAAAAAGGCAAAAGCUGAAAGAAAAAGAAGUUGAGAACAUUACAUGAUAGAUAUUUUAAUAUCAAAAGGUAAAAGUAGGUACAAAAAAUCAGUUUAGAACAAACUCUAGUCAUUUGAACUUUCACGUUAUUUUGAAAUUAUACACGGGACUAUGGAAAAUUGAAUUAUACUCAUGAUGGUGUCAUAAGAUAAAAUCCUGAACAUAGAAAAGUUUAGGCGUGGCAACAAAAAAUCUAAGUUUAAUUUUUUCAAGGGCGGUCCUAUAAUGCUAGUUUUCAUGUCUAAUUUGUAAUUCUAUGAAAUCAAUCUAGUGGUAAAGUGAAACUGAAACUAGGAAUGACAAAUUAAAUACAUGUAUAUACGAGUGAAAAAUAUUUCCUAAUUAAUGUCUAUCCUACCAAAACUUCAUAACUUUUUGGACAAUUUCACUUUAUCCCCUGUGGUUUAGCAUUUUUUACAUAAUCCCCUUAUGAUUUUAAAAAUUAUAUAUAACACCCUCAUUGUUUGGAUUAAAGUGUCAAAAUGACGGAAAUGAUCAUUCGUAACGGAGUCACCUAAAAUAUUAAAAAUACCCUUAUGUAAAAUUGAAAAUUAUUUAUCAAUCAAGGGAGGUUAUGUGUAUAUUUUGAAAAUCAUAAGGGGUUAUAUGAUGAAGUAUUAAACCAUAAGGGGGUUAUAUGGUCAAAUAUAAAAAUCAUACGAGAUUAGUGUGUCAUGUAUUUAAAAGGGUAAUUUCGACAUUUCUAGAAGUUCCGUUACGAAUGACUAUUUCCGUCACUUUGACACUUUAAUCCAAACCAUGAGGGGAUUAUGUAUCGCUUUUGAAACCAUAGGGGGAUUAUAUAAAAAAAGCUAAAUCACAGGGAGUAAAAUGUAAUUUGCCCUAACUUUUUUGUGAACCUAGGGCACUCUUUUGAAAGAGCUUCCUCUUAGAAAUGCUCUAAAGCCUGUGUAGGAGACUUUGUCCGCCAUAUAAUCACAUUGUAUUCAUACAUAUUUGUGCUCCUUUUUACCAGAAAACACACUUAGUCAACAACUCAAAAGGGAAAAUAAAUUGUCAUAGCAUGCGAUUUUCUACAUACUUAGUUUCUCAAGUUUGAUAUUCACUAACCUUUCACACGGUGCAAAUUUUCUACGUGCAAGAUCAGGUACCUUUUUCUUCUCAGCUUUGAUAUCUUAGUCUUCGUUCAUGGUGAAUUUUUAUUAAGUUCUCUGGUCGCUCUCUUUUGCUUCUUCAUUAUUCCUGUUAUGUUCACACACACACACACCCCCCCCCCCACCCACCCCUCGGCGGUUGUGUGGAUGUUCGAGUGCAAGUUCAGUUAAUAAGCAGAAACCUGCUCAUGCAUGAUGAACUUCAAAUUUGUCAUGGGUCACUUUUGAAUUCCUCAAAAGACUGACCUGAUUAUGGUAAUAUGGUUGCGUACAAGCAUUGCCAUUUACUUUAGUGUCAAUUCCAGAGCAUACUUAUAUCUUUCACUAAAUCCAUGCUUUUUUUUUUUUGGUAAAGUUAAUCCAUGUUACUAGUAUUCAUGAACUUAGCAUAUGAUAAUAAAUAUUUUCAUGUAAUUUGAAUUAUGUGUUGGCUUGUUGUAUUUAUGUACUUUCUUUUUUCCUGUUUUUUGAACUUCAAGGAUUGUAAUGUUCGAUGCUAAUGAAAUAAUUGGUGGGACGUACAAAUAUUUCCACUGGCACAAGUACUUUGAAUAUGAUGAUGUCUUCCAUCUAAGGACGUAAGGUAAGAUGAAAUAAUAAAAUAAUCUUAGAGAAAACUCUUCAGAUAAUGCAAUAAUAAAAUGGAUCUUAUUUCAAAAAGUUUGAAGCUUUUUACCUGUCAUAUUGGCACUCCAAAUGUCUAGUGUCUCCAAAUUAUAGAGAUUGCCAAUGACUUUUGGAAUUUCACCUGCCAAUAAAUCAUGACAUGACAAGAAAAUUAAUUAAAGGAAGUAUUCCCCAAUAUUUCUAAAGUAAUUAGCCUCUGCCAACAGCAUUCUUUUUUAUGUAAAUGUUUCAUGUGAAUUAUAAAUUUAGUCUCAAAAUCCUUCAAAACCCAAUGAAAAUUUAUUAUUGGGUUAUGAGGAUUUUGAACCACUUUCAUAGGGUUAAGAUGGAAUUUCAGUCUAAAUUCGUAAUUCAUGCAAUAAACUUACAUCAAUUAGUCAUGGAUGACAAUUGCCGAUUAUAGCUACAAAAUUUAGAAAUUUUUAUUGAGUAAAGAAGAUUAUUUUUCCUUAUUGACAAAAUAAGGAAGCAAGUUAAGAAAUAAGAAAAAUCAAACAAUUCAGUUAGAAAUGAAUAAAGAUAACGUACAGGAUGCGGCCAAAACUAAACAUACUUUCAAGUAUGAAAUAAAACAAGAAAGAAGGAUUUUUCAAAACAAAGUGAAGUUGGCAGCUUACCUGUCAGGUCGUUAUCACCCAAAGCUAAUCGUGUAACCGUGGUUAGAUUCCAAACUCCAUUUGGUAUAUAUCCUUGGAAUUUGUUGUAUGACAAGGAUAAAACUUGGAGUCCCGAGCAUUCUCCAAUGCCUGAUGGAAUUUCACCUUCAAAGUAAUUCCGUGAUAAGUAAAGCCCUUGGAGUUGUGGGAGAUAAUCGCAGAUACGUGCUGGAAGGUAACCCGAUAAGCUAUUACCCGUAAAACCAAUCUUUUGCAAUGAGGAGAGGUUAAACAGAGCCUGCGGCAGAGGGCCUGCGAGUUGGGUAUAUUCAAUUUCCAAAACUCUCAAUUUCGGUAGAGCGCUGAAUUCUUCAGAAAGAUUUCCAGUAAAAAAGUUGUGACCCAACCUGAUGGUCUCUAACUUUGUGAAGUUAGAGAGCCUGCCUGAUAAUGAACCUGAAAACCCGUUAUCCCAGAAGGAUAAGUAUCGGAGUGCAGUUAAAGCUCCCAACCAUGACGGAAAUUCUCCUUCAAAGUCAUUGCUUGAAAGUUCGAUGUGCUUCAAUCGAUGGAGACGAGAUAGCUCGGGUGGAAGGUGUCCAUGAAAGCUGUUAUUCAUAACAUUCAACCUGACGAGAAAAGAAAGAUUUCCCAAUUGUGGAGGUAUCGUUCCCGCAAUUCCCAUGUAAGAAAGGUCAAUGGCUGCGACUCUGUGAUGACGAGCAUUACAAGUGAUUCCAAUCCAGUUGCAAACAGAGGUAGAAGUGGACCAGUUGGUUGGGAUGAUCCUUUGAGGAUCGAAAAUGGCGGCUUUGAAGGCAAGAAGAGCAUUCAGAUCACUAGCACUGUUGUUAUGGUUAUUGGCAAUACUUAUGCUGUCUGAGCUAGUUGCGAUAAAGUGCAACAGUACCAAGGCUCCAGCGAAAAGAAAAUAAGUCCUCUGCAUUGCUUAUAGAGGCAAAUAAACUUGACGAAUGCCAAAUAAAUAUAGAACAUGAGCAU